This 180162-nucleotide long non-coding RNA is filed under the name Citrus maxima (pomelo). Its description in RNAcentral is "long non-coding RNA (CMAX_LNC001224)". Lineage: Eukaryota; Viridiplantae; Streptophyta; Magnoliopsida; Sapindales; Rutaceae. The record is from RNAcentral.
UCUGGGGCCAAUGUAAGUCCAAUUUGCGCAAGCUCUUUAUGCACCACAGCUCUUCUGGAAGCUUUCUCAAGUAAGCACAUGGGUUGACAAUUAAGCUUUCAAGUUUCGGCAUUGCUCCAGCCCCCAUCGUCCACUCAUCUAGCCAAUACAUUGAUUUCAGGUGCAAAACCUUAAGUUCGGGAAAGCUACUCAAGCCAACACAAGCAAGCUUUCUUCCUAAAUACGAGUUCUGCUUCAGUUUCAGCACUCGAAGGCGUGGAAGAUUUUCCAGAAUUGGCAUGGGAUCCUCCAUUAGCUCAGUAUUUGAUAAGCUCAGUUGGAUCAGACUUGGGGGAAAUUGGUAUUCAGACUGGACCAUCCGUGAGGGCUUGCUCUCAUUCACCAGCUUCAAGCAUUCAAGUUUGUGGAGUUCGCAAAGGCUUUUGGAAACCCCAGAUUGAUAGUAACUCAAAUCUCCAGAUAUCCGAAGAGUCUGAACACUUGGUAGUCUGCCCAAUAUAUCAGGAGUACAACUACUAGGGUUUAAAGCUGAUAUGAAAAUGAGUUUUUUCAGAGAGCUAGAAUAAUUUUUUGGAGGUGCGGGCAGAGUGAUAGAACCAAAGUUUAGAUGCAUGAGUUUUUGCAUCAUCCAAAUAUCCUCUGGUGACUGAUCUAUGUAGCUAGAUGGCAUUUCUAGUGUUUCAAGGUUUAAAAGGGUGCAUAGCAGUGAAGGAAGGCAUUUGAGCGAAGGGAUAUUCAAUUUCAAAUACUUCAAAAGAUAUAAAUUUUCUAAUGCGGGUGGAUAUUGGUCCAGGACUGCAGAACCCAUGUUCAAUACCCGAAGGUAUUUGAACCUUUUAAAAAAAUUCUCGCAAUCUUUCGGAUUAAGAUGAUUGCUUUCUGAACUGUGAUUCAGAAAUGAUUGGAGAUACAUGUCAGACUGUUGUAAAAAAAAGAACUCAAGCAGAUCUUCCAAAAUGAAGCACCGUUUAGCAUUUUCAAUUGAUUCCCCUAUCCAUGCAGGCAUUCGGACAAAUCUCGUCUUCUCUGCCACCAAACCCAAUGAAGUAAAUACAAAACUUGGAACAUAACACGCUUUAAUUGUGCCUCCGGCUCUUCUCGUACUCACUUUAAUGAAGCCGCGAUGGAUUAGUUCUUUCAAGUAAUGUUCGGCAGUUUCUUCACCGUUGUAUGGUAUGAAACCUUCAGCUACCCACAACUGAUAUAAUUGCCUCGUGGAUAUCUCGAUGCCUGGAGGGAAGACACACAAAUAGAUGCAGCAGACUUUCAAGUGAAAAGGUAACUCCAUCACAGAGAAAAUUUGUCUCCAUACUGUCGGAAUCGCUUCGCUUUGAAGAUAAUUUUCUAAUGGCAUACUUCCAUAGUGUAGGAUGAAAAAUUGCCAGGCCUCAUGCUUUAGUCUGAUCAAUGGUCCUCCAACGAGCACUGAACCAUGCCGAAUCUUCUCUCCAUUUUCCAUUUCCAACGACUCAAGGAGGUCUGGAUCAGCGGCCAAUAUUAAUACUCUGCUUCCAUUCUCAUUAUCAGGGAGAACUUCUUCGAGAUCAUCCCAUAUCUCACGGUCAUUGAAGACGUCAUCAAGCACAAUAAAGUACUUCUUGUUUGUUAGGUAAUCUCGAAGAAUAGAUUUCUUCAAUUGAUAAUCUUCACCGAUAAUUACACUAACCCGAGCUGGAGGCAUCACAGACUUGAUUAUGCCAUCCAAUAUCUUGCCAAAAUCAUAACGUAGAGAAACCCUGACCCAAGCAUGACAGUCAAAAUAGAACUUGACAUGAUUACUGUUAUAAGUAUGUGCAGCAAAAGCAGUCUUAUCGAAGCCACUGCUGUCGAGAAUUGCAACCACUGAAAGCCCAGAUGGUCCCUCAAUCAAUAGAUCAAAAAACUUCUCUCUGCCCCUUUCAAAUUCACUGAUAUCGAGCCGAGGUUGUCCCUCACUCAAUAGGCGAAUGAUUUCGUUACGUUUUUCACUGAUAUCAAAACCAUUGUCGCCGGGUGGAAGUUGUUGCGUCCGAUUUCUAAUAUCAAUGAUUUCACUGAUAUCAAAACCAUUAGUGCUGCUUUCACUUUCGUUUUCACUGUUUUGCUGCUGCAUAAUGUUGAUGAAGAAUGUGUCAAUGGCUUCCUCAGAUUCAUGGACAAAGUGAUUGAUGUCCUUAAGAAUUUCCAGAAUGUCUGAUCUUUUAACGUCUUCUUCAUCACUUUCUUCUAAGUCCAACAGUUGCAAUAAAGGCAAAGACAUAUUGGAUUCAGCGAAUUCUUGUCUGAAUAGUUGAGACAAAAUCCGAGCCAUGUCAGCUUCAUAGUUUCCCGACAGAGUAGUAGUAAUAAUUUCAGACUCCGUAAGAAGGUUUUGAAAAAGCGGGGCUAAAUUUGUUGAAUCAGUCAACGUUAACGUGCCUUCUUCACCUGCUAACACCCUUUUCAACCUCUCACAAAAUAGUCGGAGGUGGACGUCCAGCAUAUCUCCUUCUCUCUGUAGCACCCAGAGGUAUUGUUUUUUGCUCCAAGAAAUAUUAAAAGGAUUGGUUCUAUCUCAAAGUGGUUACUGGUGUAAAAUUAAACGCCAUGGGAGAAUUUGAAGGGAAGAUGCCAAGGAACUGGCGAUGUGGCUAAAUUACACAAAUACGGCAUUAUUGCUCAUUUUUAACUCAAAAAAUUGAUACCAAGACGCUUGCCUUUUGAAAAGAAGAGGUAUCCAACCUUUAUCUUAUUUAAUUACUACCAUGACAUGAUUGAUGGUGCUUAAAUCAAUUGUUUCUUUAUUAAUUUAAAGAAUUUUUCAUUAAAAAAAUUAUUUUAAUAUCAAAUACCCUUCAAUGGCAUAACUGCCGCAGGCCCAGAAACAGGAUUAAUUAAAAUUUUUUGAAUUUUUGGGCAAGGAAAGAUUUGAAAUUCUAGUUAUGCAACCCAAGAGGGAGUGAAUUAGAAUUCUAUAAAUUAUUUAAUUUAUAAAGAAAACCUUAAUGCAAAUAUAAACCAAAUUCAAAGCAAUAACAAAUAAGGUGAUCACAAUAUAAAAAGAUAAGGGAAGAGAGAUUCAAACACAUAGAUUUUUACUUGGUUCGGCCAACCUCGCCUACGUCCGCGCCUCCAAGCUUUCCGAGCUUAAAGAUUCCACUAAGCAAGCCUCCAAGGCUUCAAAUGCUUACACUUGACUUCCAAGGUGUCAAUAACCUUUACAACAAGAGAUUAUCCCAAUCUCUUUAACCCAAGUGUAUCCCAACACUUACAAUCACUCAAAACAAAAGAUUACAAAUUUGUUUUGACUCUCACAAUAUUUAAGAUUACACAAUGAUGCCCAAUAUGUCAAUAGAUGAAGCAAGAAUGUGUUCAAAGCUCUAUGAAGAUUGUAUUCUCGAGUAUAAGCUCAAUAGUCGUGUUGUGAUCAAUCUUGUUUGAAUUUGAAUGAGCUUAUUUAUAUUUGGAGCUGAAAAACUAGCCAUUACAAACUGUCGGCCCGAAAACGGUUCGCUGUUAACCAUUAACGGUUAACCGUUUAGGCUGGUCAAAAGUUACCGUUGGGCCAAAUUUCAAAUAAACGGUUUGCCGUUUAGGAUUACCCCUUCGCCGUUAAAUUCUAGAGACCUGCAAGAUGAAUAUCAGUUAUCCGUUUACAUUAAACGGUUAAAGAUUUGCAUGAAGUGACUUCUCUGGAUAUUAUCGGUUAACCGUUUGUAAUAAAUGGUUCGCCGUAUGUUUCCAGUAACCUGCAAAACAAUUUAGCCUUAUCCGAUUUUGUUAAACGGUGCCAGAAGAGUACAACCUUCAAUUCUGGAUUUUAUCGGUUAACCGUUUAAAUAAACGGUUCACCGUUAAAUUCCAGUAGCCUUCCCAGCUUUUUGUGUUUUCCAUUUUUCUUAAUCGGUUAGAGCUUAGGCAAUAUGUUGCUCUCUGGUUUUAAUCGGUUAACCGUUUGAAAGAAAACGAUUCACCGUUUAUUUCCAGAAUCACAUUUUAAACCAGAUUUUGCAGAAAGUCAUUUUCUAAUUUGAAAGUCCAUCUUUUAUGAAUAUGAUUGGAAUGAUUAUAAGGCUUUCAUUUAUUAAGGAAUAGCUCCAACAUUUUAAUCAAAAACCAUUUAAAGUUUGUUAUCAUCAAAAUCAAUAUUAUUAACAUAUUCAUGUUAACAAUAGUAGUAUUAAACAUCAGAAAGCUAAGGUUGUUCUGUUAAUGAAUUGAUAUUGACAUAAUUUUAUUUUGGUUUCCGGGGAAAAAAAAACAUUUGUUGACAAGCAAGAAAAUAUUUUUAAAUUUUACAAUUUAUUAUACAUAUUUUAUCAUAUUACAAUAAUUUUAAUAAUAAAUAGAAACAUAAUAUUACAAUAAAUAAGUUAAAGUUUAAAUUAUUUUAAAUAUUAUAAAAAAUAAUUUUAAUAUUAUUAAUAGGAAGACAUUUUGUUAAUUUUAAAACCUUUUUAACCCAAAGGUUUAUUUAAAAGCUUUAUAAUAAACAUAAAUAUAAGAUUAAAAUAAAUAUCAUAAUUUGAAAUUUUUAGUAUUAUUUUAAAUAUUAAAAAUACUUUAAUAUUAUUAGCCUACUACAUUGAUUUUAUUAUUUAUAUUAUAUUCAUAUUGAUUAAAACUUUUUAAAGUCAAUUUUUUAGUCAGUAUAUUCAAGAGGUAUCAUAGUUAAAGAAAAGAUUUUGGUGUUAUUUUUUGAAAAUUUUAAGGUUUAAAUGAUAAUUUUUUAAAAUUUUAAGGAUGUAGGUAUUAUUUUUCCGACAAUUUAUUUUAUUUUUGAGGAAUUCGAUGAGAAAUAUCAUGAGAGAAGGUUAAUUUUACAUUCUUUACCUUUAUGAAAAAAGUGGAAACCAAGAAGUAUUCAAUUUUGUAUUUUUUGUUUGUAAUUCAAAAAAUGCAUCCACCAAACAAUCUUAUCUUGAUUUUUUCACUUUAUUCAUUUUCGAUCCUUUAAUCCAUCUAGUAUCUGCAGCCCCCGCCAUUUUUACAAAUCUCCAUCCGACAUCUACCCUAUCAAACAAAGUUGAUGGAAAUUGAACAAUUGCUUUUUGAAGUGGACCCAAUAAGUGGACAUUUUAUUAAUAUUAAACAAAGUUGACGGAAAUUGAACAAUUGCUUUCUAUGAGCCACUUAUUUUUAACAUUAGCGAUCUUAUCUGGACUACUCCAAUUAUUGAUGUAACUCCAAUGGUUGCAUCAACAGUUGAAUGUAAGAUAGUGUUAGCUCUUCUUUGAGAAUAUAGAGUGAUCUUUCUUUGUUUCUCUGUUGCGACGUGCUACUAUAAAUUUCUUUACCUUGCAGUUUAUAUAGUCUUGCUGUUAAUGAAUUCGCGGAGGCAUUAUUGAUCCAAUCUCAGUGAAGUAAUUGUGGGUGGAAAAUGAAUAAAGGGUAAGAGAACGUAGCUCAAGUGCUGAAUUGGCUAUUAAAGAAGAGUGUCACUUGAUCACAAUCACAUUGAUGCACAACUCACUCGAGGCAAAUUUCAUCUAUAUAUGUACUGCAAAUUCAGCCAAACCAUACAUGCAGGAACAAAACUAAAAUGUAGUUCUAAUCAAAACUGUAAUUAAAGCUACAAAAGGCUUGCUCAAUCCAAAAACUUAAAAGGAAGAUUUUACUCAAGUUUGUCCCCAAAAGACAGCUGAAUUGAAAAAUAUUGACUAUUGAAUCAAUGCUCAAUUACAUUUGAAAUGGAAAGCUUGGCUGCAGUUACGAUGUUUUUCCCUCUGAUUUUCUUCCAAAACAAAUUCAUUUGUAAACAAUAACGGAAGUAGCAAUAAUUUAUUCAUCAAAGAAAAUAUCCAAGUUUUCAACUAACAAAUCCUUUUGUCUAAACUAAAAAAACUUAUAUUUUUAAAAUCUAUCUACAAAAUGUUGGAAAUAAAGAGUGAUCUAUCAACUCGGUAAAUAAACUCAUACAUAAUGUUUACAAUAAUGAUAAAUUACAUAAUAAUUAUUAUAAAGAAUCAUAAAUUAGAAAAAUAUUUUAAGAUCAAAUUGCCUUCAAUGCUGAAUUACAUUUGAAAUGGAAAGCAUGGCUGCAGUUACGAUGUUUCCCCCUCUGAUUUCCUCCAAAACAAAUUCAGUUGUAAACAAUAACGGAAAUAACAAUAAUUUAUUCAUUACUCAAAUUUUUUCAACUAACAAAUCCUCUUGUCUAAACUAAAAAAACUCAUAUCUCUAAAAUCUAUCUGCAAAAUGUUGGAAAUGAGGGGUGAUCUGUCAAUUCGGUAAAUAAACUCGUGCAUAAUGUUAACAAUAAUGAUAAAUUACAUAAUAAUUAUUAUAUAGAAUCAUAAAUAAGAAAUAUUAAUCAUUUCACAAUCUAUUACGUAAGUAAGAUAAAUUUCAUAAUAAGUUAAGUUAUAAUGUAAUAAAUAUUUUCAAUAUGCUAAGAUAGGAUUGGUCCUAUCUCAAAGUAGUUAGUGGUGUAAAACUGAUGGUUGUCGAAGCCAGCAAAAAUAAAUACCUACUCUAAAUAAAUUGUGUAUAGUGAUUGAGCAGGGUCGUGUCCACAGAGAUCGGUAAUUAUUUAAAUCAUUUUAAAAUGUAAAAUGCAAAAUGGGGGAAUUGUUGACAAUAAUAAAAAUCAAAUUAAAAUAACAAGAAUGUAAAUUAAAAUUGUAAUUCAAAUUGGGGAAAAAGUAGUAUUAGACUUCAGAAAGCUAAGGUUGUUAUGUUAAAGAAUUCAUAUUGACAUAAUUUUAUUUUGGCUUUCGGGGAAAAAAAUAUUUGUUGACAAGCAAGAAAAUAUUUUUGUAUUUUACAAUUUAUUAUACAUAUUUGAUCAUAUUAAAGUAAUUUUAAUAAUAAAUAGACACAUAAUAUUACAAUAAAUAAAGUAAAGUUUAAAUUAUUUUGAAUAUUAUAAAAAAUAAUUUUACAUUUGAAAUGGAAAGAGUGGUUUUAAACACCAGAAAGCAAAGAUUAUUCUGUUAGACAAUUGUUAUUGACAUAAAAAAUAAUUUGGUUUUCAAGGAAAAAAAACAUAUUUGUUGACAAGCAUGAAAUUUUUUUUUUGUAUUUUACAAUCUGUUAUUACAUAUUUUAUCAUAUUAAAGUAAUUUUAAUAAUAAAUGUAUAUGUAUCUAGAUUGUAACUAUAUUUUAAAAAAUAUAAUUUUUUUAAUUAUUGCACAGAAAAUGUAGAAAAAUGUCUAUGAAAUAAUAUUAUUAGGACUAAGAAAAAAUAUUAUUUUAGAUAAGUUAUAUAUUUAUUAUUGAAUGAAUAAUUUAUUAAUUUAUUGAUAAAUAAAUAUUUAUUAAUUUAAAGAGAGAUUUUUUUUGGUUUUAGUAAUAGUUUGUUUGUUACAUGUACACACUUAUAAAGAAACACAAAAAGUGCUUGCUCAAGUCAAUAGUAUUUGCUUUAAUCGCUACUGUUCAUAAUAAUGUAGCUAAGUUAGGAAAUUUGUAAUUAUACUAUGGUUCUGUUUUGUAACGCCCAAAUUUCUAUUAUUUUAUUUUAUUUUUAAUGGAAUUUAUAAAUGGCGUUACUGCCCUUAUAAAAAGGGUUAUUCAUGGGAUAAUUUUUAGGAAAUGGUUAUUUUUCCAAAUUCAAUAGGGUUUCUUAAGACUCCCUAUAAAUUAAUAUUUUUUUUCCCUUCGAUACUCGAAGUCCACGACGAUUCUUCUUCUUCUCUGCUGCUCAUUAUGCUCCUACCCAAACCCUAGGAUUCAAACUUUUGCUUAGGAGAGAAUCAAAGCGAUUGGUGUUGGAGGUGAUUGAGGCUCUUAGAGGCUUAGAGGUCUGUUAAUUCAAAUUCUUUUGUCGAGAUAAGUAAUUUCAUUCCUAAUAUACUGGAUAUGUAUAAGUAUUUUGAUGUUAUUAUAAGAGUUUUUAUACUUCUUAGAAGAUUAAUAGAUUUUCAUACCAAAAUCAGUUUAUGAAAAUGUUUUCAAAUCUGAAUUCUUUUGAUAAAAUAUUUUAUAAAUGCGUUUUAAUAUGUAAAUUAUUUUAUGACAUGACUGCCUUUUAUAAUUUUGUCUAUGAAAUAUUUUUGCAAGCCUAAAUUGUUGCUAUAGACUUUCAUGAAUCUAAUACGAAUGUUUUGUGCCUAUGUAUGAUUUUAAUUAUUUAUGACUGUACGGGGGCCACCUCUUGAGACUAUAUGGGGGCCACCUCUUGAGGGCCAAAGCGCCGCAAAGUGCCACAUAUAGUGCAAAGUGCCACGUAUAAGUCAUUAUGUUUUGGCUCAUUGUCCGUAGUUAUUCUGAUUCUAAUUCUGAUUGUAUUAUACGAUAUAUUUGUUCUGGACUAGUACUAGGUUUAUGUUCUAAGUGUGCACACGAUAUUCUGAUUCUGUUUCUGGUCAGGUCACCGAGACUAUAGGUGAUACUAUGUGACAUGAGCUAACUAUCUGCUUUCUGUAUACACUUUAUACGAUUUGCUUUCAUAAUUGAUUAUUCUUUUGAUACUCUGAAUUACCAUGAAUUUAUGUUAUAUAAUUGAAAUAUGUUGUUUUAUGAAGUUUAUGAGUUAUAAUAUAUGUUUUUGAAUAAAAGAAGGCUUGCAAUAUUUUUGAUAUCGAUAGGCCUAGUGUAUUAGGAAUGAUUUUACCUACCGAGUUGACAGCCCACCCCUCGUUAUUACUUUUUGCAGAUUAAGUUCCUUUUAAGAGGUAUGCGUAGCUUUGGAGUUAGAGAUUUCGUUUCCGUUUGCUAUUUGAAUAAGAAGAGGAAUAGACUCAUGUUUCUUUUUAGUUUAUUUCUGUUAUGAACUUGUAAUUUGGAGUUUGAGACUUUUGUUAUUGUUAUGUUUUGGAAGAGAUUAUUUAGUGUUAGACGUAUUAAUUUGUGGAUUUAUUUGAAUAAGAAUUUGAGGUAUUUGAGUUUGGAAUUUAUAAGUAAGGAUUACGAUUUGUAAGUAACCUCCUUCUUCAUGUGCUCCGCACGUGUUAGAUUUGGGGUGUCAUAUGUUUCGUAUAACUUUUGAAGUAGAGCUUAUUUAAAUAGAGUAUUCGUCAAUAAAGCUUCUAUAAAUAAAGAUUUUACUAAAAAAAAUUUAGUUGUUUGGUUGUCAAUGUCCAAAUUGACGAACUUUUGUUCCUUUGCUAACAUGUAUUUGUUUUAUUUAAUAAUAGAAGUUUGGUUUACAAUUACACCACCUUCAAAUCAGCUGAGCAUUUUUGCAACCGGUCACAUUAUACAUUAUACUAAUAGCAUCGGCAAGAGUUUUCGAUUGUUGCAACUUGCAAUGGACGCGAUGGGAGAAAAUGAGAAUCUUGUUUAAUUGCAAUAUUGACAAACCUAAUCCUUUCGUAGGGAGUAAUUUAAUAAUCGCUUGUUAUAAUUGAAUAUGUAUAAAGAAAGGAAAAUUCUAUUCAUAGAUUUCGACUUAUUUUUUGUUUAAAGUAAUUAAUCAUUCAACCAUCUUCAUUUGCCUCUGGCCAAUGCCCUUGUAGAUUAGUUGAACCGUUAAUUACUUAAUUCAGAUAAUUACAGUGUCCUUUUCGCUAAUUAAUUAUGAUUAUAUACGCUUUCAUAUAGCAAGUGGCUUUGUAGAUCUAAACCAAGUUGCUAUUUCAAAACGUUAAUUAAGUGAUUCUCCUCAUUGUCAUCAGCGUUAUACGCUCUAGGAAAAUAGCUCAAUUGUUUCCCUGCAUUGAUUUUCAUUGGUACGUGAUUUCUUAUGAAAUUCUUUUGAGCUUUCCUUAUUAAAAAUGCUUGAGCUUUUAUCACCCAAUACGGAUAUCAAUUAACUUGUGAACGAUUUUGUAAUGAAACUAGGAGUUAAAUAAGAUUUUUACAUGAUGAAUUUUUAUUUUUUUAAUUUUUUGAUGUAGUCAAUUUGCUAAUUUUAUGUAUUUCAUAUUCAACGGAAUUUGGGCACGGAAAGUUUGGAUUCUAAUAUUUAUAUGUUUAGCUUUAAUCAGUUUGACUUUCGUAAUCUUUUUCCCCUCAUCAUUAAGGGAUUCAGAAUUAGAGAAACGUUAGGAAGAGGAAGAAAAUAAUUUCGGAAAUAAGUAAGAGGGAAAAAAUUAUCAAAUUAGGAAUGAUUUUUUGUAGAGUAUGUUGCGUUUACUAAAAUGAAAUCGAAAUGAGCUGGAAUCAGAAUGGAUAAAAAUGCGAAUGUGCUGGAAUAAGAAUAAGUAAUGAGAAUCAGAAUAAGUUGUUUACUUGAACUGUAAGAAUCGAAAUCGAAAUGAGCUGGAUUGCAAUUACUUUGUCCUACAAUUAGAAUCAAAAUGAGUUAGAUUGUAACAAAUUACUAAAAGGUACUUAAUGAAUUAUUGUCAUAAUUAUUAUUUUAUAUUUUAAUUAUAGUGAUUAUUUAUUCUAAAUUAUUAUUAUUAAUUAUUUUCAAUAAUAUAUUAAUAUGUUAAUUAAUUUUAAAAAUUAUUAAUUAAUUUAUUAUAAUAAUAUACUAAUUAAUUAUAAUAAUUAUAUUAAUAAUUAUUAUAAAAAUAUAUUAAUUAUUAAUAAUGAAAUUACUUAUUUAAUUAUAAUAAUAUAUUAAUUAUUGUGAUUAUUUAUUCAAAAAUUAUAAUUAUUAAUAAUUAUUGUUAAUAAUGUAUCAAUAUAUUUUAUAUUAUGAAAUUGUGAUGUAUUGUAGACAAAUAAGGGAAUUUGGUACAAUAAAUUCUUAAUAUCUUAGUACAAAGUAUGGUACAAUGAUAUUUUAACUUAUUGUAGACAGAUUAAAUUUCGACACACUUAAUCCAUAAUAAAAUUAGUGGAAAAUAAUGAUAAUUUAUACAAUUAAUCUUUUGAGCAAUAAAAAAAUAAAAGAAAAAGAAGUUACUAAAUUAUGUUUACUGUUAAGAGUGAAUCCACAAUCCUAAAUAAUUUAUUUCCAUCGUUUCACUUAAAUUAAAUAGUGUGAAUUUAAAUUCUAAUUUUUUGAUAAAUUAAAAAGAAAUAAAAAAUUAAAAUUUUUCUCUAUGGAUCGACCUCGGAUUGAUCAAUUUAUUUCAUAACAACACACUUUUAUACUUGAGAGUUAUAAAUAACUUUGAAGUUGUGUUAAGUUUUUGACGCUCUUACGGGGGAAAAAUAUUUAUUUUAUUUUAUGUAUGGGUCAAACUUGAAAGUAUAUUUUAAGAUAGCUGCUAAUAUGCUCUAUUAGACAAUGAUAACGUAGUUGUUUGUGGUGUUCAUAAUGAGUUUAAUUAUGAUUCAACAAUUUAAAAUAUGAAAACAUAUGGAAGAUGGCCGUAAUUAAAUUGAUUGCAUGAAAAUAUUUCAAUGAAAUUUUAAAAAUUUGGUACUUAUUAUCUUAUCAAAAGUUUUUUAAAUUAUAUUACUACUUCAACUUAACUCCUCCUGGAUUGAUUGUAUUGAAUUUCCAGCACCGCCAUUGCUUCUACUUGAAAGCCAUUUAAGUUUGUGUAAGCUACCUAUAGUUUGAAUAACAAUUUACUCAUGAAUUGCUGUUCAUGAUAACAAUUUGAUUGAAAGUGCGGCUGCACUAAUUGUUCUCGUACGACCCCAGAAUGCUGUUAAAUCAGUUGUAUUGGAAAUUAAUCAACUGGUUACAACUCUACACCCCAUCAAUAUUUAAGCAGUCCACAGAACAUUAAUUGUGUUUUGAAAUUUUAAUGAGUCUCACGUGUUUUUCACGUGAUAUGCAGUAAAAACAAAAUUAAAAAAAUGAAAACAUUCAGCCCCAAAGCCAAAAUCCCCAACUCCUUCCAAAUUGGUUCCGCAGCCCCCAAAUCCCUUAAACCCAAAGCACUCUAAAACGACUCUCCUCAGCCAAAAAGAAAAAGGUCACCUCACCUCUCCUCUUCUUCUUCCAUGGCGAUCAACGGCGGCACAAGCACGGGCUGAUCUCCUUCGUCAGUAACGAUCAACGGCGGUACAAGCAUGGACAGAUCUUUUUUUUGGCAAUGAUGAACAGCGGCACAAGCAGAGUCGUCCUCAGGUACGGAUUUGAUGUUGGUUGUGUUGUCAAGUAGCGAUUCAUGUUUGGAAGAGAAUCCGCUCACAAGGACCUGGAGCACUUAAUCGAAGAUCUUAAGCGAGGAAUUCGCUUCCUCCUCAUUCCUAAUCGGUGCCUGAUUCAUCAGUAUGAUUAAGGAUGAAAAUUGAGAAAGAAGGACGCAUUAGGUUUGAGACAUUGGUUGAAAAACGCUACCCCGGUGGCCACGCUGGAAACAUAUGUUCCGUGGCUUCUUGCGUUGUCUGUGAGGAAUAUGUACUGCUGUAGAAGAUAAUUAUGAAUCAAUGGUAAUUGGCGUGUUGGUUUUGGUGCCGAUUUCCUCUUAUUUUCCAGAAAAGGCUUGUAAUUUGUUCACCUCAAGAUUCAAUUUUGUUAUUGAAAAUGGAUGGCUGUAAAGACCUAUUGGCCUUUCAUUAUAUUAAUGUUUUUGACAGUAAGUUUGUAAUAGUUAGUGCAGGGAACUUAUUGAUUCUUGAUUAUAUAUAACGGUGGCCCUUAUUACUUUAAAAAAAAAAAAAAAAUUGAUGAUGGGUUUCGUUUUGUAUAAGUGUUUGGAGUGUUGGAAAAUUAACAUUGUAUAUUUUAGAUAGUUGAGUUCCAUAGUAAUAAAAAGCUACGGAUUUGUUUUCUUUUUAUUGAAAUGAAAACAUUUUUCACUUGUAUAAUAGAAAAUAUACUAUAUCUUUAAUACUUUUGUCAAAUUUAUUAUUUAAAAUUUAUAUUUACUACAUAUUAUUAAUUUUUGUUUCAUAGUCAUAGCUUUUUUUCCACAGUAGCUGUAGCUUAAAAGAUACAGCACCUCAAUUCCAAACGCACUCUAAUUAAAAAUUUUAGAAUUUUUGGGCAUGGAAUUGAAAAGAGUAGUAUUAAACAUCAGAAAGCUAAGGUUGUUCUGUUAAAGAAUUGAUAUUCACAUGAUUUUAUUUUGGUUUUUGGGGAAAAAAAAAAUUGUUGACAAGCAAGAAAUUAUUUUUAUAUUUUACAAUUUAUUAUACAUAUUUUAUCGUAUUAAAGUAAUUUUAAUAAUAAAUAGAAGCAUAAUAUUAAAUAAAGUUUAAAUUAUUUUGAAUAUUAUAAAAAAUAAUUUUAAUAUUAUUAAUAGGAAGACAUUUUGUUAAUUUUAAAAUCUUUUUAACCCAAAGGUUUAUUUAAAAUGUUUAUUAUAAAUAAAGAUAUAAAAUUAAAUAUCAUAGUGUAAAAUUUUUAAUAUUAUUUUAAGUAUUAAAAAUAUUUUAAUGUUAUUAGUCUACUACAUAGAUCAUAUUACUUAUAUUAUAUUUGCAAUGAUUAAAAAAUUUUAAAAUCAAUUUUCUAGUUACUAUAUUCGCGAAAUAUUAUGGUUAAAGAAAAGACCUUGGUGUUACUUUUUACAAAUUUGAGUGCCUGCAUGAUAAUUUUUUCAAAAUUUAAGAAUGUAUGUGUCCUUUUCUCCAAUAAUUUAUUUCACUUUUGAGGGGAAUCCAAUGAGAAAUAUGAUAAGAGAAUGUCAAUUACUUGUCAUUUUCUAUUUUUUCUGUAAGCUAUUUAUUUUGAGCACUGGUGAUCUUGUCUUGACUACUCCAAUUAUUGAUGGAACUCCAAUGGCUGCAUCCACAGUUGAAUAUAUGAUAGUGUUAGCUCUUAUUUGAGAAUUCAGAGGGAUCUUUCUAUGUUUAUCAAUUGCAAUGUGCUAGUAUAAAUUUCUUUACCUUACAGUUUAUAUAGUCUUGCUGUUAAAGAACUCACUGAGGCAUUAUUGAUUCAAUUUCAGUGGAGCAAUCGCGCGUAGAGGAUAAAUAAAGGAUAACAGAACAGAGCUGAAGUGCUAAAUUGGCUAUUAAAGAAGGGUGUCACAUGAUCACAAUCACAUUGAUGCACAACUCUCUGGAGGCAAAUUUUGUCUGUAUGUUCUCUAAAUUCAGCCAAACCAUACAUGCAUGAACAAAAAUUAAACCGUAGUUCUCACCACAACAGUAAUUGAAGCUACAAAAGCCAGCAAAUCUGAACAAAAACUUAAAAGAAAGAUCUUAUUCAAAUUUGUCCCCAAAAGAGUGCUGAGAUGGAAAAUAUUGACUAAUGAAUGGGUCAAUGCUGGAUUACAUUUCAAAUGGAAAGCUUGGCAGCAGUUACAAUGUUUCUCCCUCAGCUUUUCCUCCAAAACAAAUUCAGUUGUAAACAAUAACCGAAGUAGAGAUAAUUCAUUCAUCAAAGAAAAUACCCAAGUUUUCAACUAACAAAUCCUUUUGUCUAAACUAAAAAACUCAUAUCUCUAAAAUUUAUUUGCAAAAUGUUGGAAAUGAGGAGUGAUCCGUUAUCUCCGUAAAUAAACUCAUGCAUAAUGUUAACAAUAAUGAUACAUUACAUAAUAAUUAUUAUAAAGAAAUAUAAAUUGGAAACGCUAAUCAUUCUACAAUCUAAUAAAUAAGUAAGAUAAAUCUCGUAAUAAGUUAAGUUAUAAUGUAUAAAUGUUUUUAAUAUAUAAUUAUUUAAGAAGUCAUUUAAUAAUAAAAUAUUUAUUCUAUUCAGUUGAUCAUAUAGCGUUAUCGAAACUCUUGACGAUAUUAUUAUUACACUUUUCUCAAAAAAACAUGAUUAACAUUUAGAGAAAAGUCAUGCCUUUUAGAUAGAAUAUGUACAUAAGCUAUCCAUAUUUUAUCUUACCAUGAAAAAAUUGAUGGUGAUUAAAUCUACUUUUAAAAUAGAUUUAAUGCACAAAUAUGAUGAUUUUUGGCAAAAAUUAGUUUCGGAAGAUACAAUGGUAGAAAAUAGUGAUGAUUAUUGUUUAAAUGUGUAAAUAGCCUAGGCAUAGCCCGUAAUACCAAUAUCCAUUUACCUUCAUUUAGAUUAUCACAUCUCAUGAUAUUUUUUCAUUCACGACCAUUGUUCGAGAUUUGAACUUGAUCAUAAAUUAAGCUGCAACGGAGUUACUUAUGUUUCUAAGCUUUUCAAUCGCGAUUCCUCCAUGCCUUUCUUGGAUACCAUUUUACUGACCUUGUAAUUGGUGUGUAUAAGGAGUCAUGCCCUUUCAGGAUCGUUUUCUUUUUUUUUUUUCCUGAUUGUAGUGUCAAAUAAAUAAAGAACGAACAAUUGAACUUAGUCUAUUUCGAGGAAAACCAAGGCCUGCAAUAUUAGAUGAACUUUGAACAAAAUUAAUCUACUAUUCUACAUCCCCACCAAAAUUUAAACAGUCGACAUUGUGGAAAGAAACACAUUUCGCCACUAGGCUUUUAGUGAGGCUAAUUUCUCUGAAUUUGGACAGAGUAGGUCCUCCAACGAGAACUGAAUCAGGACGAAUCGGCUCUCCAUUUUCUAAUUCGAACGAGCAAAGGAAGCCUGAAUCUGUGACCGUUAUCAAUACUCUGCUUCUAUUCUGAUUCUCAGGAAGUACUUCUUCAAGAUCAUCCAAUACAUCGUCACCCUCUUUGUACUAAUCAUCAAGCACAAUAAAGUACUUCUUGUUUGUUAGGUAAUCUCGAAGAAUAGAUUUCUUCAAUUGAUAAUCUUCACCGAUAAUUACACUAACCCGAGAUGGAGGCAUCACAGACUUGAUUAUGUCAUCCAAUACCAUGCGAAAAUCGUAGGAUAUAGAAACCCUGACCCAAGCAUGACAGUCAAAAUAGAACUUGACGUGAUUAUUGUUGUAAGUAUCAGCAGUAAAAGCAGUCUUAUCGAAGCUAUUGAUGUCUUUCAGAAGCUCCCAAAUGUCUGUUCUUUUAACAUUUUCUAAGUGCAAGAGCUGCCGAUAACGCGAAGGUAUUUCAUCUUCAUCGAAUUGUUCUCUAAUGAGUUGAAUUAAAACUCGAGCCAUGUCAGCUUCAUAGUUUCCCAGCAGAGUAGUGGCUAUAAUUUCGGACUCCGUAAGAAGGUUUUGAAAAAGUGGAGUUAAAUUUGUUGAAUCAGGCAAAGUUAACGUGCCUUCUUCACCUGCUAACACCAGUUUCAACCUCUCACAAAAUAGUGUGAGGUUAAUUUCCAUAUCUUUCCCUCUCUCAGUAGUACUCAGAGGUACGUAUUGUUAUUUGUUAGUGUUGAUGACGAAAGCUGAAUAAUCAAAACAACAGUGUACACAAUCAACAGAAGGCGAAGUAUGUUAAGUUGAGAUCAAAGGAUAUAAAUGAAGGAAAAGUUUAAGUACUCCGUUGAAAGCCAAAGUUGCUUUGGCCAAUUAAUUUAUAAGUGAAGGAAAGAAUAAAGUUAGUCCUCGAUGUCUUUUGAAAUUAGAAAUACAUUUUGAAUGCUUUAAUAGAUGCAGAGCAAGCUGGCUCGAUGUCUAACUAUUUUAAGAGCUAAAAUCAUUUAUUAGAAGUUGUGGCAUUGAAAAAAACUGGCUUGAUAUCCAAUUUUGUUAUUUAAUGUCUCACGUGAGAGUAAAUAACUGUUGUGUUACUGGCAGAUGAUUGAGACGGACAAGUUUGGAACAUUGUUCGAGACUGAAACUACACAUCAGUCUUAGAAAAUUGUAAUUUUGUUGAAAAAUUAUAGAUUGAAAAAUUAUUGAGACGGACAAGUUUGGACCAUUGUUCGAGACUGAAACUACACAUCAGUCUUAUAAAAUUGUAAUUUUGUUGACUUAUCAUGAUUUUGAUUGCCUCCCAUUGAUUUUCCUAUGAUGUCUCUGUAGAGUGGCUAUGCUUACAUUUUUAGGUAUUUAAUUCUAAAAAUUAACUUAUUAGAUGGAAGGAUCAAUUCUACCUGUAAAUCUAAGUGGCUUCCCUUUACUAACUCAUAUAAGACACAACAAUAAUUUUCUUCGAAAAAAACCACCAUCGGAGGGCUAUUUUCGUUCAACAUACAUGAGUUGUUCCGCCACCAUAUUUUGAGGGUUUGCUUCUAAUACAACUUGGGGAAGCUAGGGGUAAGAUUUCCAAGUAUCAACAUAAAAACCUUGCCGAUUGGAUAGAAGGACCAAUCUUACUUAUAAGUCUAAAUGACUAAUUUUUGAGGACACAACUCAACAGACCAAUAUAAACUUUUGGCGUCCCAUUUUAUUACUUUUCAGUGCUUUACUUUUGCUGUCUAUAGCCCUACUAUUCUAUUAAGCAGAAAAUAUUAUCUAUUUUCUUUCCAUUUUAUGUAUACCCCGAUCUUUACCUCUGAUUGGUUGUAGAUUCUUCUGUCGCUUUGGGGUUAGGGGAUGGUUUUCAUCAAGAAAUGAUAAAGGAUUGUUAGUUGUGUGACAAACAGCAUUAAUAUGAAGGAUGAUGAUUGUUCUUUUCAAGAGUUUAUAAUGACAUAAUUCUGCUUUGGUCUUUUAAAAAAAAGUAAUUUAGAAAUGAGGAGUAUGUGAGUGAUGAUUUUUACAAAUAAAUUGCAUGCGUAGUGAUGAUUUUGACACAUGAAAAUGUAAAAAGAAAUAUAACUUGUGAAUAAUAAUCGAAGUACCCUGCUAUUGUUAUAUUGAGUAAUCAAGGACUUCGAUAUUCGGACGAUACAAGCAACACAAUCAAAUAUUAGUUGGAAGGCAUAGCAAAAUUAGAAUGUAGAACAAACUGGGUAUUGAUAAAUGGAUGGUUUUGGAAGAAUUGAAAAUGAUGGCAAAAAAAAAACAAAGUUAAGAGAAAAGAGAAAGAGCAUUUGAACUUUACUUGUAAGUAAAGGCAAAUAUCUUGGUUCAAGAAAAGAUAAGAGAUAUCAAACUAGCAAUAGGAAAAAGGAGGAAGGUUAAGACAGCAUCUUAACAAAAGCUAAAGAAAAGAAAAACUUAGUUCAAGCAAAGAACAAUGUGCUAAUGUAGUGUAAUCUUGUUUAAUUUCUUUUUCUUCUCACAUUUUCCAGGGCUUAAAUAAUACAAUGUACAUUUUCAAGCAAAGAACAACAAAUAAAUAAUACAAUAUACAUACCCAGUAAAUUAAAAAAAAUAUAUUAUUCAAGUUUGUGGACAAUACUGUAGCCAUUGCGUCGUCGAAAUCUACUGACAGCUGAAACAAAGAAAGAAUGGAUGAACGCUGGAUCACAGUUGAAAUUGAAGGUCUGGUAGGUGAUGUUUCCCUCUCUGAUUUUACCUAAACAAAUACAAGAAAAUAAGAAUCACGAAUGAAAAUCUGUUAUUACACUGUUCUUACUUAUUAAAAUACAGAGGUUUCUUUGUUUCUCUGCAGCAAUGUCCAUGGCUAUUAGAAACAAGAACAAUUAGACCAGCAUUUGCAAGAAUCUUUUAAGGUAUUACUGCAGAUAUAAAUCGACUGAGGAAAUGGAAAAAUUGAAUACCAAAUUAGGCAAGUUAACUGAAGAUUCAGUUAUCAUAGAAGAAUAAAACUCAUCCAAUUCAAUCCAUCAAAUUUCAUUAAGCAUUUCCAGAACUCUUGAUUUUCUUUCUCAGUAGCCAAACAACUUCAAUCUCAUUUUUUUUUUUCAACAAUGAGUUCUCAAACCACUCUGGUAUCAUUUUAAGACAUUCUCGGCCUUGUACUCACCAUCAAAAUGGAUUGGUUGAGAGAAAACAUAGGCAUAUUGUUGAAUUAGGUUUGACUCUGUUGGCUCAAGCUCAACUUCCUUUUAAAUUCUGGUGGGAUGCAUUCCAUACUGCCCUAUAUCACAUCAAUAGAUUACCAUCUUCUGCUUUCAAACUUUCGACCCCAUGUGAGAAGAUAUCCAAGCACAAACCUGAUUAUGAUUUUCUCAAAUGUUUUGGUUGUAUUUGUUAUCCUUACUUGAGAGACUAUAACAAACAUAAGUUUGCCUAUCAUUCCAGUAAGUGUAUAUUCAUUGGUUAUAGUCCUUCACAAAAGGAUUAUAAAUGCUUACAUUCUUCAGGUCAAGUCUAUGUGGCAUGACAUGGUAUCUUUGAUGAGUCAACCUUUCCUUAUGCUACUGAAUCUGUUUUUCAUAGUCACACAAAUUCUGAUUCUCAUUCUUCAAAUUUAUUUACUCCACAGCAUGUCUAUUAUCUUUCUACUUUACCUGUCAUACCAGUAUUUCUAAAUAACAACACUGAUAAUCUAAACUCUACAAAACUAAAAUGCCAGCUGUUUGGUGUUAGCGAUAAGAAACAACUUACCACAACCAUUAAUUAUCCAUAAUUUCAUUGUUUAUCCUCAGUUUUCUUCAUAAAUGUUACAGCGUUCUUCACAACAAAGUGCAAGGGCAUCUCAAAAGUUCUGAAAUAAUACCUCAAUUCUAUUGCAAAAAUAAAUAAUCUCAAACAAGAACCAAUAAUCAUAUUUCGUUACUGUCAAACACAAUGCAUCUGAGCAAAACAUUGGAAGCCAACACCAGAAUACAUAUGAAUAAACAAUUAAAGAUAGAGAAAAAAGGCUUAAACCUUGGGGGAAAAAAGUGAAAAAACAUGAAAGACAAAUUACACAUGUGCAGUAACCAUCGAACUUAUCAGUGACAGCUGCAUCCAUUACAUUGCUCCAACAACACAAUGGCAAACCACCAGUUUCAAAUUGAGGAUAGCUAUUGAGAAUGAGAAAGUGUCCAAAACGCCAUAAAUAGACAUGUUCCUAUUAUGCAUAAUUUACAUUAUAGGCAAAUAUUCUUAUACCAUCAAAAGCAAAACAUGACACUAUAACAAUUGACUCCCCCCCCCCCCCCCCCCCCCCCGCACACAAAAAAAAAGGAAGAAACAAUACCGAAAAGAUUGAAACAGGUAAGGCUACACUGAGCACAGGAUGCCAUGAAACAUAAUCCAGGAACCAAAUUAAUAAAGAAGGAAGGCAAACCAUUAUUUAACAAUCUGUUUUGUAUUAGGGAAAGUCCGAUAAAAUCUACUUAGGGAUAAUUAGAGAACCUCAACUAUUAAUCACACCUCAUAAAUGAACUAACAUUAACCAUGUACCAUCCCCACAUCAGACAAACAUUCUCUAUACUUCUGAACCUAAUACUUCCAUCUUCAAUUGGGGUUUUUUUCUUUUGUGGGGGGGGGGAUAAGCUAUCGUUUUUCUAAGCUUGCUUACCUUCUGUGUGGGACUGAAAUACUGAUUUCGAAUCAUUAACAGUAAAAUUGGAAGCUCAUGAAAAAACAAUUUUAUCUUUUAACAAAAGUUAAAAUUACAUCUCCAUAUAAAUUCUCUUUUCAUUUCCUUCAAUUUUCUAAUUAAGCUUAAAAAAAUGUACCUUCAACCACAAAGGGGUUUAAAAUUUAAAAUAUAUAAAAAAAUAAAUUCAGAUAACAAUAAUUAAUUUAAUUAAAAAUAUAAAUAGAGAUUACAGAGAAAGAAAAAAUAGAGAAAGACCUGAUGUUGAGAGCAUCGACGGCCGGCAGUGACCGGCGGAAGAUGGCGAGAGAUGGCGGCGUGGGCCAUUGCUUGCGCAUCAGUGAGUGUCUCGAGUGAGAGAGUGAAGGUAGGGAUGGCAAUGGGGAGGGAGGGAGGGUCCAAUCUCUCUGUACCCAUCUCCCAAUUUGUCCCCGUCCCUCCCCGUCCCCAUUUGCUUAGAAUCUGUCCCCUACUCGAAUAAUAAUUCUCGAAUAAUAACAUAAAAUGCUCGAGGUUCUCGAUUUAUGAAUAAUUAAUAUAUUUUUUAUUUUAAAUUUUAAAUUAACUAUAUUAAAAUAAAAAAUUUAAAUAAAAAUAAAAUUUGAAAUAUAUUUUAUAUUAAUAUUGAUCCAUUAUAAAAAUUACAUACAAAAUAUAAAUUAUCAAAAUAAUUAUCUUUAUCAAUCUUCAUAAUCCUACAAUAAAAAGAAAAAAAAUUUACUUUUAUAUUGAUAAUAAAAUAAAUGUAGAUAAUUAAUUAAUAUUUUUAAUAAAAUAAAAUUAAAAUAAAAUAAAAUUUUUAGGCUAAUAUAAUCUACCCGACUUUUUUAAUGUGUUAAAUAAAAAUUUAAGACUUUAAUUAGUUAAUUAGGCCUAAAAGCUUAAUAAUAUAAAUAUUUUGAUAUUUAUUAUUUUUACUAAUAUUUAUAAUUUUAUAAUAUAUUCAAUUUUUAUUAUUUAUUUACUAGUAAUUUUAAAAAAUAAAAAUAAAAUUAAAAAAUAAAAUGGGGGAAAUGGGGAGGGGAUGGGGAUUCCACCUCAUCCCCGUCCCUUCCUUGUAGGGAUGGCAAAAGUUCGGGUCGGGUCGGGUCUGGGGCUGCCUGGAACUGACCCGGAUUUCACACAUAGCUGCCCGGACCCGGACCGUGCCCGGAUUUUUUCUAUGCGGGCCGGGUAUAUGGCUGGCACUAUCCGGGCACAGGUUUUUUUUGGGUUUUCUCUACCCACAUUUUCAAAACUGGCUAAAAAAAAAUUGAUAGAAAAGGCUAAAUAAGUAAACAAAAUUGCAAUUGGGCCUGGAAAUUCAUAACUUAUCCCUGAAUUAUAUAUAUAUAUAUAUAACUUCUAAUUCUUUGUUGAUACAAGUUUUUUCUAAUUCAUUAUAAAAUCACAUUAUAUAUAUUAUUUCCUCAUCAGAUAAUAAGUGACAAUUGCUCACCAGUUUAUUAACAUCUCUACGAAACCGUCUUUUAUGGCAUUAUUAUUAUUAUUGUUGUGGCUGAAACCAUGUAGUAUGUGAUUGAAGAAAUUGCAUUAAAUGUUGGAGUGGAGGUGAUGUAGGUGAGAAAGGAUUCCCUGGAGACUGUUAAACAAGACACAAGGCAUUUCCGGAAGAAAACAGAAGACAACUGGAUAAGACAAAACGGACAAAAGGGUAAGAGAGGUGGGUGGGAAAUUAAGAUAGGCAAUUUGUCCAGCAGAAACAUAAUAAUACCUCGUGGUCGUGGGUCGUGGCUGUGUUGGUGAAGUUGCAGCUGAACAAGAACAGUUGAUGCUGUCGCGUGGUGGCUGCCGUUGAGAAGAUGACCAAACGAUGAAGAGCUCUGUGACGGGAUGGUUGUGCUUUGCGAGGAGAAAUAGAGUUGACUGAGGAAGGUAAGAGGUUCGUGGAGGGAAAGGUGCGGACAACACUGCAUCAGUGCCGGUGGGUGGUGGAGAGACGGAGAGAGGUGCCGCCGAUUUGGAGAUUUCAGGGUGGGUGCUGACUGCUGCAGUGCUGCGUUGUUCUGCAAGUUGCAAUCGCGAUUUAGGGUUCAGUACCAGUUUUGGGGGCAAUUGGGCAAAGUAAAUUUUAUUUUCGCUUUUAUAUUUUCUUUUUUUUUACUUAAUAAAAAACCGGGCAUUGAAAAUCAAUGUCCGGAUCCGCUUUUUCCAUUCAUGUGGUCCGGGUAAAACCCGAACCGCACACGCCGGGUCUGGGCCGGAUCCGGUCCGGGUGGGUUUUUCUGCCACCUCUACUUCCUCGAAUAAGAAAUUUGGUAAAAAAAAUUUCCCGUCCCUUCCUCGAAUAAAAAAUCGGGUAUAAAAUUAUCUCUGUAUCCUCCCCGAAUGAGAAAAAUCCCCGAAGAUACCCAUACCUGUGGGGAUUUUUACCAUCCUUGAGUGAAGGGUUUUGUUUAGGGUUUUGGGAAAUGAAAAAUGUAAAUGUUUGAUUUUGUUGCUAGAAACUUCUUCUGCCGCUGCUUUUUAUUUUCGCUAUAAAAAUAAUAAUUUGUUAAUCAAAUAUUUUCUUAAAAAAGAUAAAUUUCUAGAACAAAAUUUAUAUUAAAUCAAAUUGUAAAAAUGUGGAAUAGGGCUAAUUUCUCCUUAAUAUUAUUAUUAGUAGAAGUAGAUUGUCGAACUAGUCUUGAUAUAUUUUAGAGUUGUAUUAUAGAUGUAUACGUAUCUAGAUUGUAAUUAUAUUUUAAAAAAUAUAAUUUUUUUUAAUUAUUGCACAAUAAAUGUAGAAAAUAUCUAUAAAAUAAUAUUAUUAGAACUAUGAUACAGCACCUCAAUUCCACAGUAGCUUAAUAUUAUUAGAACUAUGAUACAGCACCUCAAUUCCAAACGCACUCUAAUUAAAAAAUUUAGAAUUCUUGGGCAUGGAAAGAGUAGUAUUAAACAUCAGAAAGCUAAGGUUGUUCUGUAAAAGAACUGAUAUUGACAUUAUUUUAUUUUGGUUUUCGGGGAAAAAAAUAUUUGUUGACAAGCAAGAAAAUAUUUUUAUAUUUUACAAUUUAUUAUACAUAUUUUAUCAUAUUAAAGUAAUUUUAAUAAUAAAUAGAAACAUAAUAUUACAAUAAAUAAAUUAAAGUUUAAAUUAUUUUGAAUAUUAUAAAAAAUAAUUUUAAUAUUAUUAAUAGGAAGACUUUUGUUAAUUGUAAAAUCUUUUUAAUCCAAAGAUUUGUUUAAAAUUCUUAUAAUAAAUACAAAUAUAAAAUUAAAUAUCAAAAUUUAAAUUUUUUAAUAUUAUUUAAAUUUUAAAAAUACUUUAAUGUUAUUAGUCUUCUACAUAAAUUAUAUUAUUUAUAUUAUAUUUGUAUUGAUUAAAAUCUUUUAAAGUCGAUCUUCUAGUUAUUAUAUGCAAAAGGUAUUAUCAUGUUACAAUUUUUUGAAAUUUUAGGGAUGUAGGUUACGAUGAUUUAUUUCACUUUUGACAAAAUCCAAUGAGAAAUAUGAUAAGAGAAAGUCAAUUUAAUGUUCUCGACCUUUAUGAAAAAAAGUAAAAACUAAGAAUUAUUCAAUUUUAUAUUUUUUGCAUCCACCAAAUAAGUUUUGCACAUUUAUGUUAUCAUAAAACGAAAAAAAGGGUUUACCAAAAAAUGGUACCAAGCAUACCUUUAAUGUCCCACGUGAUUUCUUAUUAAGCCCAAUAUUAGAUAUAUUUAUACAUUUUACUGCAUUAAGUAUUUUAAUUAUAAAAGAAGUUGGUCCUUCCUCUAGUUACAAAAGAUAACUUUAUUUCAAGACUACCACUAAAUUCUUACGUAGAAUUAGUGCAAGGCCAAGAGAGAGUAACACAAUUUUACUUUUCCAUUACCAUUUUGAAAAUAGAAAGAUAUGGAUCCGUGUAUUUAAGAGUUAUUGUAAAAAUCAUACAAUUCAAUUUCCUGACGUGUAUUAUGUAUAUUUAGGCACAUUUGCCAAAAGCAUAAAUAGAUAGAAAGUAAAUUUACAAUCCACCCUUACUCACAAUUAUUGAAGUGAAGAUGCAUUACAACUGUCACUACUUUAACUUUAUUUAUUUAUUUGUUUUAAAUAAAAGUGUGAGAGAGACGGUGAACAUCAUGGACGAUAACAAAGGUUAAAGCCUAAAGGUGACCCAUUUUCUUUUUAAAGUGCUCUGCUGAAAGCCUAACUUCCUUUGGAUCCGCCGAAGUGGCCGAAGUGGUGGGCUGCUGCCCUCACAAGCAUUGUGAGGGCAGCGGUUCUAGCCCCCACAAAAGCAUUGUGGGGGUUAAAUGUUCUUUAUAUUUAAAAAUUUUUCUCCCUUGCGAAAUACAAGUGGAGUAUGGACAUCCCUCUCCUGUGAGGGGUUAUUUGUUUGGGCAUGUACUUCAUAGAAUUUAAUGUAAUAAUGUAAGUCCCAAUAAUGUAUAUCUGAUUGUAAAUAUCAGUAUAAUAUCUCUGCUACAAUAGCAAUUAUUGUAAAUAUUUGUGUAAUACAGUAAUCUGAUGAUUAAUCAGUAUUCAAAAAAAAAAAAACUUCAUUUGGAUCCGCCUAAGUUACUGCUUUGUAAAAUUUUAUAAAGCCCCUUAUACUCUAUAUUAUUUAUAAUUUGUUCAUAAAUAUUAUAAAACUUUCUGCAUUAUAUAAUUUUAUUGAGCCCCUUGUACUAUAUUUUAUUUCAUUGAAACCCUUAAAGUACCAAUUCGCCCUCUAUAAUUUUAAAUUACUAAAAUACCCUCCAUUUAAUUAAAAAUAUAAUGAUUAUUAAAUGAUUAUAAUUAUCUGGAGUACAAAUUCAGUAAUAAACAAUAACUAAAGUAUUAACAAUUUAUUCAUCAAAUAAAAUACUCGAGAUUUCAGCCGACAAAUCCUCUUGUCUAAACUAAAAAACUCAUAUCCCUAAAAUCUAUUUGUGAAAUGUUAGAGAUGAGUGGUGAUUUGUCAACUGGGUAAAUAAAUUUAUGCAUAAUGUUUCCGGUAUUGAUAAAUUACAUAAUAAUUAUUACAAAGAAAUCAUAAAUUGGAAACAUUAAUCAUUUUACAAUAUGUUACAUAAGUAAGAUAAAUCUCAUAGUAAGUUAAGUUAUAACGUAAUAAAUAUUUUCAACAUAUACUUAUUUAAGAAGUCAUUUAACAAUAAUAUUUUUUAUAUUUCAGUUGAUCAUGUCAUAUAGCGUUAUCUAAACUCUUGGCCAUAUUAUUAUUACUCAAUUUUCUCCCAAAAAAAAAAAAAAAAAAACAAAAACAAACAUGAUUAAUGAUUAGAGAAAAGUCAUGCCUUUUAGAAAGAAUACGUAUACAAGCUAUCCAUACUUUAUCUUACCAUGAUGGUGAUUAAAUAUAUUUUUAAAAUAGAUUUAAUGCACAAAUAUGAUGACUUUUGGCAAAAAUUAGUUUCGGAAGAUAUAGUGGUAGAAAAUAGUGAUGAUUAUUGUUUAAAUGUGUAAAUAGUCUAAGCAUAGCCCGUAAUACCAAUAUUCAUUUGCACCUUCAUUUGGAUUAUCAUAUUUUAUGAUGUUCUUUCAUUCAUAACCAUUGUUCAAAAUUUGGAUUUGAUCAUAAAACAAAACUAAAAAAUAUUAGAGAUACUAACAAUUGAGUCCCAUUUUAAGUCCCAAUACAAUGUGUUAUUUCUCAAUGUUGUGUCAUUCAUUAAUUAAGUGAUGAAUUUCAGAAUUAAUAAUUAGUUCAGACUUUAAUUAAGAUUUAAAUGUUAGAAUAUCUAGCAUCAUUCAAUCACAAUAAACAAAAUUCAAAUUGAAACGGCAAUAUUGUAUUUUCUUUAAUUAAUUUUGAUGCUGAAGCAAAUAUUUUGCUUGGGUUUUUCACUUCUUGAUUUUGAUUGGAAAAGUUUCUGAGACGAAGUAUUUUGGAUAAUUUUUUCGGGAUUGAAACCACAACUUGGUAGAGGAAAUUAGUUGGAGUAGUGAUGGCUUUGUCUUCAUUUUUGGUUCCUUUUGUGUCGGCAGCCCCUUACUAUUCUCUUGACCCUGAGUUUGAGAUAGAAAUUUAUCAACCUCCAACCCCACAUCCACAAACAAGUUGAUUGAAACAAUUGCUCUUUUAAUUAAGAGGACCCAAAUGAUUUAGGUUUCAGUUCUUAUCAUUUGUCUAUUAUUUAUUUGAAACAUUUAUUUUGAGCGUUACUGAUCUUAAUUAUCUGUAUUUCUCCAAUUAUUGAAGCAUUUCAAGUGGCCACUUUUUCUCCUUUUUAUAUAUGUUUAUUUUUUGGAGUGAUCAAACGGGGGCAAAAUCAAGUAUUCGCUGGUCUGUAGUUUAGCCAACGAUGGCUGAUCCACACAGUUGAUUAUAUGAUACUAUUAGCUCUCAAAAUCUUUCUUAUUUGAGAAUACAAGUUGCCCAAUAGAGUUGAACUAUGUUACCCAACUCCAUGCUCAUACAUUAAAUGUUUAGGUAGUUUUACAAAAUGAUAGCAGCAUGCCAAAACUUGUUGUUGUCAUUUUCGACAUUUCAAAUUGAAAAAUAUGCAAGCAAUCUUCAGUGAACAUUACGUUUUUAUUGAAUAAUUUAAAUGGCCAGUAAAUCAACAGUCCGUGAGUUUUAAAUCUAUUAUGACUUAAUGUAUCUUUCUGUAUUCGUACACAGGUUAUAUUAUCAUAGUUUAAAAUUUUAAUAUUAUUUUAAAUGUUAAAAAUACUUUAAUGCUAUUAGUCUACUACACAUGUUAUAUUAUUUAUAUUAUAUUUGUAUUAAUUAAAACUUUUAAUGUAAAUUUUCUAAUUACUAUAUUGAAAAGGUAUUAUGGUUAAGAAAAAGUUUUGGCAUUUCUUCUUGAAAAUUUGAGGGUCUGCAUGACAAUUUUUCCAAAUUCUAAGGGUAUAGGUUUGAAAAUUUAAUGUUCUUUAACUUAAUGAAACAAAAGGGGGAAACCAAGAACUAUUCAAUUUUGUAUUUUUUGUUUGUAAUUCAAAAAAUGCAUCCACCAAACCAGUUUUACGCAUUAAUGCUGUCAUAAAACAAAAAACAGUUUGCCAAAAAAUGGUACCAAACAUAUCCUUAAUGUCUCACAUGAUUUCUUAGUAAGCCCAUAUUAGAUAUAUUUAUACAUUUUAGGUAUUUUAGUUAUAAAAGAAGUUGGUCCUCCCCCUAUUUAUAAAAGAUAACUUUGUUUCGAUAUUACCACUAAACUCUUACAUAGAAUUAGUGUAAUGUUAAGAGAGAGUAAAACGGUUUUCCAUUACCAUCUUUGAAAAUAGAAAGAUAUGGAUGCGUGCAUUUAAGAGUCAUCGUGAAAAUCAUACAAUUCAAUUUCCUGACAAGAAGUUGGUCCUCCCCCCCUUUUUUUUUUUUUUUCAAUUACAGUGUGAUGGAGACAUUAAGGAUGAGCAUAAUAGUUAAAGAUGACUCAUUUCUCAUUUUCUUUUUAAAGUGCUCUGCUGAAAGCCAAACUUCCUUUGGCUAAUUAAUUUAGAAGUAAAGCAGAGAAUAAAGUCCUAGAUGCCUUCUGAAAUUAGAAAUACAUUUUAUAUGCUUUAAUUAUGAUUAUUUGGUAGACUAAAGACCUAAAAGAUAUGUCAAAAGUAUAAAACAGAGCGAUUAAAGAAAAAAGAAAAAAAAAACAGAGCAUUUGUGACGUAGAACAAUUGGUAAAUAAAUCCUAAAUAUUUGAGUUGUUAAAAGCAAAUAUAACAGAGACAGUAAGAGAGAUGCUGAAACAGAAAACUAUUAGCUUAUCUUGAUUUUCCCACUAUAUUCAUUUUCGAUGCUUUUCAAACGAGAUUCUUUUAAUUCUUCUGGUGUCUCUUAUAGAUCUCCAUCCCACAUCUGCACUACGAACAAGUUGAUUAAAAUUAAAUACUGUUGGAGAUGUGGGGUGAGCGGUCAACUUGGUAAAAAAACUAUGUGUAAUAUUGUUAAUAAUAUAAAAUAUAUAAUAAUAAUUACAAAGAAUCAUAAAUUAGAAAAAUUAUUUAUUUUACAAUCUAUUUCUUAAGUAAGAUAAAUCUCGUAAUAAGUUAAGUUAUAAUGUAAAAAAUAUUUUCAAUUUAUAAUCAUUUAAGGAGUCAUUUAACAAUAAAAUCUUUCUUUUUUUGAUCAAUUGGUCAUGGUACAGAGCAUCAUCUAUAUUCAUGGUGAUAUUAUUAUUACUCCGUAUUCUCAAAAAACACGAUUUAACAUUUAGAGAAAGUUCCUACCUUUUAAAAAGAACAUGUAUGCAACAACUACCCAUACUUUAUCUUACCACGACAAAACUAAUAGUGACUAAAUCAAUUUUCUCGAAUAAAGCAAAAUUUCUUAAAAUUAAUUUAAUAUACAAAUAUGAUGACUUUUUGCAAAAAUUAGUUUUGGAAAAUUAGUGACAGAAAAUAGUAAUGAUUAUUGUUUAGAUGUGUAAAUAGCCUAAACAUGAUCCCUAAUACCAAUAUCCACGUGCAUCUUAACACCUUUCGUCAUAUUCUUUCAUUCAUGGUCACUGGUUCAAGAUUUGAAUUUGAUCAUUAAAUAUGUUCAAUAAUAUUAGAGAUCCCAACAAUUGAGUACCAACUUAAAUCCCAAUGCUAUGUGUCAUUAACAAAUGUUGUGUCAUUUAUAAUUAUUGAAUGAAUAAUUCGUUAAUUUAUUGAUAAAUGAAAAUUUAUUAAUUUAAAGAGAGAUAUUUUUUUUUUUGGGUUUUAAGAAGAGUUUUGUUGGUACAUGUACAUACUUAUAAAGAAAUAAACUUGUAAUUAUACUAUAUCUUUCUUUCUUUAUUCAGUUUGGUGGGAUAUUGUGAUAAAUCAUUGGAUUAAAAUGCAUUUCUAAAUUAAAACUUGUUAAAAUCUAAUUUAUUUGGGAAGCGCAUAUUAUUUGUCAGUCGUACUUCUCAAGUCUCAACUUAGCAAGUUAUUUCUAACUUGUCAGUCUCUAUUGGUUCUCUAAAGCUAAUAGUCUCGAAUCUCCCGCAUUUGAUAUCUUGCCAUUAUUGUUGGCAUUAACAUGUUACCUGAGAUUGGGAUUCAUUAAAAUCCUCAAUGUAAUCGGUGGAACGAAUGGAUUUCUUCUGUUCACCAAUCCACCAAAAUUUCUGUAAUUAAAUUCAAGAGUCAAGAUCUAUGCUUAUAAUCUAUUCUAACAGCUAAUAUUCUAUUUUAUAUUUACUUAAAUAUGAAGAGCUAUGCUUGUCAUUAACUUCAAAUGUGAUCGAAGCAGCCUUACAUCUGUAUAUUACUUAUUCCCAACCUUUUUUUUUUGACUUCAUAUACUUUAUUUUCAUGUUAUUUACUCUUUUUUUCCCCUUUCUGACAAUUGAGGUAGGGGGUCAAACUUGAAAGUAUCUUAAAAUCAGACAAAUUUUUUUUUUUUUAAGAUAGCUGCUAAUAUGCUCUAUUAGACAAUGACAAGUAAUAACCUAGUUGUUUGCAUUAGAAAUGAUAUUUUUUGUGGUGCUGAUAAAGAGGUUGAUUAUGAUUCAACAAUUUAAAAUAUGAAAACAUGUGGAAGACGGCCGCAAUUAAAUUGAUUGUAUGAAAAUAUUUCAAUGAAAUUUUAAAAAUUUAGUACUUGUUAUCUUAUCGAGAGUUUUUUUAAAUUAUAUUACUACUUGAACUUGGCUGCUUUUGUAUUGAAUUCCCAGCGUUGCCAUUGCUUCUACUCAAAAGCCAUUUAAGUUUGUGUAAGCUACCUAUAGUUUGAACAACAAUUUACUCAUGAAUUGUUGUUCAUAAUAGCAAUUUGAUUGAAAGUGCGGCUGCACUAAUUUUCUAGAUGAAUUUUUUCCUACAUGCUUGUUCUCGUAUGACCCAAAAUCCUGCUACAUCAGUUGUAUUAGAAAUUAAUACUGGGUUACAAUUAUGCAUCCCCACCAAUAUUUCUUGAGGAAAGAAACUCAUAUCGCCCCUAGGCUUUUAAUGAGGCUCAUUUUUAUGAAUCUGGAUGGCAUUAGAUAUCUCUCCGAAUAUUGGUGGGAGUAUAUCGCAGAUCAAUGGGCUAUACUACAAAGUGUAUGUACGUUGACUCUCAAUAAAUACAAACGAUUCUCUGAUAUGAUUCAAAACAUCAGUGCACGCAUCAUUUUAACGAGAGAGAAUAUUCUAAGAACGAAAUUGAAGGUGCAAUCAGCAACUAAAAUGAAGCCAGAAAUGUACACGCAUGAGGAAGUUUUCCUAGAAGAUUGAUAUUUCUUUAACUAGCAAACAAUACAAGUCCAAAGCUAACCAAACCAUACCUGCAAGUCCGGGGCUUAAAUGGAGUACUUGUAAGCAUAAAACAUUAAUCAAAACACAGUAUAGACACACACACACACCCCUACAUACAUACCAGCAAAUUCGAAAUAGAAAAAGGAGUGCAACUAUUCAAGUUUGUUGACAAUAUUGCAACCAUGGCAUAUUAAAGCAAAUCCUUAAAAUCAGCUAAACGAAACAAUGCCCUGUCUCAUGAAUCGAUGCUCAACUAAAAAUUGAAAUUGAAAGUCCGGCUGGUGUUGUUAUUAGAUAGAUAUAACAAGAUCUUUCUUUGACAGUUCUUAUUAGAUAGAUAUAAAAAGAUCUGCUUUGACAGUUCUUAUUAGAUAGAUAUAAAAAGAUCUUUCUUUGUUUCUCUGCUGUAAUUUGUGGCUAUCCCACUCUGUUUUGCCAGUCAAGCUGAGUCUACGUUGAGACAUAAUUUUGACAUCAGAAGCGGCCUCAAUUAGUUUGGCAUUUUUAUAACCUCCUUGAAGGUUUUACGAUAAACAUAAAUCUACUGACAAAGUGGGCAAAAAGAAAAUGCAUGUAAAAGUAUGAGUUAUCAAAUAAGAUUAAAACUCACCCAAUUCAAUCCAUCAGAUUCCGUAAGGAUACAACUGGAUGUCAUACCGCCACUCCAUAUUCUCGAAAGUCCGUAGUCCUUGUCUCAACUGUGUCUGGGGCCAGUGUAAGUCCAUUUUUGCGCAAGCUCUUUAUGCACCACAGCUCUUCUGGAAGCUUUCUCAAGUAAGCACACGGGUUGACAAUUAAGCAUUCAAGUUUCGGCAUUGCUCCAGCCCCCAUCGUCCACUCAUCUAGCCAAUACAUUGACUUCAGGUGCAAAACCUUAAGUUCGGGAAAGCUACUCAAGCCAACACAAGCAAGCUUUCUUCCUAAAUACGAGUUCUGCUUCAGUUUCAGCACUCGAAGGCGUGGAAGAUUUUCCAGAAUUGGCAUGGGAUCCUCCAUUAGCUCAGUAUUUGAUAAGCUCAGUUGGAUCAGACUUGGGGGAAAUUGGUAUUCAGACAGGACCAUCCGUGAGGGCUUGCUCUCAUUCACCAGCUUCAAGCAUUCAAGUUUGUGGAGUUCGCAUAGGCUUUUGGAAACCCCUGAAUGAUAGCAACUCAAAUCUCCAGAUAUCCGAAGAGUUUGAACAUUAGGUAGUCUGCCCAAUAUAUCAGGAGUACAACUACUGGGGUUUAAAGUUGAUAUGAAAAUGAGAUUUUUCAGGGAGCUAGAAUAAUUUUUUGGAGGUGCGGGCAGAGUGAUAGAACCAAAGUUUAGAUGCAUGAGUUUUUGCAUCUUCCAAAUAUCCUCUGGUGACUGAUCUAUGUAGCUAGAUGGCAUUUCUAGUGUUUGAAGGUUUAAAAGGGUGCAUAGCAGUGAAGGAAGGCAUUUGAGCGAAGGGAUAUUCAAUUUCAAAUACUUCAAAAGGAAUAAAUUUUCUAAUCCGGGUGGAUAUUGGUCCAGGACUGCAGAACCCAAGUUCAGUACCCGAAGGUAUUUGAACCUUUUAAAAAAAUUCUCGCAAUCUUUCGGAUUAAGAUGAUAUCUUUUUGGACUGUGAUUGAGAAAAGAUUGGAGAUACAUGUCAGAAUGUUCUAAAGAAAGGAACUCAAUCAAAUCAUCGACAAUGAAGCACCGUUUAACAUUUGCGGGUGGUUCCUCUUCCACGUCAUGCAUCCAGACAAAUCCCGUCUUCUUUGCCACCACAAACAAUGAAGUGUAGUAUACAAUACUUGGAAAAUAACACGAUUUAAUUGUGCCUCCGGCCCUUCUUUUACUCACUUGAAUGAAGCCGCGAUGGAUUAGUUCUUUCAAGUAAUGUUCGGCAGUUUCUUCACUGUUGUAUGGUAUGAAACCUUCAGCUACCCACAAAUGAUAUAAUUGCCUCGUGGAUAUCUCAAUGCCUGGAGGGAAGACACACAAAUAGAUGCAGCAGAUUUUCAAGUGAAAAGGUAACUCCAACACAGAACAAAUUCCAAUGAAAAUUGUCGGAAUCGUUUCGCCUUGAACAUAAUUUUCUAAUGGCAUACUUCCAUAGUGUAGGAUGAAAAAUUGCCAGGCUUCAUGCUUUAAUCUGAUCAAUGGUCCUCCAAUGAGCACCGAAUCAAGCCGAAUCUUCUCUCCAUUUUCCAUUUCAAGCGACGCAAGGAGGUCUGGAUCAGUGACUGUUAUCAAUACUCUGCUUCCAUUCUGAUUAUCAGGAAGAACUUCUUCAAGAUCAUCCCAUAUGUCAAUGUUAUCGCAGACAUCAUCAAGCACAAUAAAGUACUUCUUGUUUGUUAGGUAAUCUCAAAGAAUAGAUUCCUUGAAUUGAUAAUCUUCACCGAUAAUUACACUAACCCGAGAUGGAGGCAUCACAGACUUGAUUAUGUCAUCCAAUAUCUUGCCCAAAUCGUAGAAUACAGAAACCCUGACCCAAGCAAGACAGUCAAAAUAGAACCUGACAUGAUUAUUGUUGUAAGUAUCUGCAGCAAAAGCAGUCCUAUCGAAGCCACUGCUGUCGAGAAUUGCAACCACUGCAAGCCCAGAUGGUCCCUCAAUCAAUAGAUCAAACAACUUCUCUCUGCCCCUUUCAAAUUCACUGAUAUCGAGCCGAGGUUGUCCCUCAUUCAAUAGGCGAAUGAUUUCGUUACUUUUUUCACUGAUAUCAAAACCAUUGUCGCCGGGCGGAAGUUGUUGCAUCCGAUUUCUAAUAUCAAUGAUUUCACUGUGGACAUGAAGAGCCAUAUUAGUGCUGCUUUCACUUUCGUUUUCACUGUUUUGCUGCUGCAUUAUGUUGAUGAAGAAUCUGUCAAUGGCUUCCUCAGAUUCAUGGACAAAGUCAUUGAUGUGCACCAGAAUUUCCAAAAUAUCUGGUCUUUUAACGUCUUCUUCAUCGCUUUCUUCUAAGUCCAACAGUUGCAAAAAAGGAAAAGAUAUUUCGAAGUCAUCGAAUUCUUCUAGAAUGAGUUGAAACAAAUGCCGAGCCAUGUCAGCUUCAUAGUUUCCCAGAAGAGUAGCAGCAAUAAUUUCGGACUCCGUAAGAAGGUUUUGAAAAAGUGGGGUUAAAUUUGUUGAAUCUGGCAGCGGCAACGUGCCUUCUUCACCUGCUAACACCCUUUUCAACCUCUCACAAAUCAGUCGGAGGUGGAAUUCCAGCAUUUCUCCUUCUCUCCGUAGCACUCAAUUAGAAUUAUCUUCGAAUUCUAAUUUAAUUGACUAAGUAGUUAUAGCUAUUCUAUUGAUUAGGUCUAGCUAUUAUAUUCUAAAUGAUUAAUUGAGAGGUAUAGUUGAAAGAUUAAACACCAUGGAAGAAUUUGAAAGGAAAAUGCCAAGAAACUGUGUAAGUGGCUAAAUUCCACAAAUAUGACAUUAUUGCUCAUUUUUUAACUCAAAAAAAGGGUACGCAUUCAUUUAGAGAAAAGUCCAAGACGCGUGCUUUUUAAAAAGAACAGGUAUCCAACCUCUAUCUUAUUAAAUUACAACCAUGACAUAAUUGAUGGUGCUUAAAUCAAUUGUUUCUUUUUUAAUUUAAAGAAUUUUUCAUUAAAAAAAUAUUUUAAUAUCAAAUUGCCUUCAGUGGCGUAACUGCCUCAGGCCCAGUAACAGGACUAAUUAAAAAUUUUACAAUUUUUGGGCAUGGAAAUAGUAGUAUUAAACAUUAGAAAGGUAAGGUUGUUCUGUUAAAGAAUUGAUAUUGACAUAAUUUUAUUUUGGUUUUCGUGGAAAAAAAAUUUGUUGACAAGUAAGAAAAUAUUUUUAUUUUUUAAAAUUUAUUAUGCAUAUUUUAUCAUAUUAAAGUAAUUUUAAUAAUAAAUAGAAACAUAAUAUUACAAUAAAUAAAUUAUAGUUUAAAUUAUUUUGAAUAUUAUAAAAAAUAAUGUUAAUAUUAUUAAUAGGAAGACAUUUUGUUAAUUUUAAAAUCUUUUUAAUCCAAAGGUUUAUUUAAAAUCUCUAUAAUAAAUACAAAUAUAAGAUUAAAAUAAAAAUCAUAAUUUCAAAAUUUUAAUAUUAUUUUAAAUGUUAAAUAUACUUUAAUGUUAUUAGCCUACUACGUAGAUUUUAUUAUUUAUAUUAUAUUCGUAUUGAUUAAAAUUUUUUAAAGUCAAUUUUUUAGUUAGUACAUUCAAGAGGUAUCAUAGUUAAAGAAAAGAUUUUGGUGCAACUGUUUUAAAAUUUCAGGGUAUAAAUGAUAAUUUUUUUUAAAAUUUUAAGGAAGUAGGUAUUAUUUUUCCGACAAUUUAUUUUAUUUUGAGGGAAAUCCGAUGAGAAAUAUCAUCAGAGAACAUUAAUUUAACAUUCUUUACCUUUAUGAAAAAAGUGGAAACCAAGAACUAUUCAAAUUUUUUUUUUUUGUGUAAUUCAAAAAAUGCAUCCACCAAACAAGCUUAUCAUAAUUUUCCCACUUUAUUCAUUUUCGAUGCUUUUCAAAAGAGGUUCCUUUAAUCCAUCUAGCAUCUGCAGCCCCCACUAUUUUACAAAUCUCCAUCCCACAUCUACACUAUCAAAAAAGUUGAUGGAAAUUGAACCCAUUAAGUUAUGUUCAUUACUGGUCAUUAUCUUUCUAUGAGCCACUUAUUUUGAGCAUUAGCGAUCUUCUAAGGAAUCAUGCCUUUUCAGGAUCGUUUUCUUUCAUUUCCUUAUUGUAGUAGUUAAUUAAAUAAAGAACGAACAAGUGAACUUUGUCUAUUUCGAGGAAGAACUAGGUUUCCAACACUAGAGGAACUUUGAAGAAAAUUAAUUGGAAGCCUUUAUUCAUCUUUGAAGAAAAUUACGUGCCAAUGUAACCAAGGCUUUUAUUCAUCUUCGGACUAUGAAUUUAUACAAAAACAUUAACAGAAAAUAACAAAGACACAGCUAAAUGAUAGCAACAAGUGUUGAUUUAGUGGACCACUUCUACAAGUAAAUAAAAACUAAAUAUUUAUUUAAGGAGGGCUUUUGUUAGUAGAGUUUUUAUAAAUAGAAAUUUAACAAAAAAAAAUUAUAGUUAUUUAGUUGUCAAUGUCCAAAUUGAUGAAUUAUUGUUCUUUUUGUUAACAUGUGUUUGUUUUACUUAAUAAUAAAAGUUUAGUUUACAAUUACACCGGUGUCAAAUCAGCAGAGCAUUUUUGCAGCCAGUCACAUUAUACAUUAUAUACUAAUAGCAUCGGCAAGAGUUUUCGAUUGUUGCAACUUGCAAUGCACGCGAUGCGAGAAAAUGAGAAUCUUGUUUAAUUGCAAUAAUGACAAACCUAAUCCUUUCAUUAGGAGUAAAUUAAUAAUCGUUUGUUAUUAUUGAAUAUGUAUAAAGAAAGGACAAUUCUAUUCAUAGAUUCGACUUAUUUUUUGUUUAAAGUAAUUAAUCAUUCAACCAUCUUCAUUUGCCUCUGGCCAAUGCCCUUGUAGAUUAGUUGAAGCGUUUAUUACUUAAUUCAGAUAAUUACAACGUCCUUUUCGCUAAUUAAUUAUGAUUAUGAACAUUUUCAUAUAGCAAGUGGCAUUGUAGAUCUAAACUACGUUGCUAUUUCAAUACGUUAAUUAAGUGAUUCUCCUCAUUGUCAUCAACGUUAUAAACAGGAAUUGUGCAAACAGUACACAAUGCUGCAGCAAGGCGUGGGUGGCUAGAGUUUUGCAACCACCCUUGAGAUCCUGUGCUGCCAGUAGUAAAAGAAUUUUACGCCAAUUUGGUAAGCCCUGGUCAGCACAACAUUUGGGUAAGAAACUCACUUGUUCCAUUAGACUCUCGAGUUAUAAAUGUUUUUUAUAAUUUACCUGCUGAAAUUAAUUGUGAGUAUGCCAAGUUGCUUGACAAAUUGACCCCGCAACAAUGGAACACAAUUUUCACGACACUUACGGUAGAGGGUGCAUCGUGGGCUAAUGAGGAGGGGCAUGUAAUUAACAAGAUAGAUUUAAAACCCAUUGCUAAGGUGUGGGUGAAAUUUCUAAAAUCCAGGCUUAUGCCAACCACCCACACCACUACUGUUUCACAGGAAAGGUUGGUGCUGUUAUAUGCUAUUGUUAGAGGGCUUCCCAUAGAUGUGGGAAGCAUUAUCGAAAAAGAAAUUCGAGAUUGUGCCAUGAAAAACCACAAGGCUGCUGCCUUGUUAUUUCUUUCACUCAUAACCAGCAUAUGUGUAGUAUCAGGUGUUCGUCUUGAUGCAAAGGAUGAAAUUUGUAAUUAUAUUAUGGCUCCAUUUGGUAUAACUUUUUAAUUCGAACUUAUUUAAGGAGAAUUUUUAUUAGUAGAGUUUUUAUAAAUAGAGAUUUUACUAAAAAACAAAAAUUAUAGUUAUUUAGUUGUCAAUGUCCAAAUUGAUGAACUAUUGUUCUUUUUGUUAACAUGUGUUUGCCAGUCACAUUAUACAUUUUUGCAACUUGCAAUGCAAGCGAUGAGAGAAAAUGAGAAUCUUGUUUAAUUGUCAAUAAUGACAAACCUAAUCGUUUCAUUAGGAGUAAUUUCAUAAUCGUUUGUUAUAAUUGAAUAUGUAUAAAGAAAGGAAAAUUCUAUUCGUAGAUUCGACUUAUUUUUUGUUUAAGGUAAUUAAUCAUUCAACCAUCUUCAUUUGCCCCUGGCCACUGCCCUUGUAGAUUAGUUGAAGCGUUAAUUGCUUAAUUCAGAUAAUUACAACGUCCUUUUCGCUAAUUAAUUAUGAUUAUAUACGUUUUCAUAUAGCAAGUGGCAUUGUAGAUCUAAAUUAUGUUGCUAUUUCAAUACGUUAAUUAAGUGAUUCUCCUCAUUGUCAUCAAGUGGAAAAUAGCUCAAUUGUUUCCCUGCAUCGAUUUUCAUUGGUAAGUGAUUUCUUAUGAUAUUCGUUUGAGCUUUCCUUAUUAAAAAAGCUUGAGCCUUGAUCACCUAAUACUGAUAUCAAUUAACUUGUGAACGAUUUUGUAAUGAAAUUAGGAGUUAAAUAUAUAAGAUUUUUACGUGAUGAAUUUUGAUUUUUUUAAUUUUUUGAUGUAGUCAAUUUGCUAAUUUUAUAUAUUUCAUAUUCAACGGAAUUUGGGCACGGAAAGUUUGGAUUCUAAUAUUUAUAUAUUUAGCUUUAAUCAGCUUGACUUUAGCAAUCUUUUUCCCUCAUCAUUAAGGGAUUCAGAAUUAGAGAAACGCUAGGAAGAGGAAGAAAAUAACUUUGGAAGUAAGUAAGAGGGAAAAAAUUAUGAAAUUUGGAAUUAUUUUUUGUAAAGUAUGUUGCGUUUACUAAACUGGAAUUAGAAUGAGCUGAAAUCAGAAUGAAUAGGAAUGCGAAUGUGCUGAAAUCGGAAUAGGUAAUGAGAAUAAGAAUAAGUUGUUUACUUGAACUGUAAAAAUCAAAAUCGGAAUGAGCUGAAUUGCAAUUACUUUGUCUUGGAAUCGGAAUCGGAAUCGGAAUGAGUUAGAUUAUAACAAAUUACUGAAAAGUACUUAAUGAAUUAUUGUCAUAAUUAUUAUUUUAUAUUUUAAUUAUAGUGAUUAUUUAUUCAAAAAUUAUUAUUAUUAAUUAUUUCCAAUAAUAUAUUAAUAUGUUAAUUAAUUUUAAAAAUUAUUAAUUAAUUUAUUAUAAUAAUAUACUAAUUAAUUAUAAUUAUUAUUAUAAAAAUAUAUUAAUAAUAAAAUUACUAAUUUAAUUGUAAUAAUAUAUGAAUUAAUUAUAAUAAUUAUUAUAAUAGUAUAUGAAUUAAUUAUAAUAAUUAUUAUAAUAGUAUAUUAAUUAAUAAUAAUAAUAAAAAUAUAUUAAUUAUGUGAUUAUUUAUUCAAAAAAUAUUAUUAUUAAUAAUUAUUGUUAAUAAUGUAUCAAUAUACUAAUUAAUUAUAAUAAUUAUUAUAAAAAUAUAUUAAUUAUUAAUAAUAAAAUUACUAAUUUAAUAAUAAUAAUAAAAAUAUAUUAAUUAUGUGAUUAUUUAUUCAAAAAUUAUAAUUAUUAAUAAUUAUUGUUAAUAAUGUAUCAAUAUAUUACUUAAUUAUAAUAUAUUAAUUAAUUAUAAUAAUAUAUUAAUUAAGUAUAAAUGAGGACAAAGUGGGUAUUUUUAAUUUCACGAAGGGGCAAAAUGGUCAAUUCUAGUAAUGGGAGACUCACUCCCACCCUCUCCUUUGGGAAUGAGUCUCCCAUUCCUCAUUCCCAAAUUGUGGUGGGCCCCAUGAUUUUGACUCCGAUUUCUAACUCAAUUUUGCGAAGUAAACGCUACCAAUGAUUCCGAUUUCGGAUUCUGAUUCACUUAUCUGAGAAGUAAAAGCAACAUAAAUGUGUAUGAAUAAUUGAUACCUAUGAAUAGUUUUGGGAGUUUUAGCUAGGAGUCAUCUAUUGAAGAUGUUUAGCAAUUGAAGAUCUCUGUCUCAGUAGUUUUCCCAAUCAAAAUCAAGAAGCAAAAAAACUUGCCAUUUUUCUACUUGAUAAUUAAUUGAAAUUUAAGAAAAUACAAUGGCAUUUCAAUUAGAAUUGGUAAUUGUUUAUCUUUUUUCAUUGAUCAAAUUCUAAUCGUGAUCCAAUAGUUAUGGAUGAAGGAAAUAUUAUGAGAGGCGAUAGGCCAAGUGAAGACGUACCAGCAAAUUCAAAAUAGUCGGGAGGUGGACGUCCAGCAUAUCUCCUUCUCUCUGUAGCACCCAGAUGCAUUGUUAUUUGCUCCAAGAAAUGUUAAAAGGAUUGGCCCUAUCUCAAUGUGGUUAGUGGCAAGGGCGGAGACAGCAUAUUAAUUGACUGUGGGCUUACUCAACUGCGAUAAAAAAAAUUUAAAAAAUAAUAAAUAAUAAAUUUAAAAGAUUUAUCAUACUUCAAUAUAUGUUUAUAAUUAUCCUUUACGAGUUUUCAUACAUUGAUAACGUUGUAUUACAACUUCAUUAUCAAUAUUAUUGUGGGCUGUUUAAAAAUUUGAUUAAUAUUAAUAUUUAUAGGCUUGAUUUUAUUUUGUAAAGCCCAUCUCUUUUUAUUUGUUUUAAAAACUUAGAGUGUGAGAAUUUAAGUAUAAUUAUGUAUUAGGAACUUGAAUAUAAAUUAGUGGGGGCUUAGGAAAAAUUUAUUAGAAAUUUUUGGCAAAUCAAAUUAGUUAGUAAAAGAUUUUUUUUUUUUUUUUCAGUGGGGACUUAAGUCCCCACUGGUCCCAAGCUAGAUCCGCCACUGGUUAGUGGUGAAAAAUUAAACACCAUGGAAGGAUUUGCAAGGAAUAUGCCAAGAAACUGGCUAAGUUCCACAAAUAUGGCAUUAUUGCUCUUUUUUUUUUAAAGAAAAAUUAUACACGUUAAUUUAGCAAAAAGUCUAAGACACGUGCCUUUUGAAAAGAAUAGCUAUUACCAUGACACAAUCGAUGCGGCUGAAACCAAAAUUUUCUUUUCUUAAUGUAAAGUUUUUUUUUUAAAUAGAUUUUAAUAUCAAAAUGCCCUUCGAUGUUAUUACUCUCACAAGCCCUGUAACAGGAGUAAUAAAAAAGUUUAGAAUUUUUGGGCAUGAAAAAAGUAGUAUUAAACAUCAGCAAGCAAAGGUUGUUCUGUUAAAGAAUUGAUAUUGACGUGAUUUUAUUUUGGUUAUCGAGAAAAAAAUAUAUUUGUUGACAAGUAAGAAAAUAUUAUUAUAUUUUACAAUCUAUUAUACAUAUUUUAUUAUAUUAAAUAAUACUAAAUAGAAACAUAAAAUUAGAAUAAAAUAAAUUAAAAUUAAAAUUAAAAUUAUUUUGAAUAUUAUGUAAAAAAUAAUGUUAAUAUCAUUGUUACUUGUAAAAUAUAUUUAGCCUAAAGAUUUAUUUAAAAUUUUAUAAUGAAUAAAAAUAUAAAAAUAAAUUAAAUAUCAUAGUUUAAAAUCUUAAUAUUAUUUUAAAUAUUAAAAAUACUUUAAUGUAUCUUAAUAUUAUUUUAAAUAUUAAAAAUACGUUAAUGUUAUUAUUCUACUACACAUGUUAUAUUAUUUAUAUUAUAUUUGUAUUAAUUAAAAAUUUUAAAGUCAACUUUCUAGUAACUAUAUUCAAAGGUAUUAUGGUUAAAUAAAGGUCUUAGUGUUUCUUUUUCAAAAUUUGAGGGUCUACAUGAUAAUUUUUCCAAACCCUAAGGUAUAGGAGUCCUUUUUGUCAAUAAUUUAUUUCACUUUUGAGAGAAUACGAUGAGAAAUAAGAUCAGAGAAAUGUCAAUUUAAUGUUCUCUAGCUUAAUGAAAAAAAAAUGGAAACCAAGAACUAUUCAAUUUUGUAUUUUUUGUUUGUAAUUCAAAAAAUCCAUCCGCCAAACAAGAUUCACGCAUUUAUGUUGUCAUAAAAUGAAAAAACAGUUUGUGAAAAAAUGGCACCAAACAUACCCUUAAUGUCCCACAUGAUUUCUUAUGAAGCCCAUAUUAGAUAUAUUUAUACAUUUUACUGCAUUUAGGACAUGUUUGAUAGCCUGCAUUAUAUAGGAUAAAAACAUAAUUUUGUAUUAAAUUAAUGCACACUCACGUUUGGCGCUAAAAGUAACUCCAGCCGCAUUGCAUUAAUGGGCUGCUACUGCGGCAAUUGCCGCACUAGCUUGCCUCUUUUUCUUUUUAAUUUUAUUUAUAAUAAUAAUAAUAAUAAUAAUAAUAAUAACAUAAUAUAACUUUUAUUUUAAUAUAAUAUUAAGUAUAAUUUUUAUUUUUACAUUAUAAUUAUUGAUAUAAAUUAAUAAAUUUAUUAUUUAUUAUUCAAUAAUAUUAUAUUAUUAUUUUUUUAUUUUUACAUUAUAAUUUAUUAGUAAAUUUAUAAUUUAAUAUAAUUAAUGAUAAUAGAAAAUAUCAUUACAUGUACUACAAAACUCUUACUUGGAUUAUUUAACACAAUUUAUUUUAUUCGUGAAUAUGUUAUAACAAUUGUAUCACUUUAUUGUUUUGUUAUUAUUUUGUGGUAUGUAUAAAUUUUUAUUCUAUUAUUCAAAGAUGACUUUUGAACUAAUCUUAUAGGUUUUAACUAUUUAUUUAUGUUGUUAUAUUAUUAGAGAUUAUUUGAUUAAAUUAUUUGCUUCGAUCUUUAUUUUACAGGUCAUAUAUUUAGAAAUUACUGAAAAAUAAAUGUUCUACUUCCAAAAAAUUUAAGGCUAUAAGCUCGAUCUUUAUGAAUAAUUGUGAUAUUUUUUAACAUUUACACUAAAAAAAUUGUUAAAUUUCUAAAAUUUAAGACUUCUAUAUUUAGUAUUUUUCCAAUUACUAAUAAGUAUUAUUUUCUAAAUAUAUAAUUUAAAUUAAUCACAAAAAAUUAAUACAGUACAGUGCAAUAUCAAAUAUAAUAUAAUUAAAAAUUAUACAGUACAAUGUAGCACCAAAUAUUGUACAAUAUUAUUAUAAAAUAGUACUGAUGCAAUACAAUAUAAUACAAUAUAGUGUGCCAAACGCACCCUUAGAGUGUGUUUGGAACAUGGGAUUAUAGGGUAUUAAAACACUGUUCACAUUAGCUUAAUACCAAUAUCAUGUUUGGAAAGAAAUUUUAAGGGAUUAAAGGGGGGUGAGCUAAUGCCAUAACUGCGCCAUUAGUGUCUUGGUUUUUUUUUAAAUAAUAAUAAAAAAUAUAAAUUCCUAAUUUUAUGUAAUAUUAUAUAAUAUUAAUUUUUAUUUUCUUUGAUCUUUACAUUAUAGUAAUUAAUAUAAGUUAAUAAAUUUAUAAUUUAUUAUUCAUAUUUUAAUUUUUAUUAUAUUAAAAAUAUAACUAAAUAAUUUAAUUUUAAUUAUAUAAUAAUUAAUGUAUAAAAUUGAUUAAUAUUUAAUAAGUUAAUACAACUAGUAAUAAGUGCUUAAAUAAUAUAUAAAAAUAAAAAUAUAACAUAAUAUUACAUUAUUUAAUUAUAUUACAAUAACUAAUAUAUAAAAAUUGAUUAUUAUUUAACAAUUUAAUAUAGCUAAUAAUAGAUACUUAAAUAAUAAUUUAAUAUAACUAAUAAUGAAUAUUGAUAUAUGAAUAUAUUUAAAUAAUAUUAAUACCAAUAUAUAUAAUAAUAUAAAAUAUUAUUACAUGUACUGUAGUAUUCUUACUUGGAUUAUUUAGCGCAAUUUAUUUUAUUAGUGAAUAUGUUACAACUAUUGUAUCACUUUAUUAUUUAAAUUAAUCAAAAAAAUUAAUACAGUACAAGAUAGCACUAAACAUUGUAUAACAUUAUUAAAAUACAGUGUUAAUGCAAUACAAUAUAAGACAAUACAUCUAUAUUAAAAUAAAAUAAAAUAAUUUAAUUUAAUAUAAUACAGUAUGUCAAACGCACCUCGUAUAUUUUAAUUUCAAAAGAAGUUGGUCCUUCCGUUAUUUAUAAAAGAUAACUUUAUUUUCAGAUUACCACUAAACUCUGAAGUAGAAUUGGUGUAAUGUUAAGAGAGAGUAACACAGUUUUCCAUUACCAUCUUUGAAAAUAGAAAGAUAUGGAUCAGUGUAUUUAAGAGUUAUCGUGAAAAUCAUACAGUUCAAUUCCCUGACACAUAUAUUUAUGAGCAUAUGCCAAAAGAAUAAAUAGAUAGAAAGUAAAUUUACAAUCCUCACUUCCUCACAAUUGUUAAAAUGAAGAUGCAUUACAACUGUGAACUGUCACUAUUUUAGCCUUUUUUAUUUUUUACUUUUAGUUAUAGUGCGAUGGAGACAGUGAACAUCAAGGAUGAGAAUAAAAGUUAAAGAUGACCCACCCACUUUCUUUUUAAAGUGCUCUGCUCAAAGACAAACUUCCUCUGGCUAAUUAAUUUAGAUGUGAAGAGAGAAUAAAGUCCUAGAUGCCUUCUGAAAUUAGAAAUACAUUUUAUAUGCUUUAAUUAUGAUUAUUUGGUAGACUAUAGACCUAAAAGACAUGUUAGAUUAUAAAACAGUGCGAUUAAAAAAAAAAGAGUAUUUGUGACGUCAAAUAACAAUUGGUAACUAAAAUCCAAAAUAUUUGAGUUGUUAAAAGCAAAUAAAAAAAAAGAAGGUAAGAGUGAUGCAGAAACACAAUAUUAGCUUAUCUUGAUUUUCCCACUUUAUUCAUUCUCGAUGCUUUUCAAAACAAAUUCUUCUAAUCUUUCUGGUGUCUGCAGCCCCUUGUCACGGGACGAGAGGUUUCGAGCCCGUGCGGUACUCUCGCAUCCCAUACUGCGAGAGUAAACCUAGUGGAAGUGGCACAAUAUCGACUGGUUUCACCCUGUCUUGGGCUCAUCAGGAGAACGGCUCCAGUUCCCAACCAGUGUGUGAAGAGCUUCGCCUAAACCCCUCUUCAACGUUAAGUCCUUGACUAGCGACAAGCUCCCCAAACUCAACCAGGUUGGCCUGCCUGAACUCCAAGAAAUCUAGGAUCAUUGUAUUCCCCACACGACGCCCCUGAAGCACGUCUCCUACAAUCAGCACAACCCUUAUCGAUACCAGCGUACAAACGCAUAUCUUCGGCGUCACAAUUGCAGUCCGUGACACCCUGCUCUUGUUAUAAAACUCCACCCCAAAUCUACACUACAAACAAGUUGAUUGAAAUUAAACAAUUGCUUUUUGAAGUGGACCCAUUGAGUCGUGGUCAUUACUCGUCAUUGUCUAUUUUUUCUAUGAGCCAUUUAUUUUGAGCAAUAGUGAGCUUCUCUGAACUACUCCAAUUAUUGAUGUAACUCCAGUGGCUGCAUCCAUAGUUGAAUAUAUGACAGUAUUAGCUCUUAUUUGAGAAUAUAGGGGGAUCUUUCUUUGUUUCUUUGUUGCAGUGUUCUAGUUUAUAGUCUUGCUGUUAAUGAAUUCACUGAGGCAUUAUUAAUUUAAUUUCAGUGAAGUAAUUAUGGAUGAAAAAUAAAUAAAGGAUAACAGAAUAGAGCUGAAGUGCUGAAUCGGCUAUUAAAGAAAGUGUCACGUGAUCACAAUCACACUGAUGCACAACUCUCUCUAUGUACUCCAAAUUCAGCCAAACCAUACAUGCCUCAACAAAAUUAAACCGUAGUUCUCAUCACUACAGUAAAUGAAGCCCACAAAGACAGCUGAAAUGGAAAAUAUUGACUAUUGAAUGGAUCAAUGCUGAAUUACACUUGAAAUGGGAAGCUUGGCUGCGGUUACGAUGUUUCCCCCUCUGAUUUUUCUCCAAAACAAAUUCCGUUGUAAAUAAUAUUCAAUGUAGCAACACUUUAUUCAGCAAAGAAAAUACCUAAUUUUUCAACUAACAAAUUCUCUUGUCUAAACUAAAAAAACUCACAUCUCUCCAAUCUAUCUACAAAAUAUUGGAGAUGAGAGGUGAUUUGUCAACUCGAUAAAUAAAUUCAUGCAUAAUGUUACCAAUAAUGAUAAAUUACUUAAUAAUUCUUAUAAAGAAUCAUAAAUAAGGAACAUUAACCAUUUUACAGUCUAUUACAUAAGUAAGAUUAAUCUUAUAAUAAGUUAACUUAUAACGUAAUAAAUAUUUCAAUUCAUAAUUAUUUAAGAAGUCACUUAACAAUAAAAUAUUUUUUUAUUUAAUUGAUCAUGUCAUAUAACGUUAUCUAAACUCCUGACGAUAUUAUUAUUACUCACUUUUCUCAAAAAAACAUGACUAACGUUUAGAGAAAAGUCAUGCCUUUUAGAUAGAUAGAAUAUGAUUACAAGCUAUCCAUACUUUAUCUUACCAUGACAAAAUUGAUGGUGAUUAAAUCUAUUUUUAAAAUAGAUUUAAUGCACAAACAUGAUGACUUUUGCCAAAAAUUAGUUUCAGAAGAUAACUAAAUUAAGUUGCAAAGGAGCUUACUUCAAUUUCUAAGCUUUUCAAUCAUGAUUCCUCCAUGCCUUCCUCUGAUACCAUUUUGUUACGUGCCAACGUAAUUGACCUUGUAAUUGGUUUGUAUAAGGAAUGAAGCCCUUUCAAGAUCGUUUCUUUUGUGUCCAUAUUGUAGUAGACUAGUAGUCAAGUAAAUAAAGAGUGAAUAACUGAAUUUGGUCUAUUUCGAAGAAGACUAUGGCCUCCACACUACAAGAAAAUAGGCGAUAGAUAACGGGAAAUAACCGUCAUAAAAGGUGGUGUAUGACAGACAGUUUAUUCGUCAUCUAUGUCACUGUCAUUAAUUUAUGACAGAAUAUUUUCCGUCAUGAAUUCUUGAUGUUAUUUUACAAUCAUAUAUCCAUCACACAAUAUUUUAAUGAGAAAAAAUAAUUAAAUAAAAUUUGAAUUUAUUAAAAUUUUUGCUCUAUUUUUUAAUUUUUUGGCGGAAAAUUAAAUUGUCAUUUGUAAAUUUCUUAUUCAAUUUUGGUGGAAAAUUUUUUUAUGACAGACUUUAUGAUGUGUAUUUCCCAUCAUAAAGUUAAUUUUUUUAAAUUAUAUUGUGAUUAUAGUUUAUUUCUGAAUUCCUGUUUACAAAUUUAAUUAAUUAAUAAAAAAUGAAUAUUGUCAAAAAAUAAAAAAAUAAUAGUAACUAAAAUCCAUUCAAUCCAACAAAUUAAUUUCAAAAUAAAUACAUCUAAUAUUCAAUGUCAUUACCACUAAUACAUAAUAAAACAUCCCAAAUUAAAAAAAAGAAUGUCAAAAUAUAAAACAAUAGUUAAAUUCCAAUUAAAUUCCAAGAAAUGUAAUUCAAAUUCCGGACACCGAGCCAAGCUCCCCAGCAAAACUUCCAAAGAUUAAUGGAAAUAUUCCAAUAGCAAGACUUCCAGAAGCAAUACCCUCUUCCAGUGGCAAUACAUUGACUAAUCUUUGAAGCCAUGACUCCUCAAGCCAAUGCCAAAAAUGUGUGCAAAAUUAAUGCUCUAUCCACAAAAAUUUCAGUCUAUAUUGGUAAGAAGAAACAUGAAGAAACAAUUACCUCAGCAUCAUCGUCAUUGGAAGCCAAAUCAGCUGUAAAGACCACAAAAUGUUUGGUUAGAACUAGUGGAAGUCUUACUCUAAAACUUUUAAUUUUUGAAUUUCGAAAGAUCUAGUAAUGACAAAGAUUCUCAUAUCCAGUGACCAAGUUUUGAAAAUUAGAAUACGGAAUAACGUCAACUAAAUUCACUAAUAUAGGGUGCAUUUGAGAUUGAGGUUGGACAGCUGUAGCUUAAAAGCUACAGUAGUAAAGUGUUUGGUAAACACUAGUUGCUGUAAUUUAAAAACUAUGUUGAUAUGAUUUUUCACUUGUAUAAUGGAGAAUCUAUUUUUUUAAAUAAUUAUGUCAAAAUUAUUAUUUAAAAUUUAUAUUUACUACAUAUUAUUAAUUUUUGUUUCAUAGUCACAGUUUUUUUUCCACAGCAGUUGUAAAGCUACAUCACCUCAAUCCCAAACGCACCCUAAGCUAGAGGAAUCCCUAGUUGAUAUAGCACACAUGCACACAUGAUAUGCAUGCAUCAGAAUACACAAUAAUAAAUUAUCUCAAAGUCAAUAAGAAGCCAAAACUAGAGAUAAACCUUUAGCCACUAUAAGGAAGACUGAUAUUUGCAGUGUGAUUACAAUAAACAAACAGAAACUUCACUACCCAUAAGUAAAGCAAAAUAAAUAAAGGAUAAUAACUAACCAAGAAAUGGAAAAGCUCACAUUCUCUGAACACGCACCCCAAAAAGAAAGAAAGAAAUAAAUGUUCCCAUUGGAUCUGAAGCACAAGCAAUCCACUGACAUCCUUCUAUAAUUAGGUAAUUUAAAGGGGUUAAGCUCACAUCUUUUACGGAAGCAACAAGAGAAUUAACAACAUUCCAGAGGAUUUAGGGAAAAACCACGAGGCAAGAAAAAAGAAAGAUCCUUCUUCAAUCUAGAUAUCUUGACACUGCUCACCAUCUACAGCAGUCUGGGGCUUAAAAAGCAUGAUCUCUCCCCCCCUCUGGCACCAUUUUCUCUCAUGUGAAUCUGUCAUUGCCCGUAGAAACAAACCAGAACUGCAUAAAUUCUCUUAUCUUCCAGCAGCUUCUUUUCUCCAGAAAUAGGCACAACUAUUUGACAUGGAAACAAUUUAUCUAACAUGGCCACCUUUAAAGACAAAGACAUACUAAGGACAUGGUUUUAGAUACGGAUACAAGAAACAAUCACAAAAUGUAAAAUCUAUACAUAUGAUAUUAAUUUCCAAUGGAUACAGCACUUCAUUCUUUGACUUAACUUCAUUAGAUUACUAGGUUUGAUUAGGUUAUACACACAUUUAUUCAUUUAUGGUUUUCAACCUAUAAUCUACAUGCACUUAGAAUGAGAGGUACCUAUAAAAACAAGUUACCAGAAAACAAUACAGCUAGAAAACAUUAAAACAUUAAUCUAAGCAGUUCUAUAGGUUUAACUAACUGCAGGAAAAAACCGUUGAUUUUGUCCGUCGGAUUAUUGAGAUCCUAAUUCUGGUAAAAAGAAAAUGAGAUAAUAGAAAAUCAAAAAUUAAAUAGACACAAAAUGAGAAAUCAAGAUCAUACGGCAACUAAUAUAUAGCAUGGGCUGCAGCUAACAAGCAAUAUAAGCCAUGAUAUUAUGCCAGAUACAAAAUUUUGAGAUCCAAGAGAGAUCAAGAAGCAUGAAUAUUGAAAGAAGUGAGUGCAGAAGGAUAAGAAAUCAGGUUGAUAUUCUUCAUACUUUGGGUCAACACGUAGUGAUGCAAUAAACUUGUAAUUAGCUUCAAGUGUAUAGGCUACCAUGUCAACAUUUCCGAAAACACACAAGAUUGUGCUGGAUUCAUAUAUAGUACAUAUAUAAAAAAACAAUCUGCUUCUAAACUUCAUGAGAACAUCGAAUAAUGAACUUACAAUUUGAUCCCUCAUCAUCUUCAUCGCACCAUUUGUUCCAAUCAACCUUAAUGUAAGGUGCUGGUUUCUCUUCUGACUUGAGUAGCCUUUUCCACCAACCUUUCUCUUCUUUUUGCACCGAGCAUAUUAUGUUCCUUAAGCCAACUUUAGUCUUACAUUUCUGCACCACCAGCAACAAAAUUCAAAGCAUUACAAAAGAGGUAUAUUUAGCCGCUCUUGACUCGAGUGAGAGAACAGGAUAAACAGCCUAGGUAUAUCCACAUCCAUGUUAUGAGAUUAAUUAUGCAACAACUAACUUUAAUAUAAAGUUUGUGCUCCAACAAAGACUAAAAUGUUUGUAAUUGUUAUGCUUCCGGAGCUAAAAUGUUUCGCAAACACUCACUUUUACUCUGCAGCUAAUAUCUAGCACCCAGCCACACAAAGUCCGUAGUCUUUGUCUCAACUUUGUCUGAGGCCAAUGUAAAUCCAAUUUGCACAAGCUCUCUAUGCACCACAGCUCUUCUGGAAGCUUUCUCAAGUACGCACAAGGGUUGACAAUUAAGCUUUCAAGUUUUGGUAUUGCUCCAGCCCCCAUCGUCCACUCAUCUAGCCAAUACAUUGAUUUCAGGCGCAAAACCUUAAGUUCCGGAAAGCCACCCGAGCAAGCACAGGCCAGCUUUCUUCCUAAAUACAAGCUCUGCUUCAGUUUCAGCACUUGAAGGCGUGGAAGCUUUUUGAUAAGGAAAGGGAGCCACGGAGGUCAACAAAGGUUCAUAAGCCUAACUACAGAUACGAGGGCUUUGUUUGAACAUUCGUAAGUCUCAUGCAGCCAUGCAUGCGGUCAUGCAUGUUGCAUGCAAUACCAUGCAAGACUUAUUUACGCAUGGAUUAAAGAGUAGUCUGUUUCUAGUUUUUUAUUUAAGAUUGCUCAGUUAUUUAAAUUGAUUUUAGCCGUGAAUUGUGGCUACAAAUCCUUAGUAGUGUUUGUAUUAACUACUAUAAAUAAGCUCCAGCAAUUAAUAAAAGGAUUAUGCAAAAAAUUAUCUCAAAGUACUAUUCUUGGUCGUUUUCACCGUAAGUAGAACAACGUAAACUUAGCUAUUGUUGAACGUUUUUGAUUGGGACCUAUCACUUUUCCAGCCUUGGCAUGGGAUCCUCCAUUAGCUCAGUAUUUGAUAAGCUCAGUUGGGUCAGACUUGGAGGAAAUUGGUAUUCAGACAGGACCGUCCGUGAGAGCUUGCUUUCAUUCACCAGCUUCAAGCAUUCAAGUUUCUCUAGUUCGCAUAGGCUUUUGGAAAUCCCAGAUUGAUAGUAACUCAAAUCUCCAGACACUCUAAGAGUUUGAAGAUUAGGUAGUCUGCCCAAUAUAGCUGGAGUGCAACUACUAGGGUGUAAGGCUGAUAUGAAAAUGAGAUUUUUCAGAGAGCUGGAAUAAUUUUUUGGAGGCGCAGGCAGAGUGAUGCAACCGAAGUUUAAAUGCACGAGUUUUCGCAUCAUCCAAAUAUCCUCUGGUGAAUGAUCUAUGUAGCUUGAUGGCAUUUCUAGUGUUUGAAGGUUUAAAAGAGUGCAUAGCAGUGAAGGAAGGCAUUUGAGCGAGGGGAUAUUCAAUUUCAAAUACUUCAAAUGGAAAAAGUUUCUAAUCCGGGCGGAUAUUGGUCGAGAAUUGCAGAACCCAAGUUCAAUACCCCAAGGUGUUUGAACGUUUGACGAAAAUUCUCGCAAUCUAUCAGAGCGAGAUGAUCGCUUUCUGAACUGUGAUUCAGAAAAGAUUGGAGAUAGAUGUCAGGAUGUUCUAAAGAUAAAAACUGAAUCAGAUGUUCCAAAAUGAAGCACCGUUUAACAUUUGCCAGUGGUUCCUUUUCCCUUUCAUGCAUGCAGACAAAUUCCGUCUGCGCUGCCACCAAAAACAAUGGAGUACAUAAAAAACUUGGAACAUAACACGCUUUAAUUGUGCCUCCGGCUCUUCUCUUACUCACUUGAAUGAAGCCGCAAUAGAUUAGUUCUUUCAAAUAAUGCUCGGCAGUUUCUUCACUGUUGUAUGGUAUGAAACCUUCAGCUACCCACAAAUGAUAUAAUUGCCUCGUAGAUAUUUCAAUACUUGGACGAAAGACACACAAAUAGAUGCAGCAGACUUUCAAGUGAAAAGGUAACUCCAUCAAAGAAUAACUGUGUCUCUAAAUUGUCGGAAUCGCUACGCCUUGAACAUAAUUUUCUAAUGGCAUACUUCCAUAGUGUAGGAUGAAAAAUUGCCAGGCUUUAUGCUUUAAUCUGAUCAAUGGUCCUCCACUGAGCACUGAAUCAAACCGAAUCAUCUCUCCGUUUUCCAUGUCCAACAGCGUAAGGGGGCAUGGAUCAGUGACCAAUAUCAAUACUCUGCUUCCAUUCUGAUUGUCAGGAAGAACUUGUUCAAGAUCAUCCAAUACAUCGUCACUCUCUUCACAGUAAUCAUCAAGCACAAUAAAGUACUUCUUGUUUGUUAGGAAAUCUCGAAGAAUAGAUUUCUUCAAUUGAUAAUGUUCACCGAUAAUUACACUAACCCGAGAUGGAGGCAUCACAGACUUGAUUAUGUCAUCCAAUAUCUUGCCAAAAUCGUAGAGUACAGAAAUCCUGACCCAAGCAAGGCAGUCAGAGAAUUGCAACCACUGCAAGCCGAGGAUGUCCUUCAAUCAAUAAAUCAAACAACUCCUCUCUACCACUUUCAAAUUCGUUGAUAUCAAGCCGAGGUUUUCCCUCAAUCAAUAAGUGAAUGAGUUUGUCCCUUUGUUCAGUGAUUACGAAACCAUUGUCGCCGGGUGGAAGUUGUUGCAUCCGAUUUCUAAUAUCAAUAAUUUUACUGUGGAGUCCAACAAGAAGAGCCAUAUUAGUACUGCUUUCACUUUCUUCUUCACUGUUUUGCUGCUGCAUGAUGUUGAUGAAGAAUGUGUCAAUGGCUUCCUCAGAUUCAUGGACAAAGUCAUUGAUGUCCUUCACAAUUUCCAGAAUGUCUGAUCUUUUAACGUCUUCAUCGCUUUCUUGUAAAAAAGCCAAAUAUAUUUCGGAUUCAUCGAAUUCUCCUCUAAUGAGUUGAAACAAAAGCCGAGCCAUGUCAGCUUCAUAGUUUCCCACCAGAGUAGUAGCAAUGAUUUCUGACUCCGUAAGAAGGUUCUGAAAAAGUGGAGUCAAAUUUGUUCAAUCAGGCAACGUUAACGCGCCUUCUUCACCUGCUAGCACCCUUUUCAACCUCUCACAAAAUAGUCGGAGGUUCACGUCCACCAUAUCUCCUUCCCUCCGUAGCACUCAGAGAAGAUUGGUCCUAUCUCAAAGUGGUUAGUGCUGUAAAAUUAAACACCAUGGAAGAAUUUGAAAGGAAUAUGCCAAGAAACUGGCCAAGUGGCUAAAUUCCACAAAUAUGACAUUAUUGCUCAUUUUCUCUCAGACACGUGAUACACGUUGAUUUAGAGGAAAGUUCAAGAAUUUUGCUUUAAAAAAAAAAAUUGAUGGUGCUUAAAUUAUUAUUUUUUUAAUUUAAAGAGUUUUGCUUUUAAAAAAAAAUUAAUAUCAAAAUGCCUUCAAUGUUAUUACUGCCACAAGCCCAGUAACAAAACUCAUUAAAAAUUUUAGAAUUUCUGGCCAUGGAAAGAGUAGUAUUAAACAUCAGAAAGCAAAGGUUGUUCCGUUAAAGAAUUGAUGUUGACAUAAUUUUAUUUUGGUUUUCGGGAAAAAAAAAAUAUUUGUUGGCAAGCAAAGAAAAUAAUUUUAUACUUUACAAUCUGCUAUACAUAUUUUAUCAUAUUAAAGUAAUUUUAAUAUCUAUCAAAAAAAUAAAUUUAAUAAUAAUUGGAACAUAAUAUUACAAUAAAUAAAUUAAAAUUAUUUUAAAUAUUAGGAAAAAAAUAUUAUUAAUAGGAAGAUAUUUUGUUAAUUGUAAAAUCCUUUUAUUCCAAAUAUUUUAUUUAAAUUUUUUAUAAUAAAUAAAAAUAUAAAAUUAAAAUAAAUAUCAUAAUUUAAAUUUUUUAUAUUAAAAAUAUUUUAAUGUUAUUAGUCUACUACAUAAAUUAUAUUAUUUAUAUUAUAUUCGUAUUGAUUAAAAUCUUUUAAAGUUAAUUUUAUAGUUACUAUAUCCACAGGGUAUUAUAUUAUAUUUAAGAGUAAUUUUUUCAAAUUUUAGGAUUGCAGAUGUCCUUCUUCCGAUAAUUUAUUUCACUUUUGAGAGAAUCCAAUGAGAAAUAUGAUAAGAGAUGGUCAGUUUAAUGUUCUCUGCCUUUAUGGAAAAAAAGUAAAAAGUAAAAACUAUUCAAUUUUGUACUUUUUGUGUCCACCAAAUAAAUUUUACACAUUUAUGUUGUCAUAAAACGAAAAAAAAGGGUUUGCCAAAAAAUGGUACCAAGCAUACCUUUAAUGUCCCACGUGAUUUCUUAUUAAGCCCAUAUUAUAUAUAUUUAUACAUUUUAUUGCAUUAAACAUUUUUAUUAUAAAAGAAGUUGGUCCUUCCCCUAGUGAUAAAAGAUAAAUAUGAUAAUGUUUGAGAUGGGUUUAGUCUUUUAUAUUUGCUGAGUCCAGUGGGUUAAAGAAUUAGAGUAAAGCAUCUGGGCAUUCUUUCAUGCAAAACUAAAAAUCCUGAAAAUAGUUGGCUUUAACUGAUUAAGACAAGCUUGGUCGAAUUGAGUUGAACUUCAUAUAUAAAAGCCAAAUAUAUUGCGGAUUCAUCGAAUUCUUCUCUAAUGAGUUGAAACAAAAGCCGAGCCAUGUCAGCUUCAUAGUUUCCCACCAGAGUAGUAGCAAUGAUUUCUGACUCCGUAAGAAGGUUUUGAAAAAGUGGAGUCAAAUUUGUUAAAUCAGGCAACGUUAACGCGCCUUCUUCACCUGCUAACACCCUUUUCAACCUCUCACAAAAUAGUCGGAGGUUCACGUCCAGCAUAUCUCCUUCUCUCCGAGAAACUGUGUAAGUGGCUAAAUUCCAGAAAUAUGACAUUAUUGCUAUUUUUUUAACUCAAAAAAAUGGUACGCGUUCAUUUAGAGAAAAGUUCAAGACGCGCGCCUUUUGAAAAAUGGUACCCGUUCAUGUAGAGAAAAGAACAGGUAUCCCAAUCGGUAUCCAACCUUUAUCUUCUUUAAUUACCACCACGACAUGAUUUUUUUUUUUUUUUUUUGAUGACAUGAGACUAUUGCUUAAAUUACAACUCAAAUUACAACUCAUAUUACAUGAGAGUAUAAUUGAUAUGUACAAUCAUAUAUACAUACUGAGAUCUAUUGACAUUAAUGCUGAUAUGACACUGCUCAGAUUUUUGUAACCCUCUCAAAUAUUCGAGGGACGUCAAACUCCUAUCCUGGGAGAAAGACUGCCUUCACUCGAGCUCUGUGGCUCCAAGGAAGGAAAUAUAAAUUAAACCUCUACAAUGCGACUGCGGAGGCUCGAACCCCUUCCCUCACAUAUGUGAGGGAGUGGCUCUAGCCACUUGGGCUAGCCCAAGUGGUUCCACGACAUGAUUGAUGGUGCUUAAAUCAAUUGUUUCUUUUUUAAUUUAAAGAAAUUUUCAUUAAAAAAAUAUUUUAAUAUCAAAUACCCUUCAAUGGCAUAACUGCCGCAAUCCCAGAAACAGGAUUAAAUAUUUUUUUUUUUUUGAAUUUUUGGGCAUGGAAAGAGCAGUAUUAAAAAUCAGAAAGCUAAGGUCGUUCUGUUAAAGAAUUGAUAUUGACAUAAUUUUUUUUUGGUUUUCGGGGGAAAAAAAAAAUUGUUGACAAGCAAGAAAAUAUUUUUAUAUUUUACAAUUUAUUAUACAUAUUUUUUUUUUUUGGAUCAAUAAUGGGCUCUAAAAGAGCUAAAGCACCAGUAAACGGGAGUGGGCAACCCCAGACACAUCGUUAUGAAGAAUACUCUGUAAAUUAGGAGGAGCAACAGUAAGUAACUGCAAUCCUAAAGGACAAGACAAAUUAAAUGAGGCCAGAAAAUCUGCUGCUAUGUUUGCUUCUCGAUAGAUGUGGUUCACUUUCACGACCCAGUCCCUGCUGAUCAGCUCACGAAUGGCAAGGAUAAGAGAAUGAUGCUCAUUAACAGGAGUGGUCGGAUUCUCCAAGAUUUGAGAUUUAUUAUACAUAUUUUAUCUUAUUAAAGUAAUUUUAAUAAUAAAUAGAAACAUAAUAUUACCAUAAAUAAAUUAAAGUUUAACUUAUUUUGAAUAUUAUAAAAAAUAAUUUUAAUAUUAUUAAUAGGAGGACAUUGUAUUAAUUUUAAAAUUUUUUAACCCAAAGGUUUAUUUAAAAUCUUUAUUAUAAAUACAAAUAUAAAAUUAAAUAUAAUAAUUUAAAAUUUUUAAUAUUAUUUUAAAUAUUAAAAAUAUUUUAAUGUUAUUAGUCUACUACAUAGAUCAUAUUACUUAUAUAAUAUUUGUAUUAUUAAAAAUUCUUAAAAUCAAAUUUUUAGUUAGUAUAUUUAUGAGGUAUUAUGGUUAAAAAAAAAACCUUAUUAUUACUUUUUAAAACAUUGAGGGCCUGCGUGAUAAUUUUUUCAAAAAGAAAAUGCUUGGUAUCUAGGAGGGUUAGAGAAACAGGACUACCAAAAUCUCUCACCCUUUUUUAAUUAAAAAAAAUUAAAAUAUCAAUAAAAAAAAUAAAGAAAAUAGAAUUUUAUCUGCUCCUUACUCCAUUUUUGUAACUCUCUCACCAUCUCUGUCGAGCAGCCCUCUCUUUCACUGUCUCUCACUAUUUCACAAUCUCUCUCUCACUCACACAGUCCUUUAGAAAAGCCCAAAAUAGGCCCAAUAAGCCCAUAAUUAAAAUAAUCGAAUCGAAUUAUUUCAAUUAAUCGAGUAUUUGAUUAUUUCGGUAAUUUGAUUAAUCGCGAUUAUGAUUUUAAAAUAAUCGUAAUCGAACGAUUAUGAAAAAUUUAGUAAAAAACCGAAUUGAACCGAACCGCACCCACCCCUACAUAAAAGAACAACAAUUACUUGUCAUUUUCAAUUUUUUCUAUAAGCUAUUUAUUUUGAGCAUUAGUGAUCUUGUCUGGACUACUCCAAUUAUUGACGUAACUCCAGUGGCUGCAUCCACUGGAAAAAGUGGAUGAGAACAUUUUUUUUUUUCAUAAAGGUAACUACUCCAAUUAUUGACAUAAUUGAUGGUGCUUAAAUCAAUUUUUUUUUUUAAUUUAAAGAAUUUUGCUUUAAAAAAUAAUUAAUAUCAAAAUGCCUUCAAUGUUGUUACCGCCACAAGCCCAGUUAGAGGACUCAUUAAAAAUUUUAGAAUUUUUAGGCCUGGAAAGCGUAGUAUUAAACAUCAGAAAGCAAAGGUUGUUAUGUCGAAGAAUUGAUGUCGACAAAAUUUUAUUUUAGUUUUCGGAAAAAAAAAAAAAUUUGUUGACAAGCAAGAAAAUAUUUUUUAUACUUUACAAUCUGCUAUACAUAUUUUAUCAUAUUAAAGUAAUUUUAAUAAUAUAUGGAAACAUAAUAUUAUAAUAAAUAAAUUAAAAUUACUUUGAAUUAUUGAAUAUUACAAAAAGAUAAUUUUAAUAUUAUUAAUAGGAAAACAUUUUUAAUUGUAAAAUCUUUUUAAUACAAAAAUUCAUUUAAAAUCUUUAUAAUAAAUACAAAUAUAAAAUUAAAAAAAUAUCAUAAUUUAAAUUUUUUAAAAUUAUUUAAAUAUUAAAAAUACUUUAAUAUUAUUAGUCUACUACAUAAAAUAUAUUAUUUAUAUUAUAUUCGUAUUGAUUAAAACGUUUUAAAGUCAAAUUUUUAAUUAGUGUAUUCAAAGAUACAAAAGAUUUUAGUAUUAUUUUUAAAAAAUUUCAGGAUAUGAAUGAUAAUUUUUUCAAAUUUUAAAGAUGUAAGAAUCUUUUUUUCUGAUAAUUUAUUUCACUUUUGAGAGAAUCCGAAAACGUUAAUUUAACAUUCUUUACCUUUGUGAAAAAAGUGAAAAUCAAGAACUAUUCAAUUUUGUUUUUAUUUGUAAUUCAAAAACUUUAUUCAUUUUCGAUGCUUUUCAAAAGAGACUCCUCUAAAUCCUUUUGGUGUCUGCAGCUCCUGCAAUUCUCAUAAAUCUCCAUCCCACAUCUACACUAUCAAACAAGUUGAUGGAAAUUCUUAUCAAAAAAAAAAAAAAAAACAAGUCGAUGGAAAUUGAUCAAUUACUUUUUGAAGUGGACCCAUUGAGUCAUGUUCAUUUCUGGUCAUUGUCUACUCUUUCCAUCAGCCAUUUAUUUUGACCAUUUGCGAUCUUAAAGGAUAUGAGAACGUAGCUGAAGUGCUGAAGGGGCUAUUAAAGAAGAGUGUCACUUGAUCACAAUCACAUUGAUGCACAACUCACUCGUGGCAAAUUUCGACUAUACGUUCUGCAAAUUCAGCCAAACCAUACAUGCAUGAACAAAACUAAAAUGUAGUUCUAAUCACAACUGCAGUUAUAAUGUUUACCCCUCUGAUUUUUCUCCAAAACAAAUUCAGUUCAAAACAAUAAUUAAAUAGCCACAUUUUGUUCGUCAAAAUAAAUGCCCAAAUUUUCAAUUAACAAAUCAUCUUCUCUAAACUAAAAAUCCCACAUCUCUAAAAUCAAUCUACAUAAUGUUGGAGAUGAGGGGUGAAUUGUUAACUCAGUAAAAAAAACUCAUGCAUAAUAUUACUAAUAAUAUAAAAUAUAUAUUAAUCAUUAUAAAGAAUCAUAAUUAGAAAAAUUAAUCAUUUUAUAAUUUAUUACACAAGUAAGAUAAAUCUCAUAAUAAGUUAUAACAUAAAAAAAACGUUAUCAAUAUAUAAUCAUUUAAGAAGUCAUUUAACAAUAAAAUCGUUCUUUAAUCAGUUGGUCAUGUCACAUAGUGUCAUCUAUAUUUACGGUGAUAAUAUUAUUACUCAGUAUUAUCAAAAAACAUGAUUUAACAUUUAGAGGAAAUUCUUGCCUUUUAAAAAAAACAUGUAUGCAACAACUACCCAUGCUUUAUCUUACCAUGACAAAUAUUUUCUCAAUGAAAGAAAAUUUUUUAAAAAUUGAUUUAAUGCACAAAUAUGAUGAUUUUUCCAAAAAUUAGUUUUGGAAAACAUAGUGAGAGAAAAUAGUGACGAUUAUUGUUUAGAUGUAUAAAUAGCCUAAACAUAAUCCUUAAUACCAAUAUCCUAAUGCAUCUUAUCAUCUUUCAUGAUAUUCUUUCAUUUAUGUCCAUUGGUUCAAGAUUUGAAUUUGAUCAUUAAAUCAUGUUCAAUAAUAUUAGAGAUUCUAACAAAUGAGUACCAACUUAAAUCCCAAUGUUAUGUGUCAUUGACCAAUUUUGUGUCAUUUUGUUAUUAACUAGGUGAUGAAUUUGUAGUUGAUAAAAUCACUUAAAAAUAUCUUAAAAAUCAAACAAUAGUUUGCUUAAUUUUUCCAAGUUAACUGCUCAAGAUGCUCUAUUAUAAAUAAUAACCUAAUUAUAUUCAUAAAAAAUGAUAUUUUUUUUGUGGUGUUGAUAAUGAGAUUAUCAUUCAACAUUUUAAAAUGUGAAAACAUAUGGAAGAUGGUUGUAAAUUGAUUGAAUGAAAACAUUUCAGUGAAGUCUCAAAAAUUUGGUACUUGUUGUCUUAUCGAAAGUUUUCUAAAUUAUAUUCGUGGCACAGCCACUAUCCAAACCAUACAAGUCCAAAGCUAUCCAAACCAUACCUGCAAGUCCGGGGCUUAAAUGGAGUACUUCUAAGCAAAAAAACAUUGACUAAAAUAGAAUAUAUACAUACAGACACACAUACAUACCAGCAUAUUCAAAAUAGCAAAAGGAGUGCAAAAGUUCAAGUUUGUAGACAACAUUGCAACCAUAGCAUGUUUAUAGCAAAUCCUCAAAAUCUGCUAAAUAAAACAAUGCCCUGUCUCAUGAAUCAAUGCUGAAUUAAAAUUGAAACUGAAAGUCUGGAUGGUUUUGUUUGUUGAGAAUGUCAAAUAAAACGGCAUUGAAGGAAGUUUUCAAAGGCAGAAUCCGCACUUGUCAAAGGGAUGAUCUGCACUUGUCAAAGACACUAUCCGCGCCGAACGGAUCGACACAUUUCCUUCCGUAUUCACAUAUGUAAUCUUUGAAAAAAUAUAGCUUCUGCAUCUAUAAAUAACGCUCAGUGUAUAAUGUUUUAUUCAAGAAAUAAAAACAAGUUUCUACAUGGUAUCAGAGCCAUGAAUGCGCUCAAGUUUCUUCAAGUUUCGCUGCUCUGUUUGUCACAAAAACAGAGGAAACCAAUUAAAUUCGUCCCACAACCAUUUUUUCCACCAUUUUCUUCCUUAAAAUCAUUCCUAACAUUACAGAAAUCCAUGCCGAUCAAAAAACAUGAAAGACAAAUUACACAUGUGCAGUAACCAAUGAUCAUAUUUCGUUACUGUCAAACACAAUGCAUCUGAGCAAAACAUUGGAAGCCAACACCAGAAUACAUAUGAAUAAACAAUUAAAGAUAGAGAAAAAAGGCUUAAACCUUGGGGGGAAAAAGUGAAAAAACAUGAAAGACAAAUUACACAUGUGCAGUAGCCAUCGAACUUAUCAGUGACAGCUGCAUCCAUUACAUUGCUCCAACAACACAAUGGCAAACCACCAGUUUCAAAUUGAGGAUAGCUAUCGAGAAUGAGAAAGUGUCCAAAACGUCAUAAAUAGACAUGUUCCGAUUGUGCAUAAUUUACAUUAUAGGCAAAUAUUCUUAUACCAUCAAAGGCAAAACAUGACACUAACAAUUGAUCACCCCCCCCCCCCCCCCCCCAACAACAAAAAAAAGGAAAAAAACAAUACAGAAAAGAUUGAAACAGAUAAGGCUACACUGAGCACAGGAUGCCAUGAAACAUAAUCCAGGAACCAAAUUAAUAAAAAAGGAAGCCAAACCAUUAUUUAACAAUCUGUUUUGUAUUUGGGAAAGUCUGAUAAAAUCUACUUGGGGAUAAUUAGAGAACCUCAACUAUUAAUCACACCUCAUAAAUGAACUAACAUUAAACAUCUACCAUCCCAACGUCACACAAACAUUCUCUACACUUCUGAACCUAAUACUUCCAUCUUCAAUUGGGGUUUUUUUUUCUUUUUCUUUGGGGGGGGGGGGGGGGGGGAUUGAAAUGCUGAUUUCGAAUCACUAACAGUAAAAUUGGAAGCUCAUGAAAAAAUAGUUUUAUCUCAAAAUUACAUCUCGAUAUAAAUUCUCUUUUCAUUUCCUUCAACUUUCUAAUUAAGCUUAAAAAAUGUACCUUCAACCACAAAGGGGUUUAAAAUUUAAAAUAUAAAAAAUAAAUUCAGAUAACAAUAAUUAAUUUAAUUAAAAAUAUAAAUAGAGUUACAGAGAAAGAGAAAAUAGAGAAAGACGUAAUGUUGAGUCCUUUGGCGCAAGUCUCUUCAUAGGUCCGAACCAUUUCUUCGGGCGUGGGUUUCGGGUCUUUAGGAUACUCCAUAGUGAUAAGCCAGUGAUUGUAAUCGCAACCCUCGAACAGAAUCGUGUCGGGUGUGAUCUCGUCGCCGUCCUUAUACAAGUGGUACGUCUUGUUAACCGACGGCGUAGACGAGAGGGAGAUCGUCGGGGACGAUCUGAACGGCCGAGAUUGGAUAAUGAUGGAGGAGGAGAAGAUUAGCGAUGACGACGCCGAUGAAAUGGAAGGGUUUACCAGAGGAGUGGAUGCGAAGAAUGCAGGGACGGCCGCAAAGAGAGAGCGGCGGAGAGCGGCGACGGACGGUAGUGACCAGCGGAGGCGGAAAAUGGCGGUAUGGGCCAUUGCUUGCGCGUCGGUGAGUGUCUCGAGUGAGAGAGUGAAGGGUUUUGGGAAAUGAAAAAUGCAAAUGUUUGAUUUUGUUGCUAGAAACUUCUUCUGCCGCUGCCUUUUAUUUUCGCUAUAAUAAUAAUAAUUUGUUAAUCAAAUAUUUUCUUAAAAAAGAUAAAUUUCUACAACAAAAUUUAUAUUAAAUCAAAUUGUAAAAAUGUCUAUUAGGGUUAAUUUCUCCUUAAUAUUAUUAUUAGUAGAUGUAGAUUUUCGAAUUAGUCUUGAUAUAUUUCAGAGUUGUAUUAUAAAUGUAUAUGUAUCUGGAUUGCAAUUAUAUUUUUAAAAAAUAUAAUUUUUUUAAUUAUUGCACAAUAAAUGUAAAUAGUAUCUAUAAAAUAAUAUUAUUAGGACUACGAAAAAAAUAUUAUUUUAGAGAAGUUAUUUAUUUAUUAUUGAAUGAAUAAAAAAAUUAGUUUGGCAUUUUUAUAACCUCCUUGAAGGUUUUACGAUAAACAUAAAUCUACUGAGAAAGUGGGAAAAAAAAAAGAAAAUGCAUAUAAAAGUAUGAGUUAUCAGAUAAGAUUAAAACUCACCCAAUUCAAUCCAUCAGAUUCCGUAAGGAUAUAACUGGAUGUCAUACCGCCACUCCAUAUCCUCGAAAGUCCGUAGUCCUUGUCUCAACUGUGUCUGAGGCCAGUGUAAGUCCAAUUUGCGCAAGCUCUUUAUGCACCACAGCUCUUCUGGAAGCUUUCUCAAGUAAGCACAUGGGUUGACAAUUAAGCUUUCAAGUUUCGGCAUUGCUCCAGCCCCCAUCGUCCACUCAUCUAGCCAAUACAUUGAUUUCAGGUGCAAAACCUUAAGUUCGGGAAAGCUACUCAAGCCAACACAAGCAAGCUUUCUUCCUAAAUACGAGUUCUGCUUCAGUUUCAGCACUCGAAGGCGUGGAAGAUUUUCCAGAAUUGGCAUGGGAUCCUCCAUUAGCUCAGUAUUUGAUAAGCUCAGUUGGAUCAGACUUGGGGGAAAUUGGUAUUCAGACAGGACCAUCCGUGAGGGCUUGCUCUCAUUCACCAGCUUCAAGCAUUCAAGUUUGUGGAGUUCGCAAAGGCUUUUGGAAACCCCAGAUUGAUAGUAACUCAAAUCUCCAGAUAUCCGAAGAGUCUGAACACUAGGUAGUCUGCCCAAUAUAUCAGGAGUACAACUGCUACGGUUUAAAGCUGAUAUGAAAAUGAGAUUUUUCAGAGAGCUAGAAUAAUUUUUUGGAGGUGCGGGCAGAGUGAUAGAACCAAAGUUUAGAUGCAUGAGUUUUUGCAUCAUCCAAAUAUCCUCUGGUGACUGAUCUAUGUAGCUAAAUGGCAUUUCUAGUGUUUCAAGGUUUAAAAGGGUGCAUAGCAGUGAAGGAAGACAUUUGAGCGAAGGGAUAUUCAAUUUCAAAUACUUCAAAAGAUAUAAAUUUUCUAAUCCGGGCGGAUAUUGGUCCAGGACUGCAGAACCCAUGUUCAAUACCCGAAGGUGUUUGAACUUUUUACAAAAAUUCUCGCAAUCUAUCAGAGCGAGACGAUCGCUUUCUGAACUGUGAUUCAGAAAAGAUUGGAGACGCAUGUCAGAAUAUUCUAAAGGAAAGAAGUCAAUCAGACGUUCCACAAUGAAGCACCGUUUAACAUUUGCCACUGAUUCCUCUUCCAUGUCAGGCGUCCAGACAAAUCCCGCCUUCUUUGCCAGAAAAUACAAUGAAGUGUAUACAAAACUUGGAACAUAACACGCUUUAAUUGUGCCGCCGGCGCUUCUCUUACUCACUUGAAUGAAGCCGCGAUGGAUUAGUUCUUUCAAGAAAUGGUCGGCAGUUUCUUCACCGUUGUAUGGUACGAAACCUUCAGCUACCCACAACUGAUGUAAUUGCCUCCUGGAUAUCUCAAUACUUGGAGGGAAGACACACAAAUAGAUGAAGCAGACUUUCAAAUGAAAAGGUAACUCCAUCACAGAAAAAAUUUGUCUCCAAACUGUCGGAAUCGCUUCGCCUUGAAGAUAAUUUUCUAAUGGCAUACUUCCAUAGUGUAGGAUGAAAAAUUGCCAGGCUUCAUGCUUUAAUCUGAUCAAUGGUCCUCCAAAGAGCACUGAAUCACGCCGAAUCUUCUCUCCGUUUUCCAUUUCCAACGACGCAAGGAGGUCUGGAUUAGUGACUGUUAUCAAUACUCUGCUUCCAUUCUGCUUAUCAGGAAGAACUUCUUCAAGAUCAUCCCAUAUGUCACUGUCAUUGAAGACAUCAUCAAGCACAAUAAAGUACUUCUUGUUUGUCAGGUAAUCUCGAAGAAUAGAUUUCUUCAAGCGAUAAUCUUCACUGAUAAUUACCCUAGCCCGAGAUGGAGGCAUCAAAGAAUUGAUUAUGUCAUCCAAUAUCUUGCCAAAAUCGUAGGCUAUAGAAACCCUGACCCAAGAAAGACAGUCAAAAUAGAACUUGACAUGGUUAUUAUUGUAAGUAUCUGCAGCAAAAGCAGUCUUAUCGAAGCCACUGCUGUCGAGAAUUGCAACCACUGAAAGCCCAGAUGGUCCCUCAAUCAAUAGAUCAAAAAACUUCUCUCUGCCCCUUUCAAAUUCACUGAUAUCGAGCCGAGGUUGUCCCUCAUUCAAUAGGCGAAUGAUUUCGUUACUUUUUUCACUGAUAUCAAAACCAUUGUCGCCGGGUGGAAGUUGUUGCAUCCGAUUUCUAAUAUCAAUGAUUUUAGUGUGGAGUCCAACAAGAAGAGCCAUAUCAGUACUGCUUUCACUUUCGUUUUCACUGUUUUGCUGCUGCAUUAUGUUGAUGAAGAAUCUGUCAAUGGCUUCCUCAGAUUCAUGGACAACGGGAUUGAUGUCCUCCAGAAUUUCCAAAAUAUCUGCUGUUUCAACGUCUUCUUUAUCGCUUUCUUCUAAGUCCAACAGUUGCAAAAAAGGCAAUGAUAUUUUGGAGUCAUCGAAUUCUUCUCUAAUGAGUUGAAACAAAUGCCGAGCCAUGUCAGCUUCAUAUUUUCCCAGCAGAGUAGUAGCAAUAAUUUCGGACUCCGUAAGAAGGUUUUGAAAAAGUGGAGUUAAAUUUGUUGAAUCAGGCAAAGUUAACGUGCCUUCUUCACCUGCUAACACCCUUUUCAACCUCACACAAAACAGUCGGAGGUGGAGUUCCAGCAUAUCUCCUUCUCUCCGCAGCACUCAGAGGUAUAGUUGAAAGAUUAAACACCAUGGAAGAAUUUGAAAGGAAUAUGCCAAGAAACUGUGUAAGUGGCUAAAUUCCACAAAUGCGGCAUUAUUGCUCAUUUUUAACUCAAAAAAUUGAUACGCGUUCAUUUAGAGAAAAGUCCAAGACGCGUGCCUUUUGAAAAGAACAGGUAUCCCAAUCGGUAUCCAACCUCUAUCUUAUUUAAUUACUAUCAUGACAUAAUUGAUGGUGCUUAAAUCAAUUGUUUCUUUUUUAAUUUAAAGAAUUUUUCAUUAAAAAAAUAUUUUAAUAUCAAAUUGCCUUCAGUGGCGUAACUGCCUCAAGCCCAGUAACAGGACUAAUUAAAGAUUUUACAAUUUUUGGGCAUGGAAAUAGUAGUAUUAAAUAUUAGAAAGGUGAGGUUGUUCUGUUAAAGAAUUGAUCUUGACAUAAUUUUAUUUUGGUUUUCGUGGAAAAAUAAAAUUUGUUGACAAGCAAGAAAAUAUUUUUAUAUUUUAAAAUUUAUUAUGCAUAUUUUAUCAUAUUAAAGUAGUUUUAAUAAUAAAUAGAAACAUAAUAUUACGAUAAAUAAAUUAAAAUUUAACUUAUUUUGAAUAUUAUAAAAAAAAUUUUAAUAUUAUUAAUAGGAAGACAUUGUAUUAAUUUUAAAAUUUUUUAACCCAAAGGUUUAUUUAAAAUCUUUAUUAUAAAUACAAAUAUAAAAUUAAAUAUCAUAAUUUAAAAAUUUUAAUAUUAUUUUAAGUAUUAAAAAUAUUUUAAUGUUAUUAGUCUACUACAUAGAUCAUAUUACUUAUAUAAUAUUUGUAUUAUUAAAAAUUCUUAAAAUCAAAUUUUUAGUUAGUAUAUUCAUGAGGUAUUAUGGUUAAAAAAAAAAAAGACCUUAUUAUUACUUUUUAAAAAAUUGAGGGUCUGCGUGAUAAUUUUUUCAAAAAGAAAAUGCUUGGUAUGUAGGAGGGGUAGAGAAACAGGACUCCCAAAAUCUCUCACCCUUCUUUAAUUAAAAAUAAAUAAAAUAUUAAUAAAAAAUAAUAAAGAAAAUAGAAUUUUAUCUGCUCCUUACUCCAUUUUUGUAACUCUCUCACCAUCUCUGUCGAGCAGCCCUCUCUUUCGUUGUCUCUCACUAUUUCACGAUCUCUCUCUCACUCACACAGUCCUUUAAAAAAGCCCAAAAUAGGCCCAAUAAGCCCAUAAUUAAAAUAAUCGAAUCGAAUUAUUUUAAUUAAUCGAGUAUUUGAUUAUUUCGGUAAUUUAAUUAAUCGCAAUUAUGAUUUUAAAAUAAUCGUAAUCGAACGAUUAUGAAAAAUUUAGUAAAAAAACCGAACUGAACCGAACCGCACCCACCCCUACAUAAAAGAACAUCAAUUACUUGUCAUUUUCAAUUUUUUCUAUAAGCUAUUUAUUUUGAGCAUUAGUGAUCUUGUCUGGACUACUCCAAUUAUUGACGUAACUCCAGUGGCUGCAUCCACUGGAAAAAGUGGAUGAUAACAUUUUUUUUUUUUUCAUAAAGGUAACUACUCCAAUUAUUGACAUAAUUGAUGGUGCUUAAAUCAAUUUUUUUUUUAAUUUAAAGAAUUUUGCUUUAAAAAAUAAUUAAUAUCAAAAUGCCUUCAAUGUUGUUACCGCCACAAGCCCAGUUAGAGGACUCAUUAAAACUUUUAGAAUUUUUAGGCCUGGAAAGCAUAGUAUUAAACAUCAGAAAGCAAAGGUUGUUAUGUCGAAGAAUUGAUGUCGACAAAAUUUUAUUUUAGUUUUCGGAAAAAAAAAAUUUGUUGACAAGCAAGAAAAUAUUUUUUAUACUUUACAAUCUGCUAUACAUAUUUUAUCAUAUUAAAGUAAUUUUAAUAAUAUAUGGAAACAUAAUAUUAUAAUAAAUAAAUUAAAAUUAAAAUUACUUUGAAUUAUUAAAUAUUACAAAAAGAUAAUUUUAAUAUUAUUAAUAGGAAAACAUUUUUAAUUGUAAAAUCUUUUUAAUACAAAAAUUCAUUUAAAAUCUUUAUAAUAAAUACAAAUAUAAAAUUAAAAAUAUCAUAAUUUAAAAUUUUUAAUAUUAUUUUAAUAUUAAAAAUACUUUAAUAUUAUUAGUCUACUACAUAAAAUAUAUUAUUUAUAUUAUAUUCGUAUUGAUUAAAACGUUUUAAAGUCAAAUUUUUAAUUAUUGUAUUCAAAGGUACAAAAGAUUUUAGUAUUAUUUUUUAAAAAUUUUAGGAUAUGAAUGAUAAUUUUUUCGAAUUUUAAAGAUGUAAGAAUCUUUUUUUCUAAUAAUUUAUUUCACUUUUGAGAGAAUCCGAAAACGUUAAUUUAACAUUCUUUACCUUUGUGAAAAAAGUGAAAAUCAAGAACUAUUCAAUUUUGUUUUUAUUUGUAAUUCAAAAACUUUAUUCAUUUUCGAUGCUUUUCGAAAGAGAUUCCGUUAAAUCCUUUUGGUGUCGGCAGCUCCUGCUAUUCUCAUAAAUCUCCAUUCCACAUCUACACUAUCAAACAAGUUGAUGGAAAUUCUUAUAAAAAAAAAACAAGUCGAUGGAAAUUGAUCAAUUACUUUUUGAAGUGGACCCAUUGAGUCAUGUUCAUUUCUGGUCAUUGUCUACUCUUUCCAUCAGCCAUUUAUUUUGACCAUUUGCGAUCUUAAAGGAUAUGAGAACGUAGCUGAAGUGCUGAAGGGGCUAUUAAAGAAGAGUGUCACUUGAUCACAAUCACAUUGAUGCACAACUCACUCGUGGCAAAUUUCGACUAUACGUUCUGCAAAUUCAGCCAAACCAUACGUGCAUGAACAAAACUAAAAUGUAGUUCUAAUCACAACUCCAGUUAUGAUGUUUACCCCUCUGAUUUUUCUCCAAAACAAAUUCAGUUCAAAACAAUAAUCAAAAUAGCCACAUUUUGUUCGUCAAAAUAAAUGCCCAAAUUUUCAAUUAACAAAUCAUCUUCUCUAAACUAAAAAUCCCACAUCUCUAAAAUCAAUCUACAUAAUGUUGGAGAUGAGGGGUGAAUUGUUAACUCAGUAAAAAAAACUCAUGCAUAAUAUUACUAAUAAUAUAAAAUAUAUAUUAAUCAUUAUAAAGAAUCAUAAUUAGAAAAAUUAAUCAUUUUAUAAUUUAUUACACAAGUAAGAUAAAUCUCAUAAUAAGUUAUAACAUAAAAAAAACGUUAUCAAUAUAUAAUCAUUUAAGAAGUCAUUUAACAAUAAAAUCGUUCUUUAAUCAGUUGGUCAUGUCACAUAGUGUCAUCUAUAUUUACGGUGAUAAUAUUAUUACUCAGUAUUAUCAAAAAACAUGAUUUAACAUUUAGAGGAAAUUCUUGCCUUUUAAAAAAAAACAUGUAUGCAACAGCUACCCAUGCUUUAUCUUACCAUGACAAAUAUUUUCUCAAUGAAAGAAAAUUUUUUAAAAAUUGAUUUAAUGCACAAAUAUGAUGAUUUUUCCAAAAAUUAGUUUUGGAAAACAUAGUGAGAGAAAAUAGUGACGAUUAUUGUUUAGAUGUAUAAAUAGCCUAAACAUAAUCCUUAAUACCAAUAUCCUAAUGCAUCUUAUCAUCUUUCAUGAUAUUCUUUCAUUUAUGUCCAUUGGUUCAAGAUUUGAAUUUGAUCAUUAAAUCAUGUUCAAUAAUAUUAGAGAUUCUAACAAAUGAGUACCAACUUAAAUCCCAAUGUUAUGUGUCAUUGACCAAUUUUGUGUCAUUUUGUUAUUAACUAGGUGAUGAAUUUGUAGUUGAUAAAAUCACUUAAAAAUAUCUUAAAAAUCAAACAAUAGUUUGCUUAAUUUUUCCAAGUUAACUGCUCAAGAUGCUCUAUUAUAAAUAAUAACCUAAUUAUAUUCAUAAAAAAUGAUAUUUUUUUUGUGGUGUUGAUAAUGAGAUUAUCAUUCAACAUUUUAAAAUGUGAAAACAUAUGGAAGAUGGUUGUAAAUUGAUUGAAUGAAAACAUUUCAGUGAAGUCUCAAAAAUUUGGUACUUGUUGUCUUAUCGAAAGUUUUCUAAAUUAUAUUCGUGGCACAGCCACUAUCCAAACCAUACAAGUCCAAAGCUAUCCAAACCAUACCUGCAAGUCCGGGGCUUAAAUGGAGUACUUCUAAGCAAAAAAACAUUGACUAAAAUAGAAUAUAUACAUACAGACACACAUACAUACCAGCAUAUUCAAAAUAGCAAAAGGAGUGCAAAAGUUCAAGUUUGUAGACAACAUUGCAACCAUAGCAUGUUUAUAGCAAAUCCUCAAAAUCUGCUAAAUAAAACAAUGCCCUGUCUCAUGAAUCAAUGCUGAAUUAAAAUUGAAACUGAAAGUCUGGAUGGUUUUGUUUGUUGAGAAUGUCAAAUAAAACGGCAUUGAAGGAAGUUUUCAAAGGCAGAAUCCGCACUUGUCAAAGGGAUGACCUGCACUUGUCAAAGACACGAUCCGCGCCGAACGGAUCGACACAUUUCCUUCCGUAUUCACAUAUGUAAACUUUGAAAAAAUAUAGCUUCUGCAUCUAUAAAUAACGCUCAGUGUAUAAUGUUUUAUUCAAGAAAUAAAAACAAGUUUCUACAUGGUAUCAGAGCCAUGAAUGCGCUCAAGUUUCUUCAAGUUUCGCUGCUCUGUUUGUCACAAAAACAGAGGAAACCAAUUAAAUUCGUCCCACAACCAUUUUUUCCACCAUUUUCUUCCUUAAAAUCAUUCCUAACAUUACAGAAAUCCAUGCCGAUCAAAAACAUGAAAGACAAAUUACACAUGUGCAGUAACCAAUGAUCAUAUUUUGUUACUGUCAAACACAAUGCAUCUGAGCAAAACAUUGGAAGCCAACACCAGAAUACAUAUGAAUAAACAAUUAAAGAUAGAGAAAAAAGGCUUAAACCUUGGGGGAAAAAGUGAAAAAACAUGAAAGACAAAUUACACAUGUGCAGUAACCAUCGAACUUAUCAGUGACAGCUGCAUCUAUUACAUUGCUCCAACAACACAAGGGCAAACCACCAGUUUCAAAUUGAGGAUAGCUAUCGAGAAUGAGAAAGUGUCCAAAACGUCAUAAAUAGACAUGUUCCUAUUGUGCAUAAUUUACAUUAUAGGCAAAUAUUUUUAUACCAUCAAAGGCAAAACAUGACACUAACAAUUGAUCACCCCCCCCCCCCCCCCCCCCAACAACAAAAAAAAGGAAAAAACAAUACAGAAAAGAUUGAAACAGAUAAGGCUACACUGAGCACAGGAUGCCAUGAAACAUAAUCCAGGAACCAAAUUAAUAAAAAAGGAAGCCAAACCAUUAUUUAACAAUCUGUUUUGUAUUUGGGAAAGUCUGAUAAAAUCUACUUGGGGAUAAUUAGAGAACCUCAACUAUUAAUCACACCUCAUAAAUGAACUAACAUUAAACAUCUACCAUCCCAACGUCACACAAACAUUCUCUACACUUCUGAACCUAAUACUUCCAUCUUCAAUUGGGGGUUUUUUUUUUCUUUUUCUUUGGGGGGGGGGGGGGAUUGAAAUGCUGAUUUCGAAUCACUAACAGUAAAAUUGGAAGCUCAUGAAAAAAUAGUUUUAUCUCAAAAUUACAUCUCGAUAUAAAUUCUCUUUUCAUUUCCUUCAACUUUCUAAUUAAGCUUAAAAAAUGUACCUUCAACCACAAAGGGGUUUAAAAUUUAAAAUAUAAAAAAUAAAUUCAGAUAACAAUAAUUAAUUUAAUUAAAAAUAUAAAUAGAGUUACAGAGAAAGAGAAAAUAGAGAAAGACGUAAUGUUGAGUCCUUUGGCGCAAGUCUCUUCAUAGGUCCGAACCAUUUCUUCGGGCGUGGGUUUCGGGUCUUUAGGAUACUCCAUAGUGAUAAGCCAGUGAUUGUAAUCGCAACCCUCGAACAGAAUCGUGUCGGGUGUGAUCUCGUCGCCGUCCUUAUACAAGUGGUACGUCUUGUUAACCGACGGCGUAGACGAGAGGGAGAUCGUCGGGGACGAUCUGAACGGCCGAGAUUGGAUAAUGAUGGAGGAGGAGAAGAUUAGCGAUGACGACGCCGAUGAAAUGGAAGGGUUUACCAGAGGAGUGGAUGCGAAGAAUGCAGGGACGGCCGCAAAGAGAGAGCGGCGGAGAGCGGCGACGGACGGUAGUGACCGGCGGAGAGCGGAAGAUGGCGGUAUGGGCCAUUGCUUGCGCGUCAGUGAGUGUCUCGAGUGAGGAGUGAAGGGUUUUGUACUUUUGUUUAGGGUUUUGGGAAAUGAAAAAUGCAAAUGUUUGAUUUUGUUGCUAGAAACUUCUUCUGCCGCCGCUUUUUAUUUUCGCUAAAUAAUAAUAAUAAUUUGUUAAUAAAAUACUUUCUUAGAAAAGAUAAAUUUAUAGAACAAAAUUUAUAUUAAAUCAAAUUGUAAAAAUGUGGAAUAGGGCUAAUUUCUCCUGAAUAUUAUUAUUAGUAGAAGUAGAUUUUCGAAAUAGUCUUGAUAUAUUUCAAAGUUGUAUUAUAGAUGUACAUGUAUCUGGAUUGUAAUUAUAUUUUAAAAAAUAUACAUUUUUUUUCAUUAUUGCACAAUAAAUGUAGAAAGUGUCUAUAAAAUAAUAUUAUUAGAACUAUGAAAAUAUAUUAUUUUAGAGUAGUUAUUUAUUUAUUUUUGAAUAAAUAAUUUAUUAAUUUAUUAAUUUAUUGAUAAAUUAAUAAAUAUUAAUUUAAAGAGAGAUUUUUUUUUUUGGGGGUUUUUAAGAAGAGUUUUGUUGGUAUAUGUACAAACUUAUAAAGAAAUACAAAAAAUGCUUCCUCAAGUCAAUAGUAUUUACUUUAAUUCAUAAUAGUAUAGUUUAAUCAAGAAACUUAUAAUUAUACUAUAUCUUUCUUUCUUUGUUCUAUUUGGUGGGACAUUGUGAUAAAUCAUUGGAUUAAAAUGCAUUUCUAAAUGAAAACUUGUUAAAACCUAAUUUAUUUGGGAACGACAUUUUAUUUGUCAGUCGUAUUUCUCAACUUCGUAAGUUAUUUCUAAUUUAUCGGUCUCUAUUGGUUCUCUUAAGUACCUAUUUGGCAUGACUUAUUUAAUAGUAAUAAGUGCUUAUUUAAUCUCAUAAGUUUUUUCCCUCUCUGACAAUUGAGUUAGGGGGUCAAACUUGAAAGUAUCUUAAAAUUAGACAACAAUUUAACUAUUUUUUUUUUUUUAGAUAACUGCUAAUAUGCUCUAUUAGACAAUGAUGAGUGAUAACCUAGGUGUUUGCAUUUAAAGGGAUACUUUUUGUGGUGUUGAUAAAGAGGUUAAGUAUGAUUCAACAAUUUAAAAUAUGAAAACAUAUGGAAGACGGCCGCAAUUAAAUUAAUUGUAUGAAAAUAUUUCAAUGAAAUUUUAAAAAUUUAGUAUUUGUUAUCUUAUCGAGAGUUUUUUAAAAUUAUAUUACUACUUGAACUUGACUGCUUUUGUAUUUAAUUCCUACCGUUGCCAUUGCUUCUACUCAAAAGCCAUUUAAGUUUGUGUAAGCUACGUAUAGUUUGAACAACAAUUUACUCAUGAAUUGUUGUUCAUAAUAGCAUCAGUGCAUGCAUCAUUUUAAUGAGAAAGAAUAUUCUAAGAACGAAAUUGAACGUGGGAGGUAUCGGGAAGGAAUUGGAAUGGAAUAAUAUCGAUUCAUAUAGAUACAGAAGAAAAAGUUCUCUAUUGAUUCAAAUGCUGUGCCUAUGGGAUAAGGAUAGAGAAAGAGGAAAAAACCGAAGCCAGAAAUGUACACGCAUGAGGAACUUUUCCUAGAAGAUUGAUAUUUCUUUGACUAGCAAACCAUACAAGUCCAAAGCUAGCCAAACCAUACCUGCAAGUCGGGGGUUUAAAUGGAAUACUUCUAAGCAUAAAACAUUGAUUAAAACAGAAUACACACAUACAUACCAGCAAAUUCAAAAUAGCAAAAGGAGUGCAAAAGUUCAAGUUUGUAGACAACAUUGCAACCAUGGCAUGUUUAUAGCAAAUCCUCGAAAUCUGCUAAAUAAAACAAUGCCCUGUCUCAUGAAUCAAUGCUGAAUUAAAAUUGAAACUGAAAGUCCGGCUGGCGUUGUUUCCCUCUCCAAUUUUGCCUACAUAAGUGAAAAUAAGAAUAAUAAAUGAAAAUCUGCUUUUACGGUUCUUAUUAGAUAGAUAAAAGGGGGAUCUUUCUUUGUUUCUCUGCUGCAAUGUGUGGCUAUCCCACUCUGUUUUGCCACCCAAGCUGAGUCUAUGCUGAGACAUAAUUUUGACAUCAGAAGCAAUCUCAAUUAGUUUGGCACUUUUAAGCAAUCUCAUAUUUUGCUCACUUGAAGGUUUUACGAUAAACAUAAAUCUACAGAGAAAGUGGGAAAAAAAAAAGAAAAUGCAUAUAAAUAUAUGAGUUAUCAGAUAAGAUUAAAACUCACCCAAUUCAAUCCAUCAGAUUCCGUAAGGAUAUAACUGGAUGUCAUACCGCCACUCCAUAUCCUUGAAAGUCCGUAGUGUUUGUCUCAACUCUGUCUGAGGCCAAUGUAAAUUCAAUUUGCGCAAGCUCUUUAUGCACCACAGCUCUUCUGGAAGCUUUCUCAAGUAAGCACAUGGGUUGACAAUUAAGCUUUCAAGUUUCGGCAUUGCUCCAGCCCCCAUCGUCCACUCAUCUAGCCAAUACAUUGAUUUCAGGUGCAAAACCUUAAGUUCCGGAAAGCUACUCAAGCCAACACAAGCAAGCUUUCUUCCUAAAUACGAGUUCUGCUUCAGUUUCAGCACUCGAAGGCGUGGAAGAUUUUCCAGAAUUGGCAUGGGAUCCUCCAUUAGCUCAGUAUUUGAUAAGCUCAGUUGGAUCAGACUUGGGGGAAAUUGGUAUUCAGACAGGACCAUCCGUGAGGGCUUGCUCUCAUUCACCAGCUUCAAGCAUUCAAGUUUGUGGAGUUCGCAAAGGCUUUUGGAAACCGCAGAUUGAUAGUAACUCAAAUCUCCAGAUAUCCGAAGAGUCUGAACACUAGGUAGUCUGCCCAAUAUAUCAGGAGUACAACUACUAGGGUUUAAAGCUGAUAUGAAAAUGAGAUUUUUCAGAGAGCUGGAAUAAUUUUUUGGAGGUGCGGGCAGAGUGAUAGAACCAAAGUUUAGAUGCAUGAGUUUUUGCAUCAUCCAAAUAUCCUCUGGUGACUGAUCUAUGUAGCUAGAUGGCAUUUCUAGUGUUUCAAGGUUUAAAAGGGUGCAUAGCAGCGAAGGAAGGCGUUUGAGCAAAGGGAUAUUCAAUUUCAAAUACUUCAAAAGGAAUAAAUUUUCUAAUCCGGGUGGAAAUUGGUCGAGAACUGCAGAACCGAAGUUCAGUACCCGAAGGUGUUUGAACUUUUUACAAAAAUUCUCGCAAUCUAUCACAGCGAGAUGAUCGCCUUCUAAACUUUGAUUGAUAAAAGAUUGGAGAUAGAUCUCACCAUGUUCUAAAGAAAUGAAGUCAGUCAGAUGUUCCAAAAUGAUGUAGCGUUUAACAUUUGCAAAUGGUUCCGCUUCCAUUCCAGGCAUCCAGAGAAAUUUCGUCUUGUCUGCCACCAAACCCAAUGAAGUAUAUACAAAACUUGGAACAUAGCAAGCUUUAAUUGUGCCGCCGGCUCUUCUCUUACUCACUUGAAUGAAGCCGCGAUGGAUUAGUUCUUUCAAGUAAUGUUCGGCAGUUUCUUCACCGUUGUAUGGUAUGAAACCUUCAGCUACCCACAACUGAUAUAAUUGCUCCGUAGAUAUCUCCAUACUUGGAGGGAAGACCAACAAAUAGAUGCAGCAGACCUUCAAGUGAAAAGGUAACUCCAUCACAGAAAAAAUUUGUCUCCAAACUGUCGGAAUCGCUUCGCCUUGAAGAUAAUUUUCUAAUGGCAUACUUCCAUAGUGUAGGAUGAAAAAUUGCCAGGCUUCAUGCUUUAAUCUUAUCAAUGGUCCUCCAAUGAGCACUGAAUCACGCCGAAUUUCCUCUCCAUUUUCCAUUUCCAACGACACAAGGAGGUCUGGUUCAGUGACUGUUAUCAAUACUCUGCUUCCAUUCUCAUCAUCAGGGAGAACUUCUUCCAGAUCAUCCCAUAUCUCACAGUCAUCGAAGACGUCAUCAAGCACAAUAAAAUACUUCUUGUUUGUUAGGUAAUCUCGAAGAAUAGAUUCCUUGAAUUGAUAAUCUUCACCGAUAAUUACACUAACCCGAGAUGGAGGCAUCACAGACUUGAUUAUGUCAUCCAAUAUCUUGCGAAAAUCGUAGAGUAGAGAAACCCUGACCCAAGCAAGACAGUCAAAAUAGAACUUGACAUAGUUAUUAUUGUAAGUAUCUGCAGCAAAAGCAGUCUUAUCGAAGCCACUGCUGUCGAGAAUUGCAACCACUGAAAGCCCAGAUGGUCCCUCAAUCAAUAGAUCAAACAACUCCUCUCUGCCCCUUUCAAAUUCACUGAUAUCAAGCCGAGGAUGUCCCUCAUUCAAUAGGCGAAUCAUUUCGUUACUUUUUUCACUGAUAUCAAAACCAUUGUCGCCGGGUGGAAGUUGUUGCAUCCGAUUUCUAAUAUCAAUGAUUUCACUGUGGAGUCCAUCAGGAAGAGCCAUAUUAGUGCUGCUUUCACUUUCGUUUUCACUGUUUUGCUGCUGCAUGAUGUUGAUGAAGAAUGUGUCAAUGACUUCCUCAGAGUCACGGACAAAGUUAUUGAUGUCCUUCAGAAUUUCAAAAAUAUCUGCUGUUUCAACGUCUUCUUCAUCGCUUUCUUCUAAGUCCAACAGUUGCAAAAAAGGCAAAGAUAUUUUGGAGUCAUCGAUAUCUUCUCUAAGGAGUUGAAUCAAAUGCCGAGCCAUGUCGGCUUCAUAGUUUCCCAGAAGAGUAGUAGCAAUAAUUUCGGACUCCGUAAGAAGGUUUUGAAAAAGUGGAGUUAAAUUUGUUGAAUCUGGCAGAGGCAACGUGCCUUCUUCACCUGCUAACACCCUUUUCAACCUCUCACAAAACAGUCGGAGGUGGACGUCCAGCAUAUCUCCUUCUCUCUGUAGCACCCAGAGGUAUUGUUUUUUGCUCCAAGAAAUAUUAAAAGGAUUGGUUCUAUCUAAAAGUGGUUACUGGUGUAAAAUUAAACGCCAUGGGAGAAUUUGAAAGGAAGAUGCCAAGGAACUGGCGAAGUGGCUAAAUUCCACAAAUACGGCAUUAUUGCUCAUUUUUAACUCAAAAAAUUGAUACGCCUUCAUUUAGCGAAAAGUCCAAGACGCUUGCCUUUUGAAAAGAAGAGGUAUCCAUAGAUAUCCAACAUUUAUCUUAUUUUAAUUACUACCACGACAUGAUUGAUGGUUGUUAAAUCAAUUGUUUCUUUUUUAAUUUAAAGAAAUUUUCAUUAAAAAAUAGUUUAAUAGACACAUAAUAUUACAAUAAAUAAAGUAAAGUUUAAAUUAUUUUGAAUAUUAUAAAAAAUAAUUUUAAUAUUAUUAAUAGGAAGACAUUUUGUUAAUUUUAAAAUCUUUUUAACCCAAAGGUUUAUUUAAAAUCUUUAUUAUAAAUACAAAUAUAAAAUUAAAUAUCAUAAUUUAAAAUUUUUAAUAUUAUUUUAAGUAUUAAAAAUAUUUUAAUGUUAUUAGUCUACUACAUAGAUUUUAUUAUUUAUAUUAUAUCUGUAUUGAUUAAAAUUUUUUAAAGUCAAUUUUUUAGUCAAUAUAUUCAAGAGGUAUUAUAGUUAAAGAAAAGAUUUUGGUGUUAUUUUUUGAAAAUUUUAAGGUUUAAAUGAUUUUUUUUUUAAUUUUAAGGAUGUGGGUAUUAUUUUUCCGACAAUUUAUUUUAUUUUUGGGGAAUCCGAUGAGAAAUAUCAUGAGAGAAGGUUAAUUUUACAUUCUUUACCUUUAUGAAAAAAGUGGAAACCAAGAACUAUUCAAUUUUGUAUUUUUUGUUUGUAAUUCAAAAAAUGCAUCCACCAAACAAGCUUAUCUUGAUUUUCCCACUUUAUUCAUUUUCGAUCCUUUAAUCCAUCUAGCAUCUGCAGCCCCCGCUAUUUUCACAAAGAGUAAUGAUACAGCCACAAAUUCUUGUACAAAUUUAUUUUGUAUAAACUGACGUGGCAUGAUAAGAUUGGUUGAAUUAAAUAUCACUUGGCCCACAUGAUUUGUUUUUAUUAUUUUAUAUUUUUAUUCAACCAAUGAAUUAAUGCCACGUCAGUUUGUACAAAAUAAAUUUGUACAAGAGUUUGUGGCUGUAUCAUUACUCUGUCAAGAAUCUCCAUCCCACAGCUACACUAUCAAACAAGUUGAUGGAAAUUGAACAAUUGCUUUUUGAAGUGGACCCAUUAGGUUAUGUUCAUUACUGGUCAUUGUCUAUUCUUUCUAAGAGCCACUUAUUUUGAGCAUUAGCGAUCCUAUCUGGACUACUCCAAUUAUUGAUGUAACUCCAAUGGUUGCAUCAACAGUUGAAUGUAAGAUAGUGUCAGUUCUUUUUUGAGAAUAUAGAGGGAUCUUUAUUUGUUUCUCCGUUGCAGCGUAUUAGUAUAAAUUUCUUGACCUUACAGUUCCUACAGUCUUCCUGUUAAUGAAUUCGCUGAGGCAUUAUUGAUCCAAUCUCAGUGAAGUAAUUGUGGGUGAAAAAAAAAUAAAGGAUAAGAGAACGUAGCUCAAGUGCUGAAUUGACUAUUAAAGAAGAGCGUCACCUGAUCACAAUCACAUUGAUGCACAACUCACUCGAGGCAAAUUUCAUCUAUAUAUACUGCAAAUUCAGCCAAGCCAUGCAUGCAUGAACAAAACUAAAAUGAAGUUCAUAAUCACAACUGUAAUUAGAGCUACAAAAGGUGGCAAACCAUACAUGCAUGAACAAAAUUAGACAUAAAUUGAAGCCACAACAUUAAUUGAAGCCACAAAAGCCAGCAAAUCCAAAUGAAAACUUAAAAGGAAGAUCUUAUCGAAGUUUGUCCCCAAAAGACAGCGGAAAUGAAAAAUAUUGACUAUCGAGUGGAUCAAUGCUGAAUUACAUUUGACCUGGAAAGCUUGGCUGCAGUUGCGAUGUUCCCCCUCUGAUUUUCCCUAAAACAAAUUCAGUUGUAAACAAUAACUGGAGUAGCAACAAUUUAUUCAUUAUAGAAAAUACCUAAAUUUUCAACUAUCAAAUCCUCUUGUCUAAACUAAAAAACUCAUAUCUCUAAAAUCUAUAUACAAAAUGUCAUAAAUGAGGGUGAUCUCUCAAUUCGGUAAACAAAUUCAUGCAUAAUAUUACCAAUAAUGAUAAAUUACAUAAUAAUUAUUAUAAAGAAUCAUAAAUUGGAAACAUUAAUCAUUUUAAAAUCUAUUACAUAAUAAAAAUAAAUCUUAUAAUAAGUUACGUUAGAACAUAACAAAUAUUUAAAAUGAUAUAUAUAAUUAUUUAAGAAGUCUUUUAACAAUAAUUUUUUUUUUCUUUUUCAGUUGAUCAUGUCAUAGCGUUAUCUAAAAUGCUAGCGAUAUCAUUAUUCCCCACUUUUCUCAAAAAAAAGAAAAAGAUAAAGAAAAAAGAAAUAUGAUUAACGUUUGGAGAAAAGUCAUGCCUUUUAAAAAGAAUAUGUAUACAAUACCAAUUCAUACUUUAUCUUACCAUAAAAAAAUUGUUUAAAAUAGAUUUAAUGCACAAAUAUGAUGACUUUUGGCAGAAAUGAGUUUCGGAAAUAUUGGGAUGAAAACCAUAUUGGUUCAGACUUAAAAUUACUUAAUAAAAUUACUUAACUACCAUUUAAUAAAUAAAAAUCAUAUUAGUUGAAAGUUAAAUUAAGAUUUAAAUGUUGAGAUAUCUAACGUUACUCAAUCAGAAUAAACAAUAAUCAAUUCAAAUUAUGACUAUCAUGUAGAAGCAAAUGUUUAUGCUUGGGUCUUUUACUUCUUGAAUUUGAUUGGAAAAAUUUCUGAGACAGGGAAGUGAGUGUUUUGGAUAAUAUUUUUCGGGAUUGAAACCACAAGUUGGUCGAGGAAAAUAAUUUUGGACAAAUUUUUAUUAUAUUGUAGAACCUUUUUGGUUCCUUUUGUGUCGGCAGCCCCUCACUAUUCUCUUAACCCUGAGUUUUGAGAUAGAAAUUUCCCGAACUCCAACCCCACAUCCACAGACAAGUUGAUUGAAACAAUUGCUCUUGUAAUUAAGAGGAUGAGUUAGGGUUCAGUUCUUAUCAUUGUCUGUUAUUUCUUUGAAUCAUUAUCUUAGUUAAUUACAUCAAUUGUUUCUUUUCUUAAUUUAAAGAAUUUUUCUUUUAAAAAAAUAUUUUAAUAUCAAAAUGCGUUAAAUGGUAUUACUGCCGCAAUCCCAGUAACAGGAUUAAUUAAAAAAAUAUUCUUAGGAAGAUAUUUUGUUUAUUGUAAAAUCUUUUUAACCCAAAGGUUUAUUUAAAAUCGUUAUAAUAAAUAAAAAUAUAAAAAAAAAUAAAUAUCAUAAUUUAAAAUUUUAAUAUUAUUUUAAAUAUUAAAAAUACUUUAAUGCUAUUAGUCUACUACACAGGUUAUAUUACUUAUAUUAUAUUUGUAUAAAUUAAAACUUUUAAAGUUAAAUUUUUAAUUACUAUAUUGAAAAGGUAUUAUGGUUAAAAAAAGUUUUGGCAUUUGUUUUUUGAAAAUUUGAGGGUCUGCAUGACAAUUUGUCCAAAUCCUAGAGGUAUAGGUGUCUUUUUUUUUCGAUAAUUCAUUUUACUUUUGAGGGAAUCCGAUGAGAAAUAAGAUAAGAGAAACGUCAAUUUAACGUUCUCUAGGGAAAACCAAGAACUAUUCAAUUUUGUAUUUUUUGUUUGUAAAACAAAAAACAGUUUGCCAAAAAAGGUACCAAACAUAUCCUUAAUGUCUCACAUGAUUUCUUAUUAAGUCCAUACUCGAUAUAUUUAUACAUUUUAGGUAUUUUAGUUAUAAAAGAAGUUGGUCCUCCCUCUGUUUAUAAAAGGUAACUUUAUUUCGAGAUUACCACUAAAGUCUUACAAAGAAUUAGUGUAAUGUUAAGAGAGACUAACACAGUUUUCCAUUACCAUUUUGAAAAUAGAAAGAUAUGGAUGUGUGCAUUUAAUGGUGCGUUUACUUGCCGGAUUGGGGAAUCAGAAUCUGGAAUCAGAAUGAUUGAUGGUGUUUACUUCACAAAUAUGGAGCAGGAAUCGGAAUUGGAAUGGUGGGGCCCACCACUAUUUGGGAAUGGGAGAUUGAUUCCCAUGGGGGAAGGUGGGAAUGAGUCUCUCAUUCCCUGGAUUGACCAUUUUGCCCUCCCUCAAAAUUAAAAAUGCCUACUUUGUCCUCUUUUAUAAUUAAUUAAUAUAAUAUUAUAAUUAAUUAAUUAAUAUAUAAAUAUUUUAUUAACUAUAAUUAUUAAAAAUUAUAGUUCUUGAAUAAAUAAUCACAAUAAUUAAUUUAUUAUUAUUAUUGUUAAUGAAUUAAUAUAAUUAUUACUAUUAAUUAAUAUAUUAAUAUAUUAUUAACAAUAAUAUAUUAAUAAUUAUUGUUCGUGAAUAAAUAAUCACAAUAAUUAAUAUAUUAUUAUUGAAAUUAAUUAAUUAAUAUACUAUUAUAAUAAUUAUUAUAAUUAAUUCAUAUAUUAUUAUUAAUUAAUUAAUAAAAUUAAAAUUAUUAAUUAAAUAAAUAAUAUAAUUAUUACUACUAAUUAAUAUAUUAAUAUAUUAUUAAAAAUAAUUAUUAAUAAUUAUAAUUUUUGAAUAAAUAAUCACAAUAAUUAAUAUAUUAUUUUAAUUAAGUAAUUAAUAUUAAUAUUAUUAGUUAAUAUAUUUUUAUAAUAAUUUUUGAUAUAGUUAUUAUAAUUAAUUAAAAUUUUUUACAAUUAAUUAAUAUAUUAGUUAAUAAUAAUUAUGACAAUAAUUCAUUAAGUACUUUUUAGUAAUUUGUUACAAUCUAAUUCAUUCCGAUUCCGAUUUCAAGACAAAGUAAACACAUUAAUGGCAAUCUAGCUCAUUCCGAUUUCGAUUCUUACAGUUCAAGUAAACAACUUAUUUUGAUUCCCAUUACCUAUUCCCAUUCCAGCCCAUUCUCAUUUCUGCCCAUUUCAAUUCCAGCUCAUUCCGAUUCCAGUUUAGUAAACGCAGCAUAAGAGUUAUCAUGAAAAUCAUACAAUUUAAUUUCCUGAAAUAUAUAUUUUAUUCACAUGUGCCAAAAGAAUAAAUAGAUAGAAAGUAAAUUUACAAUCCUCACUCCCUCAUAAUUGUUAAAGUGAAUAUGCAUUACAACUGUGAACUGUCACUACUUUAGCCCUUUAUUUGUUUUUUCAAUUAUAGUGUGAUGGAGACAGUGAACAUUAAGGAUAAAGUGCUCUGCUGAAAGCCAAACUUCCUUUGGCUAAUUAAUUUAGAAGUAAAGCAGAGAAUAAAGUCCUUGAUGCCUUCUGAAAUUAGAAAUACAUUUUAUAUGCUUUAAUUAUGAUUAUUUGGUAGACUAUUGACCAAAAGACAUGUUAAAGUAUAAAACAGAGCGAUUAAAGAAAAAAAAAAGGAGCGUUUGUGACGUAGAAUAACAAUUUGUAAGCAAAGUCCUAAUUUGAGUUGUCAAAAAGCAAACAUAACAGAGAAGGUAAGAGAGAUGCAAAAACAGAAAACUAUUAGCUUAUCUUGAUUUUCCCACUAUAUUCAUUUUCGAUGCUUUUCAAACGAGAUUCUUUUAAUCCUUCUGGCGUCUGCAGCCCCUGCUCUUCUUAUAAAUCUCCUUCCCACAUCUGCACUACGAACAAGUUGACUAAAAUUAAAUAAUGUUGGAGACGAGGGGUGAGCCGUCAACUUAUUAAAAAAAACUCAUGUAUAAUAUUAUCAAUAAUAUAAAAUAUAUAAUAAUUAUUAUAAAGAAUCAUAAAUUAGAAAAAUUAAUUAUUUUACAAUUUAUUUCUUAAGUAAGAUAAAUCUCGUAAUAAGUUAAGUUUAAUGUAAAAAAUAUUUUCAAUUUAUAAUCAUUUAAGAAGUCAUUUAACAAUAAAAUCUUUUUUUUGAUCAGGUGGCCAUGCCAUAGAGUAUCAUCUAUAUUCGUGGUGAUAUUAUUAUUACUCAAUAUCCUCAAAAGACACUAUUUAACAUUUAGAGAAAAUUUCUGCCUUUUAAAAAGAACAUGUAUGCAAUAGCUAGCCACACUUUAUUUUACCACGACAAAAUUGAUAGUGAUUAAAUCAAUUUUCUCAAUUAAAGAAAUUUUUUUUAAAUUGAUUUAAUGCACAAAUAUGAUGAGUUUUUGCAAAAAUUAGUUUUGGAAAAUAUAGUGAGAGAGAAUGGUGACGAUUAUUUUUCAGAUGUGCAAAUAGCCUAAACAUAAUCUCUAAUACCAAUAUCCUUGUGCAUCUUAACACCUUUCAUGAUAUUCUUUCAUUCAUAACCAUUUGUUCAAUAUUUGAAUUUGAUUAUUAAAUUAUGUUCAAUAAUGUUAGAGACCCCAACAAUUGGGUACCAACUUAAAUCCCAAUGCUAUGUGUCAAUGUAACAUAGCAAAAUCCCAUUAACAAAUGUUGUGUCAUUUAUCAUUAUUGAAUGAAUAAUUCGUUAAUUUAUUGAUAAAUGAAAAUUUAUUAAUUUAAAGAGAGAUUUUUUUUUUUGGUUUUAAGAAGAGUUUUGUUGGUACAUGUACAUACUUAUAAAGGAAAAACUUGUAAUUAUACUAUAUCUUUCUUUCUUUGUUCAGUUUGGUGGGAUAUUGUGAUAAAUCAUUGGAUUAAAAUGCAUUUCUAAAUUGAAACUUGUUAAAAUCUAAUUUAUUUGGGAAACGCAUAUUAUUUGUCAGUCGUACUUCUCAACUUAGCAAGUUAUUUCUAACUUGUCGGUCUCUAUUGGUUCUCUUAAAACUAAUAGUCUCGUAUCUCCCGCAUUUGAUAUCUUGCCAUUACUGUUGGCAUUAACAUGUUACCUGAGAUUGGGAUUCAUUAAAAUCCUCAAUGUAAUCGGUGGAACGAAUGGAUUUCUUCUGUUCACCAAUCCACCAAAAUUUCUGUAAUUAAAUUCAAAAGUCAAGAUCUAUGCUUAUAAUCUAUUCAACAGCUAAUAUUCUAUUUUAUAUUUACUUAAAUAUGAAGAGCUAUGCUUGUAGUUAACUUCAAAUGUGAUCGAAGCAGCCUUACAUCUAUAUAUUACUUAUGCCCAACCUUUUUUUUUGACUUCAUAUACAUUCUUUUCAUGUUAUUUACUCUUUUUUCCCCCUCUCUGACAAUUGAGGUAGGGGGUCAAACUUGAAAGUAUCUUAAAAUCAGACAAUAAUUUUUUUUUUUUAAAGAUAGCUACUAAUAUGCUCUAUUAGACAAUGAUAAGUAAUAACCUAGUUGUUUGCAUUAGAAAUGAUAUUUUUUGUGGUGCUGAUAAAGAGGUUGAUUAUGAUUCAACAAUUUAAAAUAUGAAAACAUGUGGAAGACGGCCGCAAUUAAAUUGAUUGUAUGAAAAUAUUUCAAUGAAAUUUUAAAAGUUUAGUACUUGUUAUCUUAUCGAGAGUUUUUUUAAAUUAUAUUACUACUUGAACUUGACUGCUUUUGUAUUGAAUUCCUACCGUUGCCAUUGCUUCUACUCAAAAGCCAUUUAAGUUUGUGUAAGCUACCUAUAGUUUGAACAACAAUUUACUCAUGAAUUGUUGUUCAUAUUAGCAAUUUGAUUGAAAGUGCGGCUGCACUAAUUUUCUAGAUGAAUUUUUUCCUACAUGCUUGUUCUCGUAUGACCCAAAAUCCUACUACAUCAGUUGUAUUAGAAAUUAAUCAACUGGGUUACAAUUAUGCAUCCCCACCAAUAUUUAAGCAAUUUAAUUACAGAAAUAUUUCUUGAGGAAAGAAACUCAUAUCGCCACUAGGCUUGUAAUGAGGCUCAUUUUUAUGAAUCUGGAUGGCAUUAGAUAUCUCUACGAAUAUUGGUGGGAGUAGAUCGCAGAUCUCUGGGCUAUACUACAAAGUUUAUGUACGUUGACUCUCAAUAAAUACAAACGAUUCUCUGAUAUGAUUCAAACAUCAGUGCAUGCAUCAUUUUAAUGAGAAAGAAUAUUCUAAGAACGAAAUUGAAGGUGCAAUCAGCAGCUAAAAUGAAGCCAGAAAUGUACAUGCAUGAGGAAUUUUUCCUAGAAGAUUGAUAUUUCUUUGACUAGCAAACCAUACAAGUCCAAAGCUAGCCAAACCAUACCUGCAAGGUGGGGGUUUAAAUGGAAUACUUCUAAGCAUAAAACAUUGAUUAAAACAGAAUACACACAUACAUACCAGCAAAUUCAAAAUAGCAAGAGGAGUGCAAAAGUUCAAGUUUGUAGACAACAUUGCAACCAUGGCAAGUUUAUAGCAAAUCCUCGAAAUCUGCUAAAUAAAACAAUGCCCUGUCUCAUGAAUCAAUGCUUAAUUAAAAUUGAAACUGAAAGUCUGGCUGACGUUGUUUCCCUCUCCAAUUUUGCCUACAUAAGUGAAAAUAAGAAUAAUAAAUGAAAAUCUGCUUUUACAGUUCUUAUUAGAUAGAUAUAAAUGGAUCUUUCUUUGUUUCUCUGCUGUAUUUUGUGGCUAUCCCACUCUGUUUUGCCAGUCAAGCUGAGUCUAUGUUGAGACAUAAUUUUGACAUCAGAAGCAAUCUCAAUUAGUUUGGCACUUUUAUGACCUCCUUAAAGGUUUUACAAUAAACAUAAAUCUACUGAGAAAGUGGGAAAAAAAAGAAAAUGCAUAUAAAAAUAUGAGUUAUCAGAUAAGAUUAAAACUCACCCAAUUCAAUCCAUCAGAUUCCGUAAGGAUAUAACUGGAUGUCAUACCGCCACUCCAUAUCCUUGAAAGUCCGUAGUGUUUGUCUCAACUCUGUCUGAGGCCAAUGUAAAUUCAAUUUGCGCAAGCUCUUUAUGCACCACAGCUCUUCUGGAAGCUUUCUCAAGUAAGCACAUGGGUUGACGAUUAAGCUUUCAAGUUUCGGCAUUGCUCCAGCCCCCAUCGUCCACUCAUCUAGCCAAUACAUUGAUUUCAGGUGCAAAACCUUAAGUUCGGGAAAGCUACUCAAGCCAACACAAGCAAGCUUUCUUCCUAAAUACGAGUUCUGCUUCAGUUUCAGCACUCGAAGGCGUGGAAGAUUUUCCAGAAUUGGCAUGGGAUCCUCCAUUAGCUCAGUAUUUGAUAAGCUCAGUUGGAUCAGACUUGGGGGAAAUUGGUAUUCAGACAGGACCAUCCGUGAGGGCUUGCUCUCAUUCACCAGCUUCAAGCAUUCAAGUUUGUGGACUUCGCAAAGGCUUUUGGAAACCCCAGAUUGAUAGUAACUCAAAUCUCCAGAUAUCCGAAGAGUCUGAACACUAGGUAGUCUGCCCAAUAUUUCAGGAGUACAACUACUAGGGUUUAAAGCUGAUAUAAAAAUGAGUUUUUUCAGAGAGCUAGAAUAAUUUUUUGGAGGUGCGGGUAGAGUGAUAGAACCAAAGUUUAGAUGUAUGAGUUUUUGCAUCAUCCAAAUAUCCUCUGGUGACUGAUCUAUGUAGCUAGAUGGCAUUUCUAGUGUUUCAAGGUUUAAAAGGGUGCAUAGCAGUGGAGGAAGGCAUUUGAGCGAAGGGAUAUUCAUUUUCAAAUACUUCAAAAGAUAUAAAUUUUCUAAUCCAGGUGGAAAUUGGUCGAGAACUGCAGAACCGAAGUUCAGUACCCGAAGGUGUUUGAACUUUUUACAAAAAUUCUCGCAAUCUAUCACAGCGAGAUGAUCGCCUUCUGAACUUUGAUUGAUAAAAGAUUGGAGAUAGAUCUCACCAUGUUCUAAAGAAAUGAACUCAGUCAGAUGCUCCAAAAUGAUGUACCGUUUAACAUUUGCAAAUGGUUCCGCUUCCCUGUCAGGCAUCCAGAGAAAUUUCGUCUUGUCUGCCAUCAAACCCAAUGAAGUAUAUACAAAACUUGGAACAUAGCAAGCUGUAAUUGUGCCGCCGGCUCUUCUCUUACUCACAUGAAUGAAGCCGCGAUGGAUUAGCUCUUUUAAGUAAUGUUCGGCAGUUUCCUCACCGUUGUAUGGAAUAAAGCCUUCAGCUAUCCACAACUGACAUAAUUGCCUGGUAGAUAUCUCAAUGCCUGGACGGAAGACACACAAAUAAAGGCAGCAGACUUUCAAGUGAAAAGGUAACUCCAACACAGAACAAAUUCGACUCAAGAGUGUCAAAACCACUUUUUCAUCCAUAUAAUUUACUAAUGGGGCACUUCCAUAGUGUAGGAUGAAAAAUUUCCAGGCUUCAUGCUUUAAUCUGAUCAAUGGUCCUCCAACAGGCACUGAAUAAAGCGGAAUGAUCCCUCCAUGCUCCAAUUCAAAAAAGGUAAGGAGGAAUGGAUCAGUGACCAAUAUCAAUACUCUGCUUCCAUUCUGCUUAUCAGGAAGAACUUCUUCAAGAUCAUCCCAUAUGUCACUGUCAUUGAAGACAUCAUCAAGCACAAUAAAGUACUUCUUGUUUGUCAGGUAAUCUCGAAGAAUAGAUUUCUUCAAGUGAUAAUCUUCACCGAUAAUUACCCUAGCCCGAGAUGGAGGCAUUAAAGAAUUGAUUAUGUCAUCCAAUAUCUUGCCAAAAUAGUAGCCUAUAGAAACCCUUACCCAAGCAAGACAGUCAAAAUAGAACUUGACAUGAUUAUUAUUGUAAAUAUCUGCAGCAAAAACAGUCUUAUGGAAGCCAUUGCUGUCGAGAAUUGCAAUCACUGAAAGCCCAGAUGGUCCCUCAAUCAAUAGAUCAAACAACUCCUCUCUGCCCCUUUCAAAUUCACUGACAUCAAGCCAGUGUUGUCCCUUACUCAAUAGGCGAAUGAUUUUGUUACUUUGUUCAGUGAUAUCAAAACCAUUGUCGCUGGGUGGAAGUUGUUGCAUUCGAUCUCUAAUAUCAAUGAUUUUACUGUGGAGUCCAACAAGAAGAGCCAUAUUAGUACUGCUUUCACUUUCGUUUUCACUGUUUUGCUGCUGCAUGAUGUUGAUGAAGAAUGUGUCAAUCGCUUCAUCAGAUUCAUGGACAAAGUGAUUGAUGUCGUCCAGAAUUUCCAAAAUGUCCCGUCUUUUUACGUCUUCAUCAGUGUCUUCUAAGUCUAACAGUUGCAGACAAAGCCAAGCCAUUUCAGCUCCAUUGAGUUGUUCUCUAAUGAUGCGUCGAAUCACACGACGAGUCAUGUCACCUUCAUAGUUCCCGAGCAGAGUAGUAAUAAUUUCAGUCUCCGUAAAAAGGUUUUGAAAAAGCGGGGCUAAGUUUGUUGAAUCAGGCAACGUUAACGUGCCUUCUUCACCUGCUACCACCCUUUUCAACCUCUCACAAAAUAGUCGGAGGUGGACGUCCAGCAUAUCUCCUUCUCUCUGUGGCACCCAGAGGUAUUGUUAUUUGCUCCAAGAAAUGUUAAAAGGAUUGGUCCUAUCUCAAAGAGGUUAGUGGUGUAAAGUUAAACACAAUGGAAGAAUUUGAAAGGAAUAUACCAAGAAACUGUGUAAGUGGCUAAAUUCCACAAAUAUGGCAUUGUUGCUCAUUUUUAACUCAAAAAAAUACACGUUAAUUUAGCGAAAAGUCCAAGACACGUGCUUUUUGAAAAGAACAGGUAUCCCAAUAGGUAUCCAACCUUUAUCUUAAUCAAUUACUACCAUGACAUACUUGAUGGUGCUUAAAUCAAUUUUUCUUUUCUUAAUGUAAAGAUUUUAUUUUUUUAAAACAGAUUUUAAUAUCAAGAAAAAAUAUCACUCGUAUAUCCUUAAAUGACACUUGUAUCAAACGUACUACAACACUUUUAACAUGUAUCACUUGUAUACCUUAAGUUGACAAAUUGUGUCUACCAUCCACCAAACCGUUAGUUGCCGUUUGCAAGCGCUGACAUCAUAAAGGUAAUCUAGUCUUUUCAAAUGGAAGAAACUUUGAUUAAAAAAACGACAUGUCAUCCCAUUUACCUCGUAAAAAAUGACAUAUCAUAUGAUAUAUAUUGACAAAAAAUGACAUGUCAUCCCAUUUAUCGGAAGAUGAUGUCAUCUAUGUGAAACAACGUUGUUUCAACGGGACUAAAAAAAAAAUGAUACUCCACAACCGAAUCGACUCCUCCAAACUUUAACUUGAAUAUUUGAAGAUCUACUCAUCCAAGCUCCAACUGGAAUUUUUUAUGGUAUAAUAUGUUGUUAAUAAUUUUUUAUGGUAUAAUAUGGAUUAUUUUUUAUGGAUAAUUGUUAAUAAUACGUACCAUUAAUAAUUCAUUUUUUAAUAAAAAAUGUAUUGUUAAUAAAAAAUAAAAAAUAUAUUGAAAAUUUACGUUAAUUUUUUGGGCAAAUAUGUAUUUUUACCUUAUUUUGAGUUUCAAGGGCGAAAUAGUCAAUUUGUCAUAAUUCUGUUAACUUUCUAAUGGUAGCUAACAGUUUGGUGGACAGCAGACACAUUUUGUCAACUUAGGGUGUACGAGUAAUACAUGUUAAAAGUGCUGCAAUACGUUUGAUACAAGUGUCAUUUAAAGGUAUAUGAGUGAUACAUGUUAAAAGAGUUGUAGUACAUUUGAUACAAGUGUCAUUUAAGGGGAUAUAAGUGAUAUUUUCCCUAAUAUCAAAUUGCCUUCGAUGUUUUUACAGCUACAAGCUCAGUAACAGGAUUAAUUAAAAAGUUUAGAAUUGUUGGGCGUGCAAAGAGUAGUUUUAAACACCAGAAAGCAAAGGUUGUUAUUGACAUAAUUUUAUUUUUGUUUUCGAGGGAAUUUGUUUUUUUUGUUGACAAGAAAAUAGUAUUAUAUUUUACAAUCUAUUAUACAUAUUUUAUCAUAUUAAAGUAAUUUUAAUAUUAAAUGGAAACAUUAAAUUUAAAUUAAUUAAUUAAAAAUUGAAUUAUUUUGAAUAUUAUGUAAAAAAUUAUUUUAAUAUCAUUAAUAAGGAGAUAUUUUGUUAAUUGUAAAAUAUUUUUAACCCAAAUAUAUAUUAAAUUUUUUAUAAUAAAUACAAAUACAAAUAUAAAAAUAAAAUAAAUAUCAUAGUUUAAAAUUUUAAUGUUAUUUUAAAUAUUAAAAAUAAUUUAAUGCUAUUAGUCUAUUACACAGGUUAUAUUAUAUUUGCAUUAAUUAAAAGUUUUAAAGUCAAUUUUCCAGUUUCUAUAUUCAAAGGUAUAAUGGUUAAAAGAAAGUUCUUGGUGUUUCUUUUUAAAAAUUUGAGGGUCUUAAUGAUAAUUUUUCUAAAUCGUAAGGGUAUAGGUGUCUUUUUUUCCGAUAAUUUAUUUCACGGGUAUCCAAUAAGAAACAUGGUAAGAGAACGUCAAUUACUUAUCAUUUUCUAUUUUUUCUAUGAGUCAUUUAUUUUGAGCAUUAGUGAUCUUAUCUGGACUACUCCAACUAUUGAUGCAACUCCAGUGGCUGCAUCCACAGUUAAAUAUAUGAUAGUGUUAGCUCUUAUUUGAGAAUUUAGAGGGAUCUUUCUUUGUUUCUCUGUUGCAAUGUGCUAGUAUAAAUUUCUUUACCUUAAAAUUUAUAUAGUCUUGCAGUUAAAGAAUUCACUGAGGCAUUGUUGAUUCAAUUUCAGUGAAGCAAUUGUGGGUGAAAGAUAAAUGAAGGAAAAGAGAACAGAGCUGAAGUGCUAAAUUGGCUAUUGAAGAAGGAUGUCACAUGAUCACAAUCACAUUGAUGCACAACUCUCUGGAGGCAAAGUUUGUCUAUAUGUACUCUGAAUUCAGCCAAGCCAUACAUGCAUGAACAAAAAUUAAACCGUAGUUCUAAUCACAACAGUAAUUGAAGCUACAAAAGCCAGCAAAUCUGAACGAAGACUUAAAAGAAAGAUCUUAUUCAAGUUUGUCCCCAAAAGACAGCUGAAAUGAAAAAUAUUGACUGUUGAAUGGGCCAAUGCUGAAUUACAUUUCAAAUGGAAAGCUUGGCAGCAGUUACAAUGUUUCCCCCUCUGAUUUUCCUCCAAAACAAAUUCAGUUGUAAACAAUAACCGAAGUAGUAAUAAUUUAUUCAUCAAAGAAAAUGCCCCCAAGUUUUCAAUUAAAAAAUCCUCUUGUCCAAACUAAAAGAACUCAUAUCUCUAAAAUUUAUUUGCAAAAUGUUGGAAAUGAGGAGUGAUCCGUUAACUCUGUAAAUAAACUCAUGCAUAAUGUUAACAAUAAUGAUAAAUUACAUAAUAAUUAUUAUAGAGAAUCAUAAAUUGGAAACGCUAAUCAUUCUACUAUUAUAUAAGUAAGAUAAAUAUCAUAAUAAGUUAAGUUAUAAUGUAAUAAAUAUUUGCAAUAUAUAAUUAUUUAAGAAGUCAUUUAACAAUAAAAUAUUUUUUUAUCCAGUUGAUCAUAUAGCGUUAUCUAAACUCUUGACAAUAUUAUUAUUACUCACUUUUCUCAAAAAAACAUGAUUAACUUUUAGAGAAAGUCAUGUCUUUGAGAAAGAAUAUGUAUACAAGCUAUCCAUACUUUAUCUUACUGUGACAAAAUUGAUGGUGAUUAAUUGUAUUUUUUAAAAUAGAUUUAACGCACAAAUAAGAUGACUUUUGGCAAAAAUUAUUUUCGGAAGAUAUAGUGAUAGAAAAUAGUGAUGAUAAUUAUUGUUUAAAUGUGUAAAUAGCCUAAGCAUAGCCCGUAAUACCAAUAUUCAUUUGCACCUUGAAAGAAACUUAGUUCUAUAUUGUUUGGCAAGCAAGAAAGUAAAGGAAAAUGAAAGAGAACUCUAAAGAACCUUUUUUAUUAUACUCAGAUAUCUCAACUUAAUGAAUACUGAUUGACAUUUAUACUAAGCUACAAUCUUCACUACACACACGAGUUUGUAACAUCACAUAACCAUUUGCUGCAUAACUAACUUUACACAUCAGCUCAACCAGCUAACUAACUUUGACAGGUCAGCUCAGUGAGUUGAUCUGCUACAACCAGCUACACAGCAACAGCAUGCUCUGCUCCAGCUAUACAGCAACAUCAUGCUCUGUUCCAGCUUUAUCCGCUCUGCUUUGCUCUGCUCCAGCUUUGACAGGUCAGCUCAGUGAGUUGAUCUGCUACAACCAGCUACACAGCAACAACAUGCUCUGCUCCAGCUAUACAGCAACAUCAUGCUCUGCUCCAGCUUUAUCCAAUUCACUAACAUCCCCCCUCAAGCUAAAAUGUUUAGGAUGAACAUUCAGCUUGCUUCUGAAGUAACUGAAUUGUUUGAAAGUAAGAGCCUUAGUUAACACAUCUGCUGUUUGAUCUGGACUAGGCACAUAGCAUACUGCAACCUCUUUAGCAGUGACCUUAUCUCGGAUAAAAUGUAUAUCCAAUUCAACAUGCUUAGUCUUAGCAUGAUAAACUGGAUUAUAAGCUAAAGCAAUUGCUCCUUGAUUAUCACACCACAUUAUAGGAGUGGAGCUUAAUGUGAUACUAAGUUCACCAAGUAAGGAUUUAAUCCAGGUAACCUCUGAAGCAGCAUGGGCAAGAGAUCUAUACUCAGCUUCUGUGCUGGAUCUGGAAACAACAACUUGUUUCUUUGACGACCAGGAAACAAGAUUAGGACCUAGAUAAACAGCAAAGCCAGCCACUGACUUCCUAUCAUCAUGAUCACAAGCCCAAUCAGAAUCUGAAAAACAAUGUAAUUGCAGAGCUCCUUGAUUGUAGAAAUGCAGCCCCAGAUGGAUAGUGCCUUUUAAGUACCUCAAUAACCUUUUACAUGCUUCCCAAUGUUGAGUUCUAGGACUGGAAAGGAACUGACUUAACUUGUUUACAGAGAAGGCAAUGUCAGGUCUGGUAAGAGUAACAUAUUGAAGAGCUCCUAUAACACUUCGAUAUUGAGAAACAUUUUCAAGUGGCUCUCCUGAGUCUUUGGUGAGAUAAAAGCCUGUAGACAUUGGAGUUGGCACAGGACUGCAGUCUGUCAUGCCAUGUUUAUCCAGAAUAUUAGCAAUGUACUUUGCUUGUGUCAAGGAAACCCCUUGUGAAGAUUUGCUGACUUCAAUCCCCAGAAAAUAGUGAAGUUCCCCCAGGUCUUUUAAAGCAAAAGCUUGAUGCAUAUGCUGGAUAACUUGUUGAAUUAUGGAUGGACUGGAACCAGUGAUGAUAAUAUCAUCAACAUAGACCAAAACAACAGUUAGAUGACCACUGUUCCAGGCAUAAAAGAGAGAGUUAUCAGACCUGGAAUGCUGAAAAUGCCACUUGGAGAUCAUUGCAUCCUUAAACCUAUCAAACCAGGCUCUAGGAGCUUGUUUUAAGCCAUACAAAGCCUUAUUUAGCUUGCAGAUAUGAUUAGGUUUAGUUGAAUCAACAAAACCUUGAGGUUGAGCCAUGUACACAUCUUCAAUUAAAAUGCCAUUUAGAAAGGCAUUGUUAACAUCCACCUGCCUUACAACCCAGUGACUCAAUACUGCUAAGCUAAGAAUAACUCUAACAGUGGAGGACUUAACCACUGGACUGAAGGUUUCUGUGUAGUCAAUCCCAUGUGUCUGAUGAAACCCUUUAGCCACAAGCCUGGCUUUAUACCUUGAAACUGAACCAUCUGAGUUAUACUUUACUCGAAAUACCCACUUGUUGCCAACUAUCUUCACUGGAGUAGCAGGUAAGACUAAAUCCCAGGUGUGAUUGGUUUUAAGAGCUAGAUACUCUUCUUGCAUAGCUUUAUACCACAUAGGAUCAGAAAGUGCUUUGGAAACAGAGGUUGGUUCUGACUUCUGAGCUAGUAAAGCUGACAAGUAGAUCUUGGGCUUGAAGAUACCUGCUUUUGACCUGGUUAUCAUUGGAUGACCAGAUGAUGCAGGUUGUGACAAGGUAUGUGGAGGUGAAUGAUGGGAUGGUGAAGAAGGAGAAGAAGAAGUGGAAUUGAAAUUAUCAGAAAAGUAAACUGGAGUAGAAUUUGGGAAGGAAAUAGAAGCAUGUGACUGAGAAUCAUUAAGAAGAUAUUCUGAUGAUGCUGCUAAAGGUGCUUGUAACUGAGUAACAAAAGGAGUAGAAGAAUUAAAAGAAGACUCAGAAUGAGUUGAUGACUGACAGUUUGAAGAAACUGAAGAAAAAUCUGUUCCUGACUCAUAAGGAAAAGAACGUUCAUAAAAGGUUACAUGAUUUGAAAUAUAGACCCUCCCAGAAGAGUGAAGACACUGAUAUCCCUUGUGUUGUGAACUGUAGCCAAUGAAUAUACAUCUAGCUGUUCUGAAAUCAAACUUAUGUCUAUUGUAUGGUCUGAGUGUUGGAUAACAAGCACAGCCGAAAAUUUUAAGUGUUGAAUAAUCUGGUUGGGAAUGAAACAACUUUUGAAAAGGAGAAAUGCUGUUUAGAACUGGAGUUGGAAGUCUGUUUAUCAAGUAGACAGCUGUAUGGAAUGCAUUCCACCAAAAUUUGAGUGGUAAAUGUGCUUGAGCUAAUAAAGUCAGUCCUACAUCAACUAUGUGUCUAUGUUUCCUCUCAAUUUUUCCAUUUUGAUGAUGAAUGUGGGGGCAAGGAUGUCGAAAAUGGAUGCCAGAAGUGGUGAGUAAUGAUGAAAAUGUUCUGAACUCCCCUCCCCAGUCAGUUUGGACAGUUUUGAUGGAAAGUUGAAGAUGCUUCUCAAUGAAUAUUUUGAAAUUGGUAAAAACUUCAAGAGCAUCAGAUUUUGCUGAUAAGGGAAAAAUCCAGGUAAACCUACUGUAAUCAUCUAGGAUUGACAAGUAGUAAUUAUAUCCUUGGGUAGAACAAACAUGAGAAGGGCCCCAAAGAUCUGCAUAUAUCAGUUGUAAAGGUGCUGAAGUUUUUGUUUCUACUGAAUCAAAAUGCAGCAUGUGAUUUUUACCAUAUUGGCAUGCUGAACAAAAUUUCAAACUGUCAACUUUAUUAAAAGCAGUAGAGUUGUUACAAGCUUUGAGAAUGGUUUUGAGAGUAUAAGAUGCUGGGUGUCAUAAUCUUCUAUGAAGAAGAUUUACAUCAAUAGAACCCUUUACAACAACUGACAGACAUGACUUUUUAUUCAACUCAUAAGAGCUAACAGUAGAGAGCUGAGCAGAAUUAAAAACAGGAGAACAAGCAAAAAGAGACUGAAUUUUGUUUUGACCAACUGAACUGAGAAAGACUGAAUGAACAGCAGCAUGAGAAGAGACUUUAUACAAGCUGUUGUGCAAAUUUUAAUGUACUCGCAAGCGCACGAAUCUAUUAUAGUAUAGAUCAAUGGUGACGAGUGUCGAUCCCACGAGGAGGUAGAUUUUAAUUGUGUAUAGAAUUAAUUUUGCAAAUGGUUGAUUGGAUUUGUAGUGGAAAUGAUUAGGAAUAUGCUAAAACUUAAAUUAAAAUGGCGAGAAUAAAUUCUAAAAUUGGAAUUGCAAUGGCGAGAAUAAAUUGAAGAGAAAUGUAUUGAAAUGACGUACUUGGGUAUCUGGAUCCGUAUCAACAUGCAUCAUGGGCUAAAUAAUCCGUAUUAAUGCCAAUUAAAUCAUGAGGGGGGAAUCCACACCUCAUGAACCACGCUCUAAUCAAUAUGGUGCUAAGGGCUUAUCGUGCCAAAUAAUAAUAACCUUAUACUAGAGAGCCGGUGUAACCAAGGCGGUAUCUAGACAAGAUCAGUAUUAUUUGUCGACGAUAAGUCAAAUCAUCCACAAAAACUAGAGGGGAAAAGAAAAUAAAUUUACCAAAUAAAGCCCAUGACACAUGUUGAGACUUCACCUUCAACCCAAGCUUGAAAGGAAAUUAGCUACUCAUAAUUGAACUAGGGGCAAAAUGGGAAUUUAUUAAAAUACAAAGAAAAUACAAGAUGGAGAGGGAAUUACAGAAAAUGGAUCCCAAAAAUGGAUUCAGAGAUAUCAAAUUAGGGGGGGAGGCCCAUUUUUUAUAGAUACAUGGAGUAAAUCAUGGCCAUCGGAUUAAAAACAGUUUGGACGCUCAGGAUUGCGCCACGUCAUCAGUCAACAGUCAACGGUUUGACCACGCGGAUGAACAGUAACAUGGUUUGGUUGAAAAUAAUCCUGUGUGAUGCAUACACCGUACGCGAGAUUUUUCGUCCACUGAUAUGCUGCCACGUCACCAUCAACAGUACAUAAGAAUUUUAGUCCAACAGGAUCGUGACACCUCAUCAGUCAAUGCCACAUCAUCGGUCAAUGCCACGUCAUCGAUCCGUCUAUGUGAACAGUGUCGUGAACAGUAACGUAGACAGUACCGUAUACGUGAAUAGUACCGUACAUGUGAAUAGUGCCAUUUUUCCUUUUAUGCUCCUCCUAAGGUUUUCGACCGUCCUGAGUUCAAAAGUGAUGUCCGUUUUGCCGUCUGAUCUCUCCUUUAUUGUGAAAUGACUAUAAUGCCCCUAAAAUACAUAAAAUACUUAAUUAAAAUAACACACACGUAAUUACAUCACAAGAGGGUUAAAUACAUAAAAGUAAGGGUUGUUAGUAAGACUUGAAACGUAAAAUGACGGUUUUCUCCUUUAUAAAUAUGCAUUUUCUAACACUCAACACAAGCCACCUUUAGCAACACCUUCAAGUAAAAUUUUCCCUGUGUUCCUGGCCUUUAUAAAACACAAAUUACCAAGAAAUUCAACAGUAACUGGAUUGUCAGCCAACAAUUUUGAGAUGCUAAGCAAAUUCUUAGUAAUAAAAGGGACAUGAAGAACAUGGUUAAGAAAUAAGGAUUGAGAAGCUGAAGUAUUUAGCACAACUGACCCUACAUGUGUAAUAGCUAAUGCAUUUCCAUCUCCAACAAAUAACCUUUCAGUACCAGUGUAAACUUUUGAAUCCAGAAGCUUACCUAGAUCAUUGGUAAUAUGAUUUGUUGCUCCACUAUCAAUAUACCAGGAAGGAUCUUCAAUGUGUUCAGGUGGGAGUGAAGAAGACAUAGCAGAGGAGGAGGAAGCACUUGACUGUUCCAGAUUAUUAUGUCCUAGACAGAAACAAAAUUAGAUGAUCCAGGGUUGAAUGAGAAAUAAGCAGAUGGGUUGCUUUCUGGAUAUACUAUAUUUCCUUGAUAGCCAAAACCCCUGGGGGCAUUACCAAAACCAACAUUUUGUCCAAAACCAGCAUUUGAACCAAAACCUCCAAAACCUCUUCCACUAUUACCAUUAAAGGCUCUUCCUCGACCAUAUUGCCCUUGAUUAAAACCUCUGCCACCAUUCAUAUUACCUCUACCAUGGUUCCUCUGUGGAACAAAAGAUGAGUUGUACCUAUUUCUGCAUUUAUAGGCUGCAUGACCAGGUAUGAAGCAAAUUUGGCAAACAACUUCAGAGAAAUUACUAUUAUUAUUAAACUGACCAUAUCCAUAUCCAGAAUUAUUACCACCUCCAGAGUUAUUUCCAUACUGUUUCUGAAAAUUUCCAUUAUUCUUUCCAGCAUAUGAGUUCUUCUGAACAAUAUUUGCUGUCAUGUUAUGCAUCACAUCACCAGCAAUUUUUCCUUUCUUUUGCUCAACUCUAUUUUCAUGAUUCAACAGCAAAGAAUAUAGUUCAUCUAAUGUUAUCUUUUCACCUCGAGCUAACACAGCAGUGACUAAAGAUUCAUAAUCUGAUGAAUCAAGACCAGUUAAUACAUGCAUCACAAGAUCAUUUAACUCAACAGGUUUUCCAGCUAGAGCUAAAGUAUCAGCUAUACGUUUUACUUUUACAAAGUAAUCAGACAUAUGCAUUGCACCUUUCUUAAUAGUUUGAAUCUGCAUUCUAAGUGUUUGAAUUCUAGCUUGUGAUUGAGAGAUAAACAUACUAGCAAGAGUCUCCCAAAGCUGUUUUGAGGUUGUUGAGUCAAUCACAGUAGCAAGCAGAUUUUGUUGUAUCAAUGACAUCAUCCAACUCAGCAGAAGUUGAUCAGCCUUCAUCCAAGCUACGAACUCUGGAUUAACAGAUCUGGAUCCAGAUUCAGUAACAGAUCUGGAUCCAGAUUCAAUUAAGAUUUCAGCUCCAUUGUUGUUGCCAGAAGAAAGAAACUGCUCAGGACAUUCUCGAUCACCAUUGAUAAAACCUUCCAAACCAUUUCCUUUGAUCGAAGCUAGAAUUUGUGUGCGCCACAAAAUAUAGUUGUUUUGAUCUAGCUUUACAGGCGUAACAAAACUAAAAGAGUUGUUGUUUUGAACUGUAUUUGCCAUUUAUGGCUCUGAUACCAUGAAAGAAACUUAGUUCUAUAUUGUUUGGCAAGCAAGAAAGUAAAGGAAAAUGAAAGAGAACUCUAAAGAACCUUUUUUAUUAUACUCAGAUAUCUCAACUUAAUGAAUAUUGAUUGACAUUUAUACUAAGCUACAAUCUUCACUACACACACGAGUUUGUUACAUCACAUAACCAUUUGCUGCAUAACUAACUUUACACAUCAGCUCAACCAGCUAACUAACUUUGAUAGGUCAGCUCAGUGAGUUGAUCUGCUACAACCAGCUACACAGCAACAGCAUGCUCUGCUCCAGCUAUACAGCAACAUCAUGCUCUGCUCCAGCUUUAUCCGCUCUGCUCUGCUCUGCUCCAGCUUUGACAGGUCAGCUCAGUGAGUUGAUCUGCUACAACCAGCUACACAGCAACAGCAUGCUCUGCUCCAGCUAUACAGCAACAUCAUGCUCUGCUCCGGCUUUAUCCAAUUCACUAACACACCUUCAUUUGUGUUAUCACAUUUCAUGAUAUUCUUUCAUUUAUGACCAUUGUUCAAGAUUUUAAUUUGAUUAUAAACUAAGUUGCAAGGGAGCUUACUUCAGUUUCUAAGCUUUUCAAUCGUGAUUCCUGCAUGCCAAACGUAACUGACCUUAUAAUUGGUCUGUAUAAGAAAUCAAGCCCUUUCAGGAUCGUUUUCUUUUUCUCCCUAUUGUAGUAGUCAACUAAAUAAAGAAUGAACAACUAAACUUGGUCUAUUUCGAGGAAGACUAAGGCUUCCAAUACUAGAUGAACUUUGAAGAAAAUUAAUCCGUUGUUUUUAUUCAUCUUUGGACUAUGAAUUUAUACAAAGACUUUAACAGAAAAUAACAAAGACACAGCUAAAUGAUAGCAAUAAGUGCUGACUUGGUGGACCACUUCUGCAAGUAAAUAAAAACUAAAUAUUUAUUUUGACUAUAACAACAACUACGCUGAUGAAUAGGAUUUCACAGCAGCCACGUGACAACUAAUUUCUCCUUAAUAUUAUUAUUAGUAGAAGUAGAUUUUAAAACUAGUCUUGAUAUAUUUCAAAGUUGUAUUAUCAAUGUAUAUGUGUCUAGAUUGUAACUAUAUUUUAAAAAAUAUAAAAUUUUUAAUUAUUGCACAGUAUAUGUAGCAAAAUAUCUAUAGAAUGAUAUUAUUAGGACUAAGAUUUUUUUUUAUUUUAGAUAAGUUAUUUAUUUAUUAUCGAAUGAAUAAUUUAUUAAUUUACUGAUAAAUGAAUAUUUAUUAAUUUAAAGAGAGAUUUUUUUGGUUUUAACAAGAGUUUGUUUGGUAAAUGUACACACUUAUAAAGAAACAUAAAAAGUGGUUCCUCAAGUCAAUAGUAUUUGCUUCAAUCGCAAUGGUUCAUAAUAAUAUAGCAUAGUUAGGAAAUUUGUAAUUAUAUUAUGGCUCUGUUUGGUAGUAAAACUCAUUUAAGUAGAGUUGUUGUUAAUAGAGCUUUUAUAAAUAAAGCUUUUACUAAAAAAAAUUUAGUUGUUUGCUUGUCAAUGUCCAAAUUGAUAAACUUUUGUUCUUUUGUUAAGAUAUGUUUGUUUUACUUAAUAAUAGCAUCGGCAAGAGUUUUCGAUUGUUGCAACUUGCAAUGCACGCGGUGAGAGAAAAUGAGAAUCUUGUUUAAUUGUCAAUAUAUAAUGACAAACCUAAUCCUUUCAUUAGGAGUAAUUUAAUAAUCGUUUGUUAUAACUGAAUAUGUAUAAAGAAAGGAAAAUUCUAUUCAUAAAUUUCGACUUAUUUUUUGUUUAAAGUAAUUAAUCAUUCAACCAUCUUCAUUUGCCUCUGGCCAAUGCCCUUGUAGAUUAGUUUACUUAAUUAUGAUUAUAUACAUUUUCAUAUAGCAAGUGGCAUUGUAGAUCUAAACUAAGUUGCUAUUUCAAUACCAGCAAAUUCAAAAUAGAAAAGGAGUGCAACUAUUCAACUUUGUAGACAAUAUUGCAACCAUGGCAUAUUUAUAGCAAAUCAUUGAAAUCUGCUAAAGAAAACAAUGCCCUGUCUCAUGAAUCGAUGCUCAAUUAAAAUUUAAAUUGAAAGUCCGGCUGGUGUUGUUUUCCUCUCCAGCGAAAUAAGAAUCAUAAGUGAAAAUAGGCUUUGACAGGUCUUAUUUCUUUGUUUCUCUGCUGCAAUGUGUGGUUAUCCCACUCUGUUUUGCCACUCAAGCUGAGUCUACGUUGAGACAUUAUUUCAGUAUUGAGGUAACAAUAAUUUCGGACUCCGUAAGAAGGUUUUGAAAAAGUGGAGUCACAUUUGUUGAAUCAGGCAACGUCAACGUGCCUUCUUCACCUGCUAACACCCUUUUCAACCUCUCACAAAAUAGUCGGAGGUGGACGUCCAGCAUAUCUCAUUCACAUUUGUUGAAUUUGCAUGGAAUUUGCAAGGAGUAUGCCAAAGAAUUUGCAAGGAAUAUGCCAAGAAUUUGCAAGGAAUAUGCCAAGAAACUGGCCAACCCGCUUAGCUUAAUUCCACAAAUAUGACGUUAUUGCUCAUUUUUCUCUCAAGCACAUAAUACACGUUCUUCGAGACGCGUGCCUUCUGAAAAGGACAGGUAUCCAACCUCAUCUUAAUUACUACCAUGACAUAAUUGAUGGUUGCUUAAAUCAAUUUUUUCUUCUUUUUUUUUUUUAAUUUAAAGAAUUUUCCCUUAAAAAAAAUUUAAUAUCAAAAUGCCUUCAAUGUUAUUACUGCCGAAAGCCAAACUUCCUUUGGGUAAUUAAUUUAGAAGUGAAGCAGAGAAUAAAGUCCUAGAUGCCUUUUGAAAUUAGAAAUACAUUUUAUAUGCUUUAAUUAAUCAAUUCACUGAGGCAUUAUUGAUCCAAUCCCAGUGAAGUAAUUGUGGGUGAAAAAAAAAUAAAGUGCUGAAUUGGCUACUAAGAAAGAGUGUCACUUGAUCACAAUCACAUUGAUCCACAACUCACUCGAGGCAAAUUUCAUCUAUGUGUACUGCAAAUUUAGCCAAACCAUACAUGCAUGAACAAAAUUAGGCCGUAGUCCUCAUCACAACAUUAAUUGAAGCCACAAAAGCCAGCAAAUCCAAACAAAAACUUAAAAGAAAAUGCUUGGUAUAGAGAAGCACGAGAGAAAGACGAGAAAAACAAUGAAGAAAGUGGUAGAGAGAGAGUGAGUGGGUAGAGAGAGAGCAAAAUUCUCUCGUCUUUCUCUCGUGCUUCUCUCUCUCUAUCACUACUCAAACUUAAAAGGAAGAUCUUAUUCAAGUUUGUCCCCAAAAGACAGCUGAAAUGAAAAAUAUUGACUAUUGAGUGGGUCGAUGCUGAAUUACAUUUGACAUGGAAAGCUUGGCUGCAGUUGCGAUGUUCCCCCUUCUGAUUUUCCUCCAAAACAAAUUCAUUUGUAAACAAUAACGGAAGUAGCAACAAUUUAUUCAUUAUAGAAAAUACCUAAAUUUUCAACUAUCAAAUCCUCUUGUCUAAACUAAAAAACUCAUAUCUCUAAAAUCUAUAUACAAAAUGUCAAAAACGGGUGAUCUCUCAAUUCGAUAAAUAAAUUCAUGCAUAAUGUUACUAGUAAUGAUAAAUUACAUAAUAAUUAUUAUAAAGAAUCAUAAAUUGGAAACAUUAAUCAUUUUACAAUAUAUUACAUAAUAAAGAUAAAUUUUAUAACAAGUUAAGUUAGAACAUAUCAAAUAUUUUCAAUAUAUAUAAUUAUUUAAGAAGUCUUUUAACAAUAAUUUUUUUCUUUUUCAGUUAAUCAUGUCAUAUACCGUUAUCUAAAAUGCUGGCGAUAUUAUUAUUCCUCACUUUUCUCAAACAAAAAAGAAAAGAAAAAAGAAACAUGAUUAACGUUUAGAGAAAAGUCACGCCUUUUAAAAACAAUAUGUAUACAAUAGCAAUCCAUACUUUAUAAAAUUGAUGGUGAUUACAAAGAAAAAUUGUUUAAAAUAGAUUUAAUGCACAAAUAUGAUGACUUUUGGCAAAAAUUAGUUUCGGAAAUGUUGGGAUGAAAACCAUAUUAAUUGAGAAUUAAAAUUACUUAAUAAAAUUACUUAACUACCAUCUAAUAGAUGAAAACCAUAUCAAUUGGGACUUAAAUUAAGAUUUAAAUGUUGAAAUAUCUAGCAUUACUCACAAUAACCAAUUCAAAUUAUGACUAUCAUGUAGAAGCAAAUGUUUAUGCUUGGGUUUUUUACUUCUUGAAUUUGAUUGGAAAAAUUUCUGAGAUAGAGAAGUGUUUUGGAUAAUUUUUUCGGGAUUGAAACCACAAAUUGGUAGAGGAAAUUAAUUUUGGACAAAUUUUUCUUAUAUUGUAGGACCUUCUAGUUGGAGUAGUGAUGGCUUUGUCUUCAUUUUUGGUUCCUUUUGUGUCAGCAACCCCUUACUAUUCUCUUGACCCUGAGUUUGAGAUAGAAAUUUAUCAACCUCCAACCCCACAUCCACAAACAAGUUGAUUGAAACAAUUACUCUUUUAAUUAAGAGGACCCAAAUGAUUUAGGUUUCAGUUCUUAUCAUUUGUCUAUUAUUUCUUUGAAACAUUUAUUUUGAGCGUUACUGAUCUUAAUUAUCUGUAUUUCUCCAAUUAUUGAAGAAUUUCAAGUGGCCACUUUUUCUCCUUUUUAUAUAUGUUUAUUUUUUGGAGUGAUCAAACGGGUGAAAAAUCAAGUAUUCGCUGGUCUGUAGUUUAGCCAACGAUGGCUGAUCCACACAGUUGAUUAUAUGAUACUAUUAGCUCUCAAAAUCUUUCUUAUUUGAGAACAUAAAUUGCCCAUUGAAGUUAAACUAUGUUACCCAGCUCCAUGCACAUACAUUAAAUGUUUAGGUAGUUUUACAAAAUGAUAACAGCAUGCCAAAACUUGAUGUUGUCAUAUUCGACAUUUCAAAUUGAAAAAUAUGCAAGCAAUCUUCAGUGACCAUUACGUUUUUAUUGAAUAAUUUAAAUGGCCAGUAAAUCAACAGUCCGUGAGUUUUAAAUCUGUUAUGACUUAAUGUAUCUUUCUGUAUUCGUACACAGGUUAUAUUAUCAUAGUUUAAAAUUUUAAUAUUAUUUUAAAUGUUAUAAAUACUUUAAUGCUAUUAGUCUACUACACAGGUUAUAUUAUUUAUAUUAUAUUUGUAUUAAUUAAAACUUUUAAUGUCAACUUUCUAAUUACUAUAUUGAAAAGGUAUUAUGGUUAAGAAAAAGUUUUGGCAUUUCUUCUAAAAAAUUUGAGGGUAUGCAUGACAACACUACAAGAAAAAUGACCUACCAUGACAGUCCUCUGUGUGACAGUUUUUGGUCUGCAGAGCUACUACGAUAGAUGGAUGAUAAAUUUUUUUUCUAUCAUUCAUUUAUGACAUACUUGUGAUAGAAAUUUCAUCUAUCAAGCACUUAUGAUAGACUGAUGAUAAAUUAUUUGGUUAUCAAGAAGUAAUGACAAGUUUGUGAUAUAAUUUAGAUCAUCAAGUAGCUUUUUUAUUUUGACUUUAUUUCACAAGGUUGACUGAAAAUUUUAAAAUGAAUGAAAAAAAUAAAUAAAGAAUAAACGGUACCGUUUGGAUUAAAAGUUUCUCUUUGGACAAGAAACGACACCGUUUAGAUUGAAGCUAAAUAAAAACAAAACCCUCUUCAGUUUUCACUAAUCGAAUUUUUUUUCCCUAAGUGUCGGCACUCUCACUCACUCUCGUCUCUCGCUCAGUCAUUCUCGUCAAUCUCACACUCACAAAGCCCUUUUCACCCGAAAUCCUUGCAUGGGCACUGAACCACUGCCGCCAUUCUCUUGUAUUUGACUAUCAAUUUUGGCUCUCACCGAGAACUAUAUGGAAUACCCACCAAACGCAUGUGCUUCUACUAUUGAAUUUCAAUACCCUAACUGAGAGCCCACGCUCACCCACUAUUGUAACCGUUCGAUCAAUACAGGUAAAUAAUAUUUCUAGUGUUGUGUUCCAUUUCAAUUUUAAUGUUCUUGUCAAACUCGAACCCUAUAUAUGUAAACUUAAAAACCCUAGAUGUGUUCUUGUCAAAUUCGAACCCUACACACCUAAAUCUUGUAAAACCUAGAUGUUUUCUUGUCAAAUUUGAACCCUGUACGUGUAAAACUUGAAAAUCCUAGGUGUGCUCUUGUUAAAUUUGGAUCUAUUUGAUUGGUCUUCUAUGUUUCUUUAUUUAUGGAAUUUUAAACAUUUAUUUGAUUUUUUUGGAAUUUAAUUAUUAUAGUUUUAUUGUUAAAUUAAUUUGAUUUAGGCUGUAAAGAUCCUUGCCAAUUUAAUCGUGAUGGGUGUUGGGAUAUUGUCUAGGCUGCUUUAUCUUUGGGGUUUUCUAAUAACUAAUUUUUUUUUUUCACUUUUUUGUGGAUGCAUGGAACUAUAUAUAUAGAUAAUUCUCAAAUUCGUUCACUGUGAUGCAAAGUCUUUUUUUUUUCAAUUUCAUUGGUUAAAUUCACUAAUUCGUUGAAAUUAGUGGUGAUUGUGGGCCGAGUCGCAUGUGCAGGAAGUGGUGUCAGGUCUGGGCGCACAUUGAGUCAUGCACUUGGUGGGCAAUUGGUAUUGUUUCUAUUGUGUGUGUUGGAAAUAAUGUCAAUAUCAUCCAACCAAUGUGUGUUUCUAGUGGCUGUUUUUGCACCGAGCAGAUAAUUUAUUAUUACAUCAGAGUUCCCCAUCCCUUGUUUCUCUUUUGGGUAAUGCAGGUAUUGACUAGUUCAUUUCCAUUUUCAUUUGUCUUGAGGGAAUGUUAUCAAUUUUUCGAUCUUACAAGAUAUUGAUUGAUACAUAUGUGUACAAUACAUUAAAAAUCAUUAAACAUUUUGCUCUUAGUUACAAUUUUGAAUGAAUGUCACAUGGAAAGAUCCUCUAAGAAUAUCAAUAGUAUUGUGGUUUCUACUCAAUUUCCACUCUCCGCACUCAUAUGAGCAUGGUUUGAAUCUCAAGCCUUUUGUACCAUUCAAAAAUUUAUACCAAUUAACAACAUAGCUUGCUAGCACCACAAAUUGUUUCAACUCCAAGGCAGAGAAUUCCUAGAAGAUAUAUACAUAUUGAUAUAUACUUGCAUGUAGCCGUAUGCUCACUACCUUCGAAUUGGGGAUAUAGUCACUAUUUUUGUAUUCCCUCCAAGUGUUUGAUAAAAAGCAUGAAUGAAUCUUGGCUCUUUAAUUGUUGCAGGCCAUUUCUACCUAUGAGGAGCAAAGGAAUAUGAAGCUUAUUAUAUUCAUUCACAAAGCAAAGCUGAUAUAAUUCAUGGCAAAGCUUGAUGAGGUGUUGUAUUUAAUCUUGCUCAUGAGAUCAAUUACCUAUCUUGUUGGACUUUAUUCUUGUAAUUAAGGUCCAUCCAAAGUUGAUGGCUUGUUUGUCAGAAAGAUAAUCUGAAGGCUAUGAUUGAUUACUUGCGGGCCGAUGGAAAUGUCUCCAUGAUUGGUUUAUGAGGUUGUUAAAUUACUAAAUAGGUAUAUUUACUUUUCAUGAGCUUUAUCUUCGUUUUUCCAUUAUGGAAAUGUCUCUAUGAUUGUAACUUUUAACACGUGGAACUCUUGAACCCUAUGUUUAGUUAUAUACUUAUAUUGGGACUUGUAUAAAUUAAUAUGAUGGUUUUAUUAUUAUUAUUAUUAGUAGUAGUAGUAGUAGUAGUAGCAGCUACAAAAGAUCAAAAGAACUUAAAGGUGUGGCUUGUGGCUUUCUUGCUGUUUGGGCUUUAACUGCUGCCUCACUUGUCAUUGUUGCUAAUCUGGUGUGCCACGUCCAUUUCAGUGUAAUUACAUAAGUUAGUUUGCUUGAUUAAUUAAUUAAUUAGUUAGCGGAUUGAAUAGCCAGAGUACUACAUUUUGCAUAGGUCUGAUGCUGGAUGAAUUUUCAUGUCUUGGCUUUGGGGCUGCUGGAUUUUGCUGCUGGAAGACUAGAUUUUGCAAUUUUGUUGCUGGAAGACUACAUUUUGUGUAGGUUUGUUGCUGGAUGUUGCUGAAUGCGGAGUACUUUGCUUGGUUUUGGAUUGGCCUUUGUUGUCUAUUGGCUCGACUUUGGAAUAUGGAUUAACUAAUGUAAUGUACUUUGGAUAUUUUUAUGGUUAAUAAAGUUCACUAAUUUAGUUCAUUAGUUUUGGAUUUAAUUGCAUUUAGUAAUUUAUUUUCUUUCAUAUAAUUUUAAUAAUUUUAAUAAUUUUAAUUUUUAAAUUUCAUAAUUUUUAUUUUAAAUUAAUAAAUAAAAUAAAUAAUCAAUUUUUUCAAAAAAAAUGUGAUAGAAAAUACUAGUCAUACACACAAUUGAUAUCCCAAAAAAAAAUACAAUCCAAAAAUUUCUAAAAAAAUGAAAAUAUAAAAUAAAAAAAUAAUUUCCCUCUUCUAAGUAGUAUGACAUAAUUAUGAUAGGUAAAAUCUAUCACAACUUGUGACGCGAUUUUAUCUGUCAUCUUUUCUUGACGCUGACUAUAAUGACAGUAAGGAUAACCGUCAUCUACCCCCUAAGAUGACAGUUUUUACCUAUCAUAAUAGGUCAUUUUUCUUGUAGUGCAAUUUUUCCAAUUCUAAGGGUAUAGGUUUGAAAAUUUAACGUUAUUUAACUUAAUGAAACAAAAGGGGAAACCAAGAACUAUUCAAUUUUGUAUUUUUUGUUUGUAAUUCAAAAAAUACAUCCACCAAACAAGUUUUACACAUUAAUGCUGUCAUAAAACGAAAAACAGUUUGCCAAAAAAUGGUACCGUCACAUGAUUUCUUAGUAAGUCCAUAUUAGAUAUAUUUAUACAUUUUAGGUAUUUUAGUUAUAAAAGAAGUUGGUCCUCCCCCUAUUUAUAAAAGAUAACUUUGUUUCGAUAUUACCACUAAACUCUUACAUAGAAUUAGUGUAAUGUUAAGAGAGAGUAAUGCGGUUUUCCAUUACCAUCUUUGAAAAUAGAAAGAUAUGGAUGCGUGCAUUUAAGAGUCAUCGUGAAAAUCAUACAAUUCAAUUUCCUGACAUAUAUAUUUAUGCACGUAUGCCAAAAGAAUAAAUAGACAGAAAGUAAAUUUAUAGUCCUCACUUCCUCACAAUUGUUAACGUGGAGAUGCAUUACAACUGUGAACUGUCACUACUUUAGCCUUUUUUUUUUUUAAUUAUAGUGUGAUGGAGACAUUAAGGAUGAGCAUAAUAGUUAAAGAUGACUCAUUUCUCAUUUUCUUUUUAAAGUGCUCUGCUGAAAGCCAAACUUCCUUUGGCUAAUUAAUUUAGAAGUAAAGCAGAGAAUAAAGUCCUAGAUGCCUUCUGAAAUUAGAAAUACAUUUUAUAUGCUUUAAUUAUGAUUAUUUGGUAGACUAAAGACCUAAAAGAUAUGUCAAAAGUAUAAAACAGAGCGAUUAAAGAAAAAAGAAAAAAAAAACAGAGUAUUUGUGACGUAGAAUAACAAUUGGUAAAUAAAUCCUAAAUAUUUGAGUUGUUAAAAGCAAAUAUAACAGAGACGGUAAGAGAGAUGCUGAAACAGAAAACUAUUAGCUUAUCUUGAUUUUCCCACUAUAUUCAUUUUCGAUGCUUUUCAAACGAGAUUCUUUUAAUUCUUCUGGUGUCUCUUAUAGAUCUCCAUCCCACAUCUGCACUACGAACAAGUUGAUUAAAAUUAAAUACUGUUGGAGAUGUGGGGUGAGCGGUCAACUUGGUAAAAAAACUAUGUAUAAUAUUGUUAAUAAUAUAAAAUAUAAAAUAAUAAUUACAAAGAAUCAUAAAUUAGAAAAAUUAUUUAUUUUACAAUCUAUUUCUUAAGUAAGAUAAAUCUCGUAAUAAGUUAAGUUAUAAUGUAAAAAAUAUUUUCAAUUUAUAAUCAUUUAAGGAGUCAUUUAACAAUAAAAUCUUUCUUUUUUUGAUCAAUUGGUCAUGCUACAGAGCAUCAUCUAUUCGUGGUGAUAUUAUUAUUACUCCGUAUUCUCAAAAAACACGAUUUAACAUUUAGAGAAAGUUCCUACCUUUUAAAAAGAACAUGUAUGCAACAACUACCCAUACUUUAUCUUACCACGACAAAACUAAUAGUGACUAAAUCAAUUUUCUCGAAUAAAGAAAAAUUUCUUAAAAUUAAUUUAAUAUACAAAUAUGAUGACUUUUUGCAAAAAUUAGUUUUGGAAAAUUAGUGACAGAAAAUAGUAACGAUUAUUGUUUAGAUGUGUAAAUAGCCUAAACAUGAUCCCUAAUACCAAUAUCCACGUGCAUCUUAACACCUUUCGUCAUAUUCUUUCAUUCAUGGUCACUGGUUCAAGAUUUGAAUUUGAUCAUUAAAUCAUGUUCAAUAAUAUUAGAGAUCCCAACAAUUGAGUACCAACUUAAAUCCCAAUGCUAUGUGUCAUUAACAAAUGUUGUGUCAUUUAUAAUUAUUGAAUGAAUAAUUCGUUAAUUUAUUGAUAAAUGAAAAUUUAUUAAUUUAAAGAGAGAUAUUUUUUUUUUGGGUUUUAAGAAGAGUUUUGUUGGUACAUGUACAUACUUAUAAAGAAAUAAACUUGUAAUUAUACUAUAUCUUUCUUUCUUUAUUCAGUUUGGUGGGAUAUUGUGAUAAAUCAUUGGAUUAAAAUGCAUUUCUAAAUUAAAACUUGUUAAAAUCUAAUUUAUUUGGGAAGCGCAUAUUAUUUGUCAGUCGUACUUCUCAAGUCUCAACUUAGCAAGUUAUUUCUAACUUGUCAGUCUCUAUUUGUUCUCUAAAAGCUAAUAGUCUCGAAUCUCCCGCAUUUGAUAUCUUGCCAUUAUUGUUGGCAUUAACAUGUUACCUGAGAUUGGGAUUCAUUAAAAUCCUCAAUGUAAUCGGUGGAACGAAUGGAUUUCUUCUGUUCACCAAUCCACCAAAAUUUCUGUAAUUAAAUUCAAGAGUCAAGAUCUAUGCUUAUAAUCUAUUCUAACAGCUAAUAUUCUAUUUUAUAUUUACUUAAAUAUGAAGAGCUAUGCUUGUCAUUAACUUCAAAUGUGAUCGAAGCAGCCAUACAUCUGUAUAUUACUUAUUCCCAACCUUUUUUUUUGACUUCAUAUACUUUCUUUUCAUGUUAUUUACUCUUUUUUUCCCCUCUCUGACAAUUGAGGUAGGGGGUCAAACUUGAAAGUAUCUUAAAAUCAGACAAUUUUUUUUUUUUUUAAGAUAGCUGCUAAUAUGCUCUAUUAGACAAUGAUAAGUAAUAACCUAGUUGUUUGCAUUAGAAAUGAUAUUUUUUGUGGUGCUGAUAAAGAGGUUGAUUAUGAUUCAACAAUUUAAAAUAUGAAAACAUGUGGAAGACGGCCGCAAUUAAAUUGAUUGUAUGAAAAUAUUUCAAUGAAAUUUUAAAAAUUUAGUACUUGUUAUCUUAUCGAGAGUUUUUUUAAAUUAUAUUACUACUUGAACUUGGGUACUUGUUAUCUUAUCGAGAGUUUUUUUAAAUUAUAUUACUACUUGAACUUGGCUGCUUUUGUAUUGAAUUCCUAGCGUUGCCAUUGCUUCUACUCAAAAGCCAUUUAAGUUUGUGUAAGCUACCUAUAGUUUGAACAACAAUUUACUCAUGAAUUGUUGUUCAUAAUAGCAAUUUGAUUGAAAGUGCGGCUGCACUAAUUUUCUAGAUGAAUUUUUUCCUACAUGCUUGUUCUCGUAUGACCCAAAAUCCUGCUACAUCAGUUGUAUUAGAAAUUAAUACUGGGUUACAAUUAUGCAUCCCCACCAAUAUUUAAGCAAUUUAAUUACAGGAACAUUUCUUGAGGAAAGAAACUCAUAUCGCCCCUAGGCUUUUAAUGAGGCUCAUUUUUAUGAAUCUGGAUGGCAUUAGAUAUCUCUCCGAAUAUUGGUGGGAGUAUAUCGCAGAUCUCUGGGCUAUACUACAAAGUGUAUGUACGUUGACUCUCAAUAAAUACAAACGAUUCUCUGAUAUGAUUCAAAACAUCAGUGCACGCAUCAUUUUAACGAGAGAGAAUAUUCUAAGAACGAAAUUGAAGGUGCAAUCAACAACUAAAAUGAAGCCAGAAAUGUACACGCAUGAGGAAGUUUUCCUAGAAGAUUGAUAUUUCUUUAACUAGCAAACAAUACAAGUCCAAAGCUAACCAAACCAUACCUGCAAGUCCGGGGCUUAAAUGGAGUACUUGUAAGCAUAAAACAUUAAUCAAAACACAGUAUAGACACACACACACACCCCUACAUACAUACCAGCAAAUUCGAAAUAGAAAAAGGAGUGCAACUAUUCAAGUUUGUUGACAAUAUUGCAACCAUGGCAUAUUAAAGCAAAUCCUUAAAAUCAGCUAAACGAAACAAUUCCCUGUCUCAUGAAUCGAUGCUCAAUUAAAAUUGAAAUUGAAAGUCCGGCUGGUGUUGUUUCCCUCUCCAGGUUUGCCUACAUAAGUAAAGGGAAAUGAGAAUCAUAAAUGAAAAUCUGCUUCGAUCACUGUUCACAAAUCACUGUUCACAAAUCCCUAAUUCAAAAAUUACUGUUGAUUAUCGUUUUACAGCAGCGCCUCAGCUCCAGCCUUCACCCCGCAACGCAAGCAGCAGCCAGCGCGAACCAGUCGCGCCCAACGCAAGCCCCAGCAACCCAGAUUGUUAGCUCCAGCCGCGCGCAACGUAGCUGAGCAGCAGCAGACCAGCAGCGCGAACCAGCUCUCGCGCGCAACACAACGCGAACGCAGCAGUGCGUAGAUGCAGCCCAGCAACGCAGCGCGAACCAGCAAUGCAGCCUCACCAGCGCGCAACGCAAGCCCCCGCACGCGCAGCACCAGCAUCCCGUUUCUCGCAGCGCAGCAGCGCGCAACGCAGCGCAGCACCCGCAAAGCAAGCCUCACCAGCGCGCAACGCAAGCCCGCAACGCAGCAACGAGCACGCCCUGCAACGCAACCAGCUUACGCCUUGUAUUCCAGCCGGGUAAAUCGAAAUCCGUGAGUACAAUUAUUGUAACAAUGCCGAAGAGGAAAGCAUCCACUUCCAAGUCAUCGAAAAAGACACCCAUCGCAAAGAAAUCUAAGAUUGCCGCUCCCACUACGGUUCCAUGGAACACAAUUUCAGAUUCACGCCAAGCCGUGAGACAAAGAUCGAAGCAUGGAAAAGGCAUGAGUAUUUUGCCACUUGCGGAAUCCAAUCUCGAAGGGUGCCUUGCAUUCGCGACUCAACAAGAGAAAGAGAGGUACAAAGAUAUUUCCACGGGCAAAAUACUUCCAGCUAAGAAUUUUUGGAUAUGUCUAUGUUUGAAAGAACAUGUGUGGUUGAAUUCAAGGAGGGGAGAUUUCAGUUUACUGAACCAGGACCCACUCAACUUCCGAAGAAGCUUUAUGCUAGGAGUGGUGCUACCUCUGAUGACGAGUUUGACGACGACACUGCUGCCCCGCCAACUAUUCCUUCUACAUCCGCACCACCUUUGAGCAUUCAAUUAGAGAAAAUGGAGCACAAGCUGAACAAGAUGGAGCAGAAUUUGGCCGCAUACUUCGAGAGUGUGGGAUUUACCCCACCAUUUCCGCCAAGCCCAUAGACGUUAUGUGGAUCAAAGCUCACAAUUCAGGGAAGUUUCUUUUUGCCCUUAAUCCUUUAUCCUUACGCUUUAAUUUUUAUGUGAGCUUUGAUUAUCUUACAUUGGGGACAAUGUAAGUUCUUGGUGUGGGGGAGGGAUUUUUGCAUUAUUGAUGUCUGGAAUUAUUGUUUUCACUCUACUUAUUUUUUUUUUUCACUCUACUCAUCCUUAAAUGAUUUUGGAGUUAGUAUGCUUUAUAUAUUAUUAUUUUUUCUUUUCUUUUAUUUCUCACAACUUUUUUUUUCCCAUCUAUCUCAAAUUAUUUACAUCUAUUUUUAUUCUAUCAUACUGUUUCAUCGCUCACAUUUUAUCUUUCACUUUUCAUCUUUCUCACUUCUUAUCAUUUUUACCUUUCCUUUUAUAUAUCACCCAUACCUUCUUCUCAUUCUACACCACUAUUGAUGGUUGAUUCAUUUGAAGAGUGUACAUGAUUUGAUGGCAAAUUUACCAACUUUGUGAGGAUUUGAGCCUAUGAGCAACCACUUUGCUCUAAUAUUUUUGUUAUGUGAAUAUCAAUCUUAGUUUGUUUAUUCUAGAACUUGCUUUGUUAUGCAUGUUGAAGCCGCAUUACGGGAUUUUAUGCACUAAAAUGAUAAGGGCAAACCCUUUUCCAUUUUUCUAUUCUCGCAUUUUUUUUCUCUACCCGAAGAUCUUUAUUUGCUAUCUUUGUUUGAGCCUUAACAAUUACCCAUCUAAUUCUCUCCGUCUACUUAACCAUUUUUCUUCUUUUUUUUGAGCCUCAAUUUAAGGAGAUUUUUGGACUCAUUGUGUGGAUAUAUUUUGUUGCUUUUUCUACCUUGUAAUAAAGUUUCUCAAUUAGAUCAACAAGCAUUAUGCUUGAAUUAAAUUGUGCAAGGUUCGUUUCUUUUGUUUGAUUCAAAAACAAAAACAAAAAAAAAAAAACAAAAAACAAAAAAAAAAAAGAAAAAAAAAGAAAAAAAAAAAGAAAAAGAAAAAUCACAAAAAAAAAACAAAAAAAAAUGUUUACAUUCUUGGUGACUUAAGUAGAAAUAAGCAUUUUGAUAUCAUAAGUUCAUUCAAUGAGUUCAUUUUUCUCGUUUUAAUCUCUUUUUCUUUCGUAAACCUUUCUUUUUCAUUUAACCCAUUUAACCCCAUUACAACCCUCUUAAGACCCUUAGAUUUUUGCAUUUUAUUCAUGUUUUGUGGAUUGAGAUGUGAUAUAUGAGCAAGCUUAUGGUAAUAGCAUUCUUUGAUUUGAUUUGAGUGGAUAAAUGACACCCUAAAAACUUUGAGUGCAUGGAGUGAAGUUAUUGAGAGGGCUAUUAAAUCUUGUUGCACUUGAAUUUUGAAUGGAUCUCCUUGGUGGUUGAAUGUUCUUAUUCUAUCUUAUGAAAUUCUAUGCUUUAAAAUCCUUGUCUCUCGAAUGUUAAUCGACUUAAUUUCUUGAGGUAUGCUUUCUUAAAAUUGUUUUUGGAUGAGUUGAGAUGAGAAUUGAGUGGAGAUUUGAGAUUAAUCUUGAGUUAUAUGCUUGAGGACAAGCAUCAUCUUGGUGUGGGGGAAUUUGUUAGAGUGCAAUUUAUGCACUAGUUUUGCAUUGUUUACUUCCCUUAAUAUCGAUGUUUUACACUUAAUAAUAAUGUUUUACUUGUGUUUUACUUUUGUAGGUGCAAUUCUAUUGAUUGGUGAUAAAAUUGAGCUAAAAGAUGAUGUUUAAGGAGGAUUGUUCUCUUGGAGAAAUUAUGAGCGUCGAAAGAACUUUGUUGAUAAGGCGUGGGCGCGUGCUGUCAACUGCGGACCUGCAGUUUUUAGUUUAACGUGUUUUGUAUUUUUGGUUAUUUUUGUAAUUACGAAUUUAAUAUUUCAGAUAUUAGUAUUUUAUUUUAAAUAGAAUUCUAAAAGAGAAGAGAGAGAGAGUAUUUAAGGGAGGAAUCUAUUGUGAAAAGGGGGAUUUGGAUUGGAGAAAAAGAAAGAAACCCUAGAUCUAAUUUUUCUCUUCUCUCUAUGAAGAACUAAACCUAUUUUUCUGGUUGAAGGAUAAUGACGCUUUGAUUCAUCACUACUGUGAGAUUUUUCUUAUGCUUUAAUUGUUUUAUUACUUUUUGGGUAUUUGUUUAUUCUCUGAAUUAGUUUCAUGAUUAUGUUUGUUAAUUAGGUAAUUGUCCACUAUUUAAUUAUCAACUUAAUCUAUUGUCAAUUAAAGGAUUCAUCGUAUGAAGAAUUUAAUGUUUGUGACAAAUAACAUAGCAGAGAGUUGUGUUGUGAGAAUAAACAAUCUAAUUUAAAUGAAUCAUCAUAUGUGUUGAUUAGGAUUUGGGUCUCUCUGGUUUUUCAGGCUGUCAAUUGAUUAAAUCCUAUGAUCGUAUCAAGGGUUGUCUAUUGAUUAGGGAAAUAUCCAACGGUCGUACCUUGGUUAUCGACUAGUUAAGGAGAGAUUGGCUAUUAGAGGGUCUCAAUAGCUAUAACCGGUCUAUUCAUAAGUAAUAAUAAUAUAUAUUUGAAUCAAUGAUCAGUAGUCGAAUCAAGCUGAGUUAAUUCCUUCAACCAGAGCUUUCUCCAAUUUGAAUUACAACUUUAAUUUGCAUUUUGUAUUUAAUUUGAUUUUUAUUAUUGUCUACAAUUCCCCCAUUUUAUGUUUUACGUUUCAAAAGGAUUUAAAUAAUUACCGAUCUCUGUGGACACGACCCUGCUCAAUCACUAUACACAAUUUAUUUAGAGUAGGAAUUUAUUUUUGUUGGCUUCGACACCCAUCAGUUGAUUUGUGUUGUUUAUUGCUAGAUUUCGCAUAAUUGUUUGCUGAUUACUAGAACUGGCUCUGUUUGGAUCUGAUACCAUGUUUAAAAACAUAAAAAAUCACUGAUCAGUUUGUUUGGUUGCUAAGAAAAUUUGCUCUGUUUGCUGAGAAAGUUUCAAAGAAGAUUCUCGAUUUUUUUUAUUUCAUCUUUCUUACUUCACGAAUGAUUACAAACACACCUUUUAUACACAACUCAACUAGCUAACAGAAAGAAAGCUACAAAACAGAAUCUCAGUAAGCUUAACUAAUUUUGCUGAGCUGGCAUUACACACUUAACUAACUUCGGCUAACUAAAUUCUCACAUGUGCUAAGCAUGAGCAGACUGUUUGUACACAUUAUGUGCUUCUUUAACACAAUGGAGUUUUAAAAAUUUGGUACUUGUUAUCUUAUCGAAAGUUUUCAAAAUUAUAUGAAUGUUCAAACUUAGCCCCUCCCGGCACUGCCACUGCUUCUACGUGAAAGUCAUUUAAGUUUGUGUUAGCUGCCUAUAGAUUGAAUAACAAUUUUACUCCGGAUUUUUUGUCCAUUAUGAAAAUUUGAUUGAAAGUGCGGCUGCACUAAUUUUCUAGAUGAACUUCCCUACAUGUUUUUUCUCAUAUGACCCAGAAUACUGCUAUAACAAUUGUAUUGGAAACUAUUCAACUGGGUUACUAUUCUACAUCCCCACCAAAAUUUAAACAGUCGACAUUGUGGAAAGAAACUCAUUUCGCCACUAGGCUUUUAGUGAGGCUAAUUUCUCUGAAUUUGGACAGAGUAGAUUUCUAAGCUAAUGCUUGGAAGAUCUCUGGCGAUAUUACAAAGUGCAUGUACAUUGAGUCUUAAUAAAUAUAAACGAUUCUCUAAUAUGAUUCAAAACAUCACUACAUGCAUAAGUUAAUAAGAGAAAAAAUUAUAAGAUUAUUUAUGCAUCACCAUUUAUAGUUGCACCCUCUCUAAUGAAAUUGAAGGUGCAGCCAGCAAUUAAAAUGAAGCAGAAAUGUACAUUGACCCUUAAUAAAUAGAAACUAAGGCGUUAUCGAUUCAACUUCAGUUGAUCAAUUGCGGGUGAAAGAUAAAUAAAGGAUAAGAGAAUAGAGCUGGAGUGCUAAAUUGGCUAUUGAAGAAGGGUGUCACAUGAUCACAAUCACAUUGACGCACAACUCUUUGGAGGCAAAUUUUGUCUAUGUGUACUCUAAAUUCAGCCAAACCAUACAUGUAUGAACAGAAUUUAAACCGUAGUUCUCAUCACAAUAGUAAUUGAAGCUACAAAAGCCAGAAAAUCUGAACAAAAACUUAAAAGGAAGAUUUUAUUCAAGUUUGCCCCCAAAAGACAGUUGAAAUGAAAAAUAUUGACUAUUGAAUGGGUCAAUGCUGAAUUACAUUUCAAAUGGAAAGCUUGGCAACAGUUACAAUGUUUCCCCUCUGAUUUUCCUCCAAAACAAAUUCAGUUAUAAACAAUAACUGAAGUAGGAAUAAUUUAUUCAUCAAAGAAAAUACCCUAGUUUUCAACUAACAAAUCCUGCUAUCCAAAUUAAAAAAACUCGCAUCUCUAAAAUUUAUUUGUAAACUGUUGGAAAUGAGGAGUGAUCUGUCAACUCCGUAAAUAAACUCAGGCAUAAUAUUAAUAAUAAUUAUAAAUUACAUAAUAAUUAUUAUAAAGAAUCAUAAAUUGGAAACGCUAAUCAUUCUACAAUCUAUUAUAUAAGUAAGAUAAGUCUCAUAAUAAGUUAAGUUAUAAUGUAAUAAAUACUUUCAAUAUAUAAUUAUUUAAGAAGGCAUUUAACAAUAAAAUAUUUUUUUUUCUAUUCGGUUGAUCAUAUAGUGUUAUCUAAACUCUUGACGAUAUUAUUAUUACUCACUUUUCUAAAAAAAAAACAUGAUUAACGUUUAGAGAAAAGUCAUGCCCCUUAAAAAUAAUAUGUAUACAAGCUAUCCAUACUUUAUCUUACCAUGACAAAAUUGAUGGUGAUUAAAUCUACUUUUAAAAUAGAUUUAAUGCACAGAUAUUAUGACUUCUGGCAAAAAUUAGUUUUGGAAGACAUAAUGGUAGAAAAUAGUGAUGAUCAUUAUUUAAAUGUGUAAAUAGCCUAGGCAUAGCCUGUAAUACCAAUAUCCAUUUGCCUUUAUUUGGAUUAUCACAUUUCAUGAUAUUCUUAUAUUUAUGACCAUUGUUCGAGAUUUGAACUUGAUCAUAAAUUAAGCUGCAAGAGAUUUUACUUCAGUUUCUAAGCUUUUCAAUCGUGAUUCAUCCAUGCCUUUCUUGGAUACCAUUAUGUUACGUGCCAAUGUAACUGACCUUGUAAUUGGUGUGUAUAAGGAAACAUGCCCUUUCAAGAUUGUUUUCUUUUGUUUCCUUAUUGUAGUAGUCAAAUAAAUAAAGAACGAACAAUUGAACUUGGUCUACUUCGAGGAAAACCAAGGCCUGCAAUAUUAGAUGAACUUUGAACAAAAUUAAUCUACUGCUUUUAUUCAUCUUUGGACUAUGAAUUUAUACAAAGACUUUAACAAAAAAUAACAAAGACACAACUGAAUGAUAGCAACAAGUGCUGACUUAGCGGACUACUGCAACAACUAAAUAAAAACUAAAUAUUUAUUUUGACUGUAACAACAAUUGCCCUGAUGAAUAGGACUCCACAGCAGCCACGUGACAACUAAUUUCUCCUUAAUAUUAUUAUUAGUAGAAGUAGAUUUUCAAACUAGUCUUGAUAUAUUUCGAAGUUGUAUUAUUAUCAAUGUAUAUGUAUCUAGAUUGUAACUAUAUUUUAAAAAAUAUAAUUUUUUUAAUUAUUGCACAGUAAAUGUAGAAAAAUAUCUAUAAAAUAAUAUUAUUAGGACUAAGAAAAAAAUAUUAUUUUAUAUAAGUUAUUUAUUUAUUAUUGAAUGAAUAAUUUAUUAAUUUAUUGAUAAACGAAUAUUUAUUAAUUUAAAGAGAGAUUAUUUUGGUUUUAAGAAGAGUUUGUUUGGUACAUGUACACACUUAUAAAGAAACACAAAAGGUGCUUCCUCAAGUUAAUAGUAUUUGCUUUAAUCGCUAUAGUUCACAAUAAUAUAGCAUAGUUUGGAAAAUUGUAAUUAUACUAUGUCUACGUUUGGUACAAUUUUUCAAGAAGAACUUAUUUAAAUAGAGUUUUUGUUAGUAGAACAUUUAUAAAUAAAAUUUUUACUGAAAAAAUUUAAGUUAUUUGGUUGUCAUUGUCAAAAUUGAUGAACUUUUGAUCUUUUGUUAACAUGUGUUUUUUUUACUAAAUAAUAAAUGUUAGGUUACAAUUAUUUUCAAUAGUUUUUGAAGGAAUCAAGUUAUGAAAUUUUUAUCAAUGAACUUUCAAUAUGUCAGCAUAUGGUCUGUAAAAUUUGAGAGUUUUCCAAUGAGGGAAUAAUUUAUUAAAAAUAAGAGAAUAUGGAUUGUUCUGUUUUAAGGGCCGAUUAUUGAGGACAUUUGAGGUUGAGCUUAGGAGAUGUUUAAAUUGAGAUAUUUGAGGACAUUAUGUUAGCCUAAAGGGCUACACAUAAUGUAAUUUUGAUGAUAACAAACAUGUGUCUUAAGUAAAAAUAAUAAAUAUUGUAUUUCACAUUUUCACUAGUUUUUGAAGGAUAAUAUUUAUGCAAGUGAAUCAAGUGAAAUCAAGAUUGAAGAUACUCAACGGACAACGGCGACAUCAAGAAUAUAGUUUAGAGCUCAAUGAACAAAUUAGUGCGAUAAAUUCUUGUAAAGCCGGUAUGAUUUAAUUGAUGCAUGAUUUAGCAUUUGAGAAGCUCAAGAGAUUAAUUUAAUUAAAUACUUUUCAUAAACUAAAAGGUUUUAUUUUUAUAAAGUAAAGUAUUUUGUGGAUUUGAGUAAUUUGGACUUAAAUGCUAAGAUUUGAAAUCUUUGAUUUUAAUAAGUAUUAAAUUUCGGAGUUGGACGUUUUGAUAAACAUUUGAAAUGUUUUGGGUCAUACUAUAAUUUAUAAAUAUUUUGGACUAAAGUGAAAGGUUUUGAGAACUUUGAAAAAUAUGGGUAUUAUGUUGAAAAGGACCUUUGUGCGAACUAAAAAUUUCUUUGGGGCCAUAUCAUAAUUUCAGAAAGUUUGGGAAGACAACUACUCUUAGGAAGUUCUGAAAUUGGACCUAUUUGCAAAGUUUUAUGACAUUUUGAGCCAUAGUAUAAUUAUAGAAAGUUUUGAGCCAAAGUAUAAUUUUAGUGAACAGUGUUACUAUAGCAAUUCAAAAAUAACGGUAAUAUCACUGUUCCUGAGCGGCUAGCCGGAUAAAUCAAGCGGCUAACUGCUUGGGCGAGGGAAUUUGCCUAUAACGGCUAGUUUUCAGGCUUUAACUAUAAAAACUCAGCUCAAACUUCAUUCUAAGUACUAAUGCAUGCAAAUAUAAGAUCAUACAACAUAUAUUGAGCUUCCAAAAUGCAAAUCAUCAUUGAUUGAAUCAUUGUUGAGCUAUUAGUUGCAUAUCCACUCUUAAAGAGAGUUUUUGUUGUAAUUUUCAUUUCUUAUCAAAUUGUGAGUGUGUGAGUGUGUAAGUGUGGGAAACACUUGGGGUGAAGAGAUUGGGGAGAUAAUCUCUUGGUUGUAAAGGUUCAUUGACACCUUGGAAGUCAAUUGUAAAAACUUGAACCCUUGAGAGGCUUGGAUAGUGAAAUCCUCGAGCAUGGUUGGCUUGGAGGCGUGGACGUAAGCAGGGAUUGCCGAACCACGUAAAAAUCCGCGUGUUUGUUUCUCUCUUCCCUUGCUCUUUUAUUUUUACGCUUGUUUGAAUUUAUUGUUCUCUAUUUCAUUAAGGCGUUAGAUUGAUUUAUUGUGCGAAUUGUAUUGCAUUAUUUUUAAAAACUCAAUUCACCCUCCCUCUUGGGUUGCAUUACUUGCAUUUACAUUAGAGUUUAUGAUUGAGACUCGAUUAUAUCUUAUGAGAAAUUUAUUGAUGAUUUUAGGUUGAUGAUAACAGUACGCAUUUGUUACAUGAGGAUGCCAAGAGGUAAGUAAACUAGACUUAAAAACGAAUCACAAUAAACAAUAUAUAUGUUUGACUUGUAUGAAAAGUCUAUUUUGAUAUGUACGAAUAUAGAUUUAUAUGUCUCUACUCAUGUGUUUAUGUGAUGUGUUGUUAUGUAUUGGGCGUGAUUAUGUACAUAGGCAUAUGUAUGUGUGAUGGUUCAUUGUCAUGAGCACGAAAAUGCAUUGAGUUUUCUAUGAAUGAAAAGUGGAUUUUAGCAAAUGAGAUUUCUCUUUUAUGAGAUUUUGCAUUGGGGGCCACCUCUUGAGGGCCAGAGUGCCGCAAAGUACCACGCACAACACAAAGUGCCACAUUGCAGGAUACGUAUUUUAUUGAAAGGAAAUAUGAAAGUUUGAAAGCGACAGAAAGAGAUUUUUAUGAAUUUGUUUUACAGUAUUUCCAAAAGAUCAUGGCAUAGCAUCCAUCUACAUUAUGUAUAAGUAUGCAUGUUUGCUUAUUGAGUUUUGUACUCAUUAUAGUUUAUUAUGAUUCAGUUUCCAGAAGUCAGGAUUGAUUCGUGAUGAGUGAGAAGAUGAAUUUAAAUUGAGGAUGGUAGAUGGUUUGGCUAAAUUUUUAAGUUAUUCCGCUGGCUUUUGUAUUCGAGGCUCGAAUUUUAUCGGUUGUAAAGAGUUAUUUAAAUUCAUAUGUGAGUUGUAGUCAGAUUUGCCCUCGGAGUUCGGGUUGGGGCGUUACAGAUGCAGAAACAGAAAACUAUUAGCUUAUCUUGAUUUUCCCACUAUAUUCAUUUUCGAUGCUUUUCAAACGAGAUUCUUUUAAUCCUUCUGGCGUAUGCAGCCCUUGCUCUUCUUAUAAAUCUCCAUCCGACAUCUGCACUAGGAACAAGUUGAUUGAAAUUAAAUAACAUUAGAGAUGACGGACGGUUGAGCCGUUAACUCGGUAAAAAAACUCAUAUAUAAUAUUACUAAUAAAAAAAAAUAUAAUAAUCAUUACUAAGAAUCAUAAAUUAGAAAAAUUAAUUAUUUUACAAUCUAUUUCGCAAGUAAGAUAAAUCUCAUAAUAAGUUAAGUUAUAACGUAAAAAACAUUUUCAAUUUAUAAUCGUUUAAGAAGUCAUUUAACAAUAAAAUCUUUCUUUUGGUCAGUUGGCCAUGCCACAGAGUAUCAUCUAUAUUCGUGGUGAUAUUAUUAUUACUCCGUAUUCUCAAAAAACUUGAUUUAACAUUUAGAGAAAAUUCCUACCAUUUAAAAAGAACAUGUAUGCAGCAGCUACCCAUACUUUAUCUUACCCCGACAAAAUUAAUGGUGACUAAAUCAAUUUUCUCGAUUAAAGCAAAAUUUUCUUAAAAACGAUUUAAUGCACAAAUAUGAUGACUUUUUGCAAAAAUUAGUUUUGGAAAAUAUAGUGAGAGAAAAUAGUGACGAUUAUUGUUUAGAUGUGUAAAUAGCCUAAACAUAAUUGCUAAUACCAACAUCCACGUGCAUCUUAACACCUUUCGUGAUAAUCUUUCAUUCAUGGUCACUGGUUCAAGAUUUGAAUUUGAUCAUUAAAUCAUGUUCAAGAAUAUUAGAGAUCCCAACAAUUGAGUUCCAACUUAAAUCCUAAUGCUAUGUGUCAUUGACCAAUAUUGUGUCAUUUUUUGUUAACUGGGUGAUGAAUUUCUAGUUGAUAAAAUUACUUAAAAAUAUCUUAAAAAUCAGAUAAUAGUUAGCUUAAUUUUUUGAAGCUAACUGCUCAAGAUGCUCUAUUAGAAAUGAUAACCUAAUUAUAUAAAAAAAAAAAUGAUGUAUUUUUUUCGGUGUUGAUAGUGAGAUUAUCAUUCAACAUGUUAAAAUAUGAAAACAUAUGGAAGAAGGUUGUAAAUUGAUUGAAUGAAAAUAUUUCAGUGAAGUCUAAAAAAUUUGGUACUUGUUAUCUUAUCGAAAGUUUUCUAAAUUACAUUCGUGGCACUGCCACUGCUUCCAUGUGAAGGUCAUUAAAAUUUGUGUUAGUUACCUAUAUGUUGAAUAAUAAUUUUAUUCAUGAAUUGUUGCUCAAUAUAGCAGUUUCUAGAUGAAUUUUCCUACAUGUUUGUCCUCAUAUGACCUAGAAUGCUGCCAUAUCAAUUGUAUUGGAAAUUAUUCAAGUGGGUUUGUGCUCUAUACCCCCACCAAAAUUUAAGCAAUCUACAGAACAUUCCUUGUGGAAAGAAACUUAUUUCGCUACUAGGUGGGAGUAGAUUUCUAAGCUAAUGCUCGGCAGAUCUCUAGGCUAUACUAAAAAGUGUAUGCACUUUGACUCUCAAUAUAUACGAGUGAUUCUAUGAUAUGACUGAAAACAUCAGUACAUGCAUGAUUUUAUAAGAAAGAAUAUUCUAAAAUUAUUUAUGUAUCACCAUUUGAAGUUGUACCCUCUCGAAUGAAGGUGCAAUCAGCAACUAAAAUGAAGCCCGAAAUGUACACGCGUGAAGCAGUUUUUCUAGAAGAUUGAUAUUUCUCAAACUAGCAAACCGUACAAGUCCAAAGCUAGAAAAAGGAGUGCUUCUAAGCAGAAAACAUUGAUUAAAACAGAAUGCACACAAACAUACCAGCAAAUUCAAAAUAGAAAAAGGAGUGCAACUGUUCAAGUUUGUGGACAAUAUUGCAACCGUGGCAUAUUUAUAGCAAAUCCUUGAAAUCUGCUAAAUAAACAAUGCCCUGUCUCAUGAAUCAAAGCCGAAUUAAAAUUGAAAUUGAAAGUCCGGCUGGUGUUGUUUCCCUCUCCAGUUUUGCCCACAUAAGUGAAGGGAAAUGAGAAUCAUAAACUAAAAUCUGCUUUUACAGUUCUUAUUAGAUAGAUAUAAAGGGAUCUUUCUUUGUUUCUCUGCUGCAAUUUGUGGCUAUCCCACUCUGUUUUGCCACUCAAGCUUAGUCUACGUUGAGACACAAUUUUGACAUCAGAAGCAACCUCAAUUAGUUUGGCAUUUUUAUGACCUCCUUGUACGUUUUACGAUAAACAUAAAUCUACUGAGAAAGUGGGAAAAAAAGAAAAUGCAUAUAAAAGUAUGAGUUAUCAGACAUGAUUAAAACUCACCCAAUUCAAUCCAUUAGAUUCCGUAAGGAUAUAACUGGAUGUCAUACCGCCAUUCCAUAUCCUCGAAAGUCCGUAGCCUCUGUCUCAACUCUGUCUGAGGCCAAUGUAAAUCCAAUAUGCGCAAGCUCUUUAUGCACCACAGCUCUUCUGGAAGCUUUCUCAAGUAAGCACAAGGGUUGACAAUUAAGCUUUCAAGUUUUGGCAUUGCUCCAGCCCCCAUCGUCCACUCAUCUAGCCAAAACAUUGAUUUCAGGUGCAAAACCUUACGUUCCGGAAAGCAACCAGGGCCAACGCAGGCCAGCUUUCUUCCUAAAUACGAGUUUUGCUUCAGUUUCAGCACUUGAAGGCGUGGAAGCUUUUCCAGCAUUGGCAUGGGAUCCUCCAUUAGCUCAGUAUUCGAUAAGCUCAGAUGGCUCAGACUUGGAGGAAAUUGGUAUUCAGACAGGAUAAUCCGUGAGGGCUUGCUCUCAUUCACCAGCUUCAAGCAUUCAAGUUUGUGCAGUUCGCAUAGGCUUUUGGAAACCCCGGAUUGAUAGUAACUCAAAUCUCCAGAUAUUCUUAGACUUUGGACAAGAUAUUCUUAGACUUUGGACAUUUGGUAGUCUGCCCAAUAUAGCUGGACUGCAACUACUAGGAUGUAAGGCUGAUAAGAAAAUGAGAUUUUUCAGAGAGCUUCAAUAAUUUUUUGGAGGUGCGGGCAGAGUGAUGCAACCGAAGUUUAGAUGCAUGAGUUUUUGCAUCAUCCAAAUAUCCUCUGGUGAAUGAUCUAUGUAGCUAGAUGGCAUUUCUAGCGUUUGAAGGUUUAAAAGGGAGCAUAGCAGUGAAGGAAUGCAUUUGAGCGAAGGGAUAUUCAAUUUCAAAUACUUCAAAAGGAAUAAAUUUUCUAAUCCGGCUGGAUAUUGGUCGAGAACUGCAGAACCCAAGUUCAAUACCCGAAGGUAUUUGAACUUGUCGCAAUCUAUCAGAGCGAGAUGAUCGCUUGCCGAACUGUUAUUCAGAAAAGAUUGGAGAUACAUGUCAGAAUGUCCUAAAGAUAAAAACCCAGUCAGAUCUUGGGCAAUGACGCACCGUUUAACAUUUGCCACUGGCUCCUCUUCCCUGUCACGCAUCCAUACAAAUUCCGUCUUCUCUGCCACCGAGCACAGUAAAGUAAAUUCAAAACCUGGAACAUAAAACGCUUUAAUUGUGCCGCCGGCUCCUCUUACUCACUUGAAUGAAGCCGCAAUGGAUUAGUUCUUUCAAGUAAUGUUCUGCCGUCUCCUCACUGUUGUAUGGUAUGAAACCUUCAGCUACCCACAACUGAUAUAAUUGUCUCGUAGAUAUCUCAAUGUCUGGACGGAAGACAAACAAAUAGGUGUAGCAGACUUUCAAGUGAAAAGGUAACUCCAUCACAGAAUAAAUUUGUCUCCAAAUUGUCCGAAUCGCUUAGGCUUGAAGAUAAUUUUCUAAUGGCAUACUUCCAUAGUGUAGGAUGAAAAAUUGCCAGGCCUCAUACUUUAAUCUGAUCAAUGGUCCUCCAACGAGCACAGAAUCAGGCCGAAUCUUCUCUCCAUUUUCCAUUUCCAACGACACAAGGAGUUCUGGAUCAGUGACUGUUAUCAAUACUCUGCUUCCAUUCUCAUUAUCAGGGAGACCUUCUUCGAGAUCAUCCCAUAUCUCACUGUUAUCGAAGACAUCAUCAAGCACAAUAAAGUACUUCUUGUUUGUUAGGUAAUCUCGAAGAAUAGAUUUCUUCAAUUGAUAAUUGAAAGAGUUUGUAUAUAGUGUUUGGUUUAAGAGAAACUAACAAGAAAAUAAAAGAAAAUCAUAAAGAACCAGAUCUGAAAAUGAUCAUAUUCUCAUUUUUUGACUAAUGAUUACAACUUGUUAUUUAUAGUAAAGAUCAGAGGCGUCACGUAGCUUGUCAGUUUGUUGGAUCUAAUAUGCAUGCAGUACAGUUCGUUAUCUUUGCUGCUGAGCUGGAUAACUAACUCAACACACGUAAGCAUCAGCAGCUCCAUUUAAUCAGAUGCUCUCAUCUAUACCAUAUUAUCAUACUCUAUAACAUCCUCCCUCAAGCUGAACUGACCUGGAUGGACAUUCAGCUUGCUUCUUAGAUAGUGAAACUGAUUGAAGGUUAGUGCCUUGGUAAGAACAUCGGCAUUUUGGUCUUCACUGGGAAUGAACUGAACUGUAAUUUGCUUAGCUGUUACUUUGUCUCUGAUGAAGUGAAUAUCAAGCUCAACAUGCUUAGUUUUAGCAUGAUAAACAGGAUUGUGAGCUAAAGCUAUGGCACUUUGAUUAUCACACCACAUUAUGGGGGCUGUGACAAGAUGAAUAUGUAGCUCUUUCAGUAAGGACUGAAUCCAAGUAACCUCAGCUGUAGCUUGAGCCAAAGCUCUGUAUUCAGCUUCAGUGCUUGAUCUGGAAACUACUGCCUGUUUCUUAGACGACCAAGAAACCAAAUUUGAACCAAGAUAAACAGCAUAACCAGCCACUGAUUUGCGAUCAUCCUUAUCACAUGCCCAAUCUGAGUCACUAAAACAAUUUAUCUGCAUAGUGCCGUAAUGAUAAAAAUGUAAUCCAAAAUGAAUUGUUCCUUUCAAAUAUCUAAGAAGCCUCUUACAAGCCUCCCAGUGCUCUGCUGUUGGUGAAGCUAAAAACUGACUAAGUUUGUUUACAGAGAAAGCUAUUUCUGGCCUAGUGAGAGUCACAUAUUGUAAAGCUCCAACUGCACUUCUAUAUUGAGAACUAUUUGAAAUAACACUUCCUGACCCCUUUGUAAGAUAAUGACCAGUGGCCAUGGGAGUAGGAACUGGACUGCAGUCAGCCAUAUUGUGUUUGGCUAGAAUAUCAGCUAUGUAUUUAGAUUGAGAGAGAUAAAUUCCAGAUGCUGUUUUGGUAACUUCUAUCCCAAGAAAAUAACUCAAUUUGCCCAGAUCCUUCAAAGCAAAAGCAUUUUGCAUAUUGGUAAUCACUUGCUGCACCAUUUGAUCACUUGAGCCUGUUAUGAUUAUAUCAUCCACAUAGACAAGAACAAAAAUUACUUGAUCACCUAUCCACUUGUAGAAAAGGGAGUUGUCUGACCUUGAAUUUUGGAAACCCCAUUUCACAACCAUAGCAUCUUUCAGUCUCUCAAACCAUGCCCUGGGGGCUUGUUUUAAACCGUAGAGAGCCUUUUUCAACUUACAGACAUGAAGAGGUCGAGAUGGAUCAAUGAAGCCCUCUGGCUGCCCCAUGUACACAUCUUCAACUAAUAUGCCAUUCAAAAAGGCAUUAUUCACAUCCACUUGUCUGAGCUCCCAUUUAUUCAUAACUGCCAAACUUAAAAUAACUCUGACUGUGGAUGCUUUAACAACUGGACUGAAUGUUUCUGUGUAAUCAACUCCUUGUGUCUGAUGAAACCCCUUAGCCACUAACCUGGCUUUGUAUCUAGAAAUGGUUCCAUCAGCAUGAUAUUUUAUCUUGAAUAUCCAUUUGUUACCAACUACCUUAACUGGUUCACUUGGCAAAACCAGAUCCCAUGUAUGAUUAUUCUGAAGUGCUUGAAAUUCUUCUUGCAUUGCCUUAAACCAUUUUGGAUUAGAUAAAGCAGCUGAAACAGAAGUAGGUUCUGAAGGUAUGGCUAGUAAAGCAGCUAAAUAAGAUUUAGGCUUAAAUAUACCAGCCUUGGAUCUGGUUAUCAUGGGAUGACCUAUAGGUGGUGCAGCAGGUAAUAUAUGAGGAGGAGAUUGUGUAUGAUGUAUAGGAUGUGUAUGUGAUGUCAAAGUAGAAGAUGAAGAGGAGGUUGAAGAAGGAGAGAAUACCUGUGGAGUGUCAGCAGGUAGGUAAUCACUUGCUAGAGAUUGUUGCAGGGGGGAUUGUACUUGUGGGAUUGGAACAAGAGUAACUUUGGACUCUGAAGAAAUAUCUGAGGGACUGCAAGACUGAGCAAUGGAAGAGAAGUCUAAUCCAGAUACAUAUGGAAAAGAUUGUUCAUCAAAGAUGACAUGAUUGGACACAUACACACGACCAGAUGAAUGAAGACACUGAUACCCUUUAUGAGAAGAGCUAUACCCAAUAAAAACACAUCUGUUUGAUCUAAAACUGAGCUUGUGUCUGUUAUAAGGUCUGAGAUAAGGAAAGCAAGCACAACCAAAGACCCUAAGAGAGACAUAAUCUGGUACUUGCUGAAAAAGUUUUUGGUAAGGUGAAAUGUAUUCAAAGUUGGUGUGGGUAGUCUGUUAAUAAGGAAUACAACAGUAUGAAAGGCAUUCCACCAGAACUUAAGUGGUAAAUUAGCUUGAGCUAACAGAGUGAGGCCAAUGUCCACUAUGUGUCUAUGUUUUCUCUCAAUUCUUCCAUUUUGAUGAUGGAUAUGUGGACAAGGAUGCCUGAACUGAAUUCCAAACUGAGUGAGAUAUGAUGCAAAGGUUCUAAACUCCCCUCCCCAAUCUGUUUGAACUGUUUUGAUGUGUUGUUGUAAGUGUUUUUCAAUAAAAGAUUUGAAUUCUGUGAAAACUUGGAGUGCAUCUGAUUUGGCAGUCAAAGGAAAAAUCCAUGUGAAUCUGCUAAAAUCAUCUAAAAUGGACAAAUAAUAUAUAUAGCCUUGAGUGGAUGCAACAUGUGAUGGUCCCCACAAAUCAGCAUAUAUAAGUUGUAAUGGUGCUGUUGUUUUUGUUGGAAUAGAUCCAAAAUGUAAAAGGUGACUUUUACCAUGUUGACAGGCAUUGCAAAAGUUUGGAGUUUUAUUGAGUACAUUGAAACUAUUACAAGCUUUCAAUACAGAUUUGAGUGUGUGUAAGGCAGGAUGUCCUAGCCUUUUAUGGAAAACAUUGACAUCGACUGAGCUAGUAUUGACAGCCAAGGCUGAUUUACACAGCAAAUGAUGAGACAAAGUACUCUUACUUAUUUCAGGAGAAAUAUCACUAGACAAAGGAGAAUGAAAAGCAAACAAAGACUGAGGUUUAUUGGAAGAAAGUUGACAAGACAAGGCUGAGCUAGUUUCAGAGACUUGAGCUGCAGAUUGGACUUGAUACAAUCCCCCUGUUGCAAUUCCUCUAAGCAAAGUGAUCCCUGAGUUCCUGGCCUUGACAACACAGACAUUUGCAAAAAACUCAAGUGUCACAUUAUUAUCUACUAAGAGCUUUGAAACACUGAGUAAAUUUUUCUUAAUAUUUGGAACAUGAAGAACAUGGUUUAAACACAAGGGUUUAUUUGCAGUAGUAGCUAGCAAUACUGAUCCAAUAUGCUGAAUAUGCAAUGCAGAACCAUUCCCAACAAGCAAUUUGUCAGUUCCAACAUAUGGCUUGAGAUCCAGUAAUUUACCUGGGUCAUUUGUGAUGUGGUUAGUAGCACCACUGUCAAUGUACCAAGCUGGAUCUUCAAUCAUCUCAGGUGCAUGAGCUGGAACAGGGACUGAAGGAGAUCCAGAGUAAUCUCCAGUAGGAGCAAAAGCAUGAGCAGGAGAGUAACCACCAUGAGAAUUAGAUGGUUGAUAAACAUUGAAAGCAGCUGGAUCUGAAUACAUCAAAUGGCCUUGAUAACCAGGUGCUCUUGGUAUGUUGAAAUUACCAAACUGAGAGUUACCAAUUCCAGCACCAUAUUGAGGAUUAAGAUUUCUACCAAAAUUACCAAAAUUUCCAUAAGCCAUAGAAGACCUAUUGCCAUUAGCAUAGCCAAAACCUCUACCAUACUGCCUCUGACCAGGCCUAAAAUUUCCAUUAAAACCACCUCUUCCUUGAUUUCUUGAAGGAACAAAAGCUGAGUUAAACCUAUUCCUGCAUUUAUUGGCACCAUGACCAGGAAUGAAAUAGAUCUGACAUACAAUUUGUGAGAAGUUACCAUCACUAGAUCCAGCUCCAGAAUUAUAACUUCCUCCAUACGAUCCAAUGUUAAACUUCUGAUUACCACUAGUGUUUUUACUAGGAUUGAACUGCUUUUGAGCAACAUUAGCUGACAAGUUAUGUGUAACAUCACUUGCAAUUUUUCCUCUCUUUUGUUCCACAUGAUUUUCAUGACUCAAUAACAAUGAAUAAAACUCAUCAAGACUGAUAUUAUCUCCUCUAGCUAACACAGUAGUAACUAGUGAUUCAUAAUCAGAGGAAUCCAAUCCAGUCAAAACAUGUUGAACGAAAUCAUUCACUUCAACAGGUUUUCCAGCUAAAGCCAAGCUAUCAGAUAUCCUUUUCAUUUUUGCAAAAUAAUCAGUUAUGGACAUCGAGCCUUUUUUAAGAGUUUGGAUUUGCAUUUUUAGAGGCAUUAUUCUAGCUUGUGACUGGGAAACAAACAUACUUGUAAGUGUAUCCAGCAGCUCCUUUGCAGUUGAGCAGUGGAUCACAGUUGUCAACAGAUUCGGCUGAAUAGAUGAGAGCAUCCAGCUCAGAAUCAAUUGAUCCGUCUUUAUCCACAUUGUGUAAGCUGGAUUGAUCUCUUGAUUCUCUGUUCCAGUUGAGAAACCAGCAGCAGAGCUUAUAGCAGAGAAAAAUUUUCCCGGACAGACUUGAUUUCCAUUGAUGAAAUCUUCUAAACCAUUUCCUUUAAUGGAUAUGAGAAUCUGAGUUCGCCAAACAAUGAAGUUAUUAUGAUCUAGUUUUAUCGGAGUAAUAAAACUAUAGGAUCCAGAAUUUUGAUUCGAAUUUGCCAUUUGUUAGCUCUGAUACCAUGAAAGAGUUUGUAUAUAGUGUUUGGUUUAAGAGAAACUAACAAGAAAAUAAAAGAAAAUCAUAAAGAACCAGAUCUGAAAAUGAUCAUAUUCUCAUUUUUUGACUAAUGAUUACAACUUGUUAUUUAUAGUAAAUAUCAGAGGCGUCACGUAGCUUGUCAGUUUGUUGGAUCUAAUAUGCAUGCAAUACAGUUCGUUAUCUUUGCUGCUGAGCUGGAUAACUAACUCAACACACGUAAGCAUCAGCAGCUCCAUUUAAUCAGAUGCUCUCAUCUGUACCAUAUUAUCAUACUCUAUAACAUCCUCCCUCAAGCUGAACUGACCUGGAUGGACAUUCAGCUUGCUUCUUAGAUAGUGAAACUGAUUGAAGGUUAGUGCCUUGGUAAGAACAUCGGCAUUUUGGUCUUCACUGGGAAUGAACUGAACUGUAAUUUGCUUAGCUGUUACUUUGUCUCUGAUGAAGUGAAUAUCAAGCUCAACAUGCUUAGUUUUAGCAUGAUAAACAGGAUUGUGAGCUAAAGCUAUGGCACUUUGAUUAUCACACCACAUUAUGGGGGCUGUGACAAGAUGAAUAUGUAGCUCUUUCAGUAAGGACUGAAUCCAAGUAACCUCAGCUGUAGCUUGAGCCAAAGCUCUGUAUUCAGCUUCAGUGCUUGAUCUGGAAACUACUGCCUGUUUCUUAGACGACCAAGAAACCAAAUUUGAACCAAGAUAAACAGCAUAACCAGCCACUGAUUUGCGAUCAUCCUUAUCACAUGCCCAAUCUGAGUCACUAAAACAAUUUAUCUGCAUAGUGCCGUAAUGAUAAAAAUGUAAUCCAAAAUGAAUUGUUCCUUUCAAAUAUCUAAGAAGCCUCUUACAAGCCUCCCAGUGCUCUGCUGUUGGUGAAGCUAAAAACUGACUAAGUUUGUUUACAGAGAAAGCUAUUUCUGGCCUAGUGAGAGUCACAUAUUGUAAAGCUCCAACUGCACUUCUAUAUUGAGAACUAUUUGAAAUAACACUUCCUGACCCCUUUGUAAGAUAAUGACCAGUGGCCAUGGGAGUAGGAACUGGACUGCAGUCAGCCAUAUUGUGUUUGGCUAGAAUAUCAGCUAUGUAUUUAGAUUGAGAGAGAUAAAUUCCAGAUGCUGUUUUGGUAACUUCUAUCCCAAGAAAAUAACUCAAUUUGCCCAGAUCCUUCAAAGCAAAAGCAUUUUGCAUAUUGGUAAUCACUUGCUGCACCAUUUGAUCACUUGAGCCUGUUAUGAUUAUAUCAUCCACAUAGACAAGAACAAAAAUUACUUGAUCACCUAUCCACUUGUAGAAAAGGGAGUUGUCUGACCUUGAAUUUUGGAAACCCCAUUUCACAACCAUAGCAUCUUUCAGUCUCUCAAACCAUGCCCUGGGGGCUUGUUUUAAACCGUAGAGAGCCUUUUUCAACUUACAGACAUGAAGAGGUCGAGAUGGAUCAAUGAAGCCCUCUGGCUGCCCCAUGUACACAUCUUCAACUAAUAUGCCAUUCAAAAAGGCAUUAUUCACAUCCACUUGUCUGAGCUCCCAUUUAUUCAUAACUGCCAAACUUAAAAUAACUCUGACUGUGGAUGCUUUAACAACUGGACUGAAUGUUUCUGUGUAAUCAACUCCUUGUGUCUGAUGAAACCCCUUAGCCACUAACCUGGCUUUGUAUCUAGAAAUGGUUCCAUCAGCAUGAUAUUUUAUCUUGAAUAUCCAUUUGUUACCAACUACCUUAACUGGUUCACUUGGCAAAACCAGAUCCCAUGUAUGAUUAUUCUGAAGUGCUUGAAAUUCUUCUUGCAUUGCCUUAAACCAUUUUGGAUCAGAUAAAGCAGUUGAAACAGAAGUAGGUUCUGAAGGUAUGGCUAGUAAAGCAGCUAAAUAAGAUUUAGGCUUAAAUAUACCAGUCUUGGAUCUGGUUAUCAUGGGAUGACCUAUAGGUGGUGCAGCAGGUAAUAUAUGAGGAGGAGAUUGUGUACACACUGAUCCAUGUACAACACAUCUCUUGAUUAUCUGUGUGUGUGCUGCUCAUCAAUGAUUAACAAGAUACAGUAGUUUUGUGAAGUCUCAUGUCUUGUGUUACAAAAUUUUGUGAUGGAAAGAAGGAAUAAUUCAACUAAAAAAAAAAAACACACGCGCGCAGCACACACACAGAGGGCCGCAACUAGCCCUUGAACCCCUAUUGAACUCGCACAAGAUACUAUUGAACUAAAUUCAAAAACAGCUGUUAAUAGCAUCUUAAAAUAUGGGUUCUAUCCAUACUCCCACCUGAAUCAUUUCUUGCGGCAUGACUCAAAAAUAACAAUAAGCCUGUCGCACCGAUAACUCAUUAGUGCAAUUUUUUUAACUCAAAAAAUUGAUACGCGUUCAUUUAGCGAAAAGUCCAAGACGCUUGCCUUUUGAAAAGAAGAGGUAUCCAAUAGAUAUCCAACCUUUAUCUUAUUUAAUUACUACCACGACAUGAUUGAUGGUGCUUAAAUCGAUUGUUUCUUUUUUAAUUUAAAGAAUUUUUCAUUAAAAAAUAUUUUAAUAUCAAAUUGCCUUCAAUAGCGUAACUGCCGCAGGCCCAGUAACAAGAUUAAUUAAAAUUUUUUGAAUUUUUGGGCAUGGAAAGAGUAGUAUUAGACUUCAGAAAGCUUAAGGUUGUUAUGUUAAAGAAUUGAUAUUGACAUAAUUUUAUUUUGGUUUUCGGGAAACAAAUUAUUUGUUGACAAGCAAGAAAAUAUUUUUGUAUUUUACAAUUUAUUAUACAUAUUUUAUCAUAUUAAAGUAAUUUUAAUAAUAAAUAGACACAUAAUAUUACAACAAAUAAAGUAAAGUUUAAAUUAUUUUGAAUAUUAUAAAAAUAAUUUUAAUAUUAUUAAUAGGAAGACAUUUUGUUAAUUUUAAAAUCUUUUUAACCUAAAGGUUUAUUUAAAAUCUUUAGAAAUCUCCAUCCCACAUCUACCCUAUUAAACAAGUUGAUGGAAAUUGAACAAUUGCUUUUUGAAGUGGACCCAUUGAGUUAUGUUCAUUACUGGUCAUUGUCUAUUCUUUCUAAGAGCCACUUGUUUUGAGCAUUAGCAAUCCUAUCUGGACUACUCCAAUUAUUGAUGUAACUCCAAUGGUUGCAUCAACAGUUGAAUGUAAGAUAGUGUUAGUUCUUUUUUGAGAAUAUAGAGGGAUCUUUAUUUGUUUCUCCGUUGUAGCGUAUUAGUAUAAAUUUCUUUACCUUACAGUUCCUACAGUCUUCCUGUUAAUGAAUUCGCUGAGGCAUUAUUGAUCCAAUCUCAGUGAAGUAAUUGUGGGUGAAAAAAAAAAAUAAAGGAUAAGAGAACGUAGCUGAAGUGCUGAAUUGACUAUUAAAGAAGAGCGUCACCUGAUCACAAUCACAUUGAUGCACAACUCACUCAGAUCAUUACAACGUCCUUUUCGCUAAUUAAUUAUGAUUAUAUACAUUUUCAUAUGGCAAGUGGCAUUGUAGAUCUAAACUACGUUGCUAUUUCAUUACGUUAAUUAAGUGAUUCUCCUCAUUGUCAUCAGCGCUUUUUGGGCAUGGAAAGAGUAGUAUUAAACAUUAGAAAGCAAAGGUUGUUCUGUCAAAGAAUUGAUAUUGGCAUAAUUUUAUUUUUGCUUUCGAGUAAAAAAAAAAAAAUUGUUGACAAGCAAGAUACUGUUUUUAUAUUUUACAGUCAGUUAUACAUAUUUUAUCAUAUUAAAGUAAUUUUAAUAAUAAAUGGAAACAUAACAUUACAAUAAAUCAAUUAAAGUUUAAAUUAUUUUGAAUAUUAUAAAAAAUAAUUUUAAUAUUAUUAAUAGGAAGAUAUUUUGUUUAUUGUAAAAUCUUUUUAACCCAAAGGUUUAUUUAAAAUCGUUAUAAUAAAUAAAAAUAUAAAAACAAAAUAAAUAUCAUAAUUUAAAAUUUUAAUAUUAUUUUAAAUAUUAAAAAUACUUUAAUGCUAUUAGUCUACUACCCAGGUUAUAUUACGUAUAUUAUAUUUGUAUAAAUUAAAACUUUUAAAGUUAAAUUUUUAAUUACUAUAUUGAAAAGUUAUUAUGGUUAAAAAAAGUUUUGGCAUUUCUUUUUGAAAAUUUGAGGGUCUGCAUGACAAUUUGUCCAAAUCCUAGAGGUAUAGGUGUCUUUUUUUUUUUUCGAUAAUCAUUUUACUUUUGAGGGAAUCCGAUGAGAAAUAAGAUAAGAGAAACGUCAAUUUAAGGUUCUCUAGGGAAAACCAAGAACUAUUCAAUUUUGUAUUUUUUGUUUGUAAAACGAAAAACAGUUUGCCAAAAAAGGUACCAAACAUAUCCUUAAUGUCUCACAUGAUUUCUUAUUAAGUCCAUACUCGAUAUAUUUAUACAUUUUAGGUAUUUUAGUUAUAAAAGAAGUUGGUCCUCCCUUUGUUUAUAAAAGGUAACUUUAUUUCGAGAUUACCACUAAAGUCUUGCAAAGAAUUAGUGUAAUGUUAAGAGAGAAUAACACAGUUUUCCAUUACCAUUUUGAAAAUAGAAAGAUGUGGAUGUGUGCAUUUAAUAUUGCGUUUACUUGCUGGAUUGAGGAAUCGGAAUCUAGAAUCGGAAUGAUUGAUGGUGUUUACUUUGCAAAUAUGGAGCAGGAAUCGGAAUUGGAAUGGUGGGGGCCACCACUAUUUGGGAAUGGGAGAUUGAUUCUCAUGGGGGAAGGUGGGAAUGAGUCUCCCAUUCCCUGGAUUGACCAUUUUGCCCUCCCUCAAAAUUAAAAAUGCCUACUUUGUCCUCUUUUAUAAUUAAUUAAUAUAAUAUUAUAAUUACUUAAUUAAUAUAUAAAUAUUUUAUUAACUAUAAUUAUUAAAAAUUAUAGUUCUUGAAUAAAUAAUCACAAUAAUUAAUUUAUUAUUAUUAUUGUUAUUUUAAUUAAUUAAUUAAUAUACUAUUAUAAUAAUUAUUAAUAUAAUUAAUUUAUAUAUUAUUAUUAUUAUUAAUGAAUUAAUAUAAUUAUUACUAUUAAUUAAUAUAUUAAUAUAUUAUUAACAAUAAUAUAUUAAUAAUUAUUGUUCGUGAAUAAAUAAUCACAAUAAUUAAUAUAUUAUUAUUGUAAUUAAUUAAUUAAUAUACUAUUAUAAUAAUUAUUAAUAUAAUUAUUAUAAUUAAUUCAUAUAUUAUUAUUAAUUAAAUUAAUAUUAUUAAAUAAAUAAAUAAUAUAAUUAUUACUACUAAUUAAUAUAUUAAUAUAUUAUUAAAAAAUAUUAAUAAUUAUAAUUUUUGAAUAAAUAAUCACAAUAAUUAAUAUAUUAUUUUAAUUAAGUAAUUAAUAUUAAUAUUAAUAUUAUUAGUUAAUAUAUUUUUAUAAUAAUUUUUAAUAUAGUUAUUAUAAUUAAUUAAUUUUUUUUACAAUUAAUUAAUAUAUUAGUUAAUAAUAAUUAUGACAAUAAUCCAUUAAGUACUUUUUAGUAAUUUGUUACAAUCUAAUUCAUUCCGAUUCCGAUUUCAAGACAAAGUAAACACAUUAAUGGCAAUUUAGCUCAUUCUGAUUUUGAUUCCUACAGUUCAAGUAAACAACUUAUUUUGAUUCCUAUUACAUAUUCCCAUUCCAACCCAUUCUCAUUUCUGUCCAUUCUCAUUUCUGCCCAUUCCGAUUUUAGCUCAUUCCGAUUUCAGUUUAGUAAACGCAGUAUAAGAGUUAUCAUGAAAAUCAUACAAUUCAAUUUCCUGAAAUAUAUAUUUUAUUCACAUGUGCCAAAAGAAUAAAUAGAUAGAAAGUAAAUUUACAAUCCUCACUCCCUCACAAUUGUUAAAGUGAAUAUGCAUUACAACUGUGAACUGUCACUACUUUAGCCCUUUUUUUUUUUUCAAUUAUAGUGUGAUGGAGACAGUGAACAUUAAGGAUAAAGUGCUCUGCUGAAAGCCAAACUUCCUUUGGCUAAUUAAUUUAGAAGUAAAGCAGAGAAUAAAGUCCUAGAUGCCUUCUGAAAUUAGAAAUACAUUUUAUAUGCUUUAAUUAUGAUUAUUUGGCAGACUAAAGACCUAAAAGAUAUGUCAAAAGUAUGAAACAGAGAGAUUAAAGAAAAAAGAAAAAAAAAAAAAAACAGAGUAUUUGUGACGUAGAAUAACAAUUGGUAAAUAAAUCCUAAAUAUUUGAGUUGUUAAAAGCAAAUAUAACAGAGACGGUAAGAGAGAUGCAGAAACAGAAAACUAUUAGCUUAUCUUGAUUUUCCCACUAUAUUCAUUUUCGAUGCUUUUCAAUCGAGAUUCUUUUAAUUCUUCUGGUGUCUGCAGCCCCGGCUCUUCUUAUAAAUCUCCAUCCCACAUCUGCACUACGAACAAGUUGACUGAAAUUAAAUAAUGUUGGAGAUGAGGGGUGAGCCGUCAACUUGUUAAAAAAAACUCAUGUAUAAUAUUAUCAAUAAUAUAAAAUAUAUAAUAAUUGUUACAAAGAAUCAUAAAUUAGAAAAAUUAAUUAUUUUACAAUCUAUUUCUUAAGUAAGAUAAAUCUUGUAAUAAGUUAAGUUAUAACGUAAAAAAUAUUUUCAAUUUAUAAUCAUUUAAGAAGUCAUUUAACAAUAAAAUCUUUCUUUUGAUCAUGUGGGCAUGCCAUAGAGUAUCAUCUAUAUUCGUGAUGAUAUUAUUAUUACUCAGUAUCCUAAAAAAAACACGAUUUAACAUUUAGAGAAAAUUCCUGCCUUUUAAAAAGAACAUGUAUGCAAUAGCUAGCCAUACUUUAUUUUACCACAACAAAAUUGAUGGUGAUUAAAUCAAUUUUCUCAAUUAAAGCAAAAUUUUAAAAAUUGAUUUAAUGCACAAAUAUGAUGAGUUUUUGUAAAAAUUAGUUUUGGAAAAUAUAGUGAGAGAAAAUGGUGACGAUUAUUUUCAGAUGUGCAAAUAGCCUAAACAUAAUCUCUAAUACCAAUAUCCAUGUGCAUCUUAAUACCUUUCAUGAUAUUCUUUCAUUCAUGGCCAUUUGUUCAAGAUUUGAAUUUGAUUAUUAAAUCAUGUUCAAUAAUGUUAGAGAUCCCAACAAUUGAAUACCAACUUAAAUCCCAAUGCUAUGUGUCAUUAACAAAUGUUGUGUCAUUUAUAAUUAUUGAAUGAAUAAUUCGUUAAUUUAUUGAUAAAUAAAAAUUUAUUAAUUUAAAGAGAGAUACUUCUUCUUUUUUUGUUUUAAGAAGAGUUUUGUUGGUACAUGUACAUACUUAUAAAGAAAUAAACUUGUAAUUAUACUAUAUCUUUCUUUCUUUGUUCAGUUUGGUGGGAUAUUGUGAUAAAUCAUUGGAUUAAAAUACAUUUCUAAAUUAAAACUUGUUAAAAUCUAAUUUAUUUGGGAAACGCAUAUUAUUUGUCAGUUGUACUUCUCAACUUAGCAAGUUAUUUCUAACUUGUCAGUCUCUAUUGGUUCUCUAAAAGCUAAUAGUCUCGAAUCUCCCGCAUUUGAUAUCUUGCCAUUACUGUUGGCAUUUGUUAAGUAUAGCUGAAGCUGGUGACGUGUAUAAGCUGCUGAUGAAGCUGCUGAGUUGGCUGGCUGGUGAUGUGUAUAAACUGAAGGUGCUGAGCUGGAUUGGGUUGUUGUUCACACCAACUAAAGAUGUAACAGAUUAUCCAGCUGGCUUGUUAUGAUUGGAAGUUAGAUUAGUUUGUUAAUACAGCAAACAAUGAGCUCUGUUUUGGUAGUUAGUUUUGAGUGUAACUAUAAAUACUGGCUAACAUGUUUUCAGUGUUAAGCUUGAGUUUUAAUCAAUAAAAAUCAAUUCAGUUAAAGUUUCUUUGUUAACUUUCUUUCACUUUCUCACUUGCCAAACAACCUAUUAAUUCUAAAAUGGUAUCAGAGCUUGCACCUAUGUCAGGAUCUAAUCAUAUAGCUUCCUCAUCACUUUCAUUCAAUUUUGUUCAACCUAUAAAACUCGAUAGAUCAAACUACUUGGUGUGGAAAGCUCAAGUUAGAACAUCGAUCAUUGCUAAUGGACUUGAGAGCUUCAUCAAUGGUGAGAGUGUAUGUCCAAAAUGUUAUCUCAUUGAUUCUAUUCAAGAACUUCAAAGAUCUGGAGCUGAAACAUCACAGAAGCAGGAAAAUCCAGAGUAUAUCUUAUGGAUGAAAACUGACAAACUUCUGCAGAGCUGGAUGCUUUCGUCAAUGGUGGACAAUGUAUUAAUCAUGGUGAUCAAUUGUGAAACAUCACUUGAACUUUCGGAGAUGCUUGCUAGAAUCUUCAUGUCACAAUCCAAAGCGAGAUAUCUGCCUUUGAAGAUGCAGAUUCAAUCAACAAAUAAAGGAUCUCUCUCCAUCAGUGAUUACUUCAAAAGGAUGAAGAAAAUUGCUGAUAGCUUGGCCAUUGGAGGUAAUCCAAUUACUUCGAAUGAACUGAUUAUUCACUUGCUUACUAGAUUGGAUGAAAACUAUGAAUCCAUAGUCACAAAUAUACUUACUAGACUGGAAAAAGAGAGACUUACUGCUGAAGAGGUGUACUCUAUGUUACUUAGUCAUGAAACUAGGUUGGAAAUGAGCAAAGGAAAAUCACAUAAUGAACCUCUGCAUGAUAUGACAUCAAAUUUUGCUCAGAAAGGCCAAGGUUAUAAUACUGGUCCUGGAAGAGAUGUUGUGUGUCAAAUCUGUUACAUUCCAGGCCAUGGAGCUUAUAAGUGUAAACAUAGAUUCAAUCAAGGGUUUAUUCCUAGAAACAAAGGCUUUGGUGGUUUCAGGCCAAGAGGUGGAGGUCAGAAUUAUAGAGGAUUCCCUAGAAAUAAUCAGAAUUAUUUUGGUAGAGGUUCUGGAUACAAUAGUUCUGCUUUUGGAUCUGGAUUCAGACCUAACUUUCCCAGGCAAGCCGGACCUACUGGACCUUUCUUUGGCUAUGUUGCCUAUCAGAAUCCAGGAUUCAUGAAUCCUCAAGGUGCCUUUGACUUUCCAAGUGCAAAUGGUGAUUAUACUGGUGUUCCAACAGCAAACAUGUAUGUUGGAAAUUAUGGCAUUCCUCAUAAUGUCUCUCCCUCUGCACAAUUGGCAAACUUCAGCAAUGUAGCUGAUUCAGCCUGGUACCUUGACUCUAGAGCAACAAAUCACAUUGCUCAAGAUGCAGGUAUACUUUCUAAGUGCUCAACUUACCAUGGCCUUGAAAAACUACAUGUAGGAAAUGGUAUGGGGCUGCCUGUUCAUAAUGUUGGUUUUGUUGCUGUUAAAACCUUGACUACAACACCUAUAUACCUAAAUCAUGUUCUGCAUGUCCCUAAAAUUACUAAAAACCUUAUCAGUGUUUCCAAAUUGCUUGCUGAUAACAAUGUUUUUAUUGAGUUUUACAACCAUGUUUGUUUUGUUAAGGACAAGAAUUCAAGAAUCACAUUGCUCAAGGGGAUUGUUAGAGGAGGUCUUUAUCAAGUUUCAAGCUUAAAUACAGUCUGUGAUAACUCCAGUUCAGUGUUCCCAGUGUCAACCACUUCUGAGUUUGUUUUUACUUCAAUAAGUACAUUCCCAGCAACUCCAGUGUCUAUGUUUACUCAACUAAGUUCAUUUGAUACUAAGUUUCACUCUUGUAUGCUUGUAAAUAAUUCUCAAAUCAAUAAGAAUGUCCCUGUGGCUCACUUUGCUUCAUAUAACAAGCCUAUUGAUUAUAGUUUACUGCACAAAAGAAUGGGUCAUCCAACUACUCAUGCUUUAAAACAGAUCAUGAAAUGCCUGAACUCAAAUUUUAUUCUUCCCAAAGAUUUCACAACACAGUUCUGUGAUGCCUGUCAACUAGGCAAGUGCCAUACGCAGCAUUUUCCCUCCAUAGAAACUUCAACCACUCAGCCCCUUGAAUUACUACAUGCUGACCUUUGGGGACCAGCUCCCAUUACCUCUUCACAAGGUUACACCUACUAUCUAUCUAUCUUAGAUGACUACACUCGAUACACUUGGAUUUUUCCUCUCAUUGCCAAAUCCAAAACCUUGUCAGCCUUUAUUGAAUUCAAAAACAUGAUUGAAAACUGCCUGAACUUGAAAAUUAAAUGUUUACAAACUGAUUGGGGUGGAGAAUUCAGGCCUUUUGUGUCAUAUCUUUCUAACCAGGGUAUACAAUUUUGACAUCCCUGCCCUUAUAUCCAUCAUCAACAUAUUACCUGAGAUUGGGAUUCAUUAAAAUCCUCAAUGUAAUCGGUGGAACGAAUGGAUUUCUUCUGUUCACCAAUCCACCAAAAUUUCUGUAAUUAAAUUCAAGAGUCAAGAUCUAUGCUUAUAAUCUAUUCAACAGCUAAUAUUCUAUUUUAUAUUUACUUAAAUAUGAAGAGCUAUGCUUGUCAUUAACUUCAAAUGUGAUCGAAGCAGCCUUACAUCUGUAUAUUACGUAUUCCCAACUUUUUUUUGACUUCAUUUACUUUCUUUUCAUGUUAUUUACUCUUUUUUCCCCCUCUCUGACAAUUGAGGUAGGGGGUCAAACUUGAAAGUAUCUUAAAAUCAAACAAUUUUUUUUUUAAGAUAGCUGCUAAUAUGCUCUAUUAGACAAUGAUAAGUAAUAACCUAGUUGUUUGCAUUAGAAAUGAUAUUUUUUGUGGUGCUGAUAAAGAGGUUGAUUAUGAUUCAACAAUUUAAAAUAUGAAAACAUGUGGAAGACGGCCGCAAUUAAAUUGAUUGUAUGAAAAUAUUUCAAUGAAAUUUUAAAAAUUUAGUACUUGUUAUCUUAUCGAGAGUUUUUUAAAUUUUUCUACUUGAACUUGACUGCUUUUGUAUUGAAUUCCUAGCGUUGCCAUUGCUUCUACUCAAAAGCCAUUUAGUUACUCAUGAAUUGUUGUUCAUAAUAGCAAUUUGAUUGAAAGUGCGGCUGCACUAAUUUUCUAGAUGAAUUUUUUCCUACAUGCUUGUUCUCGUAUGACCCAAAAUCCUGCUACAUCAGUUGUAUUAGAAAUUAAUCAACUGGGUUACAAUUAUGCAUCCCCACCAAUAUUUAAGCAAUUUAAUUACAGAAACAUUUCUUGAGGAAAGAAACUCAUAUCGCCACUAGGCUUUUAAUGAGGCUCAUUUUUAUGAAUCUGGAUGGCAUUAGAUAUCUCUCCGAAUAUUGGUGGGAGUAGAUAUGCUACAAAGUGUAUGUACGUUGACUCUCAAUAAAUACAAACGAUUCUCUGAUCUGAUUCAAAACAUCAGUACAUGCAUCAUUUUAAUGAGAAAGAAUAUUCUAAGAACGAAAUUGAAGGUGCAAUCAGCAGCUAAAAUGAAGCCAGAAAUGUACACGCAUGAGGAAGUUUUCCAAGAAGAUUGAUAUUUCUUUGACUAGCAAACCAUACAAGUCCAAAGCUAGCUAAACCAUACCUGCAAGUCGGGGGUUUAAAUGGAGUACUUCUAAGCAUAAAACAUUGAUUAAAACAGAAUACACACAUACAUACCAGCAAAUUCAAUAUAGCAAAAGGAGUGCAAAAGUUCAAGUUUGUAGACAACAUUGCAACCAUGGCAUGUUUAUAGCAAAUCCUCGAAAUCUGCUAAAUAAAACAAUGCCCUGUCUCAUGAAUCAAUGCUGAAUUAAAAUUGAAACUGAAAGUCUGGCUGGCGGUGUUUCCCUCUCCAAUUUUGCCUACAUAAGUGAAAAUAAGAAUAAUAAAUGGAAAUCUGCUUUUACAGUUCUUAUUAGAUAGAUAUAAAGGGAUCUUUCUUUGUUUCUCUGCUGUAAUUUGUGGCUAUGCCACUCUGUUUUUCCAGUCAAGCUGAGUCUACGUUGAGACAUAAUUUUGACAUCAGAAGCAACCUCAAUUAGUUUGGCAUUUUCAUGACCUCCUUGAAGGUUUUAUGAUAAACAUAAAUCCACUGAGAAAGUGGGAAAAAAAGAAAAUGCAUAUAAAAGUAUGAGUUAUCAGAUAAGAUUAAAACUCACCCAAUUCAAUCCAUCAGAUUCCGUAAGGAUAUAACUGGAUGUCAUACCGCCACUCCAUAUCCUCGAAAGUCCGUAGUCCUUGUCUCAACUGUGUCUGGGGCCAGUGUAAGUCCAAUUUGCGCAAGCUCUUUAUGCACCACAGCUCUUCUGGAAGCUUUCUCAAGUAAGCACAUGGGUUGACAAUUAAGCUUUCAAGUUUCGGCAUUGCUCCAGCCGCCAUCGUCCACUCAUCUAGCCAAUACAUUGAUUUCAGGUGCAAAACCUUAAGUUCGGGAAAGCUACUCAAGCCAACACAAGCAAGCUUUCUUCCUAAAUACGAGUUCUGCUUCAGUUUCAGCACUCGAAGGCGUGGAAGAUUUUCCAGAAUUGGCAUGGGAUCCUCCAUUAGCUCAGUAUUUGAUAAGCUCAGUUGGAUCAGACUUGGGGGAAAUUGGUAUUCAGACAGGACCAUCCGUGAGGGCUUGCUCUCAUUCACCAGCUUCAAGCAUUCAAGUUUGUGGAGUUCGCAAAGGCUUUUGGAAACCCCAGAUUGAUAGUAACUCAAAUCUCCAGAUAUCCGAAGAGUCCGAACACUAGGUAGUCUGCCCAAUAUAUCAGGAGUACAACUACUAGGGUUUAAAGCUGAUAUGAAAAUGAGAUUUUUCAGAGAGCUAGAAUAAUUUUUUGGAGGUGCGGGCAGAGUGAUGCAACCGAAGUUUAGAUGCAUGAGUUUUUGCAUCAUCCAAAUAUCCUCUGGUGACUGAUCUAUGUAGCUAGAUGGCAUUUCUAGUGUUUCAAGGUUUAAAAGGGUGCAUAGCAGUGAAGGAAGGCAUUUGAGCGAAGGGAUAUUCAAUUUCAAAUACUUCAAAAGAUAUAAAUUUUCUAAUCCGGGUGGAUAUUGGUCCAGGACUGCAGAACCCAUGUUCAAUACCCGAAGGUAUUUGAACCUUUUAAAAAAAUUCUCGCAAUCUUUCGGAUUAAGAUGAUUGCUUUUUGAACUGUGAUUCAGAAAAGAUUGGAGACACAUGUCAGAAUGUUCUAAAGAAAAGAACUCAAUCAGAUCAUCGUCAAUGACGCACCGUUUAACAUUUGCCACUGAUUCCUCUUCCACGUCAUGCAUCCAGACAAAUCCCGUCUUCAUUGCCACAAUAUACAAUGAAGUGUAUACAAAACUUGGAACAUAACACGCUUUAAUUGUGCCUCUGGCUCUUCUCUUACUCACUUGAAUGAAGCCGCGAUGGAUUAGUUCUUUCAAGUAAUGUUCGGCAGUUUCUUCACCGUUGUAUGGUAUGAAACCUUCAGCUACCCACAACUGAUAUAAUUGCUCCGUAGAUAUCUCAAUACUUGGAGGGAAGACAUACAAAUAGAUGCAGCAGACUUUCAAGUGAAAAGGCAACUCCAUCACAGAAAAAAUUUGUCUCCAAACUGUCAGAACCACUUCGCCUUGAAGAUAAUUUUCUAAUGGCAUACUUCCAUAGUGUAGGAUGAAAAAUUGCCAGGCCUCAUGCUUUAAUCUGAUCAAUGGUCCUCCAAAGAGCACUGAAUCACGCCGAAUCUUCUCUUCAUUUUCCAUUUCCAACGACGCAAUGAGGCCCGGAUCAGUGACUGUUAUCAAUACUCUGCUUCCAUUCUCAUCACCAGGAAGAAGUUCUUCGAGAUCACUCCAUAUCUCACUGUUAUCGAAGACAUCAUCAAGCAAAAUAAAGUACUUCUUGUUUGUUAGGUAAUCUCGAAGAAUAGAUUUCUUCAAUUGAUAAUCUUCACCGAUAAUUACACUAACCCGAGAUGGAGGCAUCACAGACUUGAUUAUGUCAUCCAACAUCUUGCCAAAAUCAUAGAAUAUAGAAACCCUGACCCAAGCAAGACAGUCAAAAUAGAACUUGACAUGGUUAUUAUUGUAAGUAUCUUCUGCAAAAGCAGUCUUAUCGAAGCCACUGCUGUCGAGAAUUGUAACCACUGCAAGCCGAGGGCGUCCUUCAAUCAAUAAAUCAAACAACUCCUCCCUGCCCCUUUCAAAUUCAUUGAUAUCAAGCCGAGGUUGUCCCUCACUCAAUAGGUGAAUGAUUUCGUUACUUUUUUUACUGAUAUCAAAACCAUUGUCGCCGGGUGGAAGUUGUUGCAUCCGAUUACUAAUAUCAAUGAUUUUACUGUGGAGACCAGCAAGAAGAGCCAUAUUAGUACUGCUUUCACUUUCGUUUUCACUGUUUUGCUGCUGCAUAAUGUUGAUGAAGAAUGUGUCAAUGGCUUCCUCAGAUUCAUGGACAAAGUCAUUGAUGUCCUUCACAAUGCCCAAAAGGUCCGCUCUUUCAACUUCUUCUUCAUCGCUUUCUUCUAAGUCCAACAGUUGCAAAAAAGGCAAAGAUAUUUUGGAGUCAUCGAAUUCUUCUCUAAUGAGUUGAAAGAAAUGCCGAGCCAUGUCAGCUUCAUAUUUUCCCAGCAGGGUAGUAGCAAUAAUUUCGGACUCCGUAAGAAGGUUUUGAAAAAGUGGGGUUAAAUUUGUUGAAUCAGGCAGCGUUAACGGGCCUUCUUCACCUGCUAACACCCUUUUCAACCUCUCACAAAACAGUCGGAGGUGGAAUUCCAGCAUAUCUCCUUCUCUCCGUAGCACUCAGAGGUAUAGCUGAAAGAUUAAACACCAUGGAAGAAUUUGAAAGGAAAAUGCCAAGACAUUAUUGCUCAUUUUUUAACUCAAAAGAUUGAUACGCGUUCAUUUAGAGAAAAGUCCAAGACGCGUGCCUUUUGAAAAGAACAGGUAUCCCAAUCGGUAUCCGACCGAUAUCUUAUUAAAUUACAACCAUGACAUAAUUGAUGGUGCUUAAAUCAAUUGUUUCUUUUUUAAUUUAAAGAAUUUUUCAUUAAAAAAAUAUUUUAAUAUCAAAUUGCUUUCAGUGGCGUAACUGCCUCAAGCCCAGUAACAGGACUAAUUAAAAAUUUUACAAUUUUUGGGCAUGGAAAUAGUAGUAUUAAACAUUAGAAAGGUAAGGUCGUUCUGUUAAAGAAUUGAUAUUGACAUAAUUUUUUUUGGUUUUCGGGGGAAAAAAAAUUGUUGACAAGCAAGAAAAUAUUUUUAUAUUUUAUAAUUUAUUAUACAUAUUUUAUCUUAUUAAAGUAAUUUUAAUAAUAAAUAGAAACAUAAUAUUACGAUAAAUAAAUUAAAGUUGAACUUAUUUUGAAUAUUAUAAAAAAUAAUUUUAAUAUUAUUAAUAGGAAGACAUUGUAUUAAUUUUAAACUUUUUUAACCCAAAGGUUUAUUUAAAAUCUUUAUUAGAAAUACAAAUAUAAAAUUAAAUAUCAUAAUUUAAAAUUUUUAAUAUUAUUUUAAGUAUUAAAAAUAUUUUAAUGUUAUUAGUCUACUACAUAGAUCAUAUUACUUAUAUAAUAUUUGUAUUAUUAAAAAUUGUUAAAAUCAAAUUUUUAGUUAGUAUAUUCAUGAGCUAUUAUGGUUAAAAAAAAAAAGACCUUAUUAUUACUUUUUUAAAAAUUGAGGGCCUGCGUGAUAAUUUUUUCAAAAAGAAAAUGCUUGGUAUGUAGGAGGGGUACAGAAACAGGACUCCCAAAAUCUCUCACCCUUUUUUAAUUAAAAAAAAAAAUUAAAAUAUCAAUAAAAAGUAAUAAAGAAAAUAGAAUUUUAUCUGCUCCUUACUCCAUUUUUGCAACUCUCUCACCAUCCCUAUCGAGCAGCCCUCUCUCUCACUGUCUCACUCACACAGUCCUUUUCACGAUUUGAAAUUCUUUGGCCCUCUGCAUUACAAGAAAUUAACGCUUUGGUUCUCCCAAGGGUAGAUUGGUUUUAUUGGGAAGCUAUUAAUUUUUUUUUUUUUUGAAUACUGAUUAAUCAUCAGAUUACUGCAUUACACAGAUAUUUACAACAACUGCUAUUGUAGCAGAGAUAUUAUACUGAUAUUUACAAUCAGAUAUACAUAAUUGGGACUUAUAUUAUGACAUUGAAUUCUAUGAAGUACAUGCCCAAACAAAUAACCCCUCACAGGAGAGGGAUGUCCAUACUCCACUCGCAUUUCGCAAGGGAGAAUGAUUUUUUGGAAGUAUAAAGAACAUUUAGCCCCCACAAUACUUUUGUGGGGGCUAGAACCGCUGCAGCAUUGUGAGGGCAGCAGCCCACCACUUCGGCCUUGGCCGAAGUGGCGGGAAGCUAUUAAUUAGAAGGAGGAAAAAGGACUAUAUUUAGAAUAUGAUUUGUUGGAGAAUCUCAGAGUUAGUCAAUUUUCAAGCCACACUUUCAAUAGCCAAUUGAUUUAGUAACCAUUAAUUACUUUAAUUUCCAUAAAUUGUAAUGACAGUGCAAAUGCAUCUGGUUGUGAUAGCUAAGGGUUAGCUUGAAGAAUUAAAUUUCAUAAGAUAUUACUGGAAAAUGCUUUGCAGAUAACGUGCUGCUUCCUUUGCUAGACUACAAUUUCAAAAAUCUCACGAGUUUUCCAUUGUUGUCACAAACCGAGAAAUUAUAAAAUACAUGGCCUGGUUCUUUGGCAAUGACCAUCUCAUCGUCGGCGGUCGUGUCGUCAUUGUCACUGUUCUUGCUCGACCGAGACAGUGAGAGAGAGGUUUGUUAGAUGGAGUUAGUGAGAGAGAGUUGUAAAGAUGGAAUGAUGAUAAAAGGAUUCUAUUUGUUUUUAUUGUUUUUUAUUAAUAUUUUAAUUUUUUAAAUUAAAAUGUGCUGCCGUUUCUCUAGCCUUUUUAGCUGCUUAACUUAACAGUAUUCUUUUCAAAAUUUAAGAAUGUAGUAGGUGUCCUUUUCUCUAAUAAUUUAUUUCAUUUUUAGGGAAUCCAAUGAGAAAUAUGAUAAAAGAACGUCAAUUACUUGUCGUUUUCAAUUUUUUCUAUAAGCUAUUUAUUUUGAGCAUUAGUGAUCUUGUCUGGACUACCCCAAUUAUUGACGUAACUCCAGUGGCUGCAUCCACUGGAAAAAGUGGAUGAGACCAUUUUUUUUUUCAUAAAGGUAACUACUCCAAUUAUUGACAUAAUUGAUGGUGCUUAAAUCAAUUUUUUCUUUCUUUUUUUUAAUUUAAAGAAUUUUGCUUUAAAAAAUAAUUAAUAUCAAAAUGCCUUCAAUGUUGUUACCGCCACAAGCCCAGUUAGAGGACUCAUUAAAAAUUUUAGAAUUUUUAGGCCUGGAAAGCAUAGUAUUAAACAUCAGAAAGCAAAGGUUGUUAUGUCGAAGAAUUGAUGUCGACAAAAUUUUAAUUUUGUUUUCGGAAAAAAAAAAAAAUUUUGUUGACAAGCAAGAAAAUAUUUUUUAUACUUUACAAUCUGCUAUACAUAUUUUAUCAUAUUAAAGUAAUUUUAAUAAUAUAUGGAAACAUAAUAUUAUAAUAAAUAAAUUAAAAUUACUUUGUAUUAUUGAAUAUUACAAAAAGAUAAUUUUAAUAUUAUUAAUAGGAAAACAUUUUUUAAUUGUAAAAUCUUUUUAAUACAAAAAUUCGUUUAAAAUCUUUAUAAUAAAUACAAAUAUAAAAUUAAAAAAUAUCAUAAUUUAAAAUUUUUAAUAUUAUUUAAAUAUUAAAAAUACUUUAAUGUUAUUAGUCUACUACAUAAAAUAUAUUAUUUAUAUUAUAUUCGUAUUGAUUAAAACGUUUUAAAGUCAAAUUUUUAAUUAGUGUAUUCAAAGGUACAAAAGAUUUAAGUAUUAUUUUUUAAAAAUUUCAAGAUACGAAUGAUAAUUUUUUCAAAUUUUAAAGAUGUAAAAAUCUUUUUUUCUGAUAAUUUAUUUCACUUUUGAGAGAAUCCGAAAACGUUAAUUUAACAUUCUUUACCUUUGUAAAAAAAGUGAAAAUCAAGAACUAUUCAAUUUUGUUUUUAUUUGUAAUUCAAAAACUUUAUUCAUUUUCGAUGCUUUUCAAAAGAGAUUCCUUUAAAUGUCUGCAGCUCCUGCUUUUCUCAUAAAUCUCCAUCCCACAUCUACACUAUCAAGUAUCAAACAAGUUGAUGGAAAUUCUUAUAAAAAAAAAAAAAAAAUUGAUGGAAAUUGAUCAAUUGCUUUUUGAAGUGGACCCAUUGAGUCAUGUUCAUUUCUGGUCAUUGUCUACUCUUUCUAUCAGCCAUUUAUUUUGACCAUUUGCGAUCUUAUCUGGACCUACUCCAAUUAUUGUUGUAACUCCGAUGGUUGUAUCUACAGUGGAAUGUAAGAUAGUGAAAGCUCUUUCUUUGAGAAAAUAGAGGGACCUUUCUCUGUUUCUCCGUUGCAACGUGCUCGUAUAAAUUUCUCUACCUUACAGUUUAUACGGUCUUGCUGUUAAUGAAUUCGCUGAGGCAUUAUUGAUCCAAUCUGAGUGAAGUAAUUGUGGGUGAAAAAUAAAUAAAGGAUAUGAGAACGUAGCUGAAGUGCUGAAGGGGCUAUUAAAGAAGAGUGUCACUUGAUCACAAUCACAUUGAUGCACAACUCACUCGUGGCAAAUUUCGACUAUACGUUCUGCAAAUUCAGCCAAACCAUACAUGCAUGAACAAAACUAAAAUGUAGUUCUAAUCACAACUGCAGUUAUGAUGUUUACCUCUCUGAUUUUUCUCCAAAACAAAUUCAGUUCAAAACAAUAAUCAAAAUAGCCACAUUUUGUUCGUCAAAAUAAAUGCCCAAAUUUUCAAUUAACAAAUCAUCUUCUCUAAACUAAAAAGCCCACAUCUCUAAAAUCAAUCUACAUAAUGUUGGAGAUGAGGGUUGAAUUGUUAACUCAGUAAAAAAAAAAAAACUCAUGCAUAAGAUUACUAAUAAUAUAAAUUAUAUAUUAAUCAUUAUAAAGAAUCAUAAAUUAGAAAAAUUAAUCAUUUUAUAAUUUAUUACACAAGUAAGAUAAAUCUCAUAAUAAGUUAUAACAUAAAAAACGUUAUCAAUAUAUAAUCAUUUAAGAAGUCAUUUAACAAUAAAAUCGUUCUUUGAUCAGUUGGCCAUGUCACAUAGUAUCAUCUAUAUUUAUGGUGAUACUAUUAUUACUCAGUAUUCUCAAAAAACAUGAUUUAACAUUUAGAGGAAAUUCUUGCCUUAAAAAAAAAACAUGUAUGCAACAGCUACCCAUGCUUUAUCUUACCAUGACAAAUAUUUUCUCAAUGAAAGAAAUUUUUUAAAAAAUUGAUUUAAUGCACAAAUAUGAUGAUUUUUGCAAAAAUUAGUUUUGGAAAACAUAGUGAGAGAAAAUAGUGACGAUUAUUGUUUAAAUGUAUAAAUAGCCUAAACAUAAUCCUUAAUACCAAUAUCCAUAUGCAUCUUAUCAUCUUUCAUGAUAUUCUUUCAUUUAUGUCCAUUGGUUCAAGAUUUGAAUUUGAUCAUUAAAUCAUGUUCAAUAAUAUUAGAGAUUCCAACAAUUGAGUACCAACUUAAAUCCCAAUGUUAUGUGUCAUUGACCAAUUUUGUGUCAUUGACCAAUUUUGUUAUUAACUAGGUGAUGAAUUUCUAGUUGAUAAAAUCACUUAAAAAUAUCUUAAAAAUUAGACAAUAGUUUGCUUAAUUUUUCCAAGUUAACUGCUCAAGAUGCUCUAUUAGAAAUGAUAACCUAAUUAUAUACAUAAAAAAUGAUGGAAAUUGAACAAUUGCUUUUUGAAGUGGACCCAUUGAGUUAUGUUCAUUACUGGUCAUUGUCUAUUCUUUCUAAGAGCCACUUGUUUUGAGCAUUAGCAAUCCUAUCUGGACUACUCCAAUUAGGAUAGUGUUAGUUCUUUUUUGAGAAUUUCUUUAUUUGUUUCUCCGUUGCAGCGUAUUAGUAUAAAUUUCUUUACCUUACAGUUCCUACAGUCUUCCUGUUAAUGAAUUCGCUGAGGCAUUAUUGAUCCAAUCUCGGUGAAGUAAUUGUGGGUGAAAAAAAAAAAAAAGGAUAAGAGAACGUAGCUCAAGUGCUGAAUUGACUAUUAAAGAAGAGCGUCACCUGAUCACAAUCACAUUGAUGCACAACUCACUCGAGGCAAAUUUCAUCUAUAAAUAAAAGAUCCCUUACUAUUCUCUUAACCCUGAGUUUUGAGAUAGAAAUUUCCCGAACUCCAACCCCACAUCCACAGACAAGUUGAUUGAAACAAUUGCUCUUGUAAUUAAGAGGAUGGGUUAGGGUUCAGUUCUUAUCAUUGUCUGUUAUUUCUUUGAAUCAUUAUCUUAAUUAAUUACAUCAAUUGUUUCUUUUUUUUAAUUUAAAGAAUUUUUCUUUAAAAAAAUAUAUUUUAAUAUCAAAAUGCCUUAAAUGGUAUUACUGCCGCAAUCCCAGUAACAGGAUUAAUUAAAAAUUUUAGAAUUUUUGGGCAUGGAAAGAGUAGUAUUAAAUAUCAGAAAGCUAAGGUUGUUCUGUCAAAGAAUUCAUAUUGGCAUAAUUUUAUUUUUGCUUUCGAGUAAAAAAAUAUAUAUAUAUAUAUUUGUUGACAAGCAAAAUACUGUUUUUAUAUUUUACAAUCAGUUAUACAUAUUUUAUCAUAUUAAAGUAAUUUUAAUAAUAAAUGGAAACAUAACAUUACAAUAAAUCAAUUAAAGUUUAAAUUAUUUGGAAAAUUAUAAAAAAUAAUUUUAAUAUUAUUUAUAGGAAGAUAUUUUGUUUAUUGUAAAAUCUUUUUAACCCAAAGGUUUAUUUAAAAUUGUUAUAAUAAAUAAAAUAUAAAAACAAAAUAAAUAUCAUAAUUUAAAAUUUUAAUAUUAUUUUAAAUAUUAAAAAUACUUUAAUGCUAUUAGUCUACUACAAAGGUUAUAUUACUUAUAUUAUAUUUGUAUAAAUUAAAACUUUUAAAGUUAAAUUUUUAAUUACUAUAUUGAAAAGGUAUUAUGGUUAAAAUAUGUUUUGGCAUUUCUUUUUAAAAAUUUGAGGGUCUGCAUGACAAUUUGUCCAAAUCCUAGAGGUAUAGGUGUCUUUUUUUUUCGAUAAUUCAUUUUACUUUUGAGGGAAUCCGAUGAGAAAUAAGAUAAGAGAAACGUCAAUUUAACGUUCUCUAUGGAAAACCAAGAACUAUUCAAUUUUGUAUUUUUUGUUUGUAAAACGAAAAACAGUUUGCCAAAAAAGGUACCAAACAUAUCCUUAAUGUCUCACAUGAUUUCUUAUUAAGUCCAUACUCGAUAUAUUUAUACAUUUUAGGUAUUUUAGUUAUAAAAGAAGUUGGUCCUCCCUCUAUUUAUAAAAGGUAACUUUAUUUCGAGAUUACCACUAAAGUCUUACAAAGAAUUAGUGUAAUGUUAACAGAGAGUAACAUAGUUUUCCAUUACCAUUUUGAAAAUAGAAAGAUAUGGAUGUGUGCAUUUAAUGGUGUGUUUACUUACCGGAUUGAGGAAUCAGAAUCUGGAAUUAGAAUGAUUGAUGGUGUUUACUUCGCAAAUAUGGAGCAGGAAUCGGAACUGGAAUGGUGGGGCCCACCACUAUUUGGGAAUGAGAGAUUGAUUCCCAUGGGGGAAGGUGGGAACGAGUCUCCCAUUCCCUGGACUGACCAUUUUGCCCUCCCUCAAAAUUAAAAAUGCCUACUUUGUCCUCUUUUAUAAUUAAUUAAUAUAUAAAUAUUUUAAUAACUAUAAUUAUUAAAAAUUAUAGUUCUUGAAUAAAUAAUCACAAUAAUUAAUUUAUUAUUUUUAUUUUUAUUUUAAUUAAUUAAUAUACUAUUAUAAUAAUUAUAAAUAUAAUUAAUUUAUAUAUUAUUAUUAUUAUUAAUGAAUUAAUAUAAUUAUUACUAUUAAUUAAUAUAUUAAUAUAUUAUUAAAAAUAAUAUAUUAAUAAUUAUUGUUCGUGAACAAAUAAUCACAAUAAUUAAUAUACUAUUAUUUUAAUUAAUUAAUAUAAUUAAUUUAUAUAUUAUUAUUAUUAUUAAUGAAUUAAUAUAAUUAUUACUAUUAAUUAAUAUAUUAAUAUAUUAUUAAAAAUAAUAUAUUAAUAAUUAUUGUUCGUGAACAAAUAAUCACAAUAAUUAAUAUACUAUUAUUUUAAUUAAUUAAUAUACUAUUAUAAUAAUUAUUAAUAUAAUUACUAUAAUUAAUUCAUAUAUUAUUAUAAUUAAUUAAUUAAAUUAAUAUUAUUAAAUAAAUAAAUAAUAUAAUUAUUACUACUAAUUAGUAUAUUAAUAUAUUAUUAAAAAUAAUUAUAAUUUUUGAAUAAAUAAUCACAAUAAUUAAUAUAUUAUUUUAAUUAAGUAAUUAAUAUUAAUAUUAUUAGUUAAUAUAUUUUUAUAAUAAUUUUUAAUAUAGUUAUUAUAAUUAAUUAAAUUUUGUUACAAUUAAUUAAUAUAUUAGUUAAUAAUAAUUAUGACAAUAAUCCACUAAGUAUUUUUGAGUAAUUUGUUACAAUCUAAUUCAUUUUGAUUCCGAUUUCAAGACAAAGUAAACACAUUAAUGACAAUCUAGCUCAUUCCGAUUUCGAUUCCUACAGUUCAAGUAAACAACUUAUUUUGAUUUUCAUUACCUAUUUACAUUCCAGCCCAUUCUCAUUUCUUCCCAUUCUCAUUUCUGCCAAUUCCAAUUCCAGCUCAUUCCGAUUCCAGUUUAGUAAACGCAGCAUAAGAGUUAUCAUGAAAAUCAUACAAUUCAAUUUCCUGAAAUAUAUAUUUUAUUCACAUGUGCCAAAAGAAUAAAUAGAUAGAAAGUAAAUUUACAAUCCUCACUCCCUCACAAUUGUUAAAGUGAAUAUGCAUUACAACUGUGAACUGUCACUACUUUAGCCCCUUUUUUUUUUUCAAUUAUAGUGUGAUGGAGACAGUGAACAUCAAGGAUAAAGUGCUCUGCUGAAAGCGGAACUUCCUCUGGCUAAUUAAUUUGGAAGUAAAACAGAGAAUAAAGUCCUACAUGCCUUCUGAAAUUAGAAAUACAUUUUAUAUGCUUUAAUUAUGAUUAUUUGGUAGACUAUUGACCAAAAGACAUGUUAAAGUAUAAAACAGAGCGAUUAAAGAAAAAAAAAGGAGUGUUUGUGACGUAGAAUAACAAUUUGUAAGUAAAGUCCUAAUUUGAGUUGUCAAAAAGCAAAUAUAACAGGGAAGGUAAGAGGGAUGCAGAAACAGAAAACUAUUAGCUUAUCUUGAUUUUCCCACUAUAUUCAUUUUCGAUGCUUUUCAAACGAGAUUCUUUUAAUCCUUCUGGCGUCUGCAGCCCCUGGUCUUCUUAUAAAUUUCCAUCCCACAUCUGCACUAGGAACAAGUUGAUUGAAAUUAAAUAACAUUGGAGAUGACGGACAGAUGAGCCGUCAACUUGGUAAAAAAACUAUGUUAAUAUUGUUAAUAAUAAAAAAAAAUAUAAUAAUCAUUACAAAGAAUCAUAAAUUAGAAAAAUUAAUUAUUUUACAAUCUAUUUCGUAAGUAAGAUAAAUCUUGUAAUAAGUUAAGUUAUAACGUAAAAAAUAUUUUCAAUUUAUAAUCAUUUAAGAACUCAUUUAACAAUAAAAUCUUUCUUUUGAUCAAUUGGUCAUGCCACAGAGUAUCAUCUAUAUUCGUGGUGAUAUUAUUAUUACUCCGUAUUCUCAAAAAACACGAUUUAACAUUUAGAGAAAAUUCCUACCUUUUAAAAAGAACAUGUAUGCAACAGCUACCCAUACUUUAUCUUACCACGACAAAACUAAUGGUGACUAAAUCAAUUUUCUCGAAUAAAGCAAAAUUUCUUAAAAUUAAUUUAAUAUACAAAUAUGAUGACAUUUUGCAAAAAUUAGUUUUGGAAAAUAUAGUGACAAAAAAUAGUAAUGAUUAUUGUUUAGAUGUGUAAAUAGCCUAAACAUGAUCCCUAAUACCAAUAUCCACGUACAUCUUAACACCUUUCGUGAUAUUCUUUCAUUCAUGGUCACUGGUUCAAGAUUUGAAUUUGAUCAUUAAAUCAUGUUCAAUAAUAUUAGAGAUCCCAACAAUUAAGUACCAACUUAAAUCCUAAUGCUAUGUGUCAUUGACAAAUGUUGUGUCAUUUUUUGUUAACUGAGUGAUGAAUUUCUAGUUGAUAAAAUUACUUAAAAAUAUCUUAAAAAUCAGACAAUAGUUUGCUUAAUUUUUUGAAGCUAACUGCUCAAGAUGCUCUAUUAGAAAUGAUAACCUAAUUAUAUACAUAAAAAAUGAUGUAUUUUUUGCGGUGUUGAUAGUGAGAUUAUCAUUCAACAUGUUAAAAUAUGAAAACAUAUGGAAGAAGGUUGUAAAUUGAUUGAAUGAAAAUAUUUCAGUGAAGUCUAAAAAAUUUGGUACUUGUUAUCUUAUCGAAAGUUUUCUAAAUUACAUUCGUGGCACUGCCACUGCUUCCAUGUGAAGGUCAUUAAAAUUUGUGUUAGUUACCUAUAUGUUGAAUAAUAAUUUUAUUCAUGAAUUGUUGCUCAAUAUAGCAGUUUCUAGAUGAAUUUUCCUACAUGUUUGUCCUCAUAUGACCUAGAAUGCUGCUAUAUCAAUUGUAUUGGAAAUUAUUCAAGUGGGUUUGUGCUCUAUACCCCCACCAAAAUUUAAGCAAUCUACAGAACAUUCCUUGUGGAAAGAAACUUAUUUCGCUACUAGGUGGGAGUAGAUUUCUAAGCUAAUGCUCGGCAGAUCUCUAGGCUAUACUAAAAAGUGUAUGCACUUUGACUCUCAAUAUAUACGAGUGAUUCUAUGAUGACUGAAAACAUCAGUACAUGCAUGAUUUUAUAAGAAAGAAUAUUCUAAAAUUAUUUAUGUAUCACCAUUUGUAGUUGUACCCUCUCGAAUGAAGGUGCAAUCAGCAACUAAAAUGAAGCCCGAAAUGUACACGCGUGAGGCAGUUUUUCUAGAAGAUUGAUACUUCUCAAACUAGCAAACCGUACAAGUCCAAAGCUAGAAAAGGAGUGCUUCUAAGCAGAAAACAUUGAUUAAAACAGAAUACACACACACAUACCAGUAAAUUCAAAAUAGAAAAAGGAGUUCAACUGUUCAAGUUUGUGGACAAUAUUGCAACCGUGGCAUAUUUAUAGCAAAUCCUUGAAAUCUGCUAAAUAAACAAUGCCCUGUCUCAUGAAUCAAAGCCGAAUUAAAAUUGAAAUUGAAAGUCCGGCUGGUGUUGUUUCCCUCUCCAGUUUUGCCCACAUAAGUGAAGGGAAAUGAGAAUCAUAAAUUAAAAUCUGCUUUUACAGUUUUUUAUUAGAUAGAUAUAAAGGGAUCUUUUUUGUUUCUCUGCUGCAAUUUGUGGCUAUCCCACUCUGUUUUGCCACUCAAGCUUAGUCUACGUUGAGACAUAAUUUUGACAUCAGAAGCAACCUCAAUUAGUUUGGCAUUUUUAUGACCUCCUUGUACGUUUUACGAUAAACAUAAAUCUACUGAGAAAGUGUGAAAAAAAGAAAAUGCAUAUAAAAGUAUGAGUUAUCAGACAUGAUUAAAACUCACCCAAUUCAAUCCAUUAGAUUCCGUAAGGAUAUAACUGGAUGUCAUACCGCCACUCCAUAUCCUCGAAAGUCCGUAGUCUUUGUCUCAACUCUGUCUGAGGCCAAUGUAAAUCCAAUUUGCGCAAGCUCUUUAUGCACCACAGCUCUUCUGGAAGCUUUCUCAAGUAAGCACAUGGGUUGACAAUUAAGCUUUCAAGUUUUGGCAUUGCUCCAGCCCCCAUCGUCCACUCAUCUAGCCAAUACAUUGAUUUCAGGUGCAAAACCCUAAGUUCCAGAAAGCAACCAGAGCCAACGCAGGCCAGCUUUCUUCCUAAAUACGAGUUCUGUUUCAGUUUCAGCACUUGAAGGCUUGGAAGCUUUUCCAGCAUUGGCAUGGGAUCCUCCAUUAGCUCAGUAUUCGAUAAGCUCAGAUGGCUCAGACUUGGAGGAAAUUGGUAUUCAGACAGGACAAUCCGUGAGCGCUUGCUCUCAUUCACCAGCUUCAAGCAUUCAAGUUUGUGGAGUUCGCAUAGGCUUUUGGAAACCCCAGAGUGAUAGCAACUCAAAUCUCCAGAUAUCCGAAGAGUUUGAACAUUAGGCAGUCUGCCCAAUAUAUCUGGAGUACAACUACUAGGGUGUAAGGCUGAUAUGAAAAUGAGAUUUUUCAGAGAGCUGCAAUAAUUUUUUGGAGGUGCAGGCAGAGUGAUGGAACCGAAGUUUAGAUGCAUGAGUUUUUGCAUCAUCCAAAUAUCCUCUGGUGAAUGAUCUAUGUAGCUUGAUGGCAUUUGUAGUGUUUGAAGGUUUAAAAGGGUGCAUAGCAUUGAAGGAAGGCAUUUGAGCGAAGGGAUAUUCAAUUUCAAAUACUUCAAAAGGAAUAAAUUUUCUAAUCCGGGUGGAAAUUGGUCGAGAACUGCAGAACCGAAGUUCAGUACCCGAAGGUGUUUGAACUUUUUACAAAAAUUCUCGCAAUCUAUAAGAGCGAGAUGAUCGCUUUCUGAACUGUGAUUCAGAAAAGAUUGGAGAUACAUGUCAGAAUAUUCUAAAGAAAGGAACUCAAUCAGAUCUUCCAAAAUGAAGCACCGUUUAACAUUUGCCAGUGAUUCCUCUUCCAUGUCAGGCGUCCAGACAAAUCUCGUCUUCUCUACUACCAAAGCCAAUAACGUAUAUACAAAACUUGGAACAUAACACGCUUUAAUUGUGCCGCCGGCGCUUCUCUUACUCACUUGAAUGAAGCCGCGAUGGAUUAGUUCUUUCAAGUAAUGUUCGGCAGUUUCUUCACCGUUGUAUGGUAUGAAACCUUCAGCUACCCACAACUGAUAUAAUUGCCUCGUUGAUAUCUCAUUGCAUGAAAGGAAGACACACAAAUAGAUGCAGCAGAUUUUCAAGUGAAAAGGUAACUCCAUCACAGAAAAAAGUUGUCUCCAAACUGUCGGAAUCGUUUCGCCUUGAAGAUAAUUUUCUAAGGGCAUACUUCCAUAGUGUAGGAUGAAAAAUUGCCAGGCCUCAUGCUUUAAUCUGAUCAAUGGUCCUCCUACGAUCACUGAAUCAAGCCGAAUCUUCUCUCCGUUUUCCAUUUCCAACAGCGUAAGGAGGUGUGGAUUAGUGACCAAUAUCAAUACUCUGCUUCCAUUCUGAUUAUCAGGAAGAACUUCUUCAAGAUCACUCCAUAUCUCACUGUCAUCGAAGACAUCAUCAAGCACAAUAAAGUACUUCCUGUUUGUUAGGUAAUCUCGAAGAAUAGAUUUCUUCAAUUGAUAAUCUUCCCCGAUAAUUACACUAACCCGAGAUGGAGGCAUCACAGACUUGAUUAUGUCAUCCAAUAUCUUGCGAAAAUCGUAGGCUACAGAAACCCUUACCCAAGCAUGACAGUCAAAAUAGAACUUGAUAUGGUUAUUAUUGUAAGUAUCUGCAGCAAAAGCAGUCUUAUCGAAGCCACUGCUGUCGAGAAUUGUAACCACUGCAAGCCGACGAUGUCCUAAAUCAAUAAAUCAAACAACUCCUCUCUGCCACUUUCAAAUUCAUUGAUAUCAAGCCGAGGUUGUCCCUCACUCAAUAGGCGAAUGAUUUUGUUUCUUUGUUCACUGACAUCAAAACCAUUGUCGCCGGGUGGAAGUUGUUGCAUCCGAUUACUAAUAUCAAUGAUUUUACUCUGGAGUCCAUCAAGAAGAGCCAUAUUAGUGCUGCUUUUACUUUCGUUUUCACUGUUUUGCUGCUGCAUGAUGUUGAUGAAGAAUCUGUCAAUGGCUUCCUCAGAUUCAUGGACAAAGCGAUUGAUGUCCUCCAGAAUUUCCAAAAUAUCUGGUCUUUUAACGUCUUCUUCAUCGCUUUCUUCUAAGUCCAACAGUUGCAAAAGAGGCAAAGAUAUUUUGGAGUCAUCGAAUUCUUCUCUAAUGAGUUGAAAGAAAUGCCGAGCCAUGUCAGAUUCAUAUUUUCCCAGCAGAGUAGUUGCAAUAAUUUCGGACUCCGUAAGAAGGUUUUGAAAAAGUGGGGUUAAAUUUGUUGAAUCAGGCAGUGUUAACGUGCCUUCUUCUCCUACUACCACCCUUUUCAACCUCUCACAAAAUAAUCGGAGGUGGGCGUCCAGCAUAUCUCCUCCUGUCUGUAGCAGCCAGAGGUAUUGUUAUUUGCUCCAAGAAAUGUUAAAAGGAUUGGUCCUACCUCAAAGUGGUUAGUGGUGUAAAAUUAAACACCAUGGGAGAAUUUGAAAGGAAGAUGCCAAGAAACUGGCAAAGUGGCUAAAUUCCACAAAUACGGCAUUAUUGCUCAUUUUUAACUCAACAAAUUGAUACGCGUUCAUUUAGAGAAAAGUCGAAGACGCGUGCCUUUUGAAAAGAACAAGUAUCCAAUAGGUAUCCAACCUUUAUCUUAUUUAAUUACUACCAUGACAUGAUUGAUGGUGCUUAAAUCAAUUGUUUCUUUUUUAAUUUAAAGAUUUUUUCAUUAAAAAAUAAUUUAAUAUCACAUUGCCUUCAAUGGCGUAACGGCCGCAAGCCCAGUAACUAGAUUAAUUAAAAUGAAAUUAUGAUUGCACUACUUUUUUAUUUAUUUAUUUAUCUAAUCACUAUAAAAUUUUAACAUAUUUUAUUUACUAUAUUUUUUUUAAAUUUGCAUCAAUUAGUCACUUUUACACUAAUACCGUUAAAUAAUUUAAACGGAAUGAUAAUUUUACCCCUAAAUAAAAUUAAAAGUUCAUUUUAUUUUAUAAAAACUUUGAAAAUAAAAAAUUAUAAUUAUAAAAUAUCCCUAAAUUUAAUAAAGAAAUAAAUCCCAAAAUUAGAAUGUUUAUUUUUAAUAAAAAUUAUUUUAAUAAAAAAUUAUAAUUAGAAAAAUAAUUACAAAAUUUUGGGAUUUAAUAAAAAUCCCCUAAAUGAUUAAAAUUUUAGGAUUUAUUUUUUAAUAAAUAAAUUCAGUUAUUUUAAUAAAAUUUUGCAAAAUUAUAAUUUUUAAUAAAUAAAUUCACUUAUUUUUAUUAUAAUUUUAAAAAAAUUUAAAUUUUUAAUAAAAAUAAUUAUUAAAAUUUUACAACAUCUAAAUUGAAUAAAAAUCAGCUGAGCACCUAUAUUUUGUAUUUAUUUUUAUUAAAUUUAGGGGUAUUUUUAUAAUUAUAAUUUUUUAUUUUUCAAAGCUUUAUAAGAUAAAAUGGUCUUUUAAUUUAUUUAGGGGUAAAAUUAUCAUUUCGUUUUAAUUAUUUAACGGUGUUAGUGCAAAAGUGGCUAAUUGAUACAAAUUUGAAAAGAAAUGUGGCGCAGAGAACAUAUUAAAAUUUUGUGGUGGUUGGAUGAACAUAAGGCAACAGAAAGGUGGUGCAAUAAUAAUUUCCCUAAUUAAAAUUUUAGAAUUUUUGGGCAUGGAUAGAGUAGUUUUAAUUAUGUUAAAGAAUUGAUAUUGACAUAAUUUUAUUUUGGUUUUCAACGAAAAAAAAUUUGUUGACAAGUAAGAAAAUAUUUUUUUUUUACUUUACAAUCGGUUAUACAUGUUUUAUCAUAUUAAAGUAAUUUUAAUAAUAAAUAGAAACAUAAUAUUACAAUAAAUAAAUUAAAGUUUAAGUUAUUUUGAAUAUUAAAAAAAUAAUUUUAAUAUUAUUAAUAGGGAGGCAUUUUGUUAAUUGUAAAAUCUUGUUAACCCAAAGGUUAUUUAAAAUCUUUCUAAUAAAUACAAAUAUAAAAUUAAAUAUCAUAAUUUAAAAUAUUUAAUACUAUAUUCAAUGUAAAAAUAUUUUAAUGUUGUUAAUAUACUACAUAGAUUAUAUUACUUAUAUUAUAUUUAUAUUGAUUAAAAAUUUUUAAAAUUAAUUUUCUAGUUACUAUAUUCAUAAGGUAUUCUGGUUAAAGAAAAUAUCUUGAUAUUACUUUUUGAAAAUUUGAGAGCCUGCAUGACAAUUUUUUCAAAUUUUAAGGAUGUAAUUAUCCUUUUUUCCAUAAUUUAUUUCAAUUUUGAGGGAAUCCAAUAAGAAAUAUGGCAGGAGAAUGUCAAUAGGCGAAUGAUUUUGUUACUUUGUUCACUGAUCUCAAAACCAUCGUCGCCGGGUGGAAGUUGUUGCAUCCGAUUACUAAUAUCAAUGAUUUUACUGUGGAGUCCAUCAAGAAGAGCCAUAUUAGUACUGCUUUCACUUUCGUUUUCACUGGUUUGCUGCUGCUUGUUGUUGAUGAAGAAUGUGUCAAUGGACAAAGUUAUUGAUGUCCUCCAGAAUUCCAAAAAUAUCUGCUGUUUCAACGUCUUCUUCAUCGCUUUCUUCUAAGUCCAACAGUUGCAAAAAAGGCAAAGAUAUUUUGGAGUCAUCGAAUUCUUCUCUAAUGAGUUGAAACAAAAGCCGAGCCAUGUCAGCUUCAUAGUUUCCCACCAGAGUAGUAGCAAUGAUUUCUGACUCCGUAAGAAGGUUUUGAAAAAGUGGUGUCAAAUUUGUUGAAUCUGGCAACGGCAACGCGCCUUCUUCACCUGCCAACACCCUUUUCAACCUCUCACAAAACAGUCGGAGGUGGAAUUCCAGCAUAUCUCCUUCUCUCCGUAGCACUCAGAGGUAUAGUUGAAAGAUUAAACACCAUGGAAGAAUUUGAAAGGAAUAUGCCAAGAAACUGUGUAAGUGGCUAAAUUCCACAAAUAUGACAUUAUUGCUCUUUUUUGAACUCAAAAAAAUGGUACGCGUUCAUUUAGAGAAAAGAACAGGUAUCCCAAUCGAUAUCCAACCUUUAUCUUAUUUAAUUACUACCAUGACAUGAUUGAUGAUGCUUAAAUCAAUUGUUUCUUUUUUAAUUUAAAGAAUUUUUCAUUAAAAAAAUAUUUUGAUAUCUAAUACCCUUCAAUGGCAUAUCUGCCGCAAGCCCAGAACAGGAUUAAUGAAUUUUUUUUUUAAUUUUUUGGGCAUGGAAAGAGCAGUAUUAAACAUCAGAAAGCUAAGGUUGUUCUGUUAAAAAAUUGAUAUUGACAUAAUUUUAUUUUGGUUUCGGGGAAAAAAAUAUUUUCUGAAAAGCAAGAAAAUAUUUUUAUAUUUUACAAUUUAUUAUACAUAUUUUAUCGUAUUAAAUUAAUUUUAAUAAUAAAUAGAAACAAAAUAUUACGAUAAAUAAAUUAAAGUUUAAAUUGUUUUGAAUAUUAUAAAAAAUAAUUAUAAUAUUAUUAAUAGGAAGACAUUUUGUUAAUUUUAAAUUUUUUUAACCCAAAGGUUUAUUUAAAAUCUUUAUUAUAAAUACAAAUAUAAAAUUAAAUAUCAUAAUUUAAAAAAUUUAAUAUUAUUUUAAGUAUUAAAAAUAAUUUAAUGUUAUUAGUCUACUAUAUAGAUCACAUUACUUAUAUUAUAUUUGUAAUGAUUAAAAAAUUUUUAAAUCAAUUUUCUAGUUAAUAUAUUCACGAGGUAUUAUGGUUAAAGAAAAGACCUUGGUGUUACUUUUUAAAAAUUUGAGCGCAUGCAUGAUAAUUUUUUCAAAAUUUAAGAAUGUAUGUGUCCUUUUCUCCAAUAAUUUAUUUCACUUUUGAGGGGAAUCCAAUGAGAAAUAUGAUAAGAGAAUGUCAAUUACUUGUCAUUUUCUAUUUUUUCUGUAAGGUAUUUAUUUUGAGCAUUGGUGAUCUUGUCUGGACUACUCCAAUUAUUGAUGGAACUCCAAUGGCUGCAUCCACAGUUGAAUAUAUGAUGGUGUUAGCUCUUACUUGAGAAUUCAGAGGGAUCUUUCUAUGUUUCUCAAUUGCAAUGUGCUAGUAUAAAUUUCUUUACCUUACAGUUUAUAUAGUCUUGCUGUUAAUGAACUCACUGAGGCAUUAUUGAUUCAAUUUCAGUGGAGCAAUCGCGGGUGAAGGAUAAAUAAAGGAUAACAGAACAGAGCUGAAGUGCUAAAUUGGCUAUUGAAGAAGGUUUUCACAUGAUCACAAUUAUGUAAAAUAAUCAUUUUUCUGAAAUUGUGUUUCCUAAAAUUAAUAAAUUUCCUUUUUUUUAAAAAAAAAAAAAAACUCUUCUACGACGUGGUUGCACAGCAAAUUAGAGAAUUAUAGGGUCUCUAAUCAAUACUCCAACCAAUAAUGAUAUGUGCACAAAAAAUAGUAUCAAUCACAACAAGAUUAAAAUUAAAAAAAGUAACUAUAAGAUGGAAAAAAAAAUUAUUACAAGAAAAUAAUUUUUUUGUCUUUUCUAUCUUUUAUACUAUUUUUGUUUAUAUGUACUCUAAAUUCAGCCAAACCAUACAUGCAUGAACAAAAAUUAAACCGUCGUUCUAAUCACAACAGUAAUUGAAGCUACAAAAGCCAGCAAAUCUGAACGAAGACUUAAAAGAAAGAUCUUAUUCAAGUUUGUCCCCAAAAGACAGCUGAAAUGAAAAAUAUUGACUAUUGAAUGGGUCAAUGCCGAAUUACAUUUCAAAUGGAAAGCUUGGCAGCAGUUACAAUGUUUCCCCCUCUGAUUUUCCUCCAAAACAAAUUCAGUUGUAAACAAUAACCGAAGUAGUAAUAAUUUAUUCAUCAAAGAAAAUACCCCCAAGUUUUCAACUAAAAAAUCCUCUUGUCCAAACUAAAAGAACUCAUAUCUCUAAAAUCUAUCUGCAAAAUGUUGGGAAUGAGGAGUGAUCUGUCAACUCCGUAAAUAAACUCAUGCAUAAUGUUAACAAUAAUGAUAAAUUACAUAAUAAUUAUUAUAAAGAAUCAUAAAUUGGAAACACUAAUCAUUCUACAAUCUAUUAUAUAAGCAAGAUAAAUCUCAUAAUAAGUUAAGUUAUAAUGUAAUAAAUAUUUUCAAUAUAUAAUUAUUUAAGAAGUCAUUUAACAAUAAAAUAAUUUUUUUAAAUCAGUUGAUCAUACAGCGUUAUCUAAACUCCUGACGAUAUUAUUAUUACUCACUUUUCUCAAAAAAAUAUGAUUAAUGUUUAGAGAAAAGUCAUGCAUUUUAGAAAAAAUAUGUAUACUAGCUAUCCGUACUUUAUCUUACCGUGACAAAAUUGAUGGUGAUUAAAUCUAUUUUUAAAAUAGAUUUAAUUCACAAAUAUGGUGACUUUUGGCAAAAAUUAUUUUCAGAAGAUAUAGUGGCAGAAAAUAGUGAUAAUUAUUGUUUAAAUGUGUAAAUAGCCUAAGUAUAGCCCAUAAUACCAAUAUCCAUUUGCACCUUCAUUUGGUUUAUCACAUUUCAUGAUAUUCUUUCAUUCAUGACCAUUGUUCAAGAUUUUAAUUUGAUUAUAAAUUAAGUUGCAAGGGAGCUUACUUCAGUCUCUAAGCUUUUCAAUCGUGAUUCCUGCAUGCCAACGUAACUGACCUUAUAAUUGGUCUGUAUAAGAAAUCAAGCCCUUUCAGGAUCGUUUUCUUUUUCUCCCUAUUGUAGUAGUCAACUAAAUAAAGAAUGAACAACUAAACUUGGUCUAUUUCGAGGAAGACUAAGGCUUCCAAUACUAGAUGAACUUUGAAGAAAAUUAAUCCGUUGUUUUUAUUCAUCUUUGGACUAUGAAUAUAUACAAAGACUUUAACAGAAAAUAACAAAGACACAGCUAAAUGCACUACUAAAAAAAUGAGUUUUACUGACACUAAUUUAGCGUCAGUAAUUACUUUUAUUGACACUUGUUAAUUGUGUCAGUGUUGCUCAAGCCAGAACACACUGACACUAAUUUUUGAUGUCAAUAAUUUUUGUGUCAGUAAUUUGUUUCACUAUAGUAUCACUAAAAUAAUGACACGAUGAUGUUGGUAUUUAAUAAUACUAUUUACACGUCAGUAAUUUAUGUGACUAUAGUAUCAAAAACUGACUCGAUAAUAUAAAAAAUUCUUAUUGUUAUUUUAAAUAUGUAGUGUCAGUAUUUAGUAAUGUUAUGCUGCUUUUGGUUAAUAGUAUAUUUUUUAUUUUAAUUAUAUUUUUCGUGUUUGUUGUACAACCAAAAGAAAACUCGAAAUAUAUUUAUUAUUAAAUAUCUUGCAACACAAUUCAUAUAAUAAACAUCUCAAAUACAUCACUUAAAUUCACACAAUUCAACUACAUCACUAUGUGUAAAAGACUUAACAUAAGUAUCAAAUUAAAUUUUCAACAAUCUCUAAACAACAAGUGCUAACUACUACUCAAUUAAGUUUCCAACCCAAAAGAAAAAAAAAAAAGCACAAGGUCACUCAAUAUCCAUCCACGGCUUCAUUUUGUUCCCACCUACAAAUGCAUAAAAUCAAUUAGUAUACUGUGAAAAAUAAAUCUUAGUUAUUUUGAAGCAAAAAUACUCAUAAAUUACUUCAACAUGGAAGAGUAGGAUUAAAAGAAGCAAGUUAAGGAAUCAGAAAAAGAAAUUGUAGAAUCUACACGUUCCCAAGUUAAUUACAGCCUGCAAUCAUGAUACCACAAAUUGCUUCACCAAAAGUAUUCUAUCAAGUAUUAAAGAGAACACUUAAUAAGUACAUCAAUAUUUAGUAAUGAUGACAUGAACAAUGGUGUCUACAACUUGACAAGCAUAAGUUAUUUUUUUUGUAAUCUAUUUCAUUGUCUAAAUUUAAAGUAAACAAUGCUAUAAUAUAUGAUCAAGUACAUUAAGUUAACAAGCACUAUAACAUUUAUUUAGCCCACAUUCAACGAUGAUCAGUUGGACCGAAAGCCAUAAAUUGAAAAACAAAAGAUAUUUAAUGAGCUUAAAGAGGAAAAAUAAAAGUUAACAAAAUUUAAACGACUAAUGAAGAAAUUAACCAAGCCGAGAUGAAAAACAGAAAUAGAAGGCCACUAUAAGCCAAACAUUACAAAUCAGGUUGCUUUUUAAGACACGAACCCAGUUUCCAAUUACAGUACUUUGCAAUUCUUUAAAAAAAAAAGGGUUUCCCAAUUACUAAAUCUUUUUAGGUUUGAAGUGGAUUGAUAAUUAAAUUGAUGAAAGAAAGGAAAGUGAAGCAAAAAUUAGAUUCAAGUAUGGGUCAAGUAAAAAAGUAAAAGAUAAAAAUCAGAUUCAGUGCAAACCUGGGUUUCAAAUGAUUAGCAAAGGAACAACUUCUUCUUUCUUCAAUCUAAUAUUCUUCUUCGAACAUGGAAUACUAACAAAAUACAAUUAGUAAUUCAUAAACAUAUAGUAAAAUGAGAUAGGUAUUUUUUGAGAGGAGAUUGAGAAAUACAUAUUUGAUUGAAGAAAGAAAACACAACAAAAAAAAAGGACCAGGUCUCCUCAAAGAAAAGCAAAAUGGGAAAAUAGGGGAAUAGUCUAUACAAAAGCCAACCCACCACCCUUGGAGGACCAUCCUUCUUCUGAGCAAAAAUCUAUACAAGAUUAGCCCAAACCUCCAAUAUAGUAAAAUGGGUUCGACAGACUAUUUCUAAUCUGUCAUUUGCAAAGUAAAGCUAAAAUUAGAAUUGUCUACUAACAACCUUCCUAUAGUUUGUCCACUAUAUUAUUACUAUAUUAUUAGAUGUAAAAUGCCCACUAUAAAAGGUAAUUAAUAGAGAAACUUCUCUGUAGUAUUUUCAUACCUGUGCCAAAACAGAGAAGAGAAAGAAAUGGUGUCUGACCUCGGUGGUAAAGGAACCGCUAUGGUAAAGGAUCGAACAUGGAUGAAAAAUAAACUUGUGCAAAUGGAGCCACCAGCAUUUUGCAAGAAUUAAAGAUUUUGGGUGAAAUCCUCUCUUAUAAACACUUAUUUGUAUUGGGAGCAUGCAUACUUCCGAGUAUGAUAUAAUUCUAUAAAAUUUAGACUCCUGAUAGAUAGAUAGAUAACACGUAUUAGCAUUAAUUAAAUGGAAGCAUCAACAAUAAUCAAUAAAUCAUUAUAGAAAAAAAAUUAAAAAUGAAAGGAGCUGAGGCACACCAUUGUGAUGCAAGAUUGACAAUCAAAAGAACCUUUCCUUUGUAGAUGCUAAGAUCAACAUCCUGUCCCUUCGCAUCCUGCAAAUAAGAUAAAUUUUUAUAAAAAUUAAAAAAUAUAUCUGUCAAAUCCCAAAUUGAAUUAAAAAUCAAAACAAGGGAAAGAAAAUGAAAGGAACAUGUCAUCAAAUUGUAGGUGGCUGGUGGUGCUUUUUAGUGAAGUGUUUGUAGAACUGUUAGAUGUAACCAUUCUUUACGCAUCAACUUCGCUAGUGAUUUGAUUUGAUGAAGAGGAUCUUUCCUUAUCUAGUUAUCUUCUUGUGUAGAUCCAUGUAGGAUUCCUUCACGAUUUCUUUUUUUUUUUUUUGGGGGGGGGGGGGGGGAGGUUUAAUUAACAAAACAAUAAGAGUAAAUGAGGAAUCAAUCCCUAAUUUAAGGCCUUCUAAGAUUGCUGAAGCUCUGCAUAAUCAAUGUCUCCAAGAAAAAGGUUUAUUUGCAGGCUGUAGCAGCAAUUUUCUUCCCCAUGAAAUCCAACUGAUCCAUUUGUAUUGAAUUUAAGCACACGCCUGAGGCUGGAAAAGACAAAGAAAUUAAUGAAAACAGGCUAUGUAUCUUUUUUACUUAUCAUUGCUCUAUGAAUUAAUUAUGCUACUAAUCACGACGCCGUUUAAAUCUUAGAACAAUAAUAAUCUUUUAGCAACAAAUAUGACGGUUCAAUAAUAUGUUCCGACUAGGGAUGUCAUAUUGUGAGGGCUGUUAAGUUUAAGAAACGAUCAAAUCUAAUUUUGUGUUCCAAAAACUCAUUGGCUUAACAGAUUAACUCCUCUGUAGUAUUUUCAUACCUGUGCCAAAAGAGAGAAGAGAAAGAAAUGGUUCUUGAUCUCGACGGUAAAGGAGCGGUGGCUGGCUGGGCUGAAGUUGAUGUGACGGCAUAAAAGCGGUAGCAGCGACAUACUGAAAGGUGGCUAGCUAGUCGUAGGUGGCUGAAGCUUGACAACAGUAGAGCAAAGGCGGCAGUGACGUCAAGGAACGGCGGCCGACAGCAGUGAAAGUCGAGGAGCAGCGGCCGGCAGCAGUGAAAGUCGAGGAGCAGCGGCCGGCAGCAGUGAAAGCCGAGGAGCAGCGGCCGGCAGUAGUGAAAGUCGAGGAGCAGGGGAGCGGUCGGCAGCAGUGAAAGUCGAGGAGCAGGGGAGCGGCGGCAGCAACUUAAGAAGUGGUGUGUUUGAUUCGGUUAGAUUUAGGGUUUCUUAUUUUCAUUUUAUACUUUGAAAAAUUAUACAGUGUAAUUGUUCGCAUUGUAAUUUAAUAAAACAACAAACUACAAGUCAACAUGUGGUCAAGUAAAAUUAUUAUUAUUAACAACGAAUUACAAGUUGACAUGUGGCAAAAUAAAAAAUAUUAUUCUCAAAACUAUUAUUAUUAUUAUUAUUAUUAUUAUUAUUAUUAUUAUUAUUAUUAUUAUUAUUAUUAUUAUUGUCCACAAAGUAAUUGUGUAAAAUUUAAUUAAAUAAAAAAAUUAAUCAAAUUGAAAAUUUAAAAACACAUGCAUCAAUGGUUUGCACUCUAAACUUACAAAUUUUAAGUUUAGAGAUCUUGAGUUCGAGUUCAAAUUAAAACAAAAUUAAUAUUAUUAUUUUUUUAUCACUGAUGCUUUAGUAUCAAUAAUCAUUGAAUUUUAAGCUACUGACACCUUAGUAUCAAUGAUUUAUGAUACAUACUUGUUAAAGGCGGAAAAUGGUCCAAACGUACACCAUUUCUGACACUUUUUACUAAGUGUCAGAAACAAAGUGUCAGUAAAUGUCAUUUUUGUAGUAGUGAUGAUAGCAAUAAGUGCUGACUUAGACACUUAGUGGACCGCUUCUACAAGUAAAUAAAAACUAAAUAUUUAUUUUGACUAUAACAACAACUACGCUGAUGAAUAGGAUUUCACAGCAGCCACGUGAGAACUAAUUUCUCCUUAAUAUUAUUAUUAGUAGAAGUAGAUUUUCAAACUAGUCUUGAUAUAUUUCAAAGUUGUAUUAUCAAUGUAUAUGUGUCUAGAUUGUAACUAUACUUUAAAAAAUAUAAAAUUUUUAAUUAUUGCACAAUAUAUGUAGAAAAAUAUCUAUAAAAUGAUAUUAUUAGGACUAAGAAUUUUUUAUUUUAUUUUAGAUAAGUUAUUUAUUUAUUAUCGAAUGAAUAAUUUAUUAAUUUAUUGAUAAAUGAAUAUUUAUUAAUUUAAAGAGAGAUUUUUUUGGUUUUAACAAGAGUUUGUUUGGUAAAUGUACACACUUAUAAAGAAACAUAAAAAGUGGUUCCUCAAGUCAAUAGUGUUUGCUUCAAUCGCAACGGUUCAUAAUAAUAUAGCUUAGUUAGGAAAUUUGUAAUUAUACUAUAACUUUGUUUGGUACAACUUUUCAAGUAAAACUUAUUUAAGUAGAGUUGUUAUUAGUAGAGCUUUUAUAAAUAAAGCUUUUACUAAAAAAAAUUUAAUUGUUUGGUUGUCAAUGUCCAAAUUGAUAAACUUUUGUUCUUUUGUUAAGAUAUGUUUGUUUUACUUAAUAAUAGCAUCGGCAAGAGUUUUCGAUUGUUGCAACUUGCAAUGCACGCGGUGAGAGAAAAUGAGAAUCUUGUUUAAUUGUCAAUAAUGACAAACCUAAUCCUUUCAUUAGGAGUAAUUUAAUAAUCGUUUGUUAUAACUGAAUAUGUAUAAAGAAAGGAAAAUUCUAUUCAUAGAUUUCGACUUAUUUUUUGUUUAAAGUAAUUAAUCAUUCAACCAUCUUCAUUUGCCUCUGGCCAAUGCCCUUGUAGAUUAGUUGAAGCGUUAAUUACUUAAUUAUGAUUAUAUACAUUUUCAUAUAGCAAGUGGCAUUGUAGAUCUAAACUAAGUUGCUAUUUCAAUACCAGCAAAUUCAAAAUAGAAAAGGAGUGCAACUAUUUAACUUUGUAGACAAUAUUGCAACCAUGGCAUAUUUAUAGCAAAUCCUUGAAAUCUGCUAAACAAAACAAUGCCCUGUCUCAUGAAUCGAUGCUCAAUUAAAAUUUAAAUUGAAAGUCCGGCUGGUGUUGUUUUCCUCUCCAGUUUUGCCUACAUAAGUAAAGGGAAAUAAGAAUCAUAAGUGAAAAUAUGCUUUGACAGGUCUUAUUUCUUUGUUUCUCUACUGCAGUUUUGCCUACUCAAGCUGAGUCUACGUUGAGACAUAAUUUCAGUAUUGAGGUAACAAUAAUUUCGGACUCCGUAAGAAGGUUUUGAAAAAGUGGAGUCACAUUUGUUGAAUCAGGCAACGUCAACGUGCCUUCUUCACCUGCUAACACCCUUUUCAACCUCUCACAAAAUAGUCGGAGGUGGACGUCCAGCAUAUCUCCUUCUCUCUGUAGCACCCAGAGGUAACAGGAUUAAUUAAAAAUUUUAGAAUUGUUGGGCGUGGAAAGAGUAGUAUUAAACAUCAGAAAGCAAGGUUGUUCUGCUAAAGAAUUGAUUUGUUGACAUAAUUUUUUUUUUUUUUUUUUGGUUUUCGAGGAAAAAGGCAUAUUUGUUGACAAGCAAGAAAAUGUUUUUGUAUUUUACAAUCUGUUAUACAUAUUUCAUCAUAUUAAAGUAAUUUUAAUAAUAAAUAGAAACAUAAUAUUAUGAUAAAUAAAUUAAAGUUUAAAUUAUUUUGAAUAUUAUAAAAAAAUAAUUCUAAUAUUGUUAAUAGGAACAUAUUUUGUUAAUUGUAAAAUCUUUUUAAUCCAAAGAUUUAUUUAAAAUCUUUAUAAUAAAUACAAAUAUAAAAUUAAAAUAAAUAUCAUAAUUUAAAAUUUUUAAUAUUAUUUUCAAUAUUAAAAUAUUUUAAUGUUAUUAGUCUACUAUGUAAGGUAUCAGAGCCAUACCCAUCCUUGAAUGGGUCAAUGCUGAAUUACACUUGAAAUGGAAAGCUUGCUGCAGUUACGAUAUUUCCCCCUCUGAUUUUUCUCCAAAACAAAUUCAGUUGUAAACAAUAACCGAAGUAGCAAUAAUUCAUUCAUCAAAGAAAAUACUCAAAUUUUCAACUAACAAAUCCUCUUAUCUAAACUAAUUAAAAAAAACUCAUAUCUCAAAAAUCUAUCUACAAAAUGUUGGAAAUAAAGGGUGAUCCGUCAACUCGAUAAAUAUACUCAUGCAUAAUGCUAACAAUAUGAUAAAUUACAUCAUAACUAUUAUAAAGAAUCAUAAAUUGGAAACACUAAUCAUUCUACAAUCUAUUAUAUAACUAAGAUAAAUCUUAUAAUAAGUUAAGUUAGAACAUAAUAAAUAUUUUCAAUAUAUAUAAUUAUUUAAGAAGUCUUUUAACAAUAAAUUUUUUUUCUUUUUCAGUUGAUCAUGUCAUAUAGCGUUAAUGGUGAUUAGUGACUGAUUACAAAGCAAAAUUGUUUAAAAUAGAUUUAAUGCACAAAUAUGAUGAAUUUUGGCAAAAAUUAGUUUCGGAAAUGUUGGGAUGAAAACCAUAUUAGUUGAGACUUAAAGUUACUUAAUAAAAUUAUAUCACUACCAUUCAAUGGAUGAAAACUAUUUUAGUUGAGACUUAAAUUUAGAUUUAAAUGUUGAGAUAUCUAGUAUUACUCAAUCAGAAUAAACAAGAACCAAUUCUGACUAUCAUGUAGAAGCAAAUAUUUAUGCUUGGAUUUUUUACUUCUUGAAUUUGAUUGGAAAAGUUUCUGAGACAGAGAAGUGUUUUGGAUAAUCUUUUUCGGGAUUGAAACCACAAAUUGGUCGAGGAAAUUAAUUUUGGACAAAUUUUUAUUGAGUUGUGCUAAACAUCAAGAAGGGCGAGAGAAUGCUGAGAGAAACGGCAGCUUUGUGCUGCUGUUUCGACUUCUCACUCUCUCGCCAUUCUAAUAAUUUUUUAUUAUUAAAAAUAAAAAAGCGGAGAAAAUGAUAGCAGACAACCCACAUCUACCAAAUCUCCAUCACUCCAUCACUCUCUUUCUCUCUCUCCCUCUCUUGAUUUUCAUCCUCUCUCUGGCUUCCUCACUCUCUACGGCUCCCCAUCAAGCUUCCUCAGUCUCUUCGGCCUCACUAUCUCUAGCCUCACUCUCUCCAGAUUCUUUCAUUUUCUCCUUUUUUUUAUAUUUUUAACAAUAAAAAAUUAGCAUUCUGCUGAGAAAGAGAGUGGUACACGACUCUUGAACAAUUUUUUUUCUGUCGUGAUCGUCUAUCAAACCACCUAAAAAUGAGCCAAGGGGGUUCUCAGCCCUAGCAGCUCACGUACUUUCAAGAUUUAGAGUAUGGUUCCAGUCCAAGCUAUUUAAUUAGUAUUGGGAUUCGAUUUAGUUGUUCUUCUAAUUUAAUAGGAUAAAGAAUUUAAUUGGAGAAAUGUCAUUAAUAUCAUAGGAGCAUAUAUAUUGUUUUGAUUUAAAUAUUGCUAUUUUUUUAUUGUUGAAAAAAAAAACACUAGAAAAUGGGAAGCCAAAAUCUUAGCCCUGUGUUUUUACUUUUACUUUUCUCUUAAACAUUUUAAAGAUGUAAAGGAAAAUGCUCAGAAUGGUGAGAGAGUGAUGGACGUGAUGGGCUAUCUUCUAUCCUUUUUUUAAUAAAUUUUUAAGAAUAAAAAAUUUAUUAAAACAGUAAGAGAGCGAAACCAAAACGGCAGCUUGUGCUGUCGUUUCUCUUAACAUUCUCUCGUCAUUCUUGAUGUUAAGCAUUUUCCAUUUUUAUUAUGUUGUAGCACCUUUUUGGUUCCUUUUGUGUCGGCAGCCCCUUACUAUUCUCUUAACCCUGAGUUUGAGAUAGAAAUUUCCCGAACUCCAACCCCACAUCCACAGACAAGUUGAUUCAAACAAUUGCUCUUUUAAUUAAGAGAAUGAGUUAGGUUUCAGUUCUUAUUGUUGUCUGUUAUUUCUCUGAAUCAUUAAUUUUGAGCAUUACUGAUCUUAGUUAUCUGUAUUUCUCCAAUUAUUGAAGAAUUUAUUAUUGAAUGAAUAAUUUAUUAAUUUAUUGAUAAAUGAAUAUUUAUUAAUUUAAAGAGAGAUUAUUUUGGUUUUAAGAAGAGUUUAUUUGGCACAUGUACACACUUAUAAAGAAACACAAAAAGUGCCUGCUCAAGUCAAUAGUUUUGGUACAUUUACACACUUAUAAAGAAACACAAAAAGUGCUUGCUCAAGUCAAUAGUAUUUGCUUUAAUCGCUAUAGUUCAUAAUAAUAUAGCUUAGUUAGGAAAUUUGUAAUUAUACUAUGGCUCCGAUUGGUACAACUUUUUAAGUAGAACUUAUUUAAUUAGAGUUUUUAUUAGUAGAGUUUUUAUAAAUAGAGAUUUUACUAAAAUAAAAUUUAGUUAUUUAGUUGUCAAUGUCCAAAUUGAUGAAAUAUUGUUCUUGUUAACAUAUGUUUGUUUUACUUAAAAAUAAAAGUUUAGUUUACAAUUACACCAGUAUAAAAUCAGCAGAGCAUUUUUGCUUAAAUAUUUAUUAAUUUAAAGAGAGCUUAUUUAAAUAGAGUUUUUGUUAGCAAAACUUUUAUAAAUAAAACUUUGCUUAAAAAAAUUUAAUUAUUUAAUUGUUAAUGUCCAAAUUGAUGAACUUUUGUUCUUUUGUUAACAUGUGUUUCUUUUACCUAAUAAUAAAAAUUAGUUUACAAUAACACUGGUGUCAAAUCAGCAGAGAUAUUUUCCAGCCAGUCACAUUAUACAUACGGGAGCCUCUAUGUUACAUUGAAUGUACCAUACACAACUAAUAAGAACCACAUAAAUUGUGGGACCCACAUAAUUGUGUGGUUCUUAUUGGUUGUGUAUGGUACAUUCAAUGUAACAUAGCAAAAUCCUAUACAUUAUACUAAUAGCAUCGGCAAGAGUUUUCGAUUGUUACAACUUGCAAUGCACGCGGUGAGAGAAAAUGAGAAUCUUGUUUAAUUGUCAAUAAUGACAAACCUAAUCCUUUCAUUAGUAGUAAUUUAAUAAUCGUUUAUUAUAAUUGAAUAUGUAUAAAGAAAGGAAAAUUCUAUUCAUAAAUUUCGACUUAUUUUUUGUUUAAAGUAAUUAAUCAUUCAACCAUCUUCAUUUGCCUCUGGCCAAUGCCCUUGUAGAUUAGUUGCAGCGUUAAUUACUUAAUUAUGAUUAUAUACAUUUUCAUAUAGCAAGUGGCAUUGUAGAUCUAAACUAAGUUGCUAUUUCAAUACCAGCAAAUUCAAAAUAGAAAAGGAGUGCAACUGUUCAACUUUGUAGACAAUAUUGCAAGUUGCAACCAUCCAAAGGUGAAGAUCUAUGCUUAUUAUCUAUUUAACAGCUAAUAUAUAUAUAUAUAUAUUUAUUUAAAUAUCAAGAGCUAUGCUUUUAAAUAAGUUCAAAUGGGAUGAGAACAGACUUAUAUUUAUUUAUUUAAAUAUGACCCAGGCUAAUUUCUCUGAAUUUGGACAGAGUAGAUUUCUAAGCUAAUGCUUGGCAUAUCUCUGGCGAUACUACAAAGUGCAUGUACAUUGACUCUUAAUAAAUAUAAACGAUUCUCUGAUAUGAUUCAAAACAUCACUACAUGCAUAAGUUAAUAAGAGACAAUAUUCUAAGAUUAUUUAUGCAUCACCAUUUAUAGUUGUACCCUCUCUAAUGAAAUUGAAGGUGCAGCCAGCAACUAAAAUGAAGCAGAAAUGUACACGCAUGAGGCAGUUUUUCUAGAAGAUUGAUAUUUCUUUAACUAGAAAACCAUACAAGUCCACAACUAGCCAAACUGUACCUGCAUGUGUCUAGGGCUUAAAUGGAGCACUUCUAAGCAUAAAACAGUAACUAAAACACAUACACAAACAUACAUACCAAAAAAUUCAGAAAAUAGAGAAAGGAAUACAACUAUUCUUGUUUGUAGACAAUAUUGCAACCAUGGCAUCAGUUAUAGCAAAUCCUUGAAAUCUACUAAACAAAAUAAUGUCCUGUCUCAUGAAUCAAUGUUGAAUUACAGCUGAAAUUGAAAGUCUGGCAUCAGUUAUAGGAAAUAUUGAAUUACAAUAUUUCCCUUGCCGAUUUUGUCUACACAAGUAAAAUGGAAAUAAGAAUCAUAGAUGAAAAUCAACUUUUACAGUUCUAAUUAUUAGAUAGAUACAGAAUGAUCUAUCUUUGUGAGUUUGUUUUUCUGCUGCAAUGUGCGAUCCCACUCUGUUUUGAUACUCAAAUUGAGUCUAUGUUGAGACAUAAUUUUGACAUUGCAAGCAAUCCCAAUUAGUUUGGCAUUUGUAUGACCCUUUGAAGGUUUUACAAUAGAUGCAAAUCUACUGAGAAAAUGGUAAAAAAGGUGCAUAUAAAAUGAGGCAAGUAACAGAAGUAUGAGUUAUCAGAUUAGAUUAAAAGUCACCCAAUUCAAUCUAUCAGAUUCCGUAAGGAUAUAACUGGAUGUCAUAUCGCCACUCCAUAUCCUCGAAAGUCCGUAGUCUUUGUCUCAACUCUGUCUGAGGCCAAUGUAAAUCCAAUUUGCACAAGCUCUUUAUGCACCAUAGCUCUUCUGGAAGCUUUCUCAAGUAAGCACAUGGGUUGACAAUUAAGCUUUCAAGUUUUGGCAUUGCUCUUGCCCCCAUCGUCCACUCGUCUAGCCAAUACAUCGACUUCAAGUGCAAAAUCUUAAGUUCCGGAAAGCCACCAGAGCCAACGCAGGCCAGCUUUCUUCCUAAAUAUGAGUUCUGCUUCAGUUUCAGCACUUGAAGGCGUGGAAGCUUUUCCAGCAUUGGCAUGGGAUCCUCCAUUAGCUCAGUAUUUGAUAAGCUCAGUUGGAUCAGGCUUGGAGGAAAUUGGUAUUCAGACAGGACCAUCCGUGAGAGCUUGCUCUCAUUCACCAACUUCAAGCAUUCAACUUUGUGGAGUUCGCAUACGCUUUUGGAAACCCCAGAGUGAUAGCAACUCAAAUCUCCAGACACUCUAAGAGUUUGAAGAUUAGGUAGUCUGCACAAUAUAUCUGGCGUGCAACUACUAGGGUGUAAGGCUGAUAUGAAAAUAAGAUUUUUCAGAGAGCUGGAAUAAUUUUUUGGAGGUGCAGGCAGAGUGAUGGAACCAAAGUUCAGAUGCAUGAGUUUUUGCAUCUUCCAAAUAUCCUCUGGUGUUUGAUCUACGUAGCUAGAUGGCAUGUCUAGUGUUUGAAGGUUUGAAAGGGUGCAUAGCAGUGAAGGAAGACAUUUGAGCGAAGGGAUAUUCAAUUUCAAAUACUUCAAAUGGAAUAAAUUUUCUAAUCCGGGUGGAUAUUGGUCCAGGACUGCAGAACCCAUGUUCAAUACCCGAAGGUGUUUGAACAUUUUACAAAAAUUCUCGCAAUCUAUCGGAUUAAGAUGAUCGCUUUCUGAACUGUGAUUCAGAAAAGAUUGGAGGUACAUGUCAGAAUGUUUCAAAGAAAAGAACUCAAUCAGAUCAUCGACAAUGAUGUACCGUUUGGCAUUUGCCAUUGAUUCCUCUUCCAAUCCAGGCGACCAAAAAAAUCCCGUCAAUGCUGCCGGCAAAAGUAACGCAACAUAUGCAAAAGUUGGAACAUAGCACGCCUUAAUUGUGCCUCCGGCUCUUCUCUUAUUCACUUGAAUGAAGCCACGAUCGAUUAGUUCAUUCAAGUAAUGCUCGGCAGUUUCCUCACUGUUGUGUGGUAUGAAACCUUCAGCUACCCACAACCAAUAUAAUUGCCUGGUAGAUAUCUCAAUGCCUGGAUGGAACAAACACAAAUAGAGGCAGCAGAUUUUCAAGUGAACAGGUAACUGCAACACAGAAUAAAUUGUACUCCAAGCUGUCAGAAACGCUUUUUCUCCCAUGUAAAUUCUUAAUGUCGUUUUUCCAUAGUGUAGGAUGAAAAAUUGCCAGGCUUCAUGCUUUAAUCUGAUCAAUGGUCCUCCAACGAGAACUGAAUCAGGAUGAAUCGUCUGUCCAUUUUCCAAUUCGAACGAGGAAAGGAAGUCUGGAUCAGUGACCGUCAUUAAUACUCUGCUUCCAUUCUGAUUCUCAGGAAGGACUUCUUCAAGAUCAUCCAAUACAUCGUCACUCUCUUCACAGUAAUCAUCAAGCACAAUAAAGUACUUCUUGUUUGUUAGGUAAUCUCGAAGAAUAGAUUUCUUCAAUUGAUAAUCUUCACCGAUAACUACACUAACCCGAGAUGGAGGCAUCACAGACUUGAUUAUGUCAUCCAAUAUCAUGCGAAAAUCGUAGGCUAUAGAAACCCUGACCCAAGCAUGACAGUCAAAAUAGAACUUGACAUGAUUAUUGUUGUAAGUAUCAGCAGCAAAAGCAGUCUUAUCAAAGCCACUGCUGUCGAGAAUUGCAACCACUGAAAGCUGAGGUUGUCCCUCGAUCAGUAAAUCAAACAACGCCUCUCUGCCGCUUUCAAAUUCACUCUUAUCAAGCUGAAAUUGUCCCUCAAUCAAUAAGUGAGUGAAUUCGUUCCUUCGCUCUUUGAAAUCAAAACCAUUGCCUCCAGGUGGAAGUUGUUGCAACCGAUUUCUAAUAUCAAUGAUUUUACUGUGGAUUCCGACAAGAAGAGCAAUGCAAGUAGUGCUCUCACUUUCACUGUUUUGCUGCUGCGUGAUGUUGAUGAAGAAUGUGUCAAUAGCUUUCUCAGAUUCACGGACAAAGUAAUUGAUGUCUUUCAGAAGUUCCCAAAUGUCUGUUCUUUUAACAUUUUCUAAGUGCAAGAGCUGCCGAUAACGCGAAGGCAUUUCGUCUUCAUCGAAUUGUUCUCUAAUGAGUUGAAUUAAAACUCGAGCCAUGUCAACUUCAUAUUUUCCCAGCAGAGUAGUAGCAAUAAUUUCGGACUCCGUAAGAAGGUUUUGAUAAAGUGGAGUUAAAUUUGUUGAAUCAGGCAACGUUAACGCGCCUUCUUCACCUGCUAACACCCUUUUCAACCUCUCACAAAAUAGUCGUAGGUGGACGUCCAGCAUAUCUCCUUCUGUCAGUAGCACCCAGAUGUAUUGUCAUUUGCUUCAAGAAAUGUUGAAAGGAUUGGUUCUAUCUCAAAGUGUUUAGUGGUGUAAAAUUAAUUAAUUAAACACCAUGGAAGAAUUUGCAAGGAAGAUGCCAAGAAACUGGCGAAGUGGCUAAAUUCCACAAUUAUGACAUUAUUGCUCAUUUUCAACUCAAAAAAAUGAUACGCGUUCAUUUAGAGAAAAGUCCAAGACGCGUUCCUUUCGGAAAGAACAAUUAUCCAAUAGAGAUCCAACCUUUAUCUUAUUCAAUUACUACCCUGACAUGAUUGAUGGUGCUUAAAUCAAUUGUUUCUUUUUUAAUUUAAAGAAUUUUUCAUUCAAAUUUUUUUUAAUAUUAAAUUGCCUUCAAUGGCAUUACUGCAGCAAGCCCAGUAACACGAUUAAUUAAAAAGUUUAGAAUUUUUGGGCCUGGAAAGAGUAGUAUUAAACAUCAGCAAGCUAAGGUUGAUAUGUUAAAGAGUUGAUAUUGACAUAAUUUUUAUUUUGGUUUUCGGGGAAAAAAAAUUGUUGACAAGCAAGAAAAUAUUUAUAUAUUUUACAAUUUAUUAUACAUAUUUUAUCAUAUUAAAAUAAUUUUAAUAAUUAAUGAAAAACAAAAUAUUGCAAUAAAUAAAUUAAUGUUUAAAUUAUUUUGAAUAUAAUAAAAAUAAUUUUAAUAUUAUUAAUAGGAAGACAUUUUGUUAAUUUUAAAAUCUUUUUAACCCAAAGGUUUAUUUAAAGUCUUUAUUAUAAAUUAAAUAUCAUAAUCUAAAAUUUUUAAUAUUAUUUUAAGUAUUAAAAAUAUUUUAAUGUUAUUAGUCUACUACAUAGAUCAUAUUACUUAUGUUAUAUUUGUAUUGAUUAAAAAUUUUUAAAAUCAAUUUUCUAGUUACUACAUUCACGAGGCAUUAUGGUUAAAGAAAAGAUCUUGAUGUUACUUUUAAAAAAUUUGAGGGCCUGCAUGAUAAUUUUUUCAAAAUUUAAGGAUGUAGGUGUCCUUCUCAAAUAAUUUAGGGUGAGGCUAUUUGAAUCCACCAAUCUACUCACUACACCCAUUUACUAAAUAAACCCGCACUUAAGUUUUGAAAUUUUAAAUUUUACUCAACAAACCGACCUAAAUGUCCAAUAUACCCUUAUUGAACCCAAUUAUUAUAAUAAUAUGUUUUUGCUAAUUAAACCCAUUUAAUUCAUUUAAAGUUAAUAAAUGAUUAUAUUUAUUAAAUUGAAAACUAAAAGAUUAUACAAAACAUAAACAAUACUCUCAAUUAUAUAUUUUGGAGCAAAAAUUCCAAAGUGUAGUAAGCAAAGCCAAUGCAAAAUGGCUGGAGCAGCUAAUAAUGGUAAAAGUCAGAGCCUAGUAAUGUGGUACCGCUACUUGACUUUGGGAAAGAAGUGAUAAUUAUAUCAAUUUCUUCAACUUGGAAGUUGGAAGUGCUGUUGAAAGCGGUUGAUGCCAGAAAAAUAAUUAGAUAUCUGUCAAAAAAAAACUUUGGUAUUUUUAGAAAUAAAAUCCUAUAUCCAGUAUUUCAAUAUGAAAAGUCUCUAGUAUUUCUUUCAAUUGAUUCUUCCUUUGUCUUCUUCGACUCCAUGAAGGUUUAAUUAUGAUGAGAAAGCCAAGGGGAAUCAAUAAAGAAUAUCAAUUUAGGGUUUAAGAAAAAUAUCAUAAAGUUGAAUGUAAAAUGGAUUCAAAGAGUAAAUUUUAUUUUUAAAACUAUAUUUUAAUGUCUAAAAUUGUAAUUUAAUUUAGGGAUAUUUUAAUAAUUACAAUUUAUUUUUAAAAGUGAGUUUAUUAAGUAGUUUGAUGGGUUCAAAUAGUCCCAUCCAAUAAUUUAUUUCACUGUUAAGGGAAUCCAAUGAGAAAAAUAAUAAGAUAUCGUCAAUGACUUGUCAUUUUCUAUUUUUUCUAUGAGCUAAUUAUUUUGAGCAUUAGUGAUCUUGUCAGGACUACUCCAAUUAUUGAUGCAACUCCAGCGGCUGCAUCCACAGUGGCUACUCCAAUUAUUCAUGCCUUUUAAAAAGAAUAUGUAUACAAUAGCAAUCCAUACUUUAUCUUACAUUGAUUUUUUUCAAUUAAUGGUGAUUGCAUUGAUUUUUUUCAAUUAAAGAAAAAUUGUUUAAAAUAGAUUUAAUGCACAAAUACGAUGACUUUUGGCAAAAAUUAGUUUCGGAAAUGUUGGGAUGAAAACCAUAUUAGUUGAGACUUAAAUUAAGAUUUAAAUGUUGAGAUAGUAUUGCUCAGUCAGAAUAAACAAUAACCAAUUCAAAUUAUGACUAUCACGUAAAAACAAAUGUUUAUGCUUGGGUUUUUUACUUCUUGAAUUUGAUUGGAAAAAUUUCUGAGACAGAGAAGUGUUUUGGAUAAUUGUUUUGGGGAUUGAAACCACAAAUUGGUCGAGGAAAUUAAUUUUGGACAAAUUUUUAUUAUAUUGUAGCACCUUUUUGGUUCCUUUUCGGCGGCCCCAUACUAUUCUCUUAACCCUGAGUUUUUUUUUUUUUUUUUUUUUGAAAAGUCUUAACCCUGAGUUUGAGAUAGAAAUUUCCCGAACUCCAACCUCACAUCCAGGGACAAGUUGAUUGAAACAAUUGCUCUUUCAAUUAAGAGGAUGAGUUAGGUUUCAGUUCUUAUCAUUGUCUGUUAUUUCUUUGAAUCAUUAAUUUUGAGCAUUACUGAUCUUAGUUAUCUGUAUUUCUCCAAUUAUUGAAGAAUUUCAUGUGGCCACUUUUUCUCCUUUUCAUAUAUGUUUCGUUUUUGGACUGAUCAAACGGUGCAAAACCAAGUAUUUGCUGGUCCUUAGUUUAGCCAAUGAUGGCUGAUCCACAGUUGAAUAUAUGAUACUAUUAGCUCUUAUUUGAGAAUGUAAAGGGAUCUUUCUUAUUUGAGAAUACAAGUUGCCCAAUAGAGUUGAACUAUGUUACCCAACUCCAUGCUCAUACAUUAAAUGUUUAGGUAGUUUUACAAAAUGAUAGCAGCAUGCCAAAACUUGUUGUUGUCAUUUUCGACAUUUCAAAUUGAAAAAUAUGCAAGCAAUCUUCAGUGAACAUUACGUUUUUAUUGAAUAAUUUAAAUGGCCAGCAAAUCAACAGUCCGUGAGUUUUAAAUCUAUUAUGACUUAAUGUAUCUUUCUGUAUUCGUACACAGGUUAUAUUAUCAUAGUUUAAAAUUUUAAUAUUAUUUUAAAUGUUAAAAAUACUUUAAUGCUAUUAGUCUACUACACAGGUUAUAUUAUUUAUAUUAUAUUUGUAUUAAUUAAAACUUUUAAUGUCAAUUUUCUAAUUACUAUAUUGAAAAGGUAUUAUGGUUAAGAAAAAGUUUUGGCAUUUCUUCUUGAAAAUUUGAGGGUCUGCAUGACAAUUUUUCCAAAUUCUAAGGGUAUAGGUUUGAAAAUUUAAUGUUCUUUAACUUAAUGAAACAAAAGGGGGAAACCAAGAACUAUUCAAUUUUGUAUUUUUUGUUUGUAAUUCAAAAAAUGCAUCCACCAAACAAGUUUUACGCAUUAAUGCUGUCAUAAAACAAAAAACAGUUUGCCAAAAAAUGGUACCAAACAUAUCCUUAAUGUCUCACAUGAUUUCUUAGUAAGCCCAUAUUAGAUAUAUUUAUACAUUUUAGGUAUUUUAAUUAUAAAAGAAGUUGGUCCUCCCUCUGUUUAUAAAAGAUAACGUUAUUUCGAGAUUACCACUAAACUCUUACAUAGAAUUAGUGUAAUGUUAAGAGAGAGUAACACAAUUUUCCGUUACCAUCUUUGAAAAUAGAAAGAUAUGGAUGCGUGCAUUUAAGGGUUAUCGUGAAAAUCAUACAAUUCAAUUUCCUGACAUAUAUAUUCGUGCACAUAUGCCAAAAGAAUAAAUAGACAGAAAGUAAAUUUACAGUCCUCACUUCCUCACAAUUGUUAACGUGGAGACAUUAAGGAUGAGCAUAAAAGUUAAAGAUGACUCAUUUCUCAUUUUCUUUUUAAAGUGCUCUGCUGAAAGCCAAACUUCCUUUGGCUAAUUAAUUUAGAAGUAAAGCAGAGAAUAAAGUCCUAGAUGCCUUCUGAAAUUAGAAAUACAUUUUAUAUGCUUUAAUUAUGAUUAUUUGGUAGACUAAAGACCUAAAAGAUAUGUCCAAAGUAUAAAACAGAACGAUUAAAGGAAAAAGAAAAAAAACAGAGUAUUUGUGACGUAGAAUAACAAUUGGUAACUAAAAUCCUAAAUAUUUGAGUUGUUAAAAGCAAAUAUAACAGAGAAGGUAAGAGAGAUGCAGAAACAGAAAACUAUUAGCUUAUCUUGAUUUCCCACUAUAUUCAUUUUCGAUGCUUUUCAAACGAGAUUCUUUUAAUCCUUCUGGCGUCCGCAGCCCUUGCUCUUCUUACAAAUCUCCAGUCCACAUCUGCACUACGAACAAGUUGAUUGAAAUUAAAUAAUGUUGGAGAUGAGGGGUGAGCCGUCAACUUGGUAAAAAAAUUCAUGUAUAAUAUUAUCAAUAAUAUAAAAUAUAUAAUAAUUAUUACAAAGAAUCAUAAAUUAAAAAAUUAAUUAUUUUACAAUCUAUUUCUUAAGUAAGAUAAAUCUCGUAAUAAGUUAAGUUAUAACGUAAAAAAUAUUUUCAAUUUAUAAUCAUUUAAGAAGUCAUUUAACAAUAUAUUUUUUUUAUCAGCAGGCCAUGCCACAAAGUAUCAUCUAUAUUCGUGGUGAUAUUAUUAUUACUCCGUAUUCUCAAAAAACAUGAUUUAACAUUUAGAGAAAAUUCCUGCCUUUUAAAAAGAACAUGUAUGCAACAACUACCAAUACUUUAUCUUACCACAACAAAACCAAUGGUGACUAAAUCAAUUUUCUUGAUUAAAGCUAAAUUUCUUAAAAUUGAUUUAAUGCACAAAUAUGAUGACUUUUUGCAAAAAUUAGUUUUGGAAAAUAUAGUGAGAGAAAAUAGUGACGAUUAUUGUUUAGAUGUGUAAAUAGUCUAAACAUAAUCGCUAAUACCAAUAUCCAAGUGCAUCUUAACACCUUUCGUGAUAUUCUUUCAUUCAUGGUCACUGGUUCAAUAUUUGAAUUUAAUCAGUAAAUCAUGUUCAAUAAUAUUAGAGAUCCCAACAAUUGAGUACCAAUUUAAAUCCUAAUGCUAUAUGUCAUUGACCAAUAUUGUGUCAUUUUUUGUUAACUGGGUGAUGAAUUUCUAGUUGAUAAAAUUACUUUAAAAUAUCUUAAAAAUUAGACAAUAGUUUGCUUAAUUUUUUUAAGCUAACCGCUCAAGAUGCUCUAUUAGAAAUGAUAACCUAAUUAUAUACAUAAAAAAUGAUGUAUUUUUUGCAAUGUUGAUAGUGAGAUUAUCAUUCAACAUGUUAAAAUAUGAAAACAUAUGGAAGAUGGUUGUAAAUUGAUUGAAUGAAAAUAUUUCAGUGAAGUCUCAAAAAUUUGGUACUUGUUAUCUUAUCGAAAGUUUUCUAAAUUAUAUUCGUGGCACUGCCACUGCUUCUAUGUGAAGGUCAUUAAAAUUUGUGUUAGUUACCUAUAGGUUGAAUAACAAUUUUAUUCAUCAAUUGUUGCUCAAUAUAGCAAUUUGAUUGAAAGUGCCGCUGCACUAAUUUUCUAGAUGAACUUUCCUAAAUGUUUGUCCUCAUAUGACCUAGAAUGCUGCGAUAUCAAUUGUAUUGGAAAUUAUUCAAGUGGGUUAGUGCUCUACAUCCCCACCAAAAUUUAAGCAAUCAACAAAACAUUCCUUGUGGAAAUAAACUUAUUUCGCUACUAGACUUCUAAUGAGGCCCAUUUUCCAGAAUCUGGAUACGAGUUAGAUGUCUCCCAAAAUAUUGGUGGGAGUAGACUAUACUAGCACUCGACAACAUACUAACGACGCUAUGGUCCACCAGAAAGACCGGUCUCCGGUCAGCCGAAAAAUCUCACGUUCAGUCUCUUCUCAAUCUCCCUUCUCCCAGCCAAGUCGAUCCCGUAACAUGAUACUAAUCCACAGUUGAAUACAUGAUACUAUUAGCUCUUAUUUGAGAAUAUAAAGGGAUCUUUCUUAUUUGAGAACAUAAAUUGCCCAAUAAAGUUGAACUACGUUACCCCGCUCCAUGCACAUACAUUAAAUGUUAACAGCAUGCCAAAACUUGAUGUUGUCAUAUUCGACAUUUCAAAUUAAUAUGCAAGCAAUCUUCGGUGAACAUUACGUUUUUAUUGAAUAAUUUAAAUGGCUAGUAAAUCUAGAGUUCUUGAGCUUUAAUCUAAAUCAAAUCUAUUAUGACUCAAUGUAUUUUUUUGUGUUCGUACCAGUAAUGCAGGGGAUUAUUUACGCAACUCUUAUUAUUGACUGAGAUGUUCACCUUCAUCCAAUUAGAGAAAGAGUGACUGUAGAGGUGGCAAAAAUACCCGCCCGGUCCGGACCCGGACCGUACCCAUUACCUGGUCCGGGUAUGAAGCCGGGUCGGUCUUGGGCAUCACUUGAUAAACCUGGAACCCGGAUUUUAUUAAAAAAAUUAUAAAAUAUAUAUUAUUUUAAAUAUUUUAUAUUUAUUUGACUCAUUUAUUAUACAUAUAUAAAGUUUUAAACACUUAAAGUUUAUAUUUUCAUGUCAAAUUUUAUUGAAAUAAAUUUAAAACUUAUAAAAUUACUAAAAAAUAAAAAAUAUAUACACAUAAAAUAUUAAAAAAUAUAAAAUUCGGAUACCCGGAUUAAAACCCGGCCCGAACCCGGACCCAGACCGGUUGCAUCCGGGUAGGGUCCAGUCAUGGCAAUACUCGGACCUGGUCCGGGGUUUUGCCAUCUCUAAGUGACUGGGUUCCUAUAAAGGGACUCUUAACCAUUACGAGAGUAUUCAGACUACAAAUCUUUGUAAUUAAAUUCAAAGGUGAAGAUCUAUGCCUAUUAUCUAUUUAACAACUAAUAUAUAGUUAUCUAUUCAUUUAAAUAUCAAGGGCUAUGCUAAUAAUUAAGUUGAAAUGUUGAUGAAAGUAGCCUUACAUCUGUGUAUUACUCAUCUACUCUAAUCUUUUUUUUUUUUAACUUAAUGUACUUUUUCUAAUGUUGUUUACUCUUCCCCCCCCCCCCCCCCCCCCCCCCCCCCCCCCCCCCCCCCCCCCCCCACCUCUCUGACAAAAUAAUAAGAGUUUAGACUUGAAAAUAUCUUAAAGAUCAAACAGUAAUUUACCUAAUUUUUUGAAGCUAACUGCCAAAGAUAUUCUAUUAGACAUUGAUAACGUAGUUAUAUACAUUUAAAAUGAUAUUUUUUUGUGGAAAGGGAUUAUCAUUCAACAUCUUAAAAUAUGAAAACAUAUGGAAGAUGAUUGUAAAUUGAUUGAAUGAAAAUAUUUCAAUGAAGAUGGUUGUAAAUUGUUAUCUUAUUGAAAGUUUUCUAAAUUUACUACUAUUUGAACUUAGCCCUCCUGGUACCGCCACCAUUUCUGCUUGAAAGUCAUUUAAGUUUGUGUUAGCUGCCUAAAGCUUUUUUUUUUUUUUUUUUCUUUUUCUUUUUGAAAAGAGCUGCCUAUAGCUUGAAUAACUAUUUUGCUCACGAAUUGUUGUCCAUUAUAGCAAUUUAUUUAAUUGAAAGUGCGGCUGCAAUAAUUUUCUUGAUGAACUAUUCCACAUGUUUGUUCUCAUGUGAGGCAGUUUUUCUAGAAGAUUGAUAUUUCUUUAAGUCUUUAACUAGCAAAGCAUACCAGUCCAAAGCUAGCCAAACCAUACCUGCUGGUCCAGGGCUUAAAUGGAGUACUUCUAAGCAUAAAACAGUAACAAAAACACAAUAUAUGCAUACAUACAUACACACAUACAUACAUACCAGCAAAUUCAAAAUAGAAAAAAGAGUGCAACUAUUCAAGAAAUUGGUUAUUGUAGACAAACACACAUACAAACACAUACCAGAAAAUUCAAAAAAUAGAGAAAGGAGGCCAACUAUUCAAGUUUGUAGACAAUAUUGCAAUCAUGGCAUUACUUAUAGCAAGUCCUUGAAAUCUACUAAACAAAACAAUGCUCUGUCUCAUGAAUCAAUGUUGAAUUACAGACGAAAAUGAAAGUCUAGCAGGUGUUGUUUCCCUCUUCGAUUUUGCCUACACAAGUAAAGGGAAAUAAGAAUCAUAAAUGAAAAUCAGCUUUUACAGUUGUAAUUAUUAGAUAGAUCUAGAACGAUCUUUCUUUGUUUCUCUGCUGCAAUGUGCUAUCCCACUCUGUUUUGCUACUAAAAUUGAGUCUAUGUUGAGACAUAAUUUCGACACUAGGAGCAACCGCAAUUAGUUUGGCAUUGCAUUACCCCUUGAAGGUUUUACAAUAGUUGUAAACUUACCGAGAAAGUGGAAAAAAAAGGGCAUAGGGAAUUAGGCAAGUAACUAAAGUAUGAGUCAUCAGAUAUGAUUAAAACUCACCCAAUUCAAUCCAUCAGAUUCCGUAAGGAUAUAACUGGAUGUCAUAACGCCACUCCAUAUCCUCGAAAGUCCGUAGCCUUUGCCUCAACUCUGUCUGGGGCCAGUGUAAGUCCAAUUUGCGCAAGCUCUUUAUGCACCAUAGCUCUUCUGGAAGCUUCCUCAAGUAAGCACAUGGGUUGACAAUUAAGCUUUCAAGUUUUGGCAUUGCUCCUGCCCCCAUCGUCCACUCAUCUAGCCAAUACAUUGACUUCAGGUGCAAAAUCUUAAGUUCCGGAAAGCCACCAGAGUCAUCACAGGCCAACUUUCUUCCUAAAUACGAGUUCUUCUUCAGUUUCAGCACUUGAAGGCGUGGAAGCUUUUCCAGCAUUGGCAUGGGAUCCUCCAUUAGCUCAGUAUUUGAUAAGCUCAGAUGGCUCAGACUUAAAGGAAAUUCGUAUUCAGACAGGGCAAUCCGUGAGAGCUUGCUCUCAUUCACUAGUUCCAAGCAUUCAAUUUUGUGGAGUUCGCAUACGCUUUUGGAAACCCCAGAGUGAUAGCAACUCAAAUCUCCAGAUAUCUGAAGAGUUUGAACAUUAGGUAGUCUGCACAAUAUAUCUGGCGUGCAACUACUAGGGUGUAAGGAUGAUAUGAAAAUAAGAUUUUUCAGAGAGCUGGAAUAAUUUUUUGGAGGUGCAGGCAGAGUGAUGGAACCAAAGUUCAGAUGCAUGAGUUUUUGCAUCUUCCAAAUAUCCUCUGGUGUUUGAUCUACGUAGCUAGAUGGCAUGUCUAGUGUUUGAAGGUUUGAAAGGGUGCAUAGCUGUGAAGGAAGACAUUUGAGCGAAGGGAUAUUCAAUUUCAAAUACUUCAAAUGGAAUAAAUUAUCUAAUCCGGGUGGAUAUUGGUCCAGGACUGCAGAACCCAUGUUCAAUACCCGAAGGUGUUUGAACAUUUUACAAAAAUUCUCGCAAUCUAUCGGAUUAAGAUGAUCGCUUUCUGAACUGUAAUUCAGAAAAGAUUGAUUAGUUCUUUCAAGUAAUGUUCGGCCGUCCCCUCACUGUUGUAUGGUAUGAAACCUUCAGCUACCCACAACUGAUAUAAUUGCCUCGUGGAUAUCUCAAUACUUGGAGGGAAGACAAACAAAUAGAUGCAGCAGACUUUCAAGUGAAAAGGUAACUCCAUCACAGAAUAAAUUUGUCUCCAAGCUGUCGGAAUCGCUUCGCCUUGAAAAUAAUUUUCUAAUGGCAUACGUCCGUAGUGUAGGACGAAAAAUUGCAAGCCUUCAUACUUUAUUCUAAU